Molecule: long non-coding RNA, 188260 nt
Filed under: Vitis vinifera (wine grape)
Lineage: Eukaryota; Viridiplantae; Streptophyta; Magnoliopsida; Vitales; Vitaceae
Description: long non-coding RNA (VVIN_LNC000277)
Source: RNAcentral
GAGCAGUUGGUUGACAAUGGAGGCCCACAAAGUCCCAAGUUCGCCUCAUAAAUGGAUGGAUCGUUGAAUGUCGAGAACUGGUUGGUUUUUGGAAUUGGUCCUGACAGGCGGUUAUGCGAUAGGUUCAAAUGGUUCAAUGAGGUUAUAGAAGACAUGCUCGGAGGAAUUGGGCCUGAAAGGCAGUUGCAUGAGAGGUCAAGAGUUUCUAGCCCUUGCAUGGCUCCAAUCUUCUCAGGUAUCUUUCCAGUCAACUGGUUUCGGGACAAAUUCAAGGUACCCAGGGUCGAGAGAUUUGUGAUCUCUUUUGGGAUCUCUCCCCAAAUGUUAUUGCUAGAAAGAUCUAUCAAAUUCACAAUUGGCAAUAUGCUAUCAAAUUCCAUAUUUUGUCCCUUUACAACUAGCUCCAUGCGCUCCGAAUAGACGACAUGACCAUUGGGGUCGUCAAAAUUUCUGUCUAAUAAGGUCACAAAACUUAAAGCAGUUAAAUUGCCUAAGCAUUGUGGGAUGGAUCCUGAUAAAUUGUUCACUGCAAGAUCCAAAAUGUGGAGAUGAGAAAGCCAACACAAUUUCUCAGGAAUAUCUCCUGUCAACAUGUUACCCCGUAGACGCAGCUGCUCCAGUGAUGGCAUUCUUUCUCCAAUCCAUUUGGGUAUCUCCCCCGAAAACCUGUUAUUUCCAAGAUCAAGGGAGUACAACCCUGUGCAGUUUCGUAAGCUUGGAAAGGGUUCCCCAGAAAGAUUGUUGUCACCCAAUAUCAACUGAGUAAGUGAAGAUUUUGAACACAUCCAACUCGGAAUCCCACCAGACAUUUUGUUCUUGGAUAGAUCUACAGUGUCAAGCCAUGGCAAAUCAUUCCAAUUCUUUGGAAUCUUUCCAGAUAAAUGAUUGUUUGAGAGAUUAAUUACUCCCAAAUACUUCAGUUUACUAAUUGAUGAAGGAAUGCUGCCAUUUAACAAGUUACAAGAAACAUCAAGGAUUUCCAAGCUUGAUAAUUCCCCGAUGUUCAAGGGAAUUGGACCAGAAAAUGAAUUGUUUCCCAGAUACAAAGAUCCCACAUUAAGUCGAAGUGGGAGUGGGCCCCCCAAGUGGUUGAAACUUAAAUCCACCAAUGCGUCUUGGCUAAAGGAUGAUGAGUUGGGAAGCGUUCCAUACAAUUGGUUUCUAGAAAGAUCUAACCACGAAAAAUCUUGUUUCCAAAGCCAUUCGGGUAUUGCAUCUGAAAUCCCCACAUUUUUUAGAAUCAUAAAUCCAAGUCUCUUUUGAGUUCUAAGCCAGUUGGGGAACUUGAGAGAUACAUGGCAGUUGUAAACCUCGAUAGAUUCGAGACUGAAGGGAGGAAUCCAUUCAGGUCUCAAAUGAAAACGGAGAGACUGGUUUUUGGGUGAUACGAGUAAUGAGAAUUCUGUCAGUUUAGUAAGAUUACUGAAAUGAAUUUCAGAUAUUACCCCUUCCCAAGAAUUCCAAUCAAGAUACAACUCAGUUAGCUCUCUAAGUUGUCCGAUACUUUCUGGAAUAGUCCCAUUCAUUAGAUUGUUUGACAAGUGAAGUCUCUUCAUCCGCAGCAAGUUUCCAAUCCAUGUUGGAAUUGGACCUGAGAUGAAGUUUUCAAUCAGAUAAAGAAUCUCUAAGUUGGUAAGGUGUUGAAUUGAAUUGGGGAAGGGACCAACAAAACUAUUGUUCAUCAAGUUCAGGUACUUUAAAUUCUUAAAGAGCCCUAAUGAAUCUGGCAACUGACCACCGAAUUGAUUAUAACCCAAGUUUAACCAUUCCAAGGAAUUAUUAGUGUAUGUUGAUAAACCAUUCACCAAUUCAAUUGCUUCACUUCCAAUAUAAUUGAAUGAGAGAUCUAAGGUCACCAAGUUGCGAAGGCUUCCCAAGUUAACACGGGGAAUCGGACCUUUAAUUGUAGCACCAUUUAAAUAAAGAUCCAUAAGGGUACUGAUAUUAAACAACCAGCCAGGCAAAGUAGUGUUGAAAUUGUUGUUGGAGAGAUCAAUAAGCGAAACAGAAGUCAAAUUAACAAACGGAUUGGAGUACUGAGGGAAGUGACUAAGAUGACAACCGGACAAAUGUAAUUCUAACAAAAAUGGAAGCAUGUUUACAGCUUGCAUCCAAUUUGUGGUUGCUUUACUAAGGUCCACAUACGCCAGAUCAAGGUAUUUUAAAGAAGAAAGACCAGAAAGCCAAUUUAAAUUAGAAACCCUCAUUGGAUAAUCUCCUCCCAAAAGAUCAAGAUAACGUAACUGUGAUAAAUUUCCAAGAUGAGGAGGAAUCAUCCCACCAAAUCGUGCAUUAGAGAGAUUAAGGUAUCUCAACCUUUCAAAUGAGCCCAAGAAAUUUGGAAUUGGAAUUCCUUGAAAAUCAUUAAGACUUAGGUCCAGGUAAGUUAAAUGUUUCAAGUCAAGUAAGGAACUACUUAUCUCACCACCCAAACGUGAGAAGCCACCACCCAAACGUGAGAAGUCACCACCAGAUUUGAGGUCAACCUUGACAACAUGCCCUGUUUGGUUGUUGCAAUCCACACCUUUCCACUUGCAGCAAUCUGCACCAACCCAGGAAGAAAGCCUACCUGAAGGAUCUUUCAGUCCAUUUUUGAAUUCAAGAAGCGCUUUCCGCUCUACCUCAAUGCAGCCCUUGUUCAUACCACCAUCAAUGGAAUUGAUAAUGGUAGCUUGAGCUAGGAGAAGCUCGAGAAACAGAGAAAGGAGAAAAAGAGUAAGAAGUAGAAGGGUGGUUUUCCAACUUGCCAUUUGAUGAAUGCAAAGUUGCAAAGUUAUUAGUGGGUGUUAUAUAAAUAAUAAGAUUGGAGUCUUUGGUCUAAUUUAGUCAACUAUUUUAAGUCUUUUGGCCGCCAUAAAUAUAGAAGAAAUUAUCAAGUUCAAUCACAAUCGGAUCACAUAUCUCUUCUAUCCCUGAGUAAAUUAAUUCAAGACAUUAAUUACCAAGUUUUUGGUCCAAAGAAAAAAAGAAUUUUUUUUAUUCCUAAUUUACACUCAUCUAAUUAUUAACUGGAAUAAAAAAUUUCAAUUAAUUAAAAAAAUAAAAUUUAGAUUUUAAUAUUUUUCCCAAAUUCAAAAUUCAAAAAUUAAUAAAUUAAUCUCAACUAUGUUAUUCAUAAAUCCCAAGAUAGGUUACAUAAAAAUAAGUUUUAACUAAGAAAAUUUCUAACAUUUUAUUAACUACCAAGUAUAAUUAGAAAUCCUAAUUAUUAUGUAAUUAUCAAUUUUCUACUAAUUAUAUAAUUAAUUAUUAUGCAAUUUUAUUAUGCUAAUAAAUUAUGAUAUUUUGGUAUAUUUUAAAAUAUAUUAAAUUACCAUUUUUAUAUUAUUAAUUUUAAAAUCAAAAUAAAAAAUAUAAUAACUAAUUUUUAGAUAUUUUAACAUGUAAACAUAAAUAAGUAUAACAUUUCAAACAUUAAUAAAAACACAAGCAAUUUAACACUUAACAAUAUUUAUAUAAUAAUAAGAAAUAAACAACUUAAACACUUAAUCAGUCUACUAUAUUUAAGUCAAAGUUAUGCCUAUUCAAAUUUCAAACAAAAAAUAAUUAAAUACCACCUUACACUUAUUAUGCAUUACUCAAGCCAUUUAUUUUCAAUAAAUAUAUUUUUUCAAAUAAUUUUCAUAAUAUUUUAUUUUCGUUUAUAGGCUACAAUCAACAUGGAGGAGGAAGCUUCAAGUAGCUUUCUUCAAUUAUUUAAAGUUAGUGACUAUCCAUAGAAGAAAAUUUUGACACGAAUGUAAAAAGAAAAACAAUUUUCACACAAGUCUAAAAAUGUCUUUUAGAGAAACUAUUAAAACAUUAUUUGAAUUUCUCCUCUUGAUUGUUGACUUCAAGGACUUUUGUGACAUGUUGACUGUUGACUGAAACAAAAUCCUUGUUUAUUUGGUGUGAGUUAGGAAAAAAAAAAAGGAAGUUAUAUUUUUUUUAAUGAAAAAAUUUAUUUUUUCUAAAUAAAAAAAUUCUUUUUUUUUUUUAAAUAAAAAAUUUCCUUAUUUAACCAAACCGAUUUUAACCAAUUCAUUGUAGCCUGAUUAGUUCAGUUUUUCAUUUAAAGACGUUUGGUUUAGCUUGAAAAAAAAAAAAAAAAAAAACAAACAAAAACAAAAACAAGGUUAAAUAUUAAGUAUUUAGGUCAUUGUUUUUUUUAUUAAUGCUAAAUAUUUUUAAGUGUUAAAUUGCUUGUUUUUAGUAAUGUAUAAAGGCUUAAACUUAUUUAUUUUUACACAUUAAAAAUAACUAUAAAAUUAGUUGUUGUUAUUAUUAUUAUUUUAAAAUUAAUAAUUUAAGAAAUAGUAAUUUAAUAUAUUUACAACUAUCUCAAAACAUUAUAAUUCAUUACCAUAACAAAAAUUAUAUAAUAAUUAAUUAUGUAAUUUAUAGAAAAUUAAUAAUUAGAUCAUUAUUAGGAUUUUUAGUUAUGCUUGGUUGUUAAGAAAAUGUUAAAAAAUUUCUAAGUUAAAAUUUAUUUUUAUAUAAUAUAUAUUCUGAUUUAAGAAUAUUGUUGAGAUUAAUUUUUUUUUUCUUUUAAAUUUGGGAAAAAUAAGAAAGACUAAAAUUUUAGUUUUCAAAAUUAAUUGGAAUUUUUUUUAUUCUAAUUAAUAAUGACAUGAACGAACCCCAAUUUUUUUAUAAUGACUAAUUAUGCAAAGUGUAGAAAAAUAAUAAUUAGAUAAUUAUUAGGAUUUCUAAUUAUGCUUGGUUGUUAAAAAAUGUUAAAAAAUUUAUAUGUUAAAACUUAUUUUUAUAUAACUAUCUUCAAAUUUAUGAAUAUUGUUGAAAUUAAUGUAUUAAUUUUUAUUUUUAAUUUGGGAAAAAUGUAAAAAUCUAAAUUUUAUUUUUUAAAUUAAUUAGAUUUUUUUUAUUCUAGUUAAUUAUUAAAUGAGGGUAAAUUAGAAAUCUAAGUUCAAGGACAUUAGUCAACCAAACUGACUUCAAACCUAACCAAUCCAAUCUUAUUACUUUUUAUUUCCAUUUAAAGAUGUUUGUUUCUAUUAAAAAAAAAUGAUUACAUUGGUUUAGUGUUCAUGAAGCAAUCAAAGCUAAACCAACCGAAUUUAUCUAUUAUUUAUAAAUAAAAAUAAAAAUAAAAACGAUUACAUUGGUUCGGUAUUCAUUUCAAAACAACGAAUCAAUAGAAAUCGAUCUAAUCGAACCUAUCUAUUAUAUAUUCGACUUAAAAGGUGCAAAAUUUGAAGUUAUUUUUCGACUUCAUAUUUUGCUUCUCAUAAUUUAUUAUAAAUUUAUGAAGUUAUUUUUUAGUUGUCAUAUUUUUUUAAAAUAUUUUAUUUUUUCAAAAUAAAUUCACUAAAUAUUAUAUCACAUGUAUUUGUGGUUCACUAAAUUUUUAAUAAUCAAAUUAAUAAAUUUGUAAAAGAAAAAUAUUAUAUUUUCUCCAUUUUGUUCACUUGAUAAACAUAUCUACCAAAAUGUCAAGCGGAUGUUUGAAAUUUACCUCUAUUUUUUUUGUUGUGUAAUAUUUGGUUGAUUAUAUUUAUAAAGCAUUAUAAAUCCCAAGAAAGUACACAUAGUCCUAAAUUAUUAUGAAUGAAAUAAAAUUAUUAAUUUAAAUUUAGUCUUUAUAUUAAAAAGUUAAAAUAAGUGAAAUGAGUUUAAAAUAGUCUAUAAAAAUAAUUUAUUGAUUUUAAAUCUAUGUUAUAUUUUCCUUCAUUUUUUAUUUUUAUUUUUAUUUUUUGUAUUUUUUCCCUUGUAUUUCCCCCAAAAUUUUGUCCAAACCAAACAUAAACUUGGAAAAUAUGUCAAAUCAAUACUAGUGUUUGAGACUUAAGAAAUUUUUUUAAAAGGAUUGGAUCAAGGUUUAAUCACGAGUACACCACACAUAGCCCUUUUGUCCAUAAGUAAAUUAAUUUAAGAUAUUUUAUUUAUUAAUAUAAUUAUCAAGCUUUUGAAACAUGAAGUUGUUGUUCAUGGAAAGAAAAAGAAAAAGUAUUUUAUUUAUUUAUUUUGCCUAACACACAUAGACUAAGAACUUUUCUUCGAUUAAAAGUCAAGGAAGUCAUUGUGAACAAUUACCAAGAAAAGAAAUUCAAAUAAUGCUUUAAUGAAUGGUGUAUAUAUUUUCUCUAAAAUGCAUUUUUAGACUCCUACUACAAGUUUUUCUCGCAAAAACAAAAAAUAAAAAAUAAAGCUUCAUUUUUUUGCCUAACUCACACGCAAUAGACUAAGGACUUUGUUUCAGUCAAGAGUCAACAUGUCACAAAAGUCGGUGAAUUUAUUGUCUAAAGAAAAUAAUAAAUAAUACUUUAACGUAUGAUGUACAUAUUUUCUCCAAAAGGCAUUUAUAGACUCAUACAAUUUUCUCCUAUCGACCAUUUACCAACUUCAAUUAAUUGAAGAAAGUUAUGUGAAUGAUGGAACUUCCUACUCCAUGUUAAGUGAUAUGGCCUAUCAUGAAAAUUAUUUAAAAUUUUAUAUAUAUUCAAUUAUUUAUUAUUAUUAUUAUUAUUAUUAUUAUACAUGAAAACUGCAUUACAAGUCCAUGCCUUUUGGAAAAAUGUUUAUUAUUAUUACAAAAUAAACAUUUUGUGACGAUUGAUUAUGUAAUAGGUUAACAUUUAUUUUUAUGUAAUGUAUCUUUUGAUUUAUGAAUUUGUAAUUGAAAUUUAAUUUUCAUAUCUGGUGGGAGUGCCAGUCACAAAACAAAAAAGUGAUGAAGACCUUUCGGCCCUUCAUGGGCCAUGUAUCACAAGCAUAUGAGCCAAUCAUGGACCCCAUCCUGUCCUCAACCUCAACUGUUGCUAUAAAUCUAAAUACUGAUGUAGAACCCUAUCCGAAAAUGGUCCAUUCGAUAGGCAUUAGGCACCUACCACAAGAAAAUUAAGGAAAACAAAAAAUAAAAAAUAAAAAAUGAAGCUUCAUUUUUUUGCCUAACUCACACGCAAUAGACUAGUGACUUUGUUUCAGUCAAGAGUCAACAUGUCCCAAAAGUCUUUAAAGUCAUUGUCUAAGGAAAAUAAUCACAAAAAUAAUAAAUAGUAUUAAUAUAAGAUGUUAAUAUCAUAUGUAUAUAUUUUCUUCAAAAGGCAUUUCUAGACUUCUACAAUUUUCUCGGACCACUUAACAACUUCAAUUAAUUGAAGAAAGUAUUAUUAUUAUUAUUAAGGGUUGAAAAAAUGCAUAGCAAGUCUAUGUGGUAUUUAUUUAUUUUUGUCUAAAGUAUGAAUAAACCUAAAUUAUUAUUUUUUAUUUUAAUUCUAAAAUUAAUAAUUUAAGAAAUAGUAAUUUAAUAUAUUAACAAAUAUAUCAAAAUUCUUAAUUUAUUACCAUAAUAAAAAAUUUCUAAAAAUUAAUUAUGUAAUUGGUAGAAAAUUUAUAAUUAGAUAAUGAUUAGGAUUUUUAUUUAUGUUUGGUUGUUAAGAAACUAUUAGAAGUUUUCUAAGCUAAAACUUAUUUUUAUGUAAUGUAUUUUAUGAUUUAAUGAAUGGUGUUGAGAUUAAUUUGUUAACUUUUUAUUUUUAAUUUGGGAAAAAAUUAAAUAUUAAUUUUGGAAAUUAAACAAUGGAUAAUAUAAUGAUAGAAUAAUAUUAUUUUUCAAAUAGUUUUCUUUCAAAUAGAAUAAUAUAAAAUUAAUUUAAUAUAUGAUAGAAUAAUAUAAAAUUAAUUUAAUUUUCGAGAUUUCAAUUUUCAAAUAAAUUUCAAAACUUUAGUUUUCUUUCAAAUAGUUUUAAUUCUACUCCAGUUUUUAUUUUUAUUUUUAUUUUUAAUUCUACCACUUUUCAUCAUUUAUUAGGGUUUUAGGUCACAAAAAAUCCUGAUUUUAAUAAUUUUGCUGUCAUUUUCAUUUUGGCAUGCACUUGUACAAAUUUUCUUCGAUUUUCAAAUAAUUUUCUGUUUCUCUUAAUUUUAAGUAAACAAGAAUGAUUUUUUCAUAAUUCCAAAAUAAUGGAAUUUGUAAGACUAAUUUAUGCAAGAUAAAUUAGGCUUUGGUGGGGGCCCAACAUUCUUAACAUUUCUUUCGAAAAUAAUUCAAGUGAAUUUUAUGAUUAAUAUUAUUUGAUUUUGAUUGGUUUUGUGUGAGAUAUUUUACACUUAUCAUUACGCACUAACCUUGUUUCAUAAUAGUGCUUUAUUACCGGUUGCCAAGGUACGAUCUCACCCCUACUUUGCUUAUUUUUAUACAUGAUUUGUUUUAUUAUUUGAUCAUUUCAUUGAUAUCCAUUGAUUUCUUUAUCAAUUGUCACAUUUCUCACCUUAUUUAGUAGAUGCCUGUUUUUAGGGACUUAGAGGGGUGCUACGGUUUUUUACCGUACCUUCCCAAUAAGUAACUUGACCCCCGAACCCGACUCGGUUUUUCAUAGACUUGUUUUUCCUUCAGGAGUCACACUUAGAGUUUUUCUUUUUUAGUUUAUUUUUCCCUUUAAAAAAAAUUAAAAUAAGUGGCGACUCCAAUUAUUUAAAAAAAAAAAAAUCAAAUUUUUACCAAAUAAAAUAAAAAAAUGAGUUUCACCAUGGAGUGGGAACGCAUCAUGUGAAAUACGGGAUCCACAUAUAGGUUUUUAAACUAUUUCAAAUCUCGGUACCAGUUAUGAAUGUAGGAGAAAUGAAGACCUGUAUGGGCCAUCUUCUCGUGUAAAUAAAAAUAAAACCAGGAUAAUGAAAAAUAAAUCAUUCAUAUAGAAUAAACUUCAAUUCACCAAAUUAAUAAUUAAUAAAUGAUUAAAAUGGGAAAAAAAUAUCUAAUCUAAAUCAGUAGGAUGGGUGUUUAAGACACUAAUUUUCUUUCUAUUAGAUUCAGUUCCAAUCUAACUCAAGGUUAAUAUAUUUUUAAUUUUGAAAAAGUAUAUGAUGCACAAUAAUCUAAAGAAAUAAUUAUAUUUUCUCCAUUUUUUUUUUUUUGUUUUUGGGUCCUAAUGAAACCUCACGAGAGAAAACUUUAUAGGGUUGUAAAAGCAAAAUAAAUCAAAGCUCACAUGUUCAAAGUCAUUUCAUUUCAUACCUUAGUUGUUGCAAUAAAUGGUGUAUAAAUACGUCGUAAUACUUAACAUGAAGUAGGAAGUUUCAUGGACAAUGACUUCAAGGACUUUUGUGACAUCUUGACUCCUAACCAAAACAAAGUUCUUAGUCUAUUCCGUGUAUGUUAGGCAAAAUAAAUAAAUAAAAUAACUUUUUCUUCUUCUUUGGAUGGACAGUAACUUCAUGUUUCAAACACUAGAUAAUUAAUAUCUUGAAUUAACUUUCUUAUGAAUACAAGGGGUGAUCAUGAUUGAACCUUGAUCCAAUCCUUUAUAAAGAAUUUCUAAAUCUCAAACACUAGUAUUGGUCUAACAUAUUUUUUAAGAUUAUAUUUGGUUCCAAAAAAAUUUGAGGGAAAUACAAGGGAAAGAAAAUAAAGAAAAAAUAAAAUAAAAUGAAAAAAAAGUGAAAGAAAAUACAAUAUAGAUUUAAAGUCAAUAAAUUAUUUUUUUAUACUACUUCAAACUCAUUUAGCUUAUUUUAACUUUUUAAAAUUAAGAUUAAAUAAUUUUAAAAUACAUAAAAUUUUAAUUAAUUUUAAUUUAUUAUAUUUUCUUUGAUAUUUUCUAUAAUACACAAUUAAAUAUAUAAAAAUUAUUUUCUGUGUAUGAAUAAAAUGGAGAAAAUAUGAUUCUUUGUUUAGAUUAUUGUGCAUCAUAUGUUUUCUAAAAUUAAAAAAUAUAUGAACCUGAGGAUUGGAACUGAAUCCAAUGGAAAUGAUACCAUUAUUUGAUUGAUCAUAUCUAAUAUAAAGGAAAGUUAAAUAUCAUGAAAAUUAUUUAAAAAUUUAUACAUAUUCAAAUUCUUCCUAAUGGCUAGAAAAAUACAUAACAAAUAUAAGGCGGUGUUUUUUCUUUUUCUUUUUUGUUUAUAAUCUAAAUAAUUAUGUAUUUAACUUAAUCUAAUAAAGUCGAACGUUAUUGGCAUUUUAGCUUGUUUAGUUUUUAUUAUAAAUGUUGUUAAGUGUCAAAUUUUUUGUUUUUAUUAAUGUCUACAGUGUUAAACUUAUUCUUAUGUGUUAAAAAAUCUACAAAAUUAAUUAUCAUAUUUUUAUUUUUAUUUUAAAAUUAAUAAUUUUGAAAAAUAGUAAUUUAAUAUAUUUUCAAAUAUAUCAAAAUAUCACAAUAAUAAACAUUUUGUAAUGAUUGAUUAUGUAAUAGGUUAACAUUUAUUUUUGUGUAAUGUAUCUUUUGAUUUAUGAGUUUUUAAUUGAAAUUUAUUUUUGUAAUGUAUCUUUUGAUUUAUGAAUUUGUAAUUGAAAUUUAAUUUUCAUAUAUGGUGGGAGUGCCAGUCACAAAACAAAAAAGUGAUGAAGACCUUUCGGCCCUUCAUGGGCCAUGUAUCACAAGCAUAUGAGCCAAUCAUGUACCCCAUCCUGUCCUCAACUUUAAGUUUAACCGUGGCUAUAAAUCUAAAUACUGUUGUAGAACCCUAUCUGAAAAAGUCCAUUCGAUAGGCAUUAGGCACCUACCACAAGAAAAUUAAUGAAAACAAAAAAUAAAAAAUAAAAAAUGAAGCUUCAUUUUUUUUGCUUAACUCACACGCAAUAAACUAGUGACUUUGUUUCAGUCAAGAAUCAACAUGUCACAAAAGUCUUUAAAGUCAUUGUCUAAGGAAAAUAAUUACAAAAUAAUAAAUAAUACUUUAAUAUAAGAUGUUAAUAUCAUAUGUAUAUAUUUUCUUCAAAAGGCAUUUCUAGACUUCUACAAUUUUCUCGGACCACUUAACAACUUCAAUUAAUUGAAGAAAGUAUUAUUAUUAUUAUAAAGGAUUAAAAAAAAUGUAUAACAAGUCUAUGUGGUAUUUAUUUAUUUUUGUCUAAAAUCUGAAUAAACCUAAAUUAUUAUUUUUUUAAUUUUAAUUCUAAAAUUAAUAAUUUAAGAAAUAGUAAUUUAAUAUUUUUAAAAAUAUAUCAAAAUUCUUAAUUUAUUACCAUAAUAAACAUUUUUCUAACAAUUAAUUAUGAAAUUAGUAGAAAAUUUAUAAUUAGAUAAUGAUUAUAAUUUUUAUUUAUGUUUGGUUGUUAAGAAACUAUUAGAAUUUUUCUAAGCUAAAACUUAUUUUUAUGUAAUGUAUUUUUCUGAUUUAUGAACAUUGUUGAGAUUAAUUUGUUAACUUUUUAUUUUUAAUUUGGGAAAAAAAUAAAUAUUAAUUUUGGAAAUUAAACAAUGGAUAAUAUAAUGAUAGAAUAAUAUUUUCUCCAUUGUGUUUAUUUAAUAGGUAGUUUCACAAAAUAUAUUGGACUUGUAUUUGAUAUUUAUCAAUUUUUUCAAAUGAUUGGAUUGAUUUGAUGAUAUAUAUUACAUACUCUUCUAUUCAUGAGUAAAUCAAAAGAAUGAUAAAAAUUACCAAGUUUUUCAAACAUCAAGCCAUUGCCGAAAGGGGCAAAAAAAAAAAAAAAAAUCAUUUUUUAUUUUUUGUCUACCUUAGACGACAUAGACUAAGCACUUUGUAUAAGUCAAUAAUUAAGAUGUCAUCAAAGUCCUUCAAGAAAUGUCCAAGGAAAUUUAAAAAAUCAUGAAAAAAAAGUUAUAAAUGAUGUUUUAAUGUAUUAUAUACAUAUUCUCUUUAAAAGGCAAUUUUAAACUCCUCUUAGAAUUUGCUAUUAUGGAAUUCUUUUUCCUUUUUCGUAUCUCAAUUUCAAUACAUUUUAAUUUAACUUAAAUUUAAAUAGUAUGAAAUAUUAAGUGAUUUGUUUUCAUUUUUUUUUCUUUGACUUAAUUCUUAAAAAAUAUUGUUUUAAUAUUAAAGUCAUUUUAAAGAUCGUUUAUUUGUUUAAUUUAUUAUUUUUUAAGACAAUUUGAUCUUAAUAAAAAAAAACUAAUUUAUUGUUUUUCUUUUAUCUUAAAUUUUAAAUUAACUUGUUUUAAGACUUAAGACUUAAGUUAAAAUUAAAAUUAAAAAAAAAAAUAAACCGUUAUAUUUAGUUAUAAAAACAAAUUAAGAAAAAUGAUUUUCUAUUGAUUAGUUUCAUUAUGGAAAUACAAAUAUAUAUAUAUAAUAAAAAUUAAUUAAAAUUUUAUACAUUUUAAAAUUAUUUAAUAAAAAAUAAAUAAAAUGGUUCCAAAAAACAUAUUAAAAUAAUUUAUUUACUUUAAUUUUUUUUUCCUUCAUUUUUUUUUAUCUUUCAUCUAUUUUUCUUCAUUUCUUUCCCUCACUUAUUUCCUCAAAAUUUUAAAUUUAUUUAACCAUUUUAAGUCUUCGUGCCAAUGCUAGUCAUAAACAAACAAUUGAUGAAGACCUUUCAGCCCUUCGGCCCAUGUAUGAUGUAUCACAAGAAUAUAUGAGUUAAUCAUGGACCCCAUCCUGUCCUCAACUUCAACUGUUGCUAUAAAUCUAAAUACUGAUGUAGAACCCUAUCUCAAAAUGGUCCGUUCGAUAGGCACCUACCACAAGACAAUUAAUCAAAACUACAAUAAUGAAAAAAAAUAGAAAAUAAAGCUUGAUUUUUUUGCCUAACUCACACGCAAUAGAUUAAGAACUUUGUUUAAGUCAAGAGUCAACAUGUAACAAAAGUCCUUGAAGUCAUUGUCUAAGGAAAAUAAUCACAAAAUAAUAAAUAAUACUUUAAGAUAUGAUGUAUAUAUUUUCUUCAAAAUGCAUUUCUAGACUAUUACAAUUUUCUUCCAUGAAUCACUUACUAACCUCAAUUAAUUGAAGAAAGCUACAUGAAUGAUGGAACUCCAUGUUAAGUGAUACAUAAAGUAAAAUAUAAUGACAAAUAAAUAAAAAAACGAAUAAAAUAAAGUAAAAUAAUAAAAUAAAUAAAUAAAUAAUCAUAUGAAAGAUGAAUAAAUAAAAUAAUAAAAUUAGGUUAAUAAACAAAUUAAACAAAGCGCAAAAUCCAAUAAUAUGACACGAAUUUUGAUGCUUUCAGCUUUACAAACAUGCUGCUAAAGACUCUGUUCUCCACAUGAUCAGUCUCAUCUCUCUUUCUCCCACUCGAAGCCGUCGGACCCGUACUGUGCCUAGGUCGCUUCGGAUCCGUGAUGGGGUUCAGAGUUUCUUGCCGAAAACCUCCCCUGCCACCGUUAGUGAAGCCUAAGAAAGGCUUUCUUGUGAGAUGAAACUCGGUUCUUCUGUUGAACAAGGACUUAGCUGAAGACGUGUGCGACGAAGCUAAGAGACCAUUUUCCUAAGCAUUGGCUUAUGGGAAGACCAUUCAGAUGAGUGUAUGAGUUUAAUGGAUGUGAGGAAUGGGAAUAUGAGUGAUAGAGCAGGCACCUAGGGCAAGUUAUUAAUGGCGGGUAUGAGGGAUGGGGAUGUGUGUGGUGGAGCAAAUAAGGAGUGGAGGAUGAAACCUGGUAGUGUUGAGGAACUGAACCUGAGUAGUGUCGGGUGGAAAAUAUGGAGCUGGGUUGGGUAAAAUUGAUGAGUAUUUUGGCUUGGGAUUUGGGUCUGAUAGAGAGGCUUUGUAAAAGUGGCCAUGCAGGAGUUAUUCACAUGCUUAUGAAUGGUGGGGGAGGGGGAGGAAACUCAAACCAGAUUUGAAAAUAAGAACAAAUUAUUCCCAAGCCAAAAGCCAAAGUAAAAAUAAAUAAAUAAACCAACAACAGCACACCUAUGAAUGGCUCAGAAAUCCAAUAUAUUCAAACACAUAAUAUGAUGUUCAUGCUUAGCAAACAAUCCACAAAAAGAAAUAGCUAUCAAAAUACUAAAAAAAACUCCACAGAAACCGAGAACUCUGAUCAGUUUAUUGUCCUCCCAUCCAUCUAUAUAUAUAUAUGUAUAUAUCCUAUACACGGAGUCUAAAUUCCUAAAUUGUAUAUGGUAACAUUAACAUUUCCUAUAUGUACAACCAAUUUCAUUCCUAAUUUGUAUAUGGUAACAUUAACAUCCCCCCUCAAAUUGAUGUUGGUAAGUCAACUAGCAACAAUUUGCCAACAAGAAUUGAUGUCGCCGUCGAGUCAAAGCUUUAGUGAAGAUAUUAGCCACUUGGAGAUCAGAAGAGAUGUGAGGAAGAGAUAUCACCCGACUUUCCAAGGUGUCUCGAAUAGAAUGACAAUCAACCUCAAUGUGCUUGGUACGUACAUGAAAAAUGGGAUUGGUGCCAAUCUGAAUAGCACUAGUGUUAUCAGCAUGAAGAGGUGUAGAAGUAGUCUGAGGAAACCCAAGCUCCUUAAGAAGACCGCAUAGCCAUACAAUUUCAGAACAAGUAGUAGACAUGGCAUGAUACUCGGCCUCAAUAGAGGAUUUAGAAACACAAUCUUGUUUCUUACAUCUCCAAGAAAUUAAGGCAUCACCUAAAAACAUACACCAACCCAUAGUAGAUCGACGUGUAUUUGGACACCCACCCCAAUUAGCAUCACUAUAGGCAACAAGUUGAAGAAAUGAGCCGGUAGGAAAGAACAACCCACGAGUAGGUGAACCUUGAAGAUAGCGGAUGAUGCUUUGAACUGCAGCAAGAUGGAGAUGCCGAGGAGAAGUCAUAAAUUGACUGACCUGAUGAACAGCAUAGGAGAUAUCAGGUCGAGUAGUGAUCAAGUAGAUAAGAUUCCCAACUAGGCGCUGAUAGAGAGUAAGACCAUCCAGAAGGUCCCCUUUAUCUUUCCUAUAUUUGACAUUUACCUCCAUAGGAGUAUCAACAGAAGAAGUGUCUUCCAAACCAGCCAAAGUGAUAAGAUCUUGAAUAUACUUAUGCUGGUUCACGAAAAUACCAUUGGCCUGAUGAUGAACUUCCAAUCCUAAGAAGUAUGUGAGUUGUCCAAGAUCUUUCAUAUGGAAAGUUGUAUGUAACAACUGCUGAAGCUUAGUAAUCAAACUACAGUCAGUGCUAGUAAUGAUAAUAUCAUCCACAUAAACCAAGAGAAUGACUAUACUCGACGCAGACUUGUGGAAGAAGAAGGAAUAAUCAUAUUGACUUUAGGUAAAGCUGAAGGAAAGAAUUGUAUUGCGAAACUUCUCAAACCAAGCUCGGGGCGCCUACUUGAGCCCAUACAAAGAAUGAUUUAGCUUACAAACAUCAUGAGGAGAAGAAUUAGUCAUACUAGAGGAAAGCUUCAUGUAAAUCUCUUUUUAGAGAUCACCAUGAAGAAAAGCAUUCUUCACAUCCAUCUGAUGUAGUUGCCAUGACUGUGAAGCGACAAUAGCUAAGAUGGUUUGAACCGUGGUCAUUUUGGCAACAGGAGCAAAUGUCUCCUCAUAAUCAACCCCAUAUUCCUGCUUGUUACUCAAAGCUACGAGACGAGCUUUAUACCGGUCCAAAGAACCAUCAGAACGAAGUUUUACAGAGAAAACCCAUUUACUCCCAAUAGGUUUGACUGUAGGAGGACAAGGAACAAUAUCCCAAGUAUGAUUCUCCUUAAGUUCUUGAAGUUUUGCUUGCAUUGCAUUUUGCCAACACUCAUGUUCCAUGGCCUGUUUGUAGCAAGAGGGAAUAGAAAUAGUGGAUAAAGUAGCAACAAGAGAGACAGGAGAGAAGAAUCCAUACCAAUCAGGGGGUCGAGAAAGACGAGUAGACCGACGAAGAGUGGUGGAAGCAGAAUUAGGAUUAGGCGUCGGGUCAAGAUUGGAAGGGGGCACAAAGGAAGUGGAAUUGGACUCAUGUCGACUACGUCUUUCAUACCUAAAACCAGGUUUGAGCCCUUCCACAAUUGUUGGGGAUUCAGAAAAACUAGGCAGAAGGGAUAUUGAUGCAGAUGGCAGCUCAACAUGAGAUGGAAAGAAAUAUUGAUUUUCAAAGAAAAUUACAUUUCGGGAAACUCGUAUACGACGAGCAUGUGGAUCAUAACAAACAUAACCCUUGUGAAGGAUAGCAUAACCAAGAAAAACACACUUAAUAGACUGAACAGUAAGUUUAUGUCGUUCAUGAGUAGGUAGAUGCACAAAACAAACACAACCAAAUGUACGAAGAUCAGAAUAUAAAGAAGAAUGACCAAACAACUUAGAGAAAGGAGAAACAUGAUUUAACAUAGGAGAGGGUAAGCAAUUGAUCAAAUGAACUGCAGUAGAAAGUGCUUCACACCAAAAACGAGGAGGAAUCGAUGAAUCAAGUAAAAGAGUUUUUACCACAUCAAGAAGGUGGUGAUUUUUCCUCUCAGCAACAACGUUUUGUUGUGGUGUCGAAGGACAAGAACGCUGAGAGAUGAUCCCUUUGCUUUGAAGAAAGUCCUGAAGCUCAUUAGACAUGUAUUCUCCGCCAGAAUCAGAGCACAAGACCUUGAUGUUGGCAGAGAAUUGAGUCUCAAUAAGUGCAAGAAAUCGCUUAAAGACUGAAAAAACUUUAGCCUUAGCUCGGAGAAAGUAAACCCAAGUAAAGCGACUAAAGUCAUCAAUGAAAAUAACAAAGUACUUGUCAUGUGCAUGAGAAACAAUAGGUGCAAUCCCCCAAACAUCACUAUGUAUAAUAUUAAAACAUUGUGAGGCAUGAGAUGUAGAAUGAGGAAAAGGUAGAACUUUACUUUUGCUAAGUUUGCAUGAUGUACAAUCGAAAGAAAGAUCAAGAGAAGAACAUACUUUAAUUCCCAAUAAUCCAUAAUUAAACAAAGUACGAAGUACAUUAGAGUUUGGGUGGCCAAGAUGUCUAUGCCACAUCUUAUGUCCAGAACCAACAACAUUACAUGCAAAGGAAAGUAAAAGAAAACUAGGAAUAAUAGUGGAAGUAGAAACAUGAAGAGGAAAGAGUCGUCCCACUUUAGGCCCCUUUGCGAUUAUCUUCCCGGACACUUGAUCCUGCAUAACACAACCAGAACGGGAGAAAUUGACAUUACAAUUAUUAUCAACCAAUUGACGAACAGAAAGAAGAUUUGUGGAGAGGUUAGGAGACACAAAAACAUCAGUUAAGGAAGAGGAAAAAUCACCAACAACACUGAUAGGCAGAGAACUACCAUCAGUAGUGUUAAUUUUCAAAUUUCCAUCAUAAUUUCUGACAUUGGAAAGAUAAAGAACAAUAUUCGUCAUAUGGUUAGAAGCUCUAGAGUCAAAAUACCAUGGCUUAGAAGAAAUCGUAUGAUUACCUGAGAGCCUAAAACAGAAAAGCAGAAAUGAUCAUUUGUUGUACCAUUUCAGGAGUGAGUGUGUUCGGGUUUGCUAAGGCUGUAGGAGCAAGAAUAGGAACAACCAAAGAGGCAGUUGGCAAUGCAGUAGAACUAGAGGCACCGAUGGAGACAUGAUAAGCAGUACCCUGCUUUCUUUCAGGCCGAAUGGGAUAAGCAGAGAUGAUAUGACCUUGUUUCUUGCAGUAGUUACAAAACUUCUUGGGACAAUCCCGAGCAAUGUGACCAAAAUCUUUACAACUAAAGCACUGGACAGCCCGCAUAUCUCAACCCUUAUUUUGCCCUUGUGCUGCAUAAGCUACAGAAACGGGUGCACUAACAUUAGCCCGAUGUUCCAUGGUAGCUUGAGUUACAAUACGCUGCUCCUCACGCAAAAGUUCACUCAAGCAGACAUCUAGAGAUGGUACAGGAUGACGAUUCAUCAGAUUAGACUGUGCAAUUUCAAAGUCGGGUCGUAGCUUUAUCAAGAAUUGAUAUCUCUUGCUGGUUGUAUGCAUUGCUUGGACAGCAGAGAGAGCUGUAGCGGGAACAUUAGCAUAAACAAUGUCGGAAUAAUCAGUCCAAAGAGUUUGAAAACCAGAAAAAUAUUCCUCAAUUGAGAGACUUCCUUGUGUGAAAUUAGCCAUCUCAUACUAUAAUUGAAAACUCCUAGCAGAGUUGUCUUGAUUGUAAACCGUGUGGAGAUAAUUCCACAUAGCAGCAGCAGUUUUAUAAGGCCUCAGGUUGAGAACAAGGUGAAGUUCAACUGAGCUAAGGAUCUAGGUCAUAACCCGAGCAUCCUUAAUUUCCUACUUGGACAAAGCCUCGGUAUCACGAGGUGCAGGAUUACUCCCAUCAGUAUGACCCCAUAAUUCUUUUCCUUUGACAAAUAAUUUAAAUUGAAACUACCAAGCACAAUAAUUUUUGCCAGUAAAUCUAAUAGGAAACGAUUCCAACUUAUCUGAUGACAUGAUGCAACUGAGAAACAAAGGAAAUAGCCCACCAGAAAAUUGGAAUAGAAACGGCCAAGAUCUAGGUUGCGAUGAACUCGAUCAACACUAUUUUUUAUGCCAAGCAUUUGAUUGGUAGAAGAUCACGAACUCCACUCAGAAGGUGUCGAAACCUUGCUCUGAUACCAUGUCAAAAUACUAAAAAAAACUCCACAGAAACUGAGAACUCUGAGAACUCUGAUCAGUUUAUUGUCCUCCCAUCCAUCUAUAUAUAUAUAUAUAUAUAUAUAUAUAUCCUAUACACGGAGUCUAAAUUCCUUAAUUGUAUAUGGUAACAUUAACAAAUACAUGGUAAGCCAAUUUGUAAAUCUUUUCCUAUAUGUACAGCCAAUUUCAUUCCUAAUUUGUAUAUGGUAACAUUAACAAUAGCAAGAAAGAAGAACGUAUUAUGAAGAAACAUAAUCGAGAAUCGACAACAAUCAUACCUGAGCAAGUUUUCUCGAUUGAAGCUCACCCCAUUUCCAAGCUUUUUUCUUCUUUUCUUUUCAAAACAAAAUGGAUCUCACCUUAGCUUCUUCCUCAUACCUUUCGGUUUCUUCUUCCUAUUCCCUUUUGAUACCCAUUCUUCCCGUUUUUCUUUUCUCCCAAAACCUCACCUACUCCAAACUCUCUCACAUGUCUCUCUCCCGUCCCAUCUUCAGACUUCUUCUCUGCAUCCCCCUCUUCACCGUCCUCCCAUGUUCUUUAUUUUCAUGCAAGUUUCUACCGACUCUUUGCUUCAACCAUCAUUUCAUCUAUUUCGUUCUAGCCAUCCCCCUAUCCAGCUACUCCUCUAUAUGAAAUGCCUAGUUUACCCGGUCUCAAUGAGGGGUGGUAAAAAAAAAAAAAAAAAAAAACCUUUGGUUUAUAAUAGGGUCUACAAAUAUGCCCCUCUUCAGCAGAGUUCGCGAGUGUAAGGAAUAUGAAUACUAGAGUGAAAAGAAAGUGUGAAUAGUGAGUGGAAUGAAGUGAACUCUACAGAAGAAAAAGAAAGACUCUUAAAGGUACACAAGUAUAACACAAACUCGCUCAAACUAACAAAGGACCAAAAGGGGUUCUAAAAUCCUAAGAGAAUGAUAGCUCUCAGAGUGCCUCUAAAGCUGCGCUAUGGAUCCAGGCUCCCUCUAAGAUGCCUACCAAAGUGACUCGAAGAUCAAUGUCAAAGAUGAGUAAUGGUCAAACCACCUAGGAGUAUAGAAAAGAAUGCACCUAAAGGGGACUGCCCUACAUGAACUACAUGAGAACGCUAAGUGUAGGGUGUCGAACAACAUGACCGAAAUAUGUGUCGUGAACUCAAAGGACUAGGUCAUGUGCAGUGGAAAGGGGAGUAUAGAAGAGCAUGAUGAACAAGCGAUAAGCACAAGGUAAUGAGGUGAGGAAAAUGAGGAUGAAUGUAAAAUCGCGAAGACAAAAUGUACGAUGCUAGUGAAUAUGAAUGCCAAGAGCUAUGACUGUGAAUGAAAAGUUGGGGGAAAAAAUGAGUCUGAAUGCCAAAAAAGAGAAAAUGUGGUGACUCAAAAUGUCAGAAUGAGUACGCACAAUGGCUCUCAACAUCAAAACUAAAGAAAGAUGUUGACACCGAAUACCAUGCUGAACAAUGGCUCUAAAUGCCAAAAUGAAGAUGCGGCUUUGAACGCCAAACUGAAAGAGAUAUGGUGGAUCUGAACGCCUAACUGAAGAAAGACAUGAUGACUCUGAAUCCCGAACCGAAGACAUGACUCUAAAUGCCGAACCAAAAAAAUGAUAACACUAAAUACUAAAGACGAAGCUUUGAAUGCCCAAACUAAAUUGACAGAUCUUAACGCUAGGAAUGUAGCUCUGAAGGCCGAAAAAGUGGCAGUGAAUGCUCGAUUAUGAUAGAAUGGUGGCUCUACAUGCCUAACUAAAUAAAGACAUGAUGACUCUGAAUGUCGAACCAAAAAACUGAUAACACUGAAUACUAAAGACGAAGCUCUGAAUGCCCAAACUAAAUUGACAGCUCUGAACGCUAGGGAUGUAGCUCUGAACGUCGAAAAGGUGGCAGUGAAUGCCCAAUCGUAAUAGGAUGGUGGCUUUGAACGCCAAACUAAAGAAAGACAUGACGACUCUGAAUGCUAAACUGGAGAUGCGGCUCUAAAUGCCAAACUGAAAACAUGGCUCUGAAAGCUAAACUGAAAAGGUAUGGCGGUUUUGAACUCCAAACUGAAAAAGAUAAAGGCUUUGAACACCAUAACUGAGAAUUAACAUCUCUGAAUGUCAAACUGAGAAAGACGAAUUUGAACGUCGUAACUAAGAAACAAUGAUGACUCUGAACGUCGAGCUACAAUGAGAUGGUGGCUCUGAAUGCCAAACUGAAAAGAGAUGGUGGUUCUGAACGCCCAAACUGAGAAAAGAUGGUGGGCUUUAAACGCUGAGUUGUAAAGAGACGAUGACUCUGAAUGCCAUAACUAAAAAGAGAUGGUGGCUUUGAAUGCCAAACUGAAAAGAGAUGGUGGCUCUGAACACCCAAAUUGAGAAGGGAUGGUGGCUCUGAACGCCAAACUGAAGAAGAUGAAGGCUCUGAACGCCAUAAUUGAGAACCGACAUCUCUGAAUAUCAAACUGAGAAGGACGACUUUGAAUGUCGUAACUAAAAAGAUAUGACGACUUUGAAUGUCGAGCUAUAAAGAGAUGGUGGCCCCGAACGCCAUAACCAAGAAUGGAUGGUGGCUCCGAAUGCCAAACUGAAAAGAUAUGGUGGCUCUGAACACUCAAACUGAGAAGAGAUGGUGACUCUAAAUGCCGAAACUGAGAAGGAAUGGUGGCUCUAAACGUCGAAACUGAGAAGAGAUAAUGGCUCUGAAUGCAAAACUGAGAAGGAUGGUUCUGAAUGUCGUAACUAAGAAAAUAUGGUGGCUCUGAAUGUCGAUCUACGAGGAAAUGAUGAGGACGGAAAUAUACCCUAGUGUAGCAUGCCGCCACAACUCUCAAUCCACUGGAAGAGUUUGAAAGAAGCUCCCUGAGUCUCAAAAGAUGCUCUACUAGCUAGUCGGAAUGGUCAAAUCAACUAUAAAUAUGGCCUCAUAACCCAUCUGACUAAAUCGUGAGGCCUGACGAAAUGCCACAAUAAGUCAAACAUCUCUAACUCAAAAUGCUCUAUUGGAAGAAUCCAUCAUCAUCUCAAAUGAAUGAUCCAAUAGGGAGUCUCAAGAGAAUAGUCCGUCAGGGUAACUACCGCGACCUCAACACAAAAAUCUAUUGAAAAGUCAUGGAUAGCUGGGCAGCCAAAACCCAGAAGGUCGUGCUCAUUCGAAGGCUCAUCUCGGCCAAAAUCACCAAAACUGUGACCAAUAAUGCAAAGAAAUAUCUCUUGUUCAAGUAAUGAAGAUUGUAAAAGGUCUGUGAGAAAACAAUCAUCUCCAUAGCUAAAAGAGAUAAACAUGCCCCAGUAUAGCAAUUAGGGCAUUUUGUCUGUCCUGAUAACUCGAGAAUAACUCAAUGGGGAUGUGUAAGAGAUUUGACAUGUACUCCAUUGAAAUGAUGACAUGGGAGUCUAUGCGCCUGAGAUAACACUAUCACAGAAUCACGACAAUAUCAGAAAGUAUGAACCUGACUGAAUGACUCAAGAAAAGCUCCACUAGGGAAUCAUCGUAAAAUAAAAACAGAUCAUCAACUCGACAUGUAUCUCGUAAAUGAGGAUGAUCAUGCAAAUCAAUGGAUAUCUACAAAUCUCAACCAAAACAUAAAUAUGCCCCAAUAUGGCAUCAGAUGUGUGGUAGGUCGAAAAAUCAGAUGACACCAAAUCAUCCAUCACCAAGUGUGUAAUCCUAGUCAUCCACGUCCAUAACUAAAUCGGAUUAACAGCUCAAAGAAGUGUCUCCCAAAAGAAGAAACAUGAUGAUAUCUAAAUGCCAAAAAGUGUGAGCUUGAUUGGAUGGCCCAAGAGAGACUCCACUGGGGGAUUGUGAUAAGAUAACAAUAGGCUAUCAACUUAACAUGCAUCUCGUGAGUGAUAAGGAUCAUGUGACUCCAUGAAGAUCUACAAAUCUCAAACGAAAAGGAAAUAUGCCCUAGUAUGGUGUCAAAUGUAUGGUAGAUCAAAAAAUCAAACAACAUUGGAUCAUCCAUCAUCAAAUGUGCAAUCUCGGUCAUCUAUAACCACAACUGAAUCGGGUCCAAAUGUCAAAGAGGCAUCUCCUAGAAGAAAAAGCAUGAUGAUAUCUAAAUAUCAACCAAAUCUCAAAUACCUGUCCAAGUAUGGGCUAUCAAAGACGACAUCUAAUCUUAUGGCCUCAAGGUGGUCUUAAGACACUGUAUGUAAUGUAGGCUAGGGUGAUAAGAUAAUAGAAACAAAGGAAAACUAGGCCUAAAUACCCAAUGAUCACAAUAUGUAUAGAAAAUCUCACGAGCCAUGGACUUAAGGAUCCCCAAUGUGAAUAUGGUAACAAUAAUGAGGUAGUGAAGAAAAUCGAACUGAUAAUGAGAUGCGUAAGGAUGACGCAAGGGAAAUAUCAAACCUGAAAUAGGUUAGUGUAAGAAAAAAACAAGAGGGUGAAACAAAUGGGAUGAAUCAUAAGCAAUGACAAGGAUGAUAGCAAAACAAUGAAUAUACGAAGAAAAGUGAUGAUCAACUCAAAUCAAACAUGGAGUGAAGUCACAUUAACAAUGAAUGUAAUGAUGGAAAGGACAAUGACCUAGAGCUCCUAGGAGAAGGCCACUCAUCUCACUCUCAAAGAAAUAUGACAAAGUGAAUACAAAGAAAAGAGAAUCUUAGAAAGCUCACAUACAAAGUCUCAACAACAAACAUACUCGAUAAAAUGACCAUCAAAUAUCAAUAUACAAGCUCAAUGAUGGAGAAUACUAUGCACAUACACACAUGUGCUUAUUUUUCUUUUCUUUUCAUGUUUUUUUUUUUUUACAUAUAUACAAAUACACAUACCUUGAACAUAAACAAAUGAACCCCAAAUAUGAUAUCAAUAAUGGAUAGACACACUCUCAAGUGCUAAGGAAACAAAAACUUUCUCUAAGGAGAUGAACUUCUCAAACUAAAGAUCUUUAAAUUAGUGUCCGUGGGAUAGAUAGUGAAAAUGAUGUGACUAUCCUCCAUGUAAUGAAUUAAGGAGGAUCACCACUCAGGGUGGAGAGAAAAUGAAGCAAAAUAAGCAUUAGUAGAAUAAAGAAAAAGAGAUGAAGAACACAACCAAUGAGAUAUGAAGGAAUGUAGUAGUACGAUGGUAGGAAAAAUAAUGAGAGAAUGAUGUGCCCGUAGGCCUAAGGCUCAUGAAACUCCUGAAUGAAGCAUGCAUACACUAAAGGGCCCCUAUCCCAGUUGAUUACUACCCAAAAAGUGCUAUUUUGCACCUUUAAUUCAUUAUGUUUUAAGCACUUUUGUAUAGUAGUUCUCCAUUUUUAUUCCAAUUGGCAUGUUAAGGACUUAGCAAUGACUUCUAAUCAUAUUUGUGGCUAGUUUUAGUGUUUUGACAGCUUUUUGGAUCAUUAAGACAAGCCAAGUAAAGGAGAGAAGCAAAGAGGAAAAACAGAGCAAAGAAGCAGUUUUUGUAGCUGUGCACUAUCACUUUGGGAGGCUCUAUUUUGUUCAUCGUGCAAAAUCACCUUUCAAGAAUCCCAUAUUCGGAACCGGCUCGGAAUUGCUGACAAAUCAAGUACCUAUAGUGGUAUAUUUCCAUUCGUAUAAGGAGCUCAAAAUGGCAAAUUUCGCACUUUGUACUAUUCAUGCAAGUGCGAAUUUCGCACCAGCCCAUGCGAGUGCGAAUUUUGCACCUUGUAUUGUUCAUGCGACUUUGGUGCGAAAUCUCCUCUGUUCUGACGACUCCACAUGAGAUCUUUUCUUUUGUAUUUUUUGAUGUAAAUUCCUUUCUUAUCCCUGUAAUUAGCCAAUCACAGGCUUUGCUUUGUAAAGACUAUAAGAGGGGUGGAAAUCAUCUCUCGGAGGGGACUUUUUUAUAUUUUACACUGAGUGAAAUUUUCCUCUUGGGGAGAAAUACAGAGCUCUCUUUGCUUUCCUUUUCUCUCUUCUAUUUUCUUUUUCUUGGAAGCCAAACAACCUCUGAGGAUGUUUUCCCAGAGGAUGAGAGGCUAAACCUUUGGUUUCUUGGAGUGAAGGAAGCUAGGUGAAAAGUCCAGAUGCAAAAGUGGAAAACUCUAGUGCCUUAAAUACAGGUAGUUGGAGUUCAUAAAUGGCUUUUAAAUCUAAAGUUUUGCUUUAAAUCCCUUAGAAUCACUUUGAAUGACCAAUACAUGAUAAGCUUUUAGGUCUCUGUGGAUACUUAUUGCUAGAUCCACAAAAGACCAUUAGUUAUCAUGUACGAGCCAUUGGAAAGUGGCUCAAGGUGAAGACCCAUAGUGUCUAAAGCCAUUAAUGGAACUUGACUACCAUUUCUAUUGACUUUUUAUGGAUUAAAUCUUCAUUGUUAAACCUAUACUGGUUCGGGAAACAACCAUCCUUUAUGUUGUUGUCCCCAAUACGAGGAGAAAAAUCCGGAAUUUCCCACUUUGCAUUCUGAACUUGAUCCUAGCAACUUUUAGCUCCGGGAGACUUUCUUUCUUCCAUUUUUACCUAGUUCUAUGUUAGUUUAGUUCCAAACACCACUUUCAAAACAAAUUUUGUUUUCUUUUAAACUUUAAGUUUCUGACAAAGGAAAUCAUCAGAUUCAAUUUCUAAUCUUGAGUCUAUCACUGGUAGAGUGAAAACCCAUCCCAGAGUUUGACCCUAGAGCUGCUAUACUAUAGUAGCUUUGCUACGCUAGUAUAAGGUCAUAGGAUUUAUAAACAUUUUUUAUUAAAAUACCCAACUGGGCACGAAUCACCAGUGCAGAAAUGUAAGCAAGGCAAUAAGAAAGAAAGACUCUGAUGCAUAUGCGAGACUCAAUGGGCUAGCAACGGUCUGUAUGUCAAAAAGGAAUAACAAGGUAUAUUGCUAACCGAAAUGAUGGCCGCCCAUCCUACGACCAUGGUCUCAAACAUAAUAUUUCUUUAGCUGAUCUACAUUAGUUGACUCCAAGAAUCGGUUUCCAUCUAGAUCCAUCAACCAUGUAACGCCAUCUGGGGUCAGCUCCCUAAUGAAAUAAGGUCUGCUCCAAUUAGGUCUAAACUUCCCUCCGGGAUCUCUGAUCAAUCCCUUGAUGACCUUUAGAACCAAGUCACCUCUCUAUAGCGAUCUAGGCUUGACCCGCUUUUUGAAUGCAUGGGCCAUCUUCCUCUGAUAAGCACGAACAUGGUCUGCUGCCCUCAAUCUCCUCUCAUCUAGGAGAUUGAGCUGGUCUAAUCAAGCCUAGGCCUAAUCUACCUCCGAAAUUUGCUGCUCCAAUGCUACCCUCAACGAACCCAUCUCUAUCUCAACUGGUAGCACUGCCUCCAUACCAUAUACUAAGGAGUAAGGUGUAGCUCCUAUAGAGCUGCGAAAAGAAGUCCGAUAAGCCCAUAAUGCAAACGAAAGCUUCUUUGACCAAUCCCGAUAAAUCUCAAUCAUUCUCCGUAAGAUCCUCUUAAUAUUCUUAUUCACAGCCUCUACCAUUCCGUUUGUCUGCGGCCUGUACGCCAAUGAUCUAUGAUGCUGGAUCUUGUAUCCCUGUAGUAAAGUGUCAACAUCUGCUCUGAAAUGCACUCCUCUAUUUGAAAUCAGCUCAUGAAGGACUCCAUAGUGACAGAUAAUGUGUGAUCUGAUGAAACUAGCAACCCUAGAUGAUGUCAAUCUUGCAUAUGAAGCAGCCUCCACCCACUUGGUGAAGUAAUCAAUGGCGACCAAGAUGACCUCAUGACCACUGGAAGACUUCGGUGAAAUCUUCCCAAUAAUAUUUAUACCCUAUACUGAAAAUGGUGAUGGCGAAGUCAAUGCAUGUAACUGAUUACUACUCAAAAAGGGCUAUUUGAUAGCUUGUAAUUAACUCUUUUAAACACUUUUGAGUAGUAAUUAUUGCCCUUUAACCCAAUUAACAUAUUAAGGACCUUUGCAAUCACUUCUAAUCACUUUGUGUAAGUUUUGGUGUUUUUGUUAGUAAUUUGAUCACCAAAGCAAUCCAAGAUGGAGGAGAGUUAUUUGGAAUCCAUGGUAAAGCAAUAGAAAGCUCAGGAACAUGAAGAAUCAGAGAUUUGAAGCCUUAAAGUCCUUUGCCAUAACCAAUCUGGAUUGCAAGGAGGAGAAGUAAAGAGAGAAUCCACCUUGAAGCAUUCUUGAUGACAGUCAUUUCAGCCACUUUUGGAGUACUUCCUGAAGUCCAAUUUAUGCAUACUUUAUGUCGUUUCGAAGAUCGGGAAGUCAACAAUCCAAUGCUUCAAACGGUUCGCAAAUCAGAGUUGAAAUGAAGAAGUUAGAGCCAAUGGAAGCAGAUCACUCCAAGCUGAAGGCCAAUUUCGCAGGGCUGCGAAAUCAGCCUUUGGCUGCGAAAUCAGCCUUUGGCUGCGAAAUCAGCCUUCGGCUGCGAAAUGAUUUCGCAGCCAUCUUGUUCAUCUGCGAAAUUUCGCAGCCAUUUUGUGCGCCUGCGAAAUUCUCCCGAGUGCUUCCAGAUAUUUGCGACCAUCGUUUUUUGUUAUUUUGCCUCAGAUAUUUGUUGUCUAAAUGCCAAUUCUCUCCUUGUAAUCCACCAAUUAGAUGAUUCCUUAGUUGUUGAGCAAGGAUGCAGGGGUAAACAACCUGAUAUGUAUUGUUUUGUAAUUUUCACUUUAAAAGGUCGGGGAACUUUCCCCAGGAGACGAACUUAUGUAAAUUUUACACUUAGUGAAAUACGAAAUAUCUUUUGCUUUCUUUUUCUCUCUACUACUUUCUAUUUUCUUAGUAGCCAAACAUCCUUGGAGGAUGAAAUCCCCAAGGAUGAGAGGCUAAGACCUUUUGGUUUCUUGAAGUAAUGGAUGCCAUGUGAAGCUCCCGUGUCAGGAUGGAGAUUUCCAAGCCAUGAAUGUAAGUAGUUGAGCAUCAUAAAUGUUUUCAUCCAAAGUAAAACUUUUAAUCCCUCUGACUUGCUUUGAAUGGCCAAUACUUGAUAACCUUUUGGUCUCAGUGGAUUCUUAUUGUUAGAUCCACUGACGUUCAUUAGUUAUCUCCUACGAGCCAUUGUAUUGCAAGUCGAGGAGAUGACCUAUUUCAUUAAAAGAGCAUUUAUGAGGUUCAGCUACCCUUUUUGUAAGUUUUGAAGGACUAAAACUCAGUUGUUAAACACAUACCGGUUCGGGAAGUAAGCAUCACCUGAGUUGCUUCCCCAACUCGAGGUGAAAAGUUCCAAAAUCUCCAUUUUUACACCGUGAGUUAAGCAUGGCUAUCCAAAGCUUUGAGAAACUUAUUUUUCUAUCUUUUAACCUAUUUGCAUGUUAGUUUAGUUUACAACACUUUCAUCUUUUUAUGUUUUCAUCUUAACCUAAUUUUUAUUAAGAAAAGUUCACUCCAUCCUCCGAACUUCAUCAGUUAAAGUAAAAACCCUUCCCAGUGUUCGAUCCUAGAGCCACUAUGCUAUAGUAGCUUUGCUACUUUAGUGUAAGGACGUUAGGUAUAAAUUUUGUUGAUACCCUUACAUGCCAAGCUACCAAGAGUCGGGUUAUCAGGCAUAUCUGCAAAUCCAAUGUUAGCGUACCCAAAACCUCUCUACUUGUACUGUCAUAGGCCCGAACUGUCUGAGAAGAUGGCUUAAAGUUUGAAGGUCCGAAGCCAAGAGCGACUACUGUGGCUAGCGAGCAAAUGUUCAAGGCAUAGCCAUUGUCUAAGAGGACAAAUGGAACUCGAUGCCUAGAACAACCAACAAAAAUGUAGAGAGCGAGGUAGAGUAUGGUUAAAACCUCUAGGGGGUAGAUCAUCAGCAGAGAAGACAAUGCAUGUGGCCCUAUCAGCUGUCAACAUGUGGAUCAAUUCCUCACGAGAGGUAGAUGUCUUAACUCGUAUUUGACUCAAUGCCCUGACUAGUGCCUCCCGAUGGGAUGUAAAUGAUGCAAAAAGACUCUAAAUGGAGAUGCGGGCCCGAGUGCUCUAGAGCUGCCUUAAAAUCUCAUCAUCCUCUUGUCUAGUCUCAUCUCAAGUAGCGUCACUCUCUAAAGGUCUAGUAACUGUGGGAGGCUGCUAUUGUACCACUCUCUCCCCAUAGAUGACAUACUGAACAUACUGAGCAACCGUCUCAUCAGGAUCUCUAUUCAAUAUAAACAGAGACUGAAUGUUAUAGCAUAGGUAAAUCAAUGGCCCAAUCGUGGUCAACUGCAAUGGUGGCAUGCCAGGGACCAAUCUAAAUGGUGCAGAUGCCUGUAAGUUUGAGAUCACUCCAUCAACCUCAUAGUUCUCAUCCACUACUAUGGGCUCCGGCUCAUAAUCAUCCCAACUCAACAUGUGAAUGCGAUCAUUAGGCUUAGUGAAAUCCAUGAAGUGUAUACUACUAGCUGGUGGAGGGACUGCAUGUGUAGUAUGGAUCGGUAAUGGGUUAGGGUUACACUCAGCUGACCCAAGUGAACCAAACCCUAAUCAAUCGAGUCCCAAAUGACAUGUCUUAGAGCAGGACAACGAUCAGUCUCAUGCCCUGGCCCCUAAUAAUAUGCGCAAUAUAAAUCCAUCCUAAACUGUGGCGGGAUGGGUUGAGGCAAUGACCUAGAAGUAAGAUUUGUCAACAAUCCAGCCUCAGUGAGCUUCUAAAGAGCCUGGAUCAACGACAUACCCAACUGUGAAAACUGUCUCUACGUCCUCAAAGCAAAAUGAGUGGAAGUUUGUGGAGCUCUAGGUCUGAGAUAGGAAGCUGGGGGUCUCGCGGCAAUUUGUGCUGCGUAGCAUGGCUAUAUGGGGUAGAAUAGGAAGCUGGAGGUCUCUCUGUGCCUUGUGCGGCGUAAUAAGGCAGUGCUAGUGUGGAAGGCAAGUAGGCCUCAUCAUAUGACCGUGGAGGUGCUUAUGACCUAUACUGUUGAGGUGGUGGUGAGUAUUAGGGUCCAGAAGUCUACCCAAUUGUUUGAUAGCGUCUAGGAGGUCUCAACCCUACUGAACUAACAACACAAACAUCUCAUGAUCUCUGUCAUCCUAAAGACUUCUUCCCUUUAGAGUCAGUAGGGAAAGACUCGGACCAUAAUCCUUUAGCUAUGCUCUCCUCUAUACCAUACAAUGCCUGCACCAAAAAGCCAAAGUCAAUAUGAGGAAAUCCCAUCAAGUGCCUAGCAAAUCGAGGCUGGGAGCUUCUCACGAUCAUACUAAUCUGAUCCCUCUCAGAUAGCCUAUCAAUAACCUAUGUGAUUACUACUCAAAAAGUGCUAUUUUGUAGCUUGUAAUUAACUCUUUUAAACACUCUUGAGUAGCAAUUAUUACAUUUUAACUCAAUUUACAUGUUAAGGACCCUUGCAAUCGCUUCUAAUCAAUUUGUGUUAAGUUUUGGUGUUUUGAUAGCUUUUUGAUCACCAAAGCAAUCCGAGAUUGAGGAGAGUUGUUUGGAAUCUAUGGAAAAGCAAUGGAAAGCUCAGAAACAUGAAGAACCGAAGCUUUGAAGUCCUUUGUCAUAAGCAAAUCCGGAAUGCAAGGAGAGGAAGCAAAGAGAAAUCUGCCAUGAAGCAUUCUUGAUGACAGUCAUGUCAGCCACUUUUGGAGCACUUCCUGGAGUCCAAUUUAUACAUUCUAUAUACCAUUUCAAAUCUCAGGAAGUCAAGAAUCCAAUGCUUCAAACGGUGCGCAAUUCGGAGUUGAAAUGAAGGAGUUACAGCCAUUGCAAGCCGAUCACUCCAAGCUGAAGGAAGAAUUUUGCACAGCGUUGCGAAAUCACCCUUUUGUUGCGAAAUGAUUUCGCAGCCAUUUUGCACAGUGCUGUGGAAUUCCUCCUGAAGUUUCCCGAUAUAUGCGACACGUUGGAAGCUGAGCACCGCAAGCUGAAAGCCAACUUCGCAGCGCUGCAAAAUCAGCCUUUUUCUGCGAAGUGAUUUCGCAGCCCUUUUUGUGCAUCUGCGAAAUCUCGCAGACCUCGUUUUCACCUGCGAAAUGGUCCUUAGUGCUUCCCGAUAUUUGUGCACCGACUCUUUUAGAUCUUUUCUUCAGAUAUUUUUGUAUAAAUUUCCAUUUUCUCCUUGUAUUCAACCACUCAUAUAAUUCCUUAGCUAGGAAGUAUCCAAGGAAGGGUAAAUUACCUUCCUAUAUAAACUCUCUUGUAAACACUAAAAAGAGGACUCUCGGGGAGUUUUAACCAGGAGAUCCAUAUAUAGAAGUAUGUAAUAUAGAUAGAUAUAUAAAUAUAUAGAAUAUACAGAGCCUUGCUCUGUUUUUCCUUCUCUUUCAUUUUCUUUUUCUUUUUCUUUCUAGCCAACCAAACUCUGAGGAUUUUUCCUCAGAGGAUGAGAGGCUAGGCUCUUUGUCUCUUGGAGUGAAGAAAGCCGGGUAAGUUUCCGAAUGAAAAAUUGGAAGUUUUGUUGUUUUAGUUUUUAAUGAAGAGAAAGUGUGACCCGUUAAUGGUUUUUAUCUUUUUAGUUAAUGGUUUUUAUCUUUUUAGUUAACUUAAAACGCCUUUAAAUCACCUGGGCCAAUACUUGGUAAGGCAAGUGAUCUCCAUCCAUGGAGAUUCACUAGUUUAUCUUUUGCGAGCCUUUGGGAGGUGGUUUGAAGGUAGGAUUUUCUAGAAUAGCCAACACUUGGUAAGCUUUUGGACUCCAAGGAGACAUCCAUUAGUUAUCUCUUGCGAGCUUUUGACGGGUAAUCCAAGGUUAAAGAUCACCUUGAAUGGCAAGUGCUAGGUGAGAGGUAUGAGCCAUUGCAAGAUGCAUCAGUGAGAGGGAUUUAGUGUUUGAACCCAUUAAUGGGAGGCAUCUGUACAGCACCGGUUAGAGAAUUAACUAUAUGUUAAUUCUCUAAUGCGAGGAAAAGAAACAAGUGACCAGAACUCUCCUUUUUGUAUGAGGAACCUGAGCCUAGUGAUCUGAACUCCAAGAAACAUUUUUCUUUGUAAGUAAAAUCAGUUACUAUUUUUGGUUAGUUUAAAUUUAAACCUUUUUCAUUCAAACAUCUUUAUGUUUUCUUUUAAAGCUAACCUUGAAAUGAAAAGACACCAAUUCAACUUUGAAUUAAUAUCAUUUGCAAAGUGAAAACCCAUCCCAGUGAACGAUCCUAGAGCCACUAUGCUAUAGUAGCUUUGUCUUUGCUACCCUAGUAUAUGGUGUAAUAGGUUAUAAAUUUUGUUGAUUAAUCCCUCAAUCAAGGAGCACCAGCUGGACACGAAUCAGCUGAGACACCAAUUGGGCACGAAUCACUAUGAAAUCUUUUCCCUCCAACGGGAGAUAAAUGAGGUGAUUGACUCCUCUGGCCUCUGCCUUAAAGCCUCCAACUCUUUCCUCGAAACAUCAAUGACAGUGUUAAAUGCAAACUGUCUCAAAAACUCCUAGGCCAAAUCAUCCCAAGUCCGACGGCGUGAUACAUCUAAUGAAGCAAACUAGCGCUGUGUCGCACCACUCAAGGACAUAGGGAAAAACAUAACCAUCUAGGUCUCAUCCAGUCCAUAGACCCUCAUAAUCAUACUGUAAAGCCUCAAAUGGAUGUGAGGACAGCCAAUGCCCGUGUAUCUCUCGAUCUUAGGCAUCCUAAACUUGGCCGAUAAAUUGGCCACCGGUGCUCCAUCAAAAUCCUCCCAAAUAAUAGCUCCAUCUGAAGCCCUCAUCUGCCUCAACCUCUACUCAAAUUUAUUCAUACGUGCAUGUGGGUCCUCUGAGGUCGGGAUAGGUAAUGCGAUAGGAGGCGGGGCAACCUCGGUCUAACUAUGUAGAGUGAAAGGUAUAGCUGUGGUGUUGAUUCACUGGGUGGAGGGGGUGGGGGUACUAUAGGGUCGUAUUGUGUGCCAUCCUGAGGUGAGAGCUAUUGGGUCUGCUGCCCAUCUAUUAUUUGGCAGAGGCUAGCUAUAGUCUCUUGAAUCGAAGCCAUGGCCGAAGCAAAUUGAUCAACUGUAACCACCUACGAAUCCAUAUCCCUCUUAUCUGAUCUCUGGUCUGAAUGGUCUGAUGCUCUGAUCAAUCUACCCCUAACUUUGAUCCAAGAAGCUGAACCCAGAUCGAAUGUAUCAAUACUCCUACAAUAGUGGAAAUACUAAAUAAGAUACGGUGUAAGAGAAACUCCAUAAGGAAUGUCUAUCAAAUAUGCUGAAAGGUAACCCGAAAGUAAUCAAACCGAUAUCCAAUUCUGAGCAAAUAUAUAAGAGAGUACUACAAAGGUAACUAAACCUAUCACUACUGACCCGGCUCUAAAGGCCCACAGAUGCACCCACAUGCAGGAAAGGAAAUCCUGAUCGAAGAAUCUAAGGCUCAACCUACAAGGUCAAGGCGGCUCUAAAAAGAAAAGAGGUGUUCUUUAAAGGAUCCCUAAUAGAACUGAUCAUACCCUCCGAUGGUACGCAACCCUCUGCACACCUCUGAAGAGACAGGACGCUUCCAUGCAAGGUGGUCAUCAUUUCCACACAUGUACUACCUUGACAUCCUAGGGGGUUUCCUAUGGUGAAAACUGUCAUAACUCUUAGCACUCAGUAGUUGACUAAAGUGCACAGUGAGUGGUGUAGGUGCAUUCGAAAAUCGUAUGAAGCUAAAGUAGAAAAAAAAAAAAAAACAGACUGAUCACAUAAAUAUCCCUAAAAUCUAGCUCUAGGCUAUACAAGUCUUCAAAGGUCGGACUUCAAUCAGCAUCAAUGUGUCAGCCACCUCCAAAAUGCUCCCAAACAUAGAUAUAACCCAUCUUUAGACUCUACUCCUAAUCACUAGCUCAAUCGAAGAGCAAAUAAAGCAACAAGUCUCAUAUCAAAUACGAGAUCAAGGAAAACUAGUUUGAUUGAGACUAGGAACUUGGAGAUAAGAGGAUAGGUGUGUGUCCCACACAGAUAAGCAACUCAUGUAAUCACACGAAAUAAGAGAAGUCAUGCAACAGACAGUCAUGCAAAGCAUAUGUAUAUCACUCAAAUCUACACACAAGCUAGGCAUGAAUAUGAUAAUCGAGAUGAAUAUCUAGCAAGGAUAGCAUGUUCCAUGAUAAUCAAGAUAAUAUACACCAAGAGAAUCAAUCAUGCCAAGAUGAAUGAGAUAAGAAACAAGAAUAAUGUACAUGUCAAGGUGAGCAGAAUAAUCAUGGCAAUAGCAUAAUCGAUCAAUAUCAUUAGCAUGGAUAUAGCGGACAAGCAUGAAAAAUUGUCAUAUCAAAAUCCUCAAUGUGCUAUGAUCACUUAAGUAUAAAAAAGCAUAGAGGGAAUGUAUCCGUUAAUUGCCUAAUCAAACGCCACAUUUGCCUCAUCUUAAGUUCAAGUUUGACCUUCUAAACAUUCCCCAACGGAGUCGCCAUUUGUGGACCCCGAAUUUUGCUCGAUGCGUUCCCAUUUGAUGACGAAACUCGGUUUUUUAUUUAUUUAGUGAAAAUAUGAUUUUUAGAAAAGACUUGGAGUCGUCACUUAUUUUUGUUUUAUUUUUAAGGGAAAACAAAAUAAGAAAGAAAGCCCUAAGUAUGACUCUUUAUUUGGAAAAGACAAUCUGUGGAAAACCGAGUCUGGGUUCGAGGGUUAGAUUACUUGUUGGGAAGGUACGGUAAAGACCGUAGCACCCCUCUAAGCCCCUAAAAAUGGGUUUCUACUAAAUAAGGUGAAGCAAACGUGGCGAUUGAUAAGGAAAUCAAUGGAUAUCAAUAAAAUGAUCAAAUAAUAAAAUGAAUCAUGCGUAAGAAUAAGCAAAAUAAGAGUAGGAUCGUACCUUAGCAGCAAGUAAUAGUGCGCUAUCAUGGAAACAAGGUUAGCUCAAGUAUAAAAUCAUCACAUGCAUAUCAAAGAGCAAGACAAAGAUAAAGCAAUAUUCAUUAAGCAUGACAAUUGGCAAUCAAAAAAGAAAACUCAUAUGUAGGGCCCCCACCAAAGCCCAAUUUAUUUUGCAUGUGUUGGAAAUCAAGCCAGCAUCCUCUAUUUACUUCCCUAAUUAGUGUAAUGUACAGCCUUUAUUAUAAUUGAUUUAGGAGUAAUUCUAGCAAGGUAGUUUAUUCACUUUCCAUGUAAGAGUAGUUUAUUCACUUUCCAUGUAAGAGUAGUUUAUUUACUUUCUAUGUAAGAGUAGUUUAUUUAAUUCCCAUGUAAGAGUUUAUUCACUUUCCAUGUAAGGGAAAUUCCAUUCCAGAAUUGUCUCAUAUCCAUAGGCUAUUUAUUUAUGCUUUCAUUCAUUGUAAAGGGAGGUAUCACAGAAUGAAUUGAGGUGUUCCUCCAUAUUUUGUCUUCAAAUUCCUUCAUAUUUUUCUUCAAAUUCUUCAUGGUAUCAGAGCAGUUUAAUCCUGUCUCAUCGUCUCAUCUUUAGUCAGUUUUUUUACUCNNNNNNNNNNNNNNNNNNNNNNNNNNNNNNNNNNNNNNNNNNNNNNNNNNNNNNNNNNNNNNNNNNNNNNNNNNNNNNNNNNNNNNNNNNNNNNNNNNNNAAAUGACAGUUGGUAGUAAUUCUUUUUCGGUUUCAUGUCAAAAUAACGAUAAUGCAAUUAGGUUGUGGCACUAUCGCUUAGGUCAUCCAAAUGUUAUGUAUCUCAAGCAUUUAUUUCCUUCAUUAUUUAAUAAAAAUCCACAAUCCUUUGAGUGUGAAAUCUGUCAAUUAUCAAAGCAAGUCCGGUCUCAUUUUCCCAUUCAACCCUAUAAAGAGUCUAGUCCAUUCUCAAUGAUUCAUAGCGAUAUCUGGGGUCCAUCAAGAAUAAAAAAUGUAACUGGUACUAGGUGGUUUGUCUCAUUCAUAGAUGAUCACACUAGAUUAACUUGGGUAUUCCUCAUGAAAGAAAAAUCUGAAACGAGUCAAAUUUCAAAAAUUUUAAAAAUAUGAUUCAAACCCAAUUCCAGUCAAAAAUAUAAAUUCUAAAGUCUGAUAAUGCUAGGGAUUAUUUCAACUCCAUUCUAGGAGAAUUUCUAGCACAAGAAGGGAUAGUUCACUUAAGUUCAUGUGUUGAUACCCCACAACAAAACGGAAUCGCUGAAAGGAAAAAUAGGCAUUUGUUAGAGGUGGCUAGAUCACUAAUGUUCUCCAUGAAUGUUCCAAAAUUAUUCUGGGGGCAAGCUGUCCUUACGGCAACCUACCUCAUCAAUAGGAUGCCGUCUAGGGUACUAAAAUUCCAAACACCUUGUCAAACACUCUUAAAAUCCUUUCCGACUACUCGUCUCAUCUCCACCAUCCCACCCAAAAUUUUCGGGUGCUCUGUCUUUGUUCAUAUCAAUCAACAACAUAGAAGUAAACUUGAUCCUAGGUCACUCAAGUGCAUCUUUCUUGGGUAUUCUUCAAAUCAAAAAGGGUAUAAGUGGUACUCUCCGGUCACAAGAAAAUUCUACAAUUCAAUGGAUGUCACCUUUUUUGAAACCCAGCCUUACUAUCCCAAAAACGAUAUUCAGGGAGAGAAUUCAACUCAGGAAUAUCAAUUUUGGGAUCUUGAGUCAUUCAGUGAGUCACCCAUCACCACUGAAAAUCACAUUCCUCCAGAGUCAUUUAAUCAACCCGAGUCCAUUGUUGACUUGUGGGAUAAGGAGCACAUCCAAGAGGAAACGAAGGAAAGAGCACUUUCUCAACAAACCCAUGAGGCAGAACCGGGUCCUAAUCCAAGCAAACUUCCAGGUAACAACGCUCCUGAUGGUACUGUUGAUUCCGAGUUAGAAAAUGAUAUUCUUAAUAUGCCCAUAGCUUGGAGGAAAGGAGUUAGAUCAUGCACUCAGCAUCCCAUUGGAAAUUUUAUUUCUUAUGAUAAGCUAUCACCUACGUUUCGUGCAUUCACUUCUAGCAUCACAGAGAUACAAGUUCCUCAGAAUAUUCAAGAAGCUUUCAAGUAUCCUAAGUGGAAGGCGGCAGUCGAUGAGGAAGUUCGGGCGUUGGAAAAGAAUGGUACGUGGGAAAUUACUGACCUCCCAAGAGGUAAGAAACCAGUUGGGUGUAAGUGGAUUUUCACAGUAAAGUACAAGGCAGAUGGUAAUGUGGACAGGAAUAAGGCUCGGUUGGUCGCCAAAGGAUUCACCCAAUCCUAUGGCAUUGACUAUCAAGAAACUUUUGCUCCAGUUGCCAAGCUCAAUACUGUUCGUGUACUUUUAUCCUUGGCAGCUAAUCUCGAUUGGUCGCUUCACCAACUUGAUGUGAAGAAUGCCUUCCUCAAUGGUGACUUAGAGGAAGAAGUUUACAUGGACAUUCCUGUUGGACUUGAGGCGACAUCAAAUUUCAACAAGGUUUGCAGACUUCGAAAAUCCUUGUAUGGUCUUAAACAAUCUCCCAGGGCCUGGUUUGAACGGUUCACUAAGGUAGUGAAAGGGUACGGAUUCGUUCAAUGUCAAUCCGAUCACACAUUAUUUGUGAAACACUUCCCAGAAGGAAAACUGGCAAUUAUCAUUGUAUAUGUGGACGACAUAAUUUUGACAGGUGAUCAUGAAGAGAAAAUUGACUUACUUAAAAAAUUACUGACAAAGGAAUUUGAGAUCAAGGAUCUUGGAAACCUCAAGUACUUUCUCGGAAUGGAGAUUGCUAGGUCAAAGAAAGGUAUAGCAGUCUCACAACGCAAAUACGUUCUGGACUUAUUGAAUGAAACAGGAAUGCUAGGAUGCAAGCCGGCAGAAACACCUAUGGAUACAACUGUCAAACUGGAAGAAAGUGAUGGAAGUGCGCCAGUUGAUAAAGGAAGAUAUCAACGUCUUGUGGGGAAACUCAUCUAUCUUUCUCAUACAAGGCCAGACAUCGGCUUCUCCGUUAGUGUGGUAAGUCAAUUCAUGAAUAAUCCAACCGAAAAACACAUGACUGCUGUGAUCAGAAUAUUGAGAUACCUCAAGAUGACACCGGGAAAGGGUCUCUUCUUUCAAAGAACAACAAAGAAAGAGAAUGAAAUUUUUUCAGACGCAGAUUGGGCAGGUUCAGUGACUGAUCGGAGAUCAACUUCAGGCUAUUGUUCAUUUGUCUGGGGGAACUUGGUUACAUGGCGAAGCAAGAAACAGUCAGUGGUAGCCUGUAGCAGUACUGAGGCAGAAUUUCGUGCUAUGGCACAAGGUAUCUGCGAGGGAAUCUGGUUGAAUAGGCUGUUAGAAGAAUUACGGGUUCCAUUGAAGCAUCCCAUGGUGUUAUAUUGCAACAAUCAAGCUGCCAUCAGUAUCGCUAAGAAUCCGGUUCAUCAUGAUCGAACUAAGCACGUGGAGAUAGAUCGACACUUUAUCAAGGAAAAGAUUGAAGAAGGAGUUUUCAAAGUCAGCUACACUCCGACAAACUGUCAAACGACUGACAUUCUCACAAAAGCUCUUGCUCGAGUUAACUUCGAAGAUCUGACAGAAAAACUUGGAAUGAUCAACAUCUACAACGCGGCUUGAGGGGGAGUGUUGGAAAUCAAGCCAGCAUCCUCUAUUUACUUCCCUAAUUAGUGUAAUGUACAGCCUUUAUUAUAAUUGAUUUAGGAGUAAUUCUAGUAAGGUAGUUUAUUCACUUUCCAUGUAAGAGUAGUUUAUUCACUUUCCAUGUAAGAGUAGUUUAUUUACUUUCUAUGUAAGAGUAGUUUAUUUAAUUCCCAUGUAAGAGUUUAUUCACUUUCCAUGUAAGGGAAAUUCCAUUCCGGAAUUGUCUCAUAUCCAUAGGCUAUUUAUUUAUGCUUUCAUUCAUUGUAAAGGGAGGUAUCACAGAAUGAAUUGAGGUGUUCCUCCAUAUUUUGUCUUCAAAUUCCUUCAUAUUUUUCUUCAAAUUCUUCAGCAUGAAUUAAUAUCACAAAUUCCAUUAUUUUGGAAUUAUGAAAAAUUCAUUCAUGCUUAUUAAAAAUAUUGAAAAAUGAGAAAAUUAUUAAAAACCAAAUAAAAUCACAACAUGCAUGCCUGAAUAAAAAAAAUGGUGGCAAGUUUAUUAAAAAUUAGGUUUUGGUGAAUCAGGAUUUUAAUGAAGAAAAGAAAAAAAAGAAGAAAAUAACAAUCAUAAUAAUAAUAAUAAUAAUGACAAACAAAUAAAUAAAUGAAUAAAAGAAAGUAAAAUAAUAAAAUAAAUAAAUAAAUAAUUAUAUGAAAUAUGAAUAAAUAAAAUAAUUAAAUUAGGUGAAUAAACAAAUUAAAUAAAUAAAUUUAAAAGAUUUGAAACCAUUUGAAAGACAAAUUUUUGAAAAUCAAGUUUUGAAACUUAUUUGAAAAUUGAAGUUUUAAGAACUAAAUCAUAAAUUUGGAAUUUUAGAAAAAUAAUUUGAAAUUGGAAGUCAUGAAAAUUGGAACUUGGAAAAAUUAUUUGGGAAUGAGAUUUCUUAAAAAUUAAAUCUGAAAAUUAGAAUUUUAGAAAAUUAUUUGAGAAUGGAAAUUUCUAAAAGAAUAAAUUUGAAAAUUGGAAUUUUGAAAAAUUAUUUGAAAAUUAAAGUUUGGAAAAUUAAAUUUGAAAUUUGGAGUUUUAAAAAUUAUUUGAAAGAAAUUGGAGUUCUGAAAAUGAAAUUUGGAAUUUUAGAAUUUUUGGAAAAUUAAAUUUAAAAAUUUGAAUCUUGGAAAACUAAAUUCAAAAUUAGAGUCUUAGAAAAUUAUUUUGAGAAUUGAAUUUUCAAGAAUUAAAUUUUAAAAUUGGAGUUUUGGAAAAUUGAAUUUCGAGAAUUAAAGUUUUGAAAAUUAUUUAAAAAUUGGAAUUUUAAAAAUUAAAUUUAAGAAUUGGAGCUUCAAAAGUUAAAGUUUUGAAGAUCAUUCAAAAGUUAUAGUUUUGAAAAUUAUUUAUGCAAGUGGAAAACACGUGUAUGUGGGCUUGGGACUAAACGAUUAAAUGGCAAGUUGUCUUUGAAUUACAUAAUCGAAAUUUUCAUCGUAACUUCUGGAGGCUGCCAAUUAUGGAGAGUAUCAAAGCUGGGAAUAAAUAAAAGCUGGCCACGUGCACAUUGAAAUGGUUAUACAUAUGGAUUGCAAGCAUAUAGGAGAGAAUAGCAAGGAGCUGGUAGUUAGGUGGGUUAGGUGAUUGAAAAGUGAAGAAAUGAUCUGGAAUGGUUGGAGCUAGGGACCAAAGAUGCCCAACUUUUGCAUGACCCCAUUGAUCACGUUCACAUGUCAUUGCCCAUGCAAGAGUGUUCCCAGUCGUUGGUCAUAUACUCAUGUGUAUCCUCCUGUCUCGCAUUCUGAAGUUCCAAGAUAUGCACCAUGAGUUAGAGAUAAGAUCCUUGGGUGCUAAUAUUCUUCCAGUUGACUGAAGAGCACGACUGACAUGCUUCUGGAUAGCACACAAAGUGCAAAAUCCAACAAUAUGACACGAAUUUUGAUGCUUUCAGUUUUGCAAACAUGUUGCUAAAGACUCUGUUCUCCAUAUGAUCAGUCUCAUAUCUCUUCCUCCCACUCGAAGCCGCCAGACCUAUACUGUGCCUAGGUCACUUCGGAUCCGUGAUGGGGUUCGGAGUCUCUUGUCGAAAACCUCCUCUGUUGUCGUUAGUGAAGCCUAAGAAAGGCUUUCUUGUGAGAUGAAACUCGGUUCUUCUGUAGAACAAGGACCCAACUAAAGACGGGUGCGGCGAAGCUAAGGGACCAUUUUCCUGAGCAUUGGCUUAUGAGAAGACCAUUCAGAUGGGUGUAUGAGUUUAAUGGAUGUGAGGAAUGAGAAUAUGAGUGAUAGAGCAGACACGUAGGGCAAGUUAUUAAUGAAGGUAUGAGGGAUGAGGAUGUGUGUGGUGGAACAAAUAAGGAGUGGAGGAUGAAACCUGGAAGUGUUGAGGAACGGAACCUAAGUAGUGUCGGGUGGGUAAAACUGAUGAAUAUUUGGCUUGGGAUUUGGGUCUGAUAGAGAGGCUUUGAUUGAGGCUUUGCAAAUGUGGCCAUGCAUGAGUUAUUUACAUGCUUAUGAAUGGUGGGGGGUGGGGGGAGGAAACUCAAACCAGAUUUGAAAAUAAGAACAAAUUAUCCCCAAGCCAAAAGCCAAAGUAAAAAUAAAUAAAUAAACCAACAACAACACACCUAUGAAUGACUCAAAAAUCUAAUAAAUUCAAACACAUAACCUGAUGUUCACGCUUAGCAAACAAUCCACAAAAAGAAAUAGCAAGAAAUAAGAAGAAAUUAUUAUGAAGAAGCAGAAUCGAGAAUUGACAACAAUCAUAUCUGAGCAAGUCUUCUCGAUUGAAGCUCACCCCACUUCCAAGCUUUUCUCUUUUUUUCUUUUCAAAACAAAAUGGAUCUCACCUUAGCUUUCUCUUCCUACCUUUCGGUUUCUUCUCCCUGUUCCCUUUUGAUACCCGUUCUCCCCAUUUUUUCCUUCUCCCAAAACCUCACCUGCUCCAAACUCUCUCACACGUCUCUUUCCCGUCCCAUUUUUAGACUUCUUUUCUACAUCCAUUUUUUCACCUUUCUCCCAUGUUCUUUCUUUUCAUGCAAGCUCUAAUCGGCUCCCUGCUUCAACCAUCAUUUCAUCUAUUUUGUUCCAGCCAUCCCCUUCCCCAACAACUCCUUCAAAUGAAAUGCCUAGUUUACUCGGUCUCAAUGAGGGGUGGUAAAAAAUAAAAAUAAAAAAAACCUUUGGUUUAUAAUGGGGUCUAUAGUGGUAUUUAUUUUUUACUUUUCUCUAAAAUUUGAAUAAACCUAAAUUAUUAUUAUUUUUUAUCUUAAUUUUAAAAUGUCAAAAAUCGUUAAUCUAUUUUCUAUUUGUAGUAUGAAGAUUCGAAAAAUUCUUACUUCCCAUAAUGUUUGAACUUAUAUUUACCAUUUUUUUCUUCUUGAUCUAACAACAAGCUUGACUGCACAAACUUAGUCAGCAAUGAGAAUAAAAGUGACGAGGGUGAUAAAGUUCUCCCUAUACUGUAAUCCUGAUGGACUAAAAGGCCCAAAAUUCAUCUUAAUGGGUCAAAGUGAAGCCAUGAGCCUCUUUACAAUAGAUUAAAUUGAUUAUGGCCCAAAAUAAUACCCAUGCACAACCAAACAUAGUUUACAAUAUAUGUAGUCCAAUAACAUAAUUUCAACAUAUGAUUACAUUUUACUCUCCCUUUAAUGUUAAAUGACUUGAAAUAGUAAAAAGUUUUAUUUGAAAAUUUUUAUAUUUUCAAACUCUUGAUUCCUCUUUAUAAAUGUGGAUAAAGUUAAAGUUAGAGAAAUAAUGAAAAGAAUUAUUAAAAUUUAUUAAUCUUGAAGAGAAGUAUAAAAAAUGAAAAAUUAAUGAAAAAUUUUAUUAAAAUUUGCUAAGGUUAAUAUUUUUUUGUUAAUUUAUUUAUUACUUUAUUUUUCUUCAAUGUUAUUUUUCCUAGUAAUAUAAAUGUGGAUUUGGGAAGUACAUAUGCCAUUAUAUGACCCAAAAAUUAUUGGUUAUAGAAUAUUAGAAAUUCCGUAAUAACAUAAUUCACAUACAUUUUAUCUCAAAGUUAAAAUAGUCUUACCAGUUGUUAUAUAUCUAUUAGUGUAGUAGAUUUUGAGCUUGUCUUAAAAGUUCUUGCCUAUUGAUGCCUUUAUCAACUACUUUGCAAACCAAUUAUCCAAACUUGAAACACAAGAUGGUUGGGUGGUCAUCCAUCACAUCGCUUAUGGUUAAGUCAAUGGAUAACAAAAAAAGAAAGUGUUGAGAGUAGAUGCAAAAAUAAAUAUGGGAAUACGAGUGAGAGGAUAUGAUAGAUGAAGCUUAUUCUCUCUACUAGAACUUGAUCGGACCUUUAUAGUUCAUUACGUUAACCUAACCGCUAGGAGGUAAGUAGUUACCAUGUUAAAAAAAUUGGAAAAUAUUAAGGAAUGGAAUUGGUUACUAUUGACUUCCACCUUGAUUGUUGACUUUUGAAAAAUUAAUUUAGAUUGUUGGAUAAAGAUACAAAGAAAUAAGAAAAAAGCAUAAAAGUUCAAAUAAAUUAAACAUGAGAUCUAAAGGUACCAACUAGUGACCAAGACACCGAUUGGUGAUGUCUUUUCAAUAUCUAUAGGAAAAAAAGUACAUUUCGGUAUUAUGGUAAGAUCUUAAAACCCUUCUGUAUGUCUAGUGAUUGUUCAUUUUCUGGGGCGUUGAAAAGAAUUGUUUCUCCAACUAUAUUACUACCAUCACCGAUGUCCUCAUCAGUCAUGAGGCCUAGAUCAAUGACCAGCUUCGAUUCUAUCUUUUCUUCUCCAAAAUACUCUUGUGCAUUUCAAAUUAGGAGCCAAAAUCUGGUCAAAGAGAAACAAUAACCCAAAUUCAAUUCGGUUAACCAGCCAUUGAUGAAAGGUCUCUACAGAUUGUUGUAUUCUUCGCUUCACGGUGAUGAAAUGUAUAUCCGGGGACUGAAUCACUAGCUAUUUAAUUCGGCUUUCAGAUCUCUAGUUUCGGUUCUUAUGCUAGCCAUGUUCGCCACCAUGGCAUUGAUUUAUGUUGUCGACCGGUGAGUUCUCGCACUGUUUUGUAUUGUGAAAUGUUUUUUCGUUUCUUAGUUGUAAUAGUGCUCAUGGUGUGGUUAAUUUCAUUAAUUUAGGUUUUUUUUUUAAUUAUAAUUGGUCUAUUUUUUUUUAAAAAAAAAAAAAUUGUUUUUAUCAAAAUUUGCUAUUGGUAGGCUAUGGUUGGAUUCUAAGAAUAAGGUUUAUUUGAUUAAAGAGCUUGAUAUUGUUAUUCAAUUGUAGCUUCAAAUUUUCUUCCCCAUAGUUUGUUAAUGCAUUUUUUGGGACUAUUUUGUUAUCGUGAUUAAAUUAUAGAAUUAUAAUGAUACAAAUGGGGUUUUGACAUUGUAUAUAUGGAAUCGGAAUCAGUCCAUCAUGAUUUAAAUUAAUUAUAUGUUCUAUAACAUUACAUUGCAAUGCCAAAUAAACUGGUGAUUUGCAUGAGCUCAUUUUUUUUUCUUUUCUUUCAUUAUGUUUUUGUCUUUUUUUUUUUCUUUUAUUGAAAUGCAUUACAUUUCCUAUUUUCAUUUUUCGAAAUUAAUCAUUUAGAGUAAUUGACUAGAUAAUGGGUUUUUCUAUUUUAAUAGUUUUUAGGUACAAUGAGCCAAUGACACAUUGCAAAUUAUAGCAUGCAAGUAAAUAAAUUAUAGCUAUCCUUCCUUCAUGUGGGGUUCUUUUUUUUGGGCUUUUGUUAUAAUAGAUAAAAUAUAAUCUAGAGGUCAUGGUGAUGGUUCUUCAAUUUUAUAAGAACAAUAUAAGAAGUUAGCAGCCCCGUAAGAUGGAGUUAGUUGCAGCAUAACAGGAAGAUUUUAUCUCAAAGAACUUGCUAGAAAAUAAGAAGACGACUCCUAAGAAAAAGCUUUUAGCUAUUGUAGGAAUUAUGACAAAGUUUGGCCACAAGAACAAUAGAGAUGCAAUCCAUAGGGCAUGGAUGCCAACUAGUAUAAUACCCUUCCUUUUGUAAGUUUUGCUCUUUAUUCUUUGUAUGAUUUACAUAGAGAAUAACCCAAUUGCCACUUAACAGAUUGACAUUUCUGUUAUAAGCAUAUAAAGGAAAAAAAAACAGGAAGCUUGUAGGUUGAACUCUUAUUAACAUGAAAACUUUUAGUGGACUACCAUUUCUCUUCUAUUCUUUUUUCAUUGUUUCGUUUAUUUUCUUAGUUUGCAAUAGUCAUAUUUCAAUAGUUUGCAAACUCCAUAAACCAAUUUGAAAAACCUUGAAGUUAACAGGUGCAAAUUAUGAGAAGCUAAAAUCUUGUUUCUCUAGGAUUUUUUUGAAGUUACUCAAUUGAAUGGAGAACAUAAAACUAUCAAGAGGCCCUGCCCCUACCCCUACCCUGCACCCUCUAUACCCCUGUUUACAGAAAUUUUGAGUUUGUCUUUAAAGUAAUAAGGAAGACAAUAGUUUGUAUAAUAAUGAAACAGGAAGUAAUAUUGUGAUUCAUUGCUGCAAAAAGUAAUAUUGACAUAACUUAUGUGUUAAACUACACUUAAAUGCUUAGCACAAAAGUAUGUUAUUCUUCAUUUGAGAGCAUUAAUUUAAACCUUAUAUGUUAGCAUCACUUUUUCCAUAACUAAUUUUUUCCCCCUUAUCCAAGACAAUGCAUAUCGAGUGAUUGAUUCUUAAGUUAAUAGCCUUGGCACCCACAUGGGGUGAAGUUUGAAUCCAGAAUUUCCCAAUAGUCUUAAUACGCUUCCUCGAGUGUGUUCAAACUUAAGACGUCAAUGGUAAACCACCACUUUACCAAACAAUUUUAAGUUACUAAGUAAUAGGCUAGCAAUGGGAUAUUAAGCUUGAGCAAUUCUUUUAUAAUGUUUAAUGGUUUAAACGUUGACAAUUAAAACACUUACAAAAGCAUGAUGACUUACCCAUUAUUUUUGUACAAAUACUUUAAAAGCAACUCUUGCUACUCAUUUGAAUAAGCCUCGAGUUCAUAUUGGGUGUAUGAAAUCAGGCAAAGUUUUCUCAAAUUUGUGAGUAUAAUCAAAGUUUUUUUUUCUUCUAAAGAUGAGAAAACGAGUUGUUUAUGAUAUUCUACUUUCAUAAAAACUAUGAGAAAACAAUCUGUUAAGCAUUGCCAUCAUGGAAGAUAUUGAACCUAAAGUCCAAAAGAUGUAUGAAAGCACAACCAAAGAAAUCGAGGACUGAUCUACACCUUCUCCUAAUCGAGAGAGGAGUGUGAGGUCAUGUGUCAUGGUGAGAUGUGUGGGAUAAAAGAAUGUAAUGAUCAAGCUCUAGUAAGAUAGAAAACACGAAAGUAUCAAAGGUGAAAUGUUUGAGUAAGAAAUGAAAGGUAGGCAGACAUUCGAAAUCAUCCAAGUAUGCCAAGAAGACUAAACCUAAGGUGUCAAUAGCUCCAUAAUCCAUCAAAAGCAGCAAUCAUAAACAAAAAGUCAAGUCUCGAUGUCAAAACAUCUACCAAUCAAUAUCAUCAACAUCCCAAUCAAUCUACUGAAGACUAGGAAGAGAGGGAACUGCAUGUGUAAAAUGUGUAGGCAGGGGAUUGGUGGUCACACUUGGUCCAAACAAGUUGACCAACCUUGAAUCAAUCAAGUCCUUUAUCACAUGAUGGAGCGCCACACAACACUCAGCAUCAUGCCCUUGAAUAUGAUGAUAUAAGCAAUACUCAUGUAAGCAAAAAUGAGGAAGAAUAGGAUACGGCAAAGGGCGUGGUGCCAAAGAAACAAUCACACCAGCGUCUCUGAGUUUUUCAAAAGCUCUAGUCAAAGUCAUGCUCAAUGGAGUGAACUGUAUCGUGAGCCUUGGUGCAUAUGGUCUAGGUAAUAGGGGAGUAGCUCGGAUGUGGUGGCCGUGAUUGCAUGCUAGUCCGAGCAAUGUAAGGCUGCUAAACAUAAAUUGACUGAUACGAUGUUGUGGAUGAGAGAAAUGAGCUCUAAUUGUAGGAGGCCUAUAAAGCGAGUGAUAUGCAAGCCUUUGAUGCUGAUAGCUAAUGGUGUCAACCUCUCCAGACCUACUAGAUAAUCUAACCGGCUUCUUUCCCUUAUUGUUAGGGGAAGGAGCAGUAUUUGUCCAUAAUCCUAGAGCAAUGGCCUCCUCAACACUGAGAGCUGCAUGAACUAGACUCUUAAGAUCCUGAAAUGGAAUGCCCACAAGGCGUCUAACAAACCUUGGCUAUAGGUUCCGAAGAACCAUAUCAAUCUGAUCCCGCUUCUUAGGUCAGUUUAUCAUACCUGCCACAUUUGCCCUCCAACAAUUGACAAAUGAGGAAAUAGACUCGUCUAACCUCUGUCUGGUGGCCUCCAACUCUCGUCUAGAUACAUCAAUGUCAGCACUAAAAGCAAACUGAGUCAAAAAAUCAUGAGCCACAUCCUCUUAGGUGCGAAGUCUCGAAGGCUUAACUAAGGCAAACCAUCUCUAAGCUACUUUACUAAGUGACAAAGGGAAAAAAACCACUAAUUGUGCAUCAUCUAUCCCCUGUGCUCUCAUGACUGUGUUGUAUAGUCUCAAACGGAUCUUGGGACAACCAAUCCCACUAUAACGUUCAAUGUUUAGCAUGCAAAACUUGGUAGGCAAGCUAGCCGUCGGUAUGCCAUCCUUAUCAUCCCAAGUCAAACCUCCAUCCUGUAAUCUAAUCUACCUCAUCUUGGACUCAAGCCUCUCAACCUUGGCCUCAUGCUCGGCCAAUCUAGUAUCAUCAGUAGUAGUAACAAUGGAAGGCGACACUGUGGUAACAUGUGGUGGAGCAGUCUCACAAUGAUUUGAUAGAUGGAAUGAAACGUCAUGUGAAGUCCCAGGUGGAAGAACCUGUGUUGUCUAAGAUGCAUAGGAAACUGUCUCAUCAGUGCUGAUGCCGACUAGAUGAUGAUCUUGGCGAGAACUCUCAAUCUGAUCCAAACGUCUACUAACCCUUGCCAUGAACUCCUAAAUAGAAGCAAGUGUAGAAGCUAGCUCGUCUGACAUCUCAACUAAACUGUUUGAACUUUGAUGUGAAUCUGCUCUGAUCAAUUGACCUCCAAUUCUCCUCCAAGAAUGUGAGUCCAAACUCAACCAACUCCUAAAUUGACUCCCUACAAUGCAAACGAAAUGGAUGGACACAAGAUAGAACCCUAAAAGACAACCAUACAACAUGUAAACACAUGAUCCUGAGGUGGCAAUCCGAAAUCUGGAUGUAUGAUGAGAACUCUGGAGUCAUAAAGGUGUCCACUAUGAGAUGGCUACAAUUGUGACUAGAGAAUUCCUAUCAAUAAUCCAAUAUGAAAGAGGUGUGAGAAACACAAUAUCACAAGAUUGAUGCUCCAUCUAUAACCACAUAUCCUUAACUUAACCUUGAACUUGAGCUCCAUAAAGAGAAAAAAAAAAUACGGUGAUCAAGGCGAAUCUCUGGAAAAAAUGUGACUGUGAAAACAUGUUUUUCACCUUUCCGUAAUGAAAAUGUGAGCAUCGAGUUGAAAAUUGAAUCAAUGAUCAAACAAAGAAUGAGAUAUUGGGCUCGUGAUAGGUGUACAGUGUAAAAAGAUGAUCAUGAUCAACAAACAUAUCCCAAAGCAUCCAACAAGCGACAACAAAAAGAAAGGAUGUGUCAAGCUAAGAAAUAAAUAUGAAAGCCCUAGGGAGAAAACAAGCUAAACUCAAUGAGCGACAAAAAGAAACCAAAACUAUACAGCAAUGGGUGGUCCAACUGAUACUCAAACUUGCAUUGAUCUCUAAGCACUCUCAACUAAAGACCAAAAGAGGGAGUAUUGGAUCCGAACUGUAACUAAAGAGGCUCUAAAAGUUCUUAGAUGCACCCACGUGUAGGGAAAGGAAUCCUAAUUGAAGGAUCUAAGGCUUUACUUAUAAGGUCAAUGUGGCUCUAAAAAGAAGAAAUAUAGGCUUUCAAGGGUCCCUAGUAGAAGCGAUCAUAUCCUUUGGCAGUAUGCAACCCUUUGUAUGCCUCCAAAGAGACAGGGCGCUUCCAUGUAAGGUGGUCAUUACCUCCACACAUGCACUACCUCGCAGCUCAGAGAACUCCUAUGGUGAAGGCUCUCCUAAUGACUGACGUAUCUCACAACUCUGAUCACUCAUCGACAACCUAAGGUGCAUAGUGAGUGGCGUGGGUGCAUCCAAAAAUCCUAUGAAACUAAAAGAAAACACACUGGACACACAAAUAUCCUGAAAUCUAGCUCUAAGCUAUACAAGUCUUCAAAGGUCAUACUCUAAUCAACAUUGUUAGCAGAUCGAAGGGUUGGCUGCGUCCAUCAACUCCCCUUAUGUUCGCCGUGGGCGCUUGGGUGAAUGCAUUAUAAGGGUAGGGUAUGCGUCUUUCCUACAAACAAUUGCUUUUAGGAGAGUUGGUAGCGUCUGAGGUCCUACAAGUGGUAUCAGAGCCAAGGUCACGGGUUCGAACCCUAGGGGUGUCGUUGAGGGGGAGAUUGUUGGCAGAUCGGAGGGUUGGCCGCGUCCAUCAACUCCCCUUGUGUUUGCCGUGGGCGCUUGGGUGAAUGCACUAUAAGGCUAGGGUAUGCACCUUUUCUACAAGCAAUUGCUUUUAGGAGAGUUGGUAGUGCCUGAGGUCCUACAAACAUCAAUGUGUCGACCACCUCCAAAAUGCUCCCAAACAUAGAUAUAACCCAUCGCUAGACCCUACUCCUAACCACUAGCUCAGUCAAAGAACAAACAAAGCAACAAGUCUCAUAUUGAAUACAAGAUCAAGGAAAACAAGGUCAACCAAGACUAGGGACUUGGAGACAAGAGGAUAGGUGUGUGUCCCACAUAGACAAGCAACUCAUGCAAUCACACAGAAUGAGAGAAGUUAUACAACAGAUAGUCAUGCAAAACACAUGUAUAUCAUCCAAAUCUACACACAACCUAAGCAAGAAAUAUGAUAAUCAAGAUAAUAACUAGCAAGAAUAGCAUGCUCCAAGAUGAUCAAGAUAAUAUACAAGCAAGAGAGCCAACACUAAGAUAAACAAGACAUACAACAAUGUGAAUAUACAUGUCAAAGUGAGCAAGAAAAUCAUGGCAAGAGUAGAUUCAAUCAAUAUCAUCAGCAUGCCAAUGUCGCAAAUGGAUAUAGCAAUCAAACAUAGAAAGUCACCACAUCAAAAUCCUCAAUGUGCUAUGAUCACUCAAGCAUAGAGAAGCACAAAGGGAGGGUAUCCAUCAACCGAAUAAUCAAAUGCCACAUUUGCCUUAACUUGAAUUCAAGUUCGACCCUCAAAAAUUCCCUAGUGGAGUCGCCAUUUUGUGUACCCCACAUUUCUAGCACGAUGCUUUCCCACUCGAUGAUGCGACUCGCUUUUUAUUUAUUCAAUGAAAAUAUGAUUUUUAGAAAAAAAAAACUUGGAGUCGUCACUUAUUUUUGUUUUAUUUUUUUUAAGGAAAAAUAAAAUAAGAAAGAAAACCCUAAGUGUGACUCCUUAUUUGGAAAAGACGGUCUGUGAAAAACCAAAUCUAGGUUCGAGGGUUAGAUUUCCUAGUGGGAAGGUACGGUGGUGAGACGUAACACCCCUCUAAGCCCUAUAAUAAGGUCUCUACUAAUAAGGUGAGACAGAUGUGACAAUUGAUAAGGAAAUCAAUGGAUACCAAUGAAAUGAUCAAAUAAUAAAACGAAUCAUGCAUAAGAAUAAGUGGGAGUAAGAUCGUACCUUAGCAGCAAGUAAUAGUGCGCUAUCAUGGAGACAAAGUUAGCUCAAGUAUAAUAUUAUCACAUGCAUAUCAAAGAACAAGACAAAGAUCAAACAAUAUUCAUUAAGCAUAACUGUUGACAAUCAAAAGAGAAAACUUAUAUGUAGGGCCCCCACUAAAGCCCAAUUUAUUUUGUUAUGAAUUAAUUAUCAUAAAUUCCACUAUUUUGGAAUUAUGAAAAUUUAUUCAUUUUUAUAUUUAAAAUUUUGAAAAUGAGAGCUUUGAAAAUUAAACUUGAAAUUGGAAUUUUGAAAAUUUAUUUGAAAAUGAAAGUUUUGAAAAUUAAAUUUUAAAAAUUGGAAUUUUGAAGAAUUAUUCAAAAAUUAAAUUUAAGAUGAAAAUUGGAAUUUUUGAAAAUUAUUUGAAAAUGAAAGUUUUGAAAAUUAAAAUUUAAAAUUGGAAAUUUGAAGAAUUAUUCGAAAAUGAAAGUUUUGAAAAUUAAAUUUGAGAUGAAAAUUGGGAUUUUGGAAAAUUAUUUGAAAAUGGAAGUUUUGAAAAUUAAAUUUUAAAAUUGGAAUUUUGAAGAAUUAUUUGAAAAUGAAAGUUUUGAAAAUUAAACUUGGAAAUUGGAAUUUUGGAAAAUUAUUCGAGGAAGUUUUGAAAAUUAGAUUUGGAAAUUGGAAUUAAAAAAAAAAUUAUUUGAGAAUGAAAUUUUUGAAAAUUGGAAUUUUGAAAAAACAACAUUUCAAGAUUAAAGUUUGAGAUUAAAUUUUUGUUGGUUUGUAGCCACACAAUUUCAAAGUCCACUAGUGUGUUACAAUUGGACACAAAAUCCCACAACCUUAAUCUUGAAUCUGACUGCACUCUGAAGAUUUAAUAAUAGCACCAAAAUGACUUCUGCAACUAAUGAUAGCACUAACAAUGAUGGUCGACAGCCAAACUGCAACUAUUGCCCCACCUCCAUAGAUAAAAAUUGUGGAUUUGUUUUUUAGUGCAUCCCACAUUUCCAUCAAAUCCGAGAAUGUCCUGCAUCAACUGGACCAGAUUCAUCUAAAGAGGCGUUGAUCUGGAGUGAGGAAAACCUAUUGGAAUCUUCUCGUGAGAGAUCCGUUUGACAUGGAUGACCCGUUUUUGGCAGUAAACUUGAACGACUUUCCCUUCUCGGCCCUUGAAGGUUCCCCGAACGACCUGGACCUCGUCGUCCUUGCGAAUAGGCAUGGAGCGAACGUUGUACUUGCUGCGGAGGUUAGUGGAGAGUGGUGCGCUCAUCAGCACUCGUUGAACACUCGAUGACACCGUGAAGUAAGGGUGUUAGGAAAAAUGCAGCUGGAGGUUGCUCCCAAGAGGAUGUAGUUGCAGAAGAAGAAGACUUUGUGGGUGUGGUAGUGUGAUUAUGUGACUAAGCUUGACUGGCUAUGGAUGGAGAGACCCGUUUUGAGGGUUUCCGGCGAAAUUUAGUGGCGGGUAGUGGAUUCCAAUGAGUAUUGGACUGUGGUGGUGGAUAUGAGAGAGAAAAGAAGUGAUCAAGCUAGCACAAUCACUUGAUAUUUUGGCAUUCUUGGUAGAAUUAACAUAAAUAAAAGGCAUGAUUUUCAAGCAUCAAACUCAACUGAAACAAAGACAAAAUAAAUAGAAGUGGGAAAUAGACUUAACACAUUCAAGCGCCAAAACAAAAAUCCAAAUAUCAACAAGAAACAUGGUAUGACUGUAAAAAAAAAUAGAGAACCUAAGAUGUGAAAUGGUCAAACUUGAGCGAUUCCUCCUGAGCAAAUAUUGUCUAGCUUCCAGCAAGCUGCAAUCUCCCUCAUCUGUUGCUCAUUUUCUCAUCCCUCGCUAUCUCUGUUUUUUCACGUUAUGCCAUUUUCCCUUUAUUUUCCUUCCUCUCCAAGCUUCUACCAACCCCACUCGUUCCAUUGCUCCUUGCUCAGAAGCUGUUAAGAAAAAAAUAAAAAUAAAAAAUAAAAAAAAUCCCCCAUCUCAACCACCACCAUGGCAAGGUGGUGGUGUCCUUGGCCAUGCGUCCCAUGCAUGCAACUCACUUGGAAAGUCGACCACCUACUCCUCCAAGAUGUUGCUAGCUCUUCCUAUUAUGGUAAAAAAAUAAAAAAAAAAGGAAAAAAAACUUUUGGUCCACAAAGGGGUCUACAAUAAUAGAGUGAUCAAGUGUUUAGGUUGUUUAUUUCUUAUUAUUAUAUAAAUAUUGUUAAAUGUUAAAUUGCAUGUUUUUAUUAAUAUUUGAAAGGUUAGACUUAUUUAUAUUUAGAUGUUAAAAAUAUUUAAAAAUUAGUUAUUAUAUUUUUUAAUUUGACUUUAAAAUUAAUAAUAUAAAAAUGGUAAUUUAAUAUAUUUUAAAAUAUACCAAAAUAUCAUAAUUUAUUACUAUAAUAAAAUUUUAUAAUAAUUAAUUAUAUAAUUGGUUGAAAAUUGAUAAUUACAUAAUAAUUAGGAUUUUUAAUUAUACUUGGUAGUUAAUAAAAUGUUAGAAAUUUUCUUAGUUAAAACUUAUUUUUAUGUAACCUAUCUUGGGAUUUAUGAAUAAUAUAGUUGAGAUUAAUUUAUUAAAUUUUUAAUUUUUAAUUUGGGAAAAAUAUUAAAAUCUAAAUUUUAUUUUUUAAAUUAACUGAAAAUGUUUAUUCUAGUGAAUAAUUAGAUGAGUGUAAAUUAGGAAUAUAAGUUCAAGCUCAUGAACUAACUGAACCAAUUUUAACCAAUCCAUUGUAGCCUAAUUAGUUUGGUUUUUCAUUUAAAGACGUUUGGUUCAGCUUGCAAAAUAAAAAUAAAUAAAAAACUUAAAUAAGUGGUAUUUAUUUUUUUUUGUCUAAAGUCUGAAUGGAAUAUUAUUAAGUGUUUAGGUCAUUUAUUUUUUUAUUAAUGCUAAAUAUUUUUAAGUAUUAAAUUGCUUGUUUUUAGUAAUGUAUAAAGGUUUAAACUUAUUUAUUUUUACACAUUAAAAAUAACUAUAAAAUUAGUUAUUAUUAUUAUUAUUUUAAAUUAAUAAUUUAAGAAAUAGUAAUUUAAUAUAUUUACAACUAUCUCAAAAUAUUAUAAUUUAUUACCAUAACAAAAAAUUUAUAAUAAUUAAUUAUGUAAUUUAUACAAAAUUAAUAAUUAGAUAAUUAUUAGGAUUUUUAGUUAUGCUUGGUUGUUAAGAAAAUGUUAAAAAAUUUCUAAGUUAAAUUUUAUUUUUAUAUAAUAUAUUUUCAGAUUUAUGAAUAUUGUUGAGAUUAAUUAUUAAUUUUUUUCUUUUUAAUUUGGGAAAAAUAAGAAAGACUAAAAUUUUAGUUUUCAAAAUUAAUUGGAAUUUUUUUAUUCUAAUGAACAAUUAGAUAAGUGUAAAUUCAAGGACAUGAACGACCCUAAUUUGACUUCAACCAGUCCAAUCUAGUCUAAUUAGUUUGGUUUUCAAUUAAAGAUAUUUGAUUUAGUUUGCAAAACAAAAAAAAAAACACACCAAAAAAACAAAAACAAAAAAUGCUUACGUGUUCAUUUGAAAACAAUGAACCAAUGGGAAGUGAACCUACCUAACCUUGUCUAUUAUAUAUGCUACUUAAUCAAUGUCAUUCGGUUUGAAUUAAGAAAAUUUGUAGUAAAUUUAUUUUUUAGUCUAGAUUUUAUAAUUUUAUUAUUCAAUGAGGAGUAUACAUAAAUUUAUGAAAUUUAGUCUAAUUGAAAUUGGAUGAAUUAUGUAUGAGAUAAAAAUAAUGGCUAUUUGCUAUAGAAUGUUGAUUUUAGUUUUAAACUUUUUAGAUUUAAUAUAAAUUUAUUUUAGAUUAAUUUUUUAUCCAAAUUAAGUAAUUUUAAUAUUGUUUGUUUAAUUAUUAGUAGCAAUUCACUGAGAAUAUUUUAGCUAUAAAUUAUCUUGAUAAAAAAUAGAAUGAAUAAAUAAAGCAAAGCCUAUUGAACGUAUAGUAGGAUUUUUUAUGACAAAUUUACUAAUCUAUGAUACAAUCAUUUAUCACUCACAUUACACAAAAUUGAAAUAAAUUAUUCUUUAAAAAAAAAAAUUAAGAGAUGUGGAAAAUUUUCAAAAAUAAAUUUGGUUUAUUUUGUAUAACGAAUUAAAUUUGAGUACUAUGAUAAAGUUAAUGGUUGAAAGGAGAGAAAAUAACUUUUUUCUAGUAAGAUAAAAGUUAUAAAAAAAAUUACUUUUUCUGUUGAGACAAAAUUGUCUUUAAAAAAUGUUAAAUUAAAAAAAAACUAUAAAAAUAUAUUGAAUCUUAAAACAAGUUACUUUUAGACUUAAAAGUGUUGGAAAUCAAGCCCACGUCGCCUUCCUGCUUGUGCAUGUUCCUCCCCAUAUUUAGCAUCCUCUGUUUACUUCCCUAAAUUAGUGUAAUGUACAACCUUUAUUAUAAUUGAUUUAGGAGUAAUUCUAGCAAGGUAGUUUAUUCACUUUCCAUGUAAGAGUUUAUUCACUUUCCAUGUAACACUUUCCAUGUAAGGGAAAUUCCGUCCGUGAUAGUGUACCAUUCCGGAAUUGUCUCAUAUCUAUAGGAUAUUUAUUUAUGCUUUCUUUCAUUGUAAAAAAAAAAAAAAAAAAGUAUCACAGAAUGAAUUGAGUAUGUGUUCCUCCAUAGUUUGUCUUCAAAUUCUUCAUGGUAUCAGAGCAGGUUUAAUCCUGUCUCAUCGUCUUCAUCUUUAGUCAGUAUUUUUUUUUUCCUACUCAAUUCUAUUCUUCUAGUUUAUGCCUAAAUACGGUCCAGCCUUUGGAAUGGCUACCAACUCAUCAUCCUCUACUUCUGAUAUCAUCAUCUCAUCGUCUUCAUCCUCUCAUCAGAUGGAAACCUCUCAUCUUCCAAUCACAGCCCAUAAACUGAAUGGGCAAAAUUAUUUGCAAUGGUCUCAGUCCAUAUUAAUGUUUAUACGGGGAAAGGAGAAAGAUGACUACAUCACCGGAGCUUCGGCGGCACCAGAAACCACAGCAUCAACCUACAAAAAGUGGAUAGCAGAAAAUAAUAUGGUCAUGUCCUGGCUAGUCAACUCUAUGACCACUGACAUUGGUGAAAAUUUUUUGUCAUUUGAUACUGCCAAAGAAAUCUGGGACAUUGCAAAAGAAACUUUCUCAGACAAGGAAAACACAUCUGAAAUCAUCCAGAUUGAAGGCAUCCUCCACGAUUUGCGUCAAGGUAACCUUACGGUAACUGAAUAUUUCAAUACUCUUACUCGUCUAUGGCGUCAACUUGAUACGUUUGAGGUUCAUAACUGAAAUUGUGUUACAGAUGGUUUGUUGUAUAAAAAGAUUGUCGAAGGGAAACGUGUGUUUAAAUUUUUGUUAGGCUUGAACAAAAAUCUUGAUGAAAUCAGAGGAAGAAUCAUGGGAGUAAAACCUCUACCUAGCCUCAGAAAGGCAUUCUCUGAAGUCCAUCGCGAAGAAAGUCGGAAAAAUCUAAUGAUGGGAUCCCAUCAACAACUGAAUAUGGCAGAAAGCUCGGCUCUUAAGACUCAAUUUGCUCCUUUUGACAACUGUCAAAAAAUUAAAGGAGGUAGACCUUGGUGUGAUCAUUGCAGAAAGCCGGGACACUCAAGAGAAAUUUGCUGGAAGAUUCAUGGAAAGCCAGUAGAUUGGAAGCCACGUCAACCACUUGAGAAAGAAGGACGAGGCAAUCAUGUGGCUACCGAUGAACAAUCGCCACAACCUGAAGCUAGCCCUUUUAAUAAGUAGCAAAUGGAGAUGCUUCAGAAACUACUGUCUCCUCUUUUGUCAGUACAGUCACAAACUGGCUAAUCUUCCAACCAGGUCAUUGGUUCCGGAACCUUGGCUCACAAAGGUAAUUUUUUGAGUGCCUUCACUGCUGGUAAGAAACGUAAAAAACCUUGGAUAGUGGACUCAGGAGCAUCUGAUCAUAUGACGGGAGAUGCGACAAUUUUUGAUACAUAUAGCUCAUGUCCAAAUAAUUUAACAGUCCGAAUAGCAGAUGGUUCACUAUCAAAGGUUGCCGAAACAGGUUCAGUUGUGCUAUCAAGGGAUCUUACUCUCAACUCUGUUCUCCUUGUUCCUAACUUGGACUAUAAUCUAUUGUCAAUUAGUAAACUCACUAAGGAAAAGAGGUGUAUUACUAAUUUUUCCUCUACUCACUGUGAAUUUCAGGAUUUGGAUUCGGGGAAGACGAUUGGCAAUGCUGAGGAAUGCUCUGGACUCUACAUCCUUAAGGAGCGCCACGAUCCACAAGAACAACCUCAAAUGACAGUUGGUAGUAAUUCUUUUUCGGUUUCAUGUCAAAAUAACGAUAAUGCAAUUAGGUUGUGGCACUAUCGCUUAGGUCAUCCAAAUGUUAUGUAUCUCAAGCAUUUAUUUCCUUCAUUAUUUAAUAAAAAUCCACAAUCCUUUGAGUGUGAAAUCUGUCAAUUAUCAAAGCAAGUCCGGUCUCAUUUUCCCAUUCAACCCUAUAAAGAGUCUAGUCCAUUCUCAAUGAUUCAUAGCGAUAUCUGGGGUCCAUCAAGAAUAAAAAAUGUAACUGGUACUAGGUGGUUUGUCUCAUUCAUAGAUGAUCACACUAGAUUAACUUGGGUAUUCCCUCAUGAAAAGAAAAAAUCUGAAACGAGUCAAAUUUCCAAAAAUUUUAAAAAUAUGAUUCAAACCCAAUUCCAGUCAAAAAUAUAAAUUCCAAAAGUCCUGAUAAUGCUAGGGAUUAUUUCCAUUCUAGGAGAAUUUCUAGCACAAGAAGGGAUAGUUCACUUAAGUUCAUGUGUUGAUACCCCACAACAAAACGGAAUCGCUGAAAGGAAAAAUAGGCAUUUGUUAGAGGUGGCUAGAUCACUAAUGUUCUCCAUGAAUGUUCCAAAAUUAUUAUGGGGGCAAGCUGUCCUUACGGCAGCCUACCUCAUCAAUAGGAUGCCGUCUAGGGUACUAAAAUUCCAAACACCUUGUCAAACACUCCUAAAAUCCUUUCCGACUACUCGUCUCAUCUCCACCGUCCCACCCAAAAUUUUCGGGUGCUCUGUCUUUGUUCAUAUCAAUCAACAACAUAGAAGUAAACUUGAUCCUAGGUCACUCAAGUGCAUCUUUCUUGGGUAUUCUUCAAAUCAAAAAGGGUAUAAGUGUUACUCCCCGGUCACAAGAAAAUUCUACAAUUCAAUGGAUGUCACUUUUUUUGAAACUCAGCCUUACUAUCCUAAAAACGAUAUUCAGGGGGAGAAUUCAACUCAGGAAUAUCAAUUUUGGGAUCUUGAGUCAUUCAGUGAGUCACCCAUCACCACUGAAAAUCACAUUCCUCCAGAGUCAUUUAAUCAGCCCGAGUCCAUUGUUGACUUGUGGGAUAAGGACCACAUCCAAGAGGAAACGGAGGAAGGAGCACUUUCUCAACAAACCCAUGAGGCUGAACCGGGUCCUAAUCCAAGCAAACUUCCAGGUAACAACGCUCCUGAUGGUACUGUUGAUUCCGAGUUAGAAAAUGAUAUUCUUAAUAUGCCCAUAGCUUGAAGGAAAGGAGUUAGAUCAUGCACUCAGCAUCCCAUUGGAAAUUUUAUUUCUUAUGAUAAGCUAUCACCUACGUUUCGUGCAUUCACUUCUAGCAUCACAGAGAUACAAGUUCCUCGGAAUAUUCAGGAAGCUUUCAAGUAUCCUAAGUGGAAGGCGGCAGUCGAUGAGGAAGUUCGGGCGUUGGAAAAGAAUGGUACGUGGGAAAUUACUAACCUCCCAAGAGGUAAGAAACCAGUUGGGUGUAAGUGGAUUUUCACAGUAAAAUACAAGGCAGAUGGUAAUGUGGACAGGUAUAAGGCUCGGUUGGUCGCCAAAGGAUUCACCCAAUCCUAUGGCAUUGACUAUCAAGAAACUUUUGCUCCAGUUGCCAAGCUCAAUACUGUUCGUGUACUUUUAUCCUUGGCAGCUAAUCUCGAUUGGUCGCUUCACCAACUUGAUGUGAAGAAUGCCUUCCUCAAUGGUGACUUAGAGGAAGAAGUUUACAUGGACAUUCCUGCUGGACUUGAGAUGACAUCAAAUUUCAACAAGGUUUGCAGACUCCAAAAAUCCUUGUAUGGUCUCAAACAAUCUCCCAGGGCCUGGUUUGAACGGUUCACUAAGGUAGUGAAAGGGUACGGAUUCGUUCAAUGUCACUUCCCAGAAGGGAAGCUGGCAAUUAUCAUUAUAUAUGUGGACGACAUAAUUUUGACAGGUGAUCAUGAAGAGAAAAUUGACUUACUUAAAAAAUUACUGACAAAGGAAUUUGAGAUCAAGGAUCUUGGAAACCUCAAGUACUUUCUCGGAAUGGAGAUUGCUAGGUCAAAGAAAGGUAUAGCAGUCUCACAACGCAAAUACGUUCUGGACUUAUUGAAUGAAACAGGAAUGCUAGGAUGCAAGCCGACAGAAACACCUAUGGAUACAACUAUCAAACUGGAAGAAAGUGAUGGAAGUGCGCCAGUUGAUAAAGGAAGAUAUCAACGUCUUGUGGGGAAACUCAUCUAUCUUUCUCAUACAAGGCCAGACAUCGGCUUCUCCGUUAGUGUGGUAAGUCAAUUCAUGAAUAAUCCAACCGAAAAACGCAUGACUGCUGUGAUCAGAAUAUUGAGGUACCUCAAGAUGACACCGGGAAAGGGUCUCUUCUUUCAAAGAACAACAAAGAAAGAGAUUGAGAUUUUUUCAGAUGCAGAUUGGGCAGGUUCAGUGACUGAUCGGAGAUCAACUUCAGGCUAUUGUUCAUUUGUCUGGGGGAACUUGGUUACAUGGCGAAGCAAGAAACAGUCAGUGGUAGCCCGUAGUAGUGCUGAGGCAGAAUUUCGUGCUAUGGCACAAGGUAUCUGCGAGGGAAUCUGGUUGAACAGGCUGUUAGAAGAAUUACGGGUUCCAUUGAAGCAUCCCAUGGUGUUAUACUGCGACAAUCAAGCUGCCAUCAGUAUCGCUAAGAAUCCGGUUCAUCAUGAUCGAACUAAGCAUGUGGAGAUAGAUCGACACUUUAUCAAGGAAAAGAUUGAAGAAGGAGUUUUCAAAGUCAGCUACACUCCGACAAACUGUCAAACGGCUGACAUUCUCACAAAAGCUCUUGCUCGAGGUAACUUCGAAAAUCUGACAGAAAAACUUGGAAUGAUCAACAUCUACAACGCGGCUUGAGGGGGAGUGUUGGAAAUCAAGCCCACGUCGCCUUCCUGCCUGUGCAUGUUCCUCCCCAUAUUUACCAUCCUCUGUUUACUUCCCUGAAUUAGUGUAAUGUACAGCCUUUAUUAUAAUUGAUUUAGGAGUAAUUCUAGCAAGGUAGUUUAUUCACUUUCCAUGUAAGAGUUUAUUCACUUUCCAUCUAACACUUUCCAUGUAAGGGAAAUUCCGUCCGUGAUAGUGUACCAUUCCGGAAUUGUCUCAUAUCUGUAGGAUAUUUAUUUAUGCUUUCUUUCAUUGUAAAAAAAAAAAAAAAAAAGUAUCACAGAAUGAAUUGAGUCUGUGUUCCUCCAUAGUUUGUCUUCAAAUUCUUCAUAUUUUAGUCUUCAAAUUCUUCAAAAAGUAAAAUAAAUAGAUAAGCAUGAACUCAUAAAAAAAUACAAUCAAAACUUAUUUGUAAAUCUUUCUAUUCAACAAAUUAAAUAAAGCCUAGUUUUAAUAACACUAGCUAGGAUGCCAUAACCAAAUGAGAUAUAGGUGUUGGAAAAGAAAACAUGACUCUUUUUCUACCUAUUGUAUUUAAUUUUAUGUCACAAUCUAUUAAAGAAACUUUGUUUCUUUGAAUUUGCAUAUGGAUAACAAAAAGAAGAUUUAUGAUACUUUCUUGGAUUUAUAACAAUAAAACUAUUUCAAAUGUAUGACAACUUAUGAAGCACUAAUAGAAACUUAUCUCUUGAAUAUAUAACUUCCUUAUAAUUAUAUUACAUGGAAAUUAUGCUUCAAAUAAUAAUGUAAAUUUUAAAUUUUGAAUUUAUUUCUUUAAAGAGCAACUUAAAAGUUCAAUAGUUUAAAUGAAGUCAUUUCUAGAAGAGACUUUCUAUUUUACUUUAGCUAGUUUUGGAUUAGAAAUUUAUAACAUUUUAAUUUAUGCUUUGAUUAUUGUUCUAAAUCUAUUUGAGGUAAAAGUCAAUUAAUUAGAUGUUUGAUUAGUUAAUUAAGGUCAUUCAUGUGUUAAGCUCUAAGGUUUAACAUAUAAAAUGAUAAUAAUACCCUUAGCCUCCAGGUUUGAGGUGUCACAAUAUUAAAUAUGUGAAUAUUCAAGUUUUGAUUUGUACCUGGAGGAGAUAUUAAUUUUAUAUCCAAAAAUUCAAAUUUUCAUAAUUAUUAUUUCUUUCAUCAAUAUGAGAUAUAUAUCAUAUAUCAAAAAAGAGAGUAAUCUCACAAUAGGUACAUGAUAUACUUGAAAAACCAAAACAAAAAAACCUCCAUCUUUUAAAGGACAUUGUGUGUGAAAAUAUUUUAAUAAUAUUAUUAUAGUUUAUAACAAGUUAUUGGACCAACUCAAUUCAUAUUAUUGUAUCCCAUUCUAUAUCAUAAGCCAAUUGUUGGUACACGGCCAAUAAUGCUUUGUUUGACUAGCUUCCUUUGAGAGAACGACGAGUGUACUUGUAACAAAGAGUGUUUGGAUAAUUUUUCUAGGCACCCCCUUCGAAGCUUAAGUUAGUUUACGGAAGAGACAGACAAGAAUUUUUGGGAACUUGUGUUAUACUAGGGUUCUAAGGCACAUGUCUUAAUUUUUGGGAACUGCACACGCUUUGCUUCAUUUUCCCUUGAUACUUUUUCUUCAUUGCAUUCCAAAUAUGUUUGAGGUCCUUUAACUUCAAAGCUUCUAAUUCUACUCUCGGUAUAUCUAUCAACAUGACUCUAGUUGUUGGUUCUACUACAUUAGAUUCCAUAACGUUCUAGUACUCCUUGGAUCUUAGGAAAUUCUCCAUCAACAUGUCUCCAAUGAUCAUAGUGACCAUCGAAGCAUGGGAUAGUUGGUUGCACAAGAUUUUCAAAGGUCAUUGUUCUUCAGUGUUGUUGCUACAAAAAAGAAAACAAGUAAAAUAGAAAAAACUACAGGUACAGACUCUAUCGCACACCCCUUUUCCCUUGACCUAGACUUUUUUUUUUCUUUUCCUUUUAUUAUUUAUCACCCCCUCCUUUUCACAUUUUGAUGCCAUUGUUACAGAAUUACUAAGAAAAGUAAAUAAAGUUGCAAGUAAAAAAAAAAAACACACAACAAAGACAUAUUUUUUGCUAUAGAUUUUCAUUAACGAACAACCUUUAUAUAGACAAUUAAACCAAUGGUAAAAAGUAAAAAAAAUGGCAACAGACCAAGACCACUACCUAAAGUGCUCUAUAAUUAGACACAUAAUACAAUGAGAAAAAACUACUUUGCUAAACAAUACAUCACCACUACUACAUUACACAAUGUGCCAAAAAUAGACUCUCCUAAUAAUCAAGCUCAACAAAAGAUCAUAGUAUUGACCAUGAUACGUACAUACAAUAACCAUAAUACUAUUAAAAGAUCCUAUUGACCAAGACAACAAAUAACUCAAAAACUUAAAUAAAUUAAAUAAUAAUUUCAAUAAUUUGAAGAUUUUUAGUAUUGGCAUUAGGUCAUGGAGGGAGAAAAAGAAUGAUAUCAUGUGUCAAUUUUAUUUAUUUUUUAUGAUUUUUUAAAAAAUUUCAAUGUUUUAUUUUUAAAAAUUGGUGAAAACAACUUCUACUUGUUUUCUAUUUCACUUAUAAACAUUAUGAAUUUUUAAAAAUAGUUUUCUAUUUUAAACAUAAAAAGAAACUCCAAGGAAAGAACUCUUGUUUAAGAAAGGUGGCAAUUUUAAGUUAAAAGUUUAUAUAUAUGUUGAUUGGGUUGGCUCCAGGGUAGACGGAAGAUCGACUAUGGGGUAUUGCACCUUCUUAGGAGGGAAUAUAGUCACUUGGAGAAGUAAGAAACAACCAAUGGUGACUUGUUCUAGUGCAAAGGUAGAGUUUAGGGUAAUAGUGCAAGGAAGAUGCGAACUACUUUGGUUGAAGAUAAUACUCUCAAACUUGCAAGUGAGAGUGAAGAUGCUUUAUUGCGACAAUAAAGCAGCUAUAAAUAGAACACAAAUCUCAAUUCAACAUGACCAGACCAAGCAUGUGGAAAUUGAUAGAUAUUUUAUAAAAGAAAAGCUUGACUCUAGACAAGUUUGUCCUCCAUAUGUUUCAUCCUCUAACCAACUUGCAGAUGUGCUCACAAAAGGAUUAUCAAAUGCAAACUUUCAAUAGAUAAUUAGCAAGCUUGGGAUACGAAAUAUCUUGGCAUCAGUUUGAGGGAGAGUGUUAGAAAAGGAAAUAAUUUGUAGGAAUAGGCAUUUUUCCUAUCAAUUAGCUAUAUAUUUACAAUUGUAUUAUUCCCAUUGAUGUGUUCUGCUAUGUAUAGCAUGUUAGGAUAUUUUUCCUAGUUUAGAGCUCUAUAAGUCAACUAGUGUAUUCUAUAUAUCUUGUAAUAUUUUUUUCAAAGUAAUAUAUCCAUUUUUUAUCACUCUUUCACAAGUCUACACUUUAAAUUACACAUACUUUUAUAAUUUUCUUUUAAUUUCUCUAAAAUUUUUCAUAAAGCAAUUAAAUUUUAAAUCAAACUAUGUUUGAUACAUAAAAUUUAUUAAUUUUUAAAAGUAAUUUGAAACUUAAAAACUAAUUUAAUUAGUACUCGAAAGUUAUGGAACUCAAUAACAUUAGAAAGUCAUAGACCAAAAUUUAUUUAAAAUGACUUUGUUAAUUUCUUCUAUAUAUCAUAUUUUUAUAAAUUUUUUAUCUAGAUAAAUAAACUCCAAAUUGAGCAAGACUUAAUGUGUUAAAUUUAUUAAUGAGUAUAAUAAUUCUUUAUAAAAAAAAGGCAAAGGUUGAAUUUGUUAGAUGAAAAUGAAUUUUGACUGGCAAUUGUCUAGUUGUGUGUCUCGUUGUUCCAUAUAUAGCAGCAUGAGGACAUUAGUGGUUGCCAUAGACUGGUUGCUUUUUUGUGGCAGAGAAAGAGUUUCAAUUUGAGCACCCCUGGAUGAAUGGGGAAACAUGGCCAUCUUCAGGAGCAUAGAACUGUUAUUUGUACGAUGUUUUUGUUUUUAGCUGCCUACUCAAUUCCGAAACUGAAUUUGAAUGACUCCCUUGUAUUUUAGGUAGCAUUUGACAGUUGAAGUCAGUUAUGUUUAAUGGCUCCAUUAUAGUACUAUUGUCAUACAAAUAGAAGGGUGCAAUUCAAUUCUCAUAAGACAUGGAAACACGACUAUAAGAUAUUGGAAAUUGAUUUGAAGGUUCCCUUGGUACAUCCCAGGCACUAUAAAUCCUGUUUUUGUGUUGGGACAUUAAGCCUGCUACGAUUCUUUGAUUAUGCAAUUCACAGCAAUUGUUACUAGCUUCCUACAUAAAAAUGGUUUCUCAAGUAUUCAAUAUCUUGACUAGACAAUCUAAGGCUCUUUCUCACUGUUCUAUAACUCCAUAGAAUUCAAUAUCUUGAUUUGCUCACUCUUCUGGUCAUGUUAUUUGGAAUUUCAUGGCAUUUUCUUUUAUUGAAGUGCACCAUUUUUUUUUAAUUUUUUUUUUUGUAGGUAGCAAAGAGGAGGUAUUUUUUGAUUCGCAACCCUGGUUAGAAUCUGAUUGUGAAAAUUUCUUCAGCAUCAGUGCUCGUAAGAUUAACUUAAAUUUUUCAUGGAAAGAAAUUCAUUUUUUUCCUGGUUAUCUUCAGAGGAGUAUGGUGUGUUUUGCUGAGGGCCACAACUAAAAUAGGCAUUGCAGUAUGGGAAAAUUUCUUGGUUCUAUUUCAUGCAGAUUCAACACUACCCUAUCAUGGCAAUAUAUACUCCAAUGAACCAAAGCAGUUUCAGAGAAACUCCUUGACUUGAUAGAUCUCUUUCUAUGAACAAAACACCCAAUUCCAUGACUGAACCCUCCCCAUCUGAUAAGAAGAAACUGAUUGAGCUCUUCCAAGAGAGCUUUGACGAUGAUCCAUUUGAAGGCGAUCAAGACCUACAAGGAAUAGAAAGUAAUAUGGAAAAUGGAAGGCUGAAAGCCAAGGCUACCAUUUUUUUACUUUCUUCCAAAUAGAGGUUGCAGUAGUGAAAGAACUCCAAAUAGAGGUUACAAACCUGAGAGAGAAAUCCGCUCACUCUGCACAGCGUUGCCUUCCCGGUUUGGUUCGGAGUCUGAGCUUUAGUGAUAGGAAGAGGAGGCUCAGCCCUGCCCACAGUAGCUGUAGAAGGUAAGCCAAGCUUUGCUCUGUAUGUGCUUUCAGGUGAAGUUUUGCUUCAAAAUCAGCAUUACUGAAAGAAUUUGGGGUCUCUAAUUCCCUUGUUCAACUUUAUUUGUCCUUCUUUGGGCAGAGUUGUAAAGUGAUCCAUGAACCAGAUGCCUCGUUUCACUGUUUUAUAGGAACGAAAAAUGAUUGAAUUUGUAUUCAUUAGUCUGCCUCCAUGAUGUUAGAGUCCUGAUCAAUCUAUAAGUUUUGUUGUAAGUUGAUGGGUGCUGCCUCUGAAGAAAUUCUUCAAAGCCCCUUGUAUAAAGAGUCUUGGUUGGUGCUUCCCUGUCUCAUAUAAAAAUCAAUUGGCAUGGGAUCACAAUAUAGACUGAAGACGACUUGACCUCAGUCUUUAGCCUAUAUCGCUUCUGGCCUCUCUGUUUCCUUCCUUUCUGGCCUGAGACAUGCCUCCUAUCGUGCUUUUCCUCCCUGCCUCCUACUUUAUGAAAUAUUUUUCAUUGGUCUACAAUUAACUCAUAUCUCUAUCUAUAUUUCAAUAGAGCUUCUUCCUCGCUAUAAUUACAGUCUUUAUAAGUAACAGAACAUCUAAAAGAAAAAUAAUUACAAACAAAUAUUUCAAACAUACAAUUCUUUAACACUAGUACCAAAUCAAACCUUCAUUCACCAUAUGGAUUCCUCCAUUGUAUUCGAUCUGAAACAAGUAAAUACACGUAAUAAGCUUCAAAUUUCACAAGCUUAUGUUCAAUAUCAUAUAUUUUUGUAUGAUCAACCUAAUAGCAGAUCAAAAGUUUCUCUGUCCAUGACUUCAAUUAACAACAAAAAUAUUCACAAAGAUGAGGAAGUGUUUAUAUCUAAUGGUAUAAGUCAUAGUAAUCAUGAGAGUAUAUCUCUCCAUAAAUUUAGAGACUUCUAACCAAGCAAAUUGUAGUCCUAGCUACUUGCUUGUAUUUUGGCAUUUAAUCUCGGAGAUAUGUAUCCUUACAACUCCAUUGAGAAAAUCACUUUCUACAACUUUAGAGAAUUGAAUCAAUUAUAGAUUUAUAGAUUCCCUAGGACGCUUUGUUUAAGGGUUUAAACUCAGAAAUUGAUUACCUUAUACAUAUAUCAUUCUUUGAUCCUAAUAUAUCAUUCUCUUUAUUGAUAACAUUCAAUGGUCACAAAAAUAAGGACUUCGUUAAAAAAAAUGAAUCUAGUUGUUAGAAAGGAAAAACUUUUACAUGCAUAUAAGUUAUAAGCAUCUAAUUAAUCGGCAUUUAACACCAUCCUAUAAAGAUUAAUUUCAUCAAAAGAAUUCAAGUUCACUUCUAACUUAUCUUCAGUUCAUAAUAUGAUUUGAGUGCUUAAAGCACUACAAUUUUCGUAAACUCUAAAUUCAACAAUACGAUCAUUCAUUUUUUUAUUUUUUUUAUUUUUGUGAAUUUAAACCAUUUUUUCCAAUUAAUUAAGAAAUCAUUUAAUAAAAUUUGAGUAUAUAUAACAAGAUUAAUAGAAUGUGUGAUGAAGAUAGGUUUGCAUUACCUUAUGCAUUGGAAUUCAUCUUCCCUUUGUUUUUUUUUUUUUUUUUUUUUAUGAUUUUGUUAUUUUGAAAUCACGUCACCCUCUGCAAAAUAGAUGAAUUCAUUCUGAUGAUAAUUCACACAAAAAAUUAAAAUAAAUAAAUAAACAAGGAAAAAGAAAGGGAAAAUAUGCAAGAUAACUCACCUCUUCAACCUUGAGCUCCACCAUUUCUUUUCAUCUUCCUUCGGAAACGAGCCACAUUCACUGCAAUAAAGACAUACAUCCUAUCUUUCGCUUCACCAACAAACCGAAAAUAAGCAUGCCUCCAAGACUUUUUUAGAGCCAAAGUGCCACAUACAGCCCAAAAUCCCACCGGGAAGCCCAAUCCCAUGCUUGUGAAGAACCACAAUGUUUCCCACCCAUCGUCAUGAUCUUCCUUCUCAUCUUCCUCAUCUUUGUGAUCUUCAUUAGGAGUGGAGCACUGGGUUGACAAUGGAAGCCCACAAAGUGCCAGGUUACCCUCAUACAUGGAUGGAUCAUUGAAUGUAGGGAAUUGGUUGGUUGUUGGAAUGGGUCCUGACAGGAGGUUAUGCGACAAGUUCAAAUCGCUCAAUGAGGUUAUAGAAGCCAUGCUCAGAGGAAUUGGGCCUGAAAGGCGGUUGCUCGAGAGGUCCAGAGUUUCUAACCCUUGCAUGGCUCCAAUGUCCUCGGGUAUCUUUCCAGUCAAUUGGUUCCGGGACAAAUUCAAGGUACCCAAGGUUGAGAGAUUUUUAAUCCCAUGUGGAAUCUCUCCCCAUAAGUUAUUCCUAGAAAGGUCUAUCAACUUCACAAUUGAAAGUAUCCUCUCAAAUUCCAUUUCUUUUCCCUUCACAACUAGCUCCAUUCCCUCCGUGUAGUAAUAAUCAGUAUAUAGGUAAUCUGGAGAAGGAUCUAAUAAGGUCACAUGAUUCAUAGCACUCAAAUGGCCUAAGCAUGGAGGGAUGGAUCCUGAUAGAUUAUUAAGUGCAAGGUCCAAAAUGCGGAGAUCAGAAAGCCCACAUAGUUGCUCAGGAAUAUUUCCGGUCAGCAUGUUGCCUCGUAAGCGUAGCUGCUUCAGUGAUGACAUUCUUUCUCCGAUCCAUUUGGGUAUCUCACCUGAAAACCUGUUAUUUCCAAGAUCAAGGGAGUACAGACUGCAGUUUUGUAAGCUUGGAGAGAGUUCCCCAGAAAGAUGGUUGUCGCCCAGUUUCAACAAGUAAAUUACAUGGAUUGAACAUAUGGAACUUGGAAUCUCGCCAUACAGUCUGUUCUUGGAUAGAUCAAUGAUGCCAAGCAUUUCCAUAUCUUUCCAAUGAUUGGGAAUCUUUCCAGAUAAAUGGUUAUUUGAGAGAUCAAUAAUCCUCAAAUACUUCAGGUUAGUUAAUGAUGAUGGGAUGGUCCCAUUCAACAAGUUCCCCGAAAUAGUCAGGACUCUCAAACUUGAUAAUUCCCCAAUAUUGGACGGAACUGGACCUGAAAAUAAAUUGUUCCCCAAAACAAGAUAUGUCAAAUUAUACCAAAGUGGGAGUGGACCCUCUAAGCGGUUGAAACUUAAAUCUGCCAUACUCCAUCCAUGCGAUGUGCUGAAGGAUAAGGGACUGGGAGGCUUUCCCCUCAAUUGGUUCCUGGAAAGAUCUAACCACCCAAGCUGUGGAGACAACUUCCAAAGCCAUUCUGGUAUAGUGUCUGAAAUCCCAACAUUAUGGAGGAUUAUUUGGUAAAGUUCCUUCUGAGUUCCGAGCCAGGCAGGGAAUGUUUGAGACAGUAUGCAGUUGCCGAUUCUGAUAACCUUGAGACUGAAAGGAGGAAUCCAGUCACUUGUAAUAUCGAAAACCAGAGAGUUGUUUGUAGCCGGUGAUAAGUAUGAGGAGAAAUAUUCCAGUUUUAUAAGACCCAUGAAGUGAAUUUCGGAUACCCUCCCCUUCCAAGGAUUCCAAUCAAAUGUUAAGGUAAGGAGCUCUUUAAGUUGUCCUAUACUUUCUGGGAUGGUCCCAUUCAUUCCGUUGUGAGAGAGGUCCAAUUCCUCCAACAACAACAGCCUUCCAAUGGAUGCUGGAAUUGAACCCGAGAUUGAGUUGUCACUAAGAUCAAGAUAUCUUAAGUUGUCAAGGUUUCCUAUUGAAUCAGGGAUCAGGCCGCUCAAUUCAUUUUUAGACAAAUCCAGGUAAUUCAAAUAUUUCAAGUCAAGCAAGGAAUCACUUAUCUGGCCAAUUAAACGAGACAAGGGAAAUGCUGCUUCAUCGGAUUGAUAAGGGUUUUUGAGGUCUAGCUUUAUAACAUGUCCUGUCCCAUUAUUGCAAUCCACGCCUUGCCAUUUGCAACAAUCUCCACCAACCCAAGAAGAAAGCCGACCUGAAGGGUCUUCCAGACCACCUUUGAAUUUAAGAAGGGCUUUCCGCUCCAUCUCAAUGCAAACUACGUCCCUAUCACCAUCAGUGGAAUUGAUCACAAGGGCUUCAAGUAAGAAAAAUUUUAGAAAUAAAGGAACCAAAAGAAGGAUAAGAAAUAUGAUGAAGGUUUUCCUGGUCGCCAUUGCUAAUGCUCUACAAAGAUAGAUCACAGCAAAGACAGUAUUUCUUUAUAGGUAGAUACCAUUAGUCUUUUGUUGGAUUUAUUUAAUAGUAAGUCUUCAUAUAAACCAGCUCAAAAAAUUUAAGGAGCAAAGACCUUUCGGCCAUAUAUGGGCCAACCUCGUCUACCGCAUUCAACUAACAUUGCAAGAAAAAUAAUAAUGAAAACACUAGGAAAAUGUGAUUGCUUGUUUGACUCAAAAGCAGAUAGUAAAGUAUCUUGUGCUUCAUCAAGUUAACAGACAAGACUUUAGAUUUAUCGAAGUUUUUGAAUGGAUAGACAUGCUGCAAGUUCAAAUCAUAGCUGGCCCAAUUCAUAAUUAAUUAUACUAAUUACCAAAGCCUUCCAAGUUAAGUUAUUGUCAAAAUAAAAUAAAAUUGUGUAAGAGACUUUUUACUGUAACAUAUGUCAACUACCAAAUCUUUAAAGUUUUAAGUCAUUGUCCAAGGGAGAAAAAAAUCUAAGGAAAAAGUCUUCAUCUUUUUUCUUGUCCACAUGUCAUGGACGAUUUGUUUAAACGAAGAAUCCAGAUGUAUUAUAUAAUAUAUGUAUUAUCAUUAUUUUAUUUUAAUUUGAGAGAUACUUGAGGCAAGUGUAUUAAGAUACUUUCAAACUCAAGUCUUUCCAUGUGUGUGCUUUUACACUUGGUUCGGUGGUCCAAUUAAUGGUCCAAACAAUACUAAUAGACUAACUUCUUCUUUUGUUAUAUCAUUGAUUUACAAUACUAACAAGAAGAUGGAUAUUUAAAAUAAAUAUACAUUCAUGCAUAAGAUAAUAAAUAUGAAAAUAAUAUAGGUAAAAAAUACACUAAGAUAAUAAUUCGAUCAAUAUAAUAAAUAGCCAUUGGAAGCAUAUAAAAUUAACCAAUAAAAUUUUAUUUUUUCAUAUGUAACAUAUUUUUUAAUAAUUAAAUAAUAUAAUAUAAUUAUUUAAUAAAAUUAGAAAUAUUAAAAUCUAUAUAAAUAUAUUAUGAUUUUCUAAUUUUAUUUAUACAAAUAUCACAAGUUAAUUAUAAUUGAACCAUCGUAUUGAUUUUAACAUUUCAUAUUUAUUCAUUUGUUCAUUUUAAAAAUAUUAAUAUAAAUCAUUAAUAUAUAUUUAAUAAUAAUUUGACUUUUGUAACCUAAUCCAAAUAUUUAACAGUAAUUUGACUUUUGUGGAGUAAUCAAAUUUAUUUUGUUAAAAGAAAAUGAUUAAAUCUGAAAUUUAUUUACUUAAUGGUCUAAAGUUAAUUAACCCUUUGAAUUUUCUUUUUUUCUUUUUUUUCUUGUUAAGACAAGCGAAUUGUUUAUUUCUUAGAAAAUUAAAGAGAAAAUGUAAAUAAAAAAUAAAAAAAUUUUAAAAAAAUAAAAAAUUUAAAAUUUAAAAAAAAAUAAAAAAUACUAGAAUCAAUGUAUUAUAUUAUUUUUAUAUUCCUCUUUAUUAAUGAAAAAAAAUUUAUUAAAAUAUGCUGAGGUUAAUUGUUUUUAGUUCCUUUAUUUUAAAUUUUUUACUUUAUUUUCCUUCAAUGUUAUCUUUCCUAGUAAUAUAAAUGUGGAUUUGGGAAGUACAUAUGUCUAUAUAUGCCUAUCUUGUGUAUUUCAAAUUUAGAGCCGAAAUCUAGUCAAAGAGAAACAAUAACCCGAAAUUCAACCCGGUUGGCCAGCCACUGAUGAAAGGUCUCUAAAGAUUGGUGUCUUCUUCGCUUCACAGCGAUGAAACGCAUAGCCGGGGACGAAAUCACCGGCUAUCUAGUUCGGCUUUCAAAUCUCUAGUUUCGGUUCUCAUGCUAGCCAUGUUCGCCACCAUGACAUCGAUUUACGUCAUCUGCUGGUGAGUUCUCACAUUGUUUCGUAUUGUGAAAUGAUUUUCGUUUCUUAGCUGUAAUAUUGCUUCUGGUGUGGUUAAUUUUGUUAAUUUAGGUUUUUGAUUAUAAUUGGUCUAUUUUGUUCAAAAAUAAAUAAAUAAAUAAAUUGUUUUUAUGGAAAUAUGCUAUUAGUAGGCUAUGGCUGGAUUAUGAGAAUAGGGUUUAUUUGAUUAGAGAGCUUGAUAUUGUUAUUCAAUUUUAGCUUCAAAUUUUCUUCCCCACAAUUUUGUUAAUGCAUUUUUUGGGAUUAUUUUGUUAUCAAGAUUAAAUUAUAGAAUUAUAAUGAUACAAAGGGGGUCUUGACAUUGUAUGGAACUGGAAUCAGUCCAUCAUGGUUUAGAUUAAUUAUAUGUUCUAUAGCAUUACAUUGCAAUGCUAAAUAAACUAGUGAUUUGCAUGAGCUCAUGUUUUUUUCUUUUUUUCUUUCUGUUUUCGUCUUUUUUAUUUUUCUUUUAUUGAAACAAUUGGAGUUGAUACUAGCCUAUUUUCAUUUUUUGAAAUUAAUCAUUCAGAGUAAUUGACUAGAUAAUGGGUUUUUCCAUUUUAAUAGUUUUCAGGUGCAAUGAGCCAAUGACACACUGCAAAUUAUAGCAUGCAGGUAAAUAAAUUAUAGCUAUCCUUCCUUUAUGUGGGGUUUUUUUUGGGGCUUUUGUUAUAAUAGACAAAAUAUAAUCUAGAGGUCAUGGUGAUGUUUCUUCAAUUUUAUAGGAACAACAGAAGAAGUUAGCAGCCCUUGAGAUGGAGCUAGUUGUAGCACAACAGGAAGAUUUUAUCUCAAAGAACUUGUCAGAAAAUAAGGAGACUCCUCCUAAGAAAAAGCUUUGUUGUAGGAAUUAUGACAAAGUUUGGCCACAAGAACAAUAGAGAUGCAAUCCGUAGGGGAUGGAUGCCAACUGGUAGAAUACCCUUCUUUUUGUAAGUUUCGCUUUUUAUUCUUUGUAUGAUUUACAUAGAGAAUGACCCAGUUGCCACUUAACACAUUGACAUUUCUGUUAUAAGCAUAUAAGGGAUAAAAACAGGAGGCUUGUAGGCUGAACUCUUAUUAACAUGGAAACUUUUAGUGGACUUCCAUUUCUCUUCUAUUCUUUUUUCAUUGUUUUGUAUAUUUUCUUAGUUUGCAAUAGUCAUCUUUCAAUAGUUUGCAAACUCCAUCAACCAAUUUGAAAAGCCUUGGAGCUAAUAGGGGCAAAUUAUGAGAAGCUAAAAUCUUCUUUCUCUAGGAUUUUUCUGAAGUUGCUCAAUUGAAUGGAGAGCAAAAAACCAUCAAGUGCCCCUGCCCCUGCCCCUGCCCUGCACGUACCCUCUAUACCCCUAUUUACAGAAAUUUUGAGUUUGUCUUUAACGUAAUAAGGGAGACAAUAGUUUGUAUAAUAAUGAAACAGGAAGUAAUAUUGUGAUUCACUGCUGCAAAAAUUAAUAUUGACAUAACUUAUGUGCUAAACUGCACUUAUAUGCUUAGCACAAAAGUAUGUCAUUCUUCAUUUGAGAGCAUUACUUUAAACCUUAUAUGUUAACAUCACUUUUGCCAUAACUAAUCUUUCUUUCUUUCCCUUUAUCCAAGACAAUGCAUAUCAAGUGAUUGAUACUUAAGUUAAUAGCCUUAGCGCACACAUGGGGUGAAGUUUGAAUCCAGAAUUUCCCAAUAGUCUUAAUACGCUUCCUCAGGUGUGUUUCAAACUUAAGACGUCAAUGUUAAACCACCACUUUACCAAAAACUUUUAAGUUACUAAGUAAUAGGCCAGCAAUGGGAUAUUAAGGCAACUAACAGGUAGGUUAAUAGCCUGAGCAAUCAUCUUAUAAUGUUUAAUGGUUCAAAUAUUGACAAUAAAAACACUUACAAAAGCAUGAUGACUUACCCAUCGUUUUCAUACAGAUACUCUGGAAGCAACUCUUGCUACUCAUUUGAAUAAGCCUCGAGUUUAUAUUGGGUGUAUGAAAUCAAGCGAAGUUUUCUCAAAGUUGUGAGUAUAAUCAAAGUUUUUUUUUUCUUCUUCUAAUGAUGAGAAAAUGAGUUGUUUAUGAUAUUCUACUUUCAUAUAUUGUAUUAUCUUUCCGUAUUGUCUGAAUUAUGCAGGAUCCACAAGUAGUAAGAACCAGACUGGUAGAAACUUGGUGAUGGAAAAUCGUGAGUAAUUCUGUAUUGAUUUCAUCUUGUCUCUUAUAUUAAGAUAAGUAACUAUUACUUUCUAGUUCUGUUAACUAGUUAGGAAGUCUCUUAGUAUCUUAGAAUUCAUCUAAUAGGUGAUAGAAGUCCCAAUGAACAACUAGGGCAUUGUCCCAUAGGAGGCUUGCUUGAUAAAGAAUCAAAGUACCGUUUCUGAAGUUUUUUGGGCAUUUAAACAAUUUAUCAUUCCAUCAUAUUCUUGACAUCUGUUACACUUAAUUUGCCUACCCCAUGCACCCAUAUUUAAACCAUCUCAACUCUGACUUGUGUCGAGGUAUCCUGGAGUUGGUAGAGGGACGCCUUCUCGGGAAGUCAGGCUUACAUUGGCUGAAGAUACAUUUAGCAAAUUUAUUUGCUAGUGGAAUGGACAAGUUAUCGUAUGAGGGUUGGGUAGCAUUUACUGAGAAUCAUUUGGAAGAUAUCUUUGAUUCUGUAGACGUACCUUUGGAAGGAAGACGUUGGUGGUUGUCUGCCUAGGAUCCUCUCCAAUGUUCAUGUAUUAAUCUCUCAAAAGCAUUAAGAAGCUCCCUUCCAAAAACUACUAUUUCACACAUGCUUGUCCACCAGGUACUUCAUUCUUAGCAUGAUCAUAUUCAAACUGAGAAAUGUUUACCGAGUGAAAUCAAAUUAAUCCCACCUCCUUCCUACUCCACCCAACCCCACAAUAAAAAGGAAAUCUCAAAACUAGCUUUUAUUGGAAUUCUGUUCUAUGCAUAGGCAUAUCAUUUGUUAUCCUGUGUAUUUUGUAUGAACUCCUCCAAGUAACUAUAUAGCUCUUCUGCAUUUACACAUGGAAAAUGACAGUCACAUGAUUAUACAUACCCUUUAGAGUACCCCAUUUGUUACCCCAUCAUUAGGAGCAGAAAUAAUGGAUCUGCCACUUCUUUCACAGCCCUGUCUUAUGUUUGCGCUAUCCUACUAUAGUACGCUUGAGAGGAUAACAGACAUUUCCUUGAAUUUACUUUUGUUUUCAUAUUAAAUGCUUAGAUUCAGGUCAUUUGUUUGUCCAAAACUUAAUUUAAGAUUGUAUUGUUCUAUCUUUUUCAAGGAUGGCUCAUGCAAUGGCUUACGACACUAUGUUGCCCUUGGAAGGGACAAGGUAUUGGAAUUUUAUGUUUUUGGUUGAUUGUUGUGGAGUUCUGAUUAUGUGAUAUGGAAGCAUGGUUUUUGAUUAGUUAGACAUAGUUUUUCGCUCUUUUUCUGCUUUGAGGCUAAAUUUGUCUCAGCUUUGAUCUUCUCUCUUUUUGAUAGAAAGAAGGAACUUUGUUAAGGAAAGAUGGUAAAAGGAUAAGGAGUUGGAAAUUGAAACCCAAGAAAGAAACCAAACUUUGUUUGAGUUUAGUGCAAUUUAUUUAAUUUGACUUUUCAAGUAAUUUCAAAGUUUGGUUGUUUCAAGAAAGGGGAUUAUCAUUGGUAUUUGGCAAGUUCAAAGGCUAGGGCAGCAGAUCAGUCUCUGAAGACUGAAUUUUAGUUAGAACUUAGUAUUGGAGGAGAUAAUUUUUCUUGUUUAUUGAAGUUUCCUUAUCCUUUGACAGCAGAACUUUGAAUUGGGGAUCAUUAAUUGAUUAUGCAGUUCGGAUACAUAUAUAUAUAUAUAUAUAUAUUUGGAUUAUGCAAUAUUAGAAAUUAAAAUUUUGUUCUGAAAAAUGUAGCAGGACCUCUUCAAUAUUGAAAUGAGAAUUUUAAUCAAAAUAUUUGAAAAAAUAUAUAUUCAAGACUUCAGCUGUGUCCACAUAAUAACCUAUGGCACCGGGCAAGGAAAAGUGGCAUGCAUAUGAAGCCCUAUAGUUGCAAUUGACAAAAGGUCAUGUAUAUAAGUACUAUAUAGUAUUAAAUUUUGUAGAUAUCACACCUUUAUAGCAGCAACUAUCAGCUGUCCCAGCCACAUAUAGAGCUUUUAGUUGAGAAAAAAACAUGAUCGCGGGGAUAGCUUCACAACUUCUACUUGUAUUUUUUUACCAGUGGCUGCAAGUAUAGGAUUUAUUCUGCAUCCCUAUGGCCUUCGCCGCUAUAAACUUACAACACUUGCAACACUUGUAUUGCACAACUCUUUGUCAAUGGUUGUAAAAAAUAGUUUUCUAUUUUUUGAGAAUUGAAAAUAAGAAAAUCUUGUUUGACAAUAAGAAAAUAGUUUUUGUUCUUAAAAAAAAAAAAUGUGUUUUCAAUUGUUUUUUAUGAUUAUUUUUAAAAAAAUAAUAAGAUAAAUAUAAAGAAUAAUUAAAAAUAAAAUGUUACAUACAAAACUUAUUUUUUUGAAAAAUAUUUGAAAGCAAAAAAUACGUUAAAAAUAUUUCAAAUUCUUAAACAAAUUUUUAUCAUAUAAAUAUUAGAGAAUUGUUUUUUAAAACCAUUCUUAAAAACUUUUUUUUUUUUUUAGAACAAUUUUCAAAAUCAUUUCCAAGCUGACUUAUAACCCAUUUGACAGUGAUUUUAGAAAAUAUUUCUAAUAUUUUUAAUACUUAAAAAAUUUUAUCAUUCAAAUGUUAAAAAAAUUAGAAAUAUUUUCUAAACUUACUGUCAAAGACAUUUUUAAAGUAUGUUUGACAAUGCUUUUAAGAAGUGUUUCUAAUCUUUUUAAUACUUGAAAGAUAAAAAAUUUUAAGUGUUAAAACUUAAAAUUAUUAGAAGUCCUUCCUAAAAUCACCACCCAAUAAACUCUAAUUCUCAUUACCAGAGGCUUGUAGGGGCUUUUAUAAUUUACCUCCCAAUCAUGUUAAAUAUGUGGUAACCAUGUUAAGAGAUUUUAGGUUAGCAUUGGCUAGUUUGUGCUUAUAUGUACUUAAUUUUUGUUUUUAAAAAUAGAAAAUGAAGGUAACUUCAAUAUAAAAUAUUAAAACUUUUGGAGACUUAUUAAAAAAAUUUAUAGUGAUUUUUAAAGAUAUAAGAUGAGUUUAUACUUUUGGUAUAAAAUUUUCUAUUUUUAAUAUAAAAAUUAUUAUUACUUUUUGUGAUUAAAAAUAUGUAUAAAAAAAAAGGUCAGUAUAUAAAUAAUAAAAGUUGAAAGAACAUUUUCAAAUGUGGGCUAAGUCUAAUACUUAAUAUUAAAUCAUCUCUCAUUCAAAUAAUAGUCUUUAUAAAUAAUAGAAUAUCCUAAAGAAAUAUGGUUAUGGACAAAUAUUUCAAACAAAUUUCUCAAACACUAGUAUGAAAAGAAACUUUCAUUAACCAUGACGAGCUCCCUGUUUCAAUCUAAAACAUGUAAAUAAGUAUAAUUUACUUUAAUUUAAGCAAGAUUUAGAUUUAUAUUAUGGACCAUAUAGUAAACCUAAGAGAUGAUCACAAGUUUCUUAGUCCAUGACUUCAAUUAAUAGAAAAAAUAUUUAAAAGCUCAAUUUUGUUGGAAUUUUGUUCAAUUCAUUCUAGUUUGAGACUUUUUAUAAUUUCCCAUAACUUACACCCCAUUAAAGAUAUAAGAAUAUUUAGAGUUAACUAGAUAUUAGAUAGCAUAAGUAUAAAGAGUUAUGAAAAGGAUAAUAACUUUUAAUUGAAAAAGAUUUUGGAGAUCGAGUGCUCAAGCACUUGAAUCUAGCUUUCAAGGCUUGGAGCACUCAAAAGUGGGGUUUCCAAAACAUAAGUUUGCAUACAACCCUCAUUAAAAAUAAAAAAAUGAUUGCAUAUAUAUAUAUAUAUAUAUAUCCAUGGUUUAAAUAAAACAUUCCUUAUAUUUACAAUAAGUUUAUUUUAGAGUGUUGUUUUUAUAUUAUAACAAUGUUGUUAGGCCAUAUUUUGCUAAACAAAAUGAAGAGAAAACACAUUAUUUGGAAAAUAUUCUACAACUAGAGGUGAUGAGGUUUACCAUAUUUUUCAAUAAUGUACAAUUAGCUCAAGCACUUGAAGCUUAUACCAAAAAUAUAUUUCAAUCAAUAAUGGACAAAAUUUUUGAAUGGUACUUAGUGAUAAUCAACUACCAAAUUAACAUAAACAUAAAAGUUGAAAGGACAAUUUUAAGGCAUAGAUGACUCAAAAAUAUCAAAAGUAGGUUGAGUAUCCAACCUAAUAUUACAACUUUUCUCACUUAAAUGACAAUUCAUAAAUAACAAACCUACCUGAAGAAAAAUAAUUGUUUGCCAACAUUUCAAAGAUAGAGUUCUCAAAUACUACUAGUACCAAAAGCAAUCUUUAUUACCACCGAGAAUUCAUCAUUGUAUUCAAUCUGAAACAAGUAAAUACACAUGAUUAGCUCCAAUUUAAGCAACAUUUAGAUUUUCAUCAAAGAAUAUAAACAACAUGUUCAAUAUUAUUAUUAUUAUUAUUAUUACUCCAAUUUAAGCAACAUUUAGAUUUUCAUCAAAGAAUAUAAACAACAUGUUCAAUAUUAACAAACUUGGUUAUUGAGACUGUUUAAAUUCCUAUAGUUUUCAUACUUGUGGUAUUAACCAUACUCAAGUGAGUAUAUUUGUCAAUAAAUUUAGAGUUUCAACUAAUAACCUAUAACAAUCUAUAAUCUUAGUUGCUUGCUUGUAUAUUUUUUGGAGUUGAAUCUUAGAAAAAAUUACACAUAUCUUAACCUUCCCUAUGAAAAUCACAUUCUGCAACUUCAAAGAGUUGAACCCAAUUAUAAACUUCCUCAAUCCUCUUUCUAAUGACUCAAACUAGGAGAUUGAUUACCCUAUGCAUUGUAUUUAGGAACUUAAUUGUAGUAAGGGAAGAGAAACAACUUAUAUUCAUAUGCAUAGUUGAAGGGUCUACAAAUAUGUCGCUUACUAUAACAUGAUUCAAACAUUUAAAUGAAUAUACUUUUAACAAAAUCCGAGUCCAACAAGACAACAAUUCAAUUUCUUUUGUUAAUUUAAAACAUUAUUUCCAAUUCAAGAAUUUAAGAAAUCAUAUAAUAAAAUAUAAGUAUAAAAAGAUUAAUAGCUAACAAAUAUGUACCUAAACGGAGAUGGCCUUACACUACAUUGUAAUGAAAUUCAUCUUACCUUCUUUUUGUAUGAUGUUUGUUAUUUUGAAACCUUAUCACCCUCUGCAAAAGAGCUGAAUUCAUUGUGAUGAUAAUCAUAACACACCAAAAAUACAAUGAAAUUAAAAAACAAACAAGGAAGAAAAAAAAAAGGAAAAAGAAUGGGAAGUGAUGUAAGAUAUUUCACCUUUUUAGCCAUGAACUCCAUUUGCUUCCAUCUUCCUUUUCAGACGAGCCACAUUCACUGCAGUGAAGACAUAUAGCCUAUCUCUGGUUUCAUCAAUGAACCGGAAAUAUGCCUGCCUCCAAGACUUCUUUAGAACCAAACUGCCACAUACAGCCCAAAAUCCCACCGGAAAGCCCAAUCCCAUGCUUAUGAAGAACCAUGACAUGUCCCAUUCAUCUUCAUCUUCCUCCUCAUCUUUGUGAUCUUGAUCAUUUAAAGUGGAGCAGUUGGUGGAGCAGUUGGUUGACAAUGGAGGCCCAUAAAGUCCCAGGUUCGCCUCAUAAAUGGAUGGAUCGUUGAAUGUCGAGAACUGGUUGGUUGUUGGAAUUGGUCCUGACAGGCGGUUAUGCGAUAGGUUCAAAUGGUUCAAUGAGGUUAUAGAAGACAUGCUCGGAGGAAUUGGGCCUGACAGGCAAUUGCAUGAGAGGUCAAGAGUUUCUAGCCCUUGCAUGGCUCCAAUCUUCUCAGGUAUCUUUCCAGUCAACUGGUUUCGGGACAAAUUCAAGGUACCCAGGGUCGAGAGAUUUGUGAUCUCUUUUGGGAUCUCUCCCCAAAUGUUAUUACUAGAAAGAUCAAUCAAAUUCACAAUUCGCAGUAUGCUAUCAAAUUCCAUAUCUUGUCCCUUCACAACUAGCUCCAUGCGCUCUGAAUAGGAGACAUGCCCCCUGGUCAUGUCAUCAAAUUCUAUGCCUAAUAAGGUCACAGAACUUAAAGCAGUCAAAUUGCCUAAGCAUUGUGGGAUGGAUCCUGAUAAAUUAUUAAGUGCAAGAUCCAAAAUAUGGAGAUAAGAAAGCCGACACAGUUGUUCAGGAAUAUCUCCUGUCAACAUGUUGCCUCGUAAACGAAGUUGCCCCAAUGAUGACAUUCUUUCUCCAAUCCAUUUGGGUAUCUCGCCCGAAAACCUGUUAUUUCCAAGAUCAAGGGAGUACAACCUUGUGCAGUUUUGUAUGCUUGGAGAGAGUUCCCCAGAAAGAUUGUUGUCACCCAAUUUCAACAAGCUAAGUGAAGAUAUUGAACACAUCGAACUUGGAAUCCCACUUGACAGUUUGUUCUUGGAUAGAUCUAUGGUCCAAAGCUGGUGGAAAUUAUUCCAAUUCAUUGGAAUCUUUCCAGAUAAAUGAUUGUUUGAGAGAUCAAUUACUCCCAAAUCCUUCAGUUUACUAAUUGAUAAAGGAAUGCUGCCAUUUAACAAGUUACCAGAAACAUCAAGGACUUCCAAACUCGAUAAUUCCCCGAUGUUCAAGGGAAUUGGACCUGAAAAUAAAUUGUUUCCCAGAAAGAGCCAUGUCACAUUAAACCAAAGUGGCAAUCGGCCCACCAAGCGGUUGAAGCUUAAAUCCACCACGAAUGCUUCUGGGCUAAAAGAUAAUGAGUUGGGAAGCUUUCCAUACAAUUGGUUUCUAGAAAGAUCUAACCAAAAAAAAUCUAGUUUCCAAAGCCAUUCUGGUAUUGUAUCUGAAAUCCCCACAUUUUUUAGAACUAUUGUGUCAAGUCUCUUUUGAGUUCUAAGCCAGUUGGGGAACUUGGGAGAAACAUAGCAGUUGGAAAUAUCGAUAUUCCAGAGGCUGAAGGGAGGAAUCCAUUCAGGUCUCACGUGAAAACGGAGAGACUGGUUUUUGGGUGAUAAGUGUGAAGAGAAAUAUUCCAGUUUUGUAAGAUUACUGAAAUGAAUUUCAGAUAUUACCCCUUCCCAAGAAUUCCAACCAAGAAACAACUCAGUCAGCUCUCUAAGUUGUCCGAUACUUUCUGGAAUCGUCCCAUUCAUUAGAUUGAAUGACAAGUCAAGUCUCUUCAUGCGCAGCAAGUUUCCAAUCCAUGUUGGAAUUGGACCUGAGAUGGAGUUUUUACUCAGAUAAAGACUCUCUAAGUUGGUAAGGUGUUGAAUUGAAUUGGGGAAGGGACCAACAAAACUAUUAUAGCUCAAGUGUAGGGAUUUUAAAUUCUUAAAGAGCCCUAAUGAAUCUGGCAACUGACCACUGACUUGAUUAUCGCCCAAGUUUAACUCUUCCAAGGAACUAUUAGCGCAUGCUGAUAAACCAUUCACCAAUUCAAUUCCUUCACUUCCAAUAUGAUUGUACGAGAGAUCUAAGGUUACCAAGUUGUGAAGGCUUAGCAAGUUAACAUGGGGAAUCGGACCUUUAAUUGUAGCACCAUUUAAAUAAAGAUCCAUAAGGGUACUGAUGUUAAACAACCAGCCAGGCAAAGUAGUGUUGAAAUUGUUGUAGGAGAGAUCAAUGACCAAAAUAGAAGUCAAAUUAACAAACGGAUUGGAGUACUGAGGGAAAUGACUGAGUUCACAAUUGGACAAAUGUAAUUCUAACAAAAAUGGAAGCAUGUUUGCAGCUUGCAUCCAAUUUGUGGUUGCUUUACUAAGGUUCACAUGCCCCAUAUCAAGGUAUUUUAAAGAAGAAAGACCAGAAAGCCAAUUCAAAUUAUGAACCCUCAUUAAUGGAGCAGAAAAGUUGUAGUAGUAAUCUCCUCCACUAAGGUUAAGAUAACAUAACUGUGAUAAAUUUCCAAGAUGAGGAGGAAUCAUUCCACCAAAUGCUGCAUAGGAGAGAUCAAGGUAUCUCAAUCUUUCAAAUGAGCCCAAGAAAUUUGGAAUUGGAAUUCCUUGAAAAUCAUUAAAACUUAGGUCCAAGUAAUUUAAAUGUUUCAAGUCAAGUAAGGAAUCACUUAUCUCACCACCCAAACGUGAGAAGUCACCACCAGAUUUUAGGUCAACCUUGACAACAUGCCCUGUUUGGUUGUUGCAAUCCACACCUUUCCACUUGCAGCAAUCUGCACCAACCCAGGAAGAAAGCCUACCUGAAGGAUCUUUCAGUCCAUUUUUGAAUUCAAGAAGCGCUUUCCGCUCUACCUCAAUGCAGCCCUUGUUCAUACCACCAUCAAUGGAAUUGAUAAUAGUAGCUUCAGCUAGGAGACGCUCGAGAAACAGAGAAAGGAGAAAAAGAGUAAGAAGUAGAAGGGUGGUUUUCCAACUUGCCAUUUGAUGAAUGCAAAGUUGCAAAGUUAUUAGUGGGUGCUAUAUAAAUAAUUUAGUCAACUAUUUUAAGUCUUUUGGCCGCCAUAAAUAUAGAAGAAAUUAUCAAGUUCAAUCACAAUCGGAUCACAUAUCUCUUCUAUCCCUGAGUAAAUUAAUUCAAGACAUUAAUUACCAAGUGUUUGGUCCAAAGAAAAAAAGAAUUUUUUUUAUUCCUAAUUUACACUCAUCUAAUUAUUAACUAGAAUAAAAAAUUUCAAUUAAUUAAAAAAUUAAAAUUUAGAUUUUAAUAUUUUUCCCAAAUUCAAAAUUCAAAAAUUAAUAAAUUAAUCUCAACUAUGUUAUUCAUAAAUCCCAAGAUAGGUUACAUAAAAAUAAGUUUUAACUAAGAAAAUUUCUAACAUUUUAUUAACUACCAAGUAUAAUUAGAAAUCCUAAUUAUUAUCUAAUUAUCAAUUUUCUACUAAUUAUAUAAUUAAUUAUUAUGCAAUUUUAUUAUGCUAAUAAAUUAUGAUAUUUUGGUAUAUUUUAAAAUAUAUUAAAUUACCAUUUUUAAAUUAUUAAUUUUAAAAUCAAAAUAAAAAAUAUAAUAACUAUUUUUUAGAUAUUUUUAACAUGUAAACAUAAAUAAAUAUAACAUUCCAAACAUUAAUAAAAACAAGCAGUUUAACACUUGACAAUAUUUAUAUAAUAAUAAGAAAUAAGCAACUUAAACACUUAAUCAGUCUACUAUAUUUAAGUCAAAGUUAUGCCUAUUCAAAUUUCAAACAAAAAAUAAUUAAAUACCACCUUACACUUAUUAUGCAUUACUCAAGCCAUUUAUAUAUGUAAUAAAGAAUUUCAAUAUAUAUAAAUUUUCAUGAUAUUUUAUUUUCGUUUGGAGGAGAAAGUUUCAAAUAGCUUUCUUCAAUUAUUUAAAGUUAGUGACCGUCAAUACAAGAAAAUUUUGACACAAAUCUAAAAAGAAAAACAAUUUCCACACAAGUCUAAAAAUGUCUUUUAGGGAAAGUAUUAAAACAUUUUUUGAAUUUCUCCACCUCUUGAUUGUUUUCUUAGACAGUGACUCCAAGGACUUUUGUGACAUGUUGACUGUUGACUGAAACAAAGUCCUUGUCUAUUUGGUGUGAGUUAGGAAAAAAAAAAAAGGGAAGUUGCAUUUUUUUUUAAUGAAAAAAUUUAUUUUUUCUAAAUAAAAAAAUUCUUUUUUUUUUUAAAAUAAAAAAUUUCCUUAUCUAACCAAACCAAUUUUAACCAAUUCAUUGUAGCCUAAUUAGUUCAGUUUUUCAUUUAAAGACGUUUGGUUUAGCUUGCAAAAAAAAAAAAAAAAAAACAAAAACAAAAAACAAAACAAAAAACAAAAACAUGGUUAAAUAAGUGGUAUUUAGUUUUUCUCUAAAAUCUGAAUGGAAUAUUAUUAAGUAUUUAGGUCAUUUUUUUUUAUUAAUGCUAAAUAUUUUUAAGUGUUAAAUUGCUUGUUUUUAGUAAUGUAUAAAGGCUUAAAUUUAUUUAUUUUUACACAUUAAAAAUAACUAUAAAAUUAGUUAUUAUUAUUAUUAUUUUAAAAUUAAUAAUUUAAGAAAUAGUAAUUUAAUAUAUUUACAACUAUCUCAAAAUAUUAUAAUUCAUUACCAUAAAAAUAUAUAUAUAUAAUAAUUAAUUAUGUUAUUUAUAGAAAUUUAAUAAUUAGAUAAUUAUUAGGAUUUUUAGUUAUGCUUGGUUGUUAAGAAAAUGUUAAAAAAUUUCUAAGUUAAAAUUUAUUUUUAUAUAAUAUAUUUUCAGAUUUAUGAAUAUUGUCGAGAUUAAUUAUUAAUUUUUUUCUUUUAAAUUUGGGAAAAAUAAGAAAGACUAAAAUUUUAGUUUUCAAAAUUAAUUGGAUUUUUUUUUAUUUUAAUGAAUAAUUAGAUAAGUGUAAAUUCAAGGACAUGAACGACCCCAAUUUUUUUAUAAUGACUAAUUAUGCAAAGUGUAGAAAAAUAAUAAUUAGAUAAUUAUUAGGAUUUCUAAUUAUGCUUGGUUGUUAAAAAAUUUAUAUGCUAAAACUUAUUUUUAUAUAACUAUCUUCAAAUUUGUGAAUAUUGUUGAAAUUAAUUUAUUAAUUUUUAUUUUUAAUUUGGGAAAAAUGUAAAAAUCUAAAUUUUAUUUUUAAAAUUAAUUGGAUUUUUUUAUUCUAGUUAAUUAUUAAAUGAGGGUAAAUUAGAAAUCUAAGUUCAAGGACAUUAGUGAACCAAACUGACUUCAAACCUAACCAAUCCAAUCUUAUUACUUUUUAUUUCCAUUUAAAGAUGUUUGUUUCUAUUUUUAAAAAAAAAAAUGAUUACAUUGGUUUAGUGUUCAUGAACCAAUCAAAGCUAAACCAACCGAAUUUAUCUAUUAUUUAUCAAAAAAAUAAAAAUAAAAAUAAAAACAAUUACAUUGGUUCAGUAUUCAUUUCAAAACAACGAAUCAAUAGAAACCGAUCUAAUCAAAUCUAUCUAUUAUAUAUUCGACUUAAAAGGUGCAAAAUUUGAAGUUAUUUUUCGACUUCAUAUUUUGCUUCUCAUAAUUUACUAUAAAUUUAUGAAGUUAUUUUUUAGUUGUCAUAUUUUUUAAAAAUAUUUUAUUUUUUCAAAAUAAAUUCACUAAAUAUUAUCUCACAUGCAUUUGUGGUUCACUAAAUUUUUAAUAAUCAAAUUAAUAAAUUUGUAAAAGGAAAAUAUUAUAUUUUCUCCAUUUUGUUCACUUGAUAAACAUAUCUACAAAAAUGUCAAGCGGAUGUUUGAAAUUUACCUCUUUUUUUUAUUGUGUAAUAUUUGGUUGAUUGUAUUUAUAAAGCAUUAUAAAUCUCAAGAAAGUACACAGAGUCCUAAAUUAUUAUGAAUAAAAUAAAAUUAUUAAUUUAAAUUUAGUCUUUAUAUUGAAAAGUUAAAAUAAGUGAAAUGAGUUUGAAGUAGUUUAUAAAAAUAAUUUAUUAACUUUAAAUCUAUGUUAUAUUUUUUUUCUUUUUUUUUUCAUCCAAUUUUUUUUUUUUUUUUUUUUGAUAUUUUUUCCCUUGUAUUUCCCCCAAAUUUUGUCCAAACCAAACAUAAACUUGGAAAAUAUGUCAAACCAAUACUAGUAUUUGAGACUUAGAAAUUUUUUUUAAAGGAUUGGAUCAAGAUUCAAUCACGAUUAGACCACACAUGGCCCUUUUGCCCAUAAUUAAAUUAAUUUAAGAUAUUUUAUUUAUUAAGAUAAUUAUCAAGCUUUUGAAAUAUGAAGUUGUUGUCCAUCCAAAGAAAAAGAAAAAAUAUUUUAUUUAUUUAUUUUGCCUAACACACAUAUAGACUAAGAACUUUUCUUCGAUUAAAAGUCAAGAUGCCACAAAAGUCCUUGAAGUCAUUAUGAACAAUUACCUAGAAAAGAAAUUCAAAUAAUGCUUUAAUGAAUGGUGUAUAUAUUUUCUUUAAAAUGCAUUUUUAGACUCCUACUACAAGUUUUUCUCAUGGGCAAAAACAAAAAAUAAAAAAUAAAGCUUCAUUUUUUUGCCUAACUCACACGCAAUAGAGUAAGGACUUUGUUUCAGUCAAGAGUCAACAUGUCACAAAAGUCGGUGAAGUCAUUGUCUAAAGAAAAUAAUUAUAAAAUAAUAAAUAAUACUUUAAUGUGUGAUGUACAUAUUUUCUCCAAAAGGCAUUUAUAGACUCAUACAAUUUUCUCCUAUGGACCAUUUACCAACUUCAAUUAAUUGAAGAAAGUUACGGGAAUUUAAGUGAUAUGGCCUAUAAAGGAAAAUAAAAUGUCAUGAAAAUUAUUUAAAAUUUUAUAGAUAUUCAAUUUUUUAUUAUUAUUAUAAAGGGUUGGAAAACUGCAUAACAAGUCUAUGCCUUUUGGAAAAAUGUUUAUUAUUAUUACAAAAUAAACAUUUUGUGACGAUUGAUUAUGUAAUAGGUUAACAUUUAUUUUUAUGUAAUGUAUCUUUUGAUUUAUUAAUUUUUAAUUGAAAUUUAUUUUUGUAACGUAUCUUUUGAUUUAUGAAUUUGUAAUUGAAAUUUAAUUUUUAUAUCUGGUGGCAAUGCCAGUCACAAAACAAAAAGGUGAUGAAGACCUUUCGGCUCUUCAUGGGCCAUGUAUCACAAGCGUAUGAGCCAAUCAUGGACCCCAUCGUGUCCUCAACUUUAACCGUGGCUAUAAAUCUAAAUACUGAUGUAGAACCCUAUCUCAAAAUGGUCCAUUCGAUAGGCAUUAGGCACCUACCACAAGAAAAUUAAUGAAAACAAAAAAUGAAGUUUCAUUUUUUUUGCUUAACUCACACGCAAUAGACUAGUGACCUUGUUUUAGUCAAGAGUCAACGUGUCGGAAAAGUCUUUAAAGUCAUUGUCUAAGGAAAAUAAUCACAAAAUAAUAAAUAAUAUUUUAAUAUAAGAUGUAUAUAUUUUCUUCAAAAGGCAUUUCUACACUUCUACAAUUUUCUCGGACCACUUAACAACUUCAAUUAAUUGAAGAAAGUAUUAUUAUUAUUAUUAUUAUUAUUAUUAUUAUAAAGGGUUGAAAAAAUGCAUAACAAGUCUAUGUGGUAUUUAUUUAUUUUUGUCUAAAAUCUAAAUAAACCUAAAUUAUUAUUUUUUUUAUUUUAAUUCUAAAAUUAAUAAUUUAAGAAAUAGUAAUUUAAUAUAUUUACAAAUAUAUCAAAAUUCUUAAUUUAUUACCGUAAUAAAAAAUUUCUAACAAUUAAUUAUGUAAUUAGUAGAAAAUUUAUAAUUAGAUAAUGAUUAGGAUUUUUAUUUAUAUUUGUGUGGACCCCGUAUUUUGGCUCAUAAGCUUCCACUCGAUGGCGAGCUCGGUUUUUACUUGAAAAUGAUUUUAUUUAUUAAGAAAAAUGACUUGGAGUUGCCACUUAUUUUUGUUUUAUUUUUAUAGGGUAAACAAAAUAAAAAAGAAAACUCUAAGUGUAACUUUUUAUUUUCAGAAAAUGUGGUCUGUGAAAAACCGGAUCGGGAGUCAAGUUACUUAUCGGGAAGGUACGGAAAAGACCGUAGCACCCCUCUAAGUUCCUAAAGAUGGAUCUCUAUUAAUGAAAUGAAGCUGACAUGACAAUUGAUAAGAAAAUUGAUGGAUACCUAAAAUGAUCAUGCACAUGCGUAGAGAAUGACCAGAGUGAACGUGGGUGCGUACCUGAGCAACGAUCCACAAUGUGCUAUCAAGAAAGGGGGUUAGUGUACAAUAAUGAUCAUAAAAUAUGGUUCACAUGUCACUAAACAAAAUAUGAAAUCAUCAUAUAUCACAAUUCAAUCAAGUUGAUUUUCAAAAGGAAACAUCCAAUAAUGUUGGGCUCCCACCAAAGCCCGCUUUAUUCUUGCAUGAAUUUAUUCCGUAAAUUCCAUUAUUCGGAAUCACGGGAUUUAAUUCCUACUUAUUUUAAAACAUUUUGAGAAUCAAAGAAAAUUCGAAGAUGGCUUGCCGGAAGGAAAAAUGGCGGCCAAAUUUUAUUGAAAAUGAGAUCUUGGUAACUAAAAAAAAAAAACUAAGAAUAAAAGAAAAAGUGGAGGAGUUGGGAUUAUUUGAAAAACUGAAUUUGAAAAAAUAUUUACAUAAACGAGAUAUGGGGCAAUGAUUUUAAAAUCAAAGAUGAUGAAAAAUAAUAAUAAAAAAGAGGGCACGUGGUCUAAGGCCCAUGUCUAAGGUAACCAUGCAAAAAUACAUAAAUAGGAGAGUUGAUAAGGAAUAACCAUGCGGGAAUGGGUCUUUAGAGUGCUGCUGCAACUGCUACACCAGUAGCUCAUCACCUUCUCGAAAACUCCACCAAUGAUAACAAGAAGUAUAGUCCUAGGAAUCUUUUGAUAAUUGAAGAAAGAACGUGAAUGGCACAGGCUCUGAUUGCUUGCUCAAAACCUAGAAUAAUUGCAACUAUGUGUCAAUUCUUAGCUGCUUCGUUCCCGAACUAACGGAACCUUGCUAUCUCCAAAUGAUGUGAGAGAACAAUCAAAGCCUUAAACUCUUCCUCCAUUUGCACUCAUUUUGGAAUUACAAAGAGACAAAGGCUGAAAUCUGGAGCUGGCAUUGCCAUGAAGGGUCUUUGCCAAAAUCUGAAUAGCGAUUUGGGUACUCAUGCGCUCUGACUCAAGUUGGUAGAGGCGGCGAGGGCAGAGAUUUACAUCCAAGGCAUACAUUUGUGGAGACGCCACUAUUGAGAUAUUAGGAAUGCUUUCCUUAUAUCAUUCUUUCCUUAUAUCAUUUAGUGUUGAGAUAUUAGGAAUGUUUAGAUAUUAGGAAAGUUGAGAUAUUAUGAAUAUUGAGAUAUUAGGAAUAUUGAGAUAUUAGGAAAGUUGAGAUAUUAGGAUAUUAGUUGUUAUUUCCUUAUAUCAUUCUUUCCUUGUAUCAUUCUUUCCCAUUCUUAGAAUGGUGAUUACCCUCUAUAUAUACUCUGUACAUGAACGAAUGAAAGAAUGAAUGAAAAAACUAUCAUUUAUCAAUUUGAAGAUGGUAUUAGAGCCAUGGAACUGAAAUCCUGGAUAUUUUGUCGCUAUGGUAGUCCGACAGCGAUCAACCAUCCUAAGACAAGCCCUAAUAUUGAUAAGUCAACCUUCAAAUGCACUCACUGCAAUAAGACUGGUCCCACUAGUCUGGAUAUCCCACAAUUUCAAAGCAACGACUCUUGGUAUGACCAGGAAAACAAUGAGGAACCGAGGGUUUGAACCAUGGACCUUUAGAUCAUGUUUAGGCUAUCAACACUUUGUUAUUAGUGAUAAUAAUCGUGAUCAACGGAAGAAGGAUUCCAAGAAAACCUCGACUGCAACUAUUGCCGAAAUAAAAACAUAGGCUAAUGUUGCUGAGAAAGCUUCUGCAUUGGUAGCCGCUACUGAUCAUAGUGGUAAGUUUUUAAAUACUUUUACACCUGUUAUUAAUAGUGCAUGGAUAAUUGAUUCUGGUGCUACAGAUCAUAUGACUUUUGAUUUUAGACAAGUUUCACCCCUUAGACCUUCCUCACAAAAAAUUGUUUCCACAACUAAUGGUAACACAACCCCAGUCAUUGGGGAAGGAUCCUUAACUCUUACUGAUACUUUGAAUUUGGAUUCUGUUUUAGUUGUUCCAUAUUUAGAUUACAAUCUUUUGUCAGUUUCUCAAAUCACUGCAGUCUUAUCUUGUAUUGUCAUUUUUUGGUUUGAAUUUUGUGUGAUUAAGGACAUCCAAACAAGACAGACGAUUGGUUGUGGUAUUAAGCGGGGAAAACUCUAUUACUUGGACUUGCAGUCAAAGGAUUCAAAUAAGUUGCAACAAGCUUUAAUGGCAGAUGGAUUUGAGGGGGAGAAGAAAAAGUCUGAAAUUUGGUUGUGGCAUCAACGUCUGGGACAUGCUUCCUUUGGUUAUUUAAAAAAAUUGUUUCCUAAUUUGUUUGCAAAGAGUGAUAUUUCUGGUUUCCGUUGUGAUAUUUGUGAAUUGGCUAAAAGCCAUCGUGCUUCAUUUCCGUUAAUUUUGAAUAAAAGUCCGUUUCAUUUUAUGGUUAUACAUUAUGAUGUUUGGGGCCCAUCCAAAGUCCUAACUUUGAGUGGCUCAUGUUGGUUUGUUACUUUUAUUGAUGAUUGUACCAGAAUGACAUGGUUAUGUGAUUACUACUCAAAAAAUGCUCUUUGAUAGCUUGUAAUAAACUCUUUUAAACACUUUUGAGUAGUAGUUAUUGCAUUUUAAUCCAAUUAACAUGUUAAGGACCCUUGCAAUCAAUUCUAAUCAAAUUAUGUUAAGUUUUGGUGUUUUGAUAGCCUUUUGAUCACCAAAGCAAUCCGAGAUUGAGGAGAGUUAUAUGGAAUCUUGGGAAAAGCAAUUGGAAGCUCAGAAACAUGAAGAACCGAAGCUUUGAAGUCCUUUGCCAUAAGUAAAUCCGGAAUGCAAGGAGAAGAAGUAAAGAGAAUCUGCCAUGAAGCAUAUUCUUGAUGACAGUCGUGUCAGCCACUUUUGGAGCACUUUCUAAAGUCCAAUUGAUGCAUGCUAUAUGUCAUUUCAAAGCUCAGGAAGUCAACAAUCCAAUGCUUCAAAUGAUACACAAUUUGGAGUUGAAACGAAGAAGUUACAGCCACUGCAAGUCAAUCACUCUAAGCUGAAGAAAGCAUUUUGCAAAAGUGUUGCGAAAUCACCCUUUUGUUGCGAAGUGAUUUCGCAGCCUUUUUGUACAGUGUGGUGGAUUUCCUCCUGAAGUUGCCCGAUAUGUGCGACAAGUUGGAAGCUGAGAACCUCAAGAUGAAAGCCAACUUCGCAGCCCUGCGAGAAUAACCUUUUGCUGCGAAGUGAUUUCGCAGCCCUUUUUGUAUUUCUGCGAAAUCUCGCAGACAUCAUUUUCUCUUGCGAAAUGGUCCUUAGUGCGUCCCGAUAUUUGCUACCGACAUUGGGAGAUAUUUUCCAUCAGAUUUUUGUUGUCUAAAUCCCAAAAUUCUCCUUGUAAGCCACCAAUUACAAGAUUCCUUAGCUUUUAAGUUAGUAAAAAGAGUAAAUAUCCAUGUAAUAAUUAGUUUUGUAUUAUGUUCAUAUAUAAAUACCCCUCGAGAGCCUGUUCUCAGGGAGGAGACCUUUUGUAAAGUUUUGGAAAAGCAAGUAAAGUUCAGGUCCUUUGUUUUGCCUUAACUUCUCACUUUGUAUUUUUUUUAUUUCUUACUAAGUUAUGCACUCUCUAAGGAAUUUUUCCCAGAGAAUGAGUAACUAAACCUUUAGUUUCUUAGAGCUAAGGUUGCCGGUGAAGGUUCCAAGUGCAAGAAUGCAAAGCUCUGUGGUUUCAGCCAUGAAUGAAGAGGAAGUGAAAUCCUUUAGUGAUUUCUAUGUUUUUAGUUAACUUAAAACACCUUAGCGUCACCUAGGCCAACACUUGGUAAGGCAAGUGAUCUCCAACCAUGGAGAUGCACUAGUUUACCCCUUGCGAGCCUCUGGGAGGUGACUUUAAGGUAGGAUUUUCUGGAAUUGCCAACACUUGGUAAGCUUUUGGACUCCAAGGAGACAUCCAUUAGUUAUCUCUUGCGAGCCUGAGAAGGGAAGUCCAAGGUUAAAGAUCACCUUGAAUGGUUAAGGCUUAGUGAGAGGUUUGAACCAUUGCAAGUUGCAUCAGUGAGAUAAUUAAAGUUGAAAUCUAAUUAAAGGAUGUAUCUGUACAACACCGAUUAGAGAAUUGACUAUAUGUUGAAUCUCUAACGCGAGGAAAUGAACCAUCUGACCGGAGCUAUGUCUUUUGCAUGAGGAACCACCCCAAUGAACCUGACCCUCUAAGGAAUGUUUUUCUUCCUAAGUUAUUCCCAUUACUUGUUUUGUGAGUUAGUUUGAAUCUAAAUCUUUUCCAAUCAAGGUUUGAGUUUUCUUUCUUAAGCUAACCUUGAAAUGAAACACUACCAAUUCACUUUGAAUUAAUAUCAUUUGUAAUUUGGAAACCCUUCCCAGUGAACGAUCCUAGAGCCGUUAUACUAUAAUAGCUUUUUCUUUGCUACCCUAGUAUAUGGUGUAAUAGGUUAUAAAUUUUGUUGAUUACUCCCUCAAUCAAGGAGCACCAGCUGGACAUGAAUCAGCUGAGACACCAAUUGGGCACGAAUCAUUAUGCUUGAUGAAGACCAAAGAUGAAGUGAACUUGUUGUUUUAAAAUUUUCAUAAAAUGAUUGAAACUCAGUACAAUGCAAAGGUUCGGGUUCUGCGUAGUGAUAAUGGUGGAGAAUAUCAAAGUUCUGAUCUUCAAAAGUAUUUGGAAGGACAUGGCAUCAUUCAUCAGACUACUUGUUCCAAUACACCCCAGCAAAAUGGAGUCACUGAACGAAAAAAUCGGCACUUGUUAAAGGCUGUUCGUGCUUCCUUGAUAGCAGCAAAAACACCGAUAUCUUAUUGGGGAGAAGCAAUCACAUCUGCCGCAUACUUGAUCAAUCGGGUACCUUCUAGCUCAAUUAACUUUCAAACACCUCUCCAAGCUCUUACUAAUGUCGUAGUUGCCCUAACCAUCCCAAAUCUACCUCCUCGUGUUUUUGGUUGCGUGGCAUUUGUGCAUCUACACAAGCACCAACGCACCAAGUUAACUUCCCAUGCAUUGCAAUGUGUGUUUGUUGGAUAUGCAUUGCACAAAAAGGGAUAUCGAUGUUACCAUCCUCCAACUCGACAAAUGUAUAUUACAAUGGAUGUAGUGUUUCAUGAAGAUUCAAUGUAUUUUUCAUCUGAGUCUGAACUUCAGGGGGAGUACCAUAAGGAAAUUCAGACUCUCGAUUAUGAUUAUCAUAUCUCUGAGGAAGAUGAAUCUAGACAAUCUGAACUAGUGAACUAGGAAGCGGGUAAGUUGGAUAUGAGUGGUCAAGUAUUUGGGUCCGAAGAUGUCUUCACUGAAAUACCAAACCAAACGUCGUCUGUUGAGGGUGUUCUUAAUUUGGAACCUGAUCCAUUCAUGAAAUGGUUACUACACCGUCAUAAUAGAGGUAUUCUUAAACCCACAUAUGAACCUGAAUUGUCUACCAAAGUCAAAUAUCCCAUGAGCAACUAUGUGUCUAACCAUCGUUUGUCUGAAUCAAAUAAGUCAUUUGUAAAUCAAUUAUCUACUGUAGCUAUUCCUAACAGUGUGCAUGAAGCCUUAGCUGAUCCAAGGUGGAAAGCAACCAUGAAUGAAGAGAUGAAAUCAUUGCAGAAGAAUGAAACAUGGGAACUCGUAGAAUGUCCACCAGGAAAAAAGCCAGUUGGGUGUCGUUGGAUCUAUACUGUGAAGUACAAGGCAGAUGGUAGUAUUGAACUAUUUAAAGCAAGACUGGUAGUAAAAGGGUACACUCAAACUUAUGGAAUUGACUACACAGAGACAUUUGCACCUGUAACUAAGAUCAACACAGUUCGAGUAUUACUGUCUUUAGCUGCAAACCUAGAUUGGCCAUUACAACAAUUUGAUGUGAAAAAUGCCUUUCUACAUGGUGAGUUAUCUGAAGAAGUAUAUAUGGAUCUUCCACCAGGAUGCAUGGUGUCAGAAAAGCAAUGUCAGAAGGUGUGCAAAUUGAAGAAGUCAUUGUAUGGGUUGAAGCAAUCCCUGAGAGCAUGGUUUGGAAGGUUCACAAAGUCAAUGAGAGCUUUUGGCUAUCGUCAAAGUAAUUCAGAUCACACUUUGUUCCUGAAAAAGCAACAUGGUAAGAUUACGACACUCAUCAUAUAUGUGGAUGACAUGGUAGUUACAGGAAAUGAUCCUGAAGAAAUAAAAGCUCUACAAAAUUAUCUAUCUAUAGAAUUCGAAAUGAAAGAUCUAGGUCAUCUGAAAUACUUUCUUAGGAUUGAAGUUUCUUGAUCAAGUGAAGGAAUUUUUCUGUCUCAAAGAAAGUAUGCUUUAGAUCUUUUACAGGAGACUGGAAUGUCGGGAUGUCAACCUGUUAAUACACCAAUAGAAGAAGGUCUGAAAUUGUGUGUUGAGCCUAAUCAAGUAUCAACCGAUAAGGGAAGAUACUAGAGACUUGUGGGGAGAUUAAUGUACUUAGCUCAUACAAGACCAGAUCUUGCUUAUACAUUGAGUGUAGUGAGUCAAUACAUGCAUAAUCCUGGAGAGCAACAUAUGAAUGCAGUCAUGCGUAUUUUGAGGUAUUUGAAGAAUGCUCCUAGGAAGGGAAUUUUGUUCGCUAAAAAUGUUGAUCAUCAGAGUAUAGAAGUAUAUACUGAUGCUGAUUGGCCGGUGCAGUGGAUGAUAGACGAUCUACAUCUGGUUACUUUACCUUUGUAGGUGAUAAUCUUGUGACAUGGAAAAGUAAGAAGCAGAAUGUCGUCGCUCGUUCAAGUGCAGAAGCGGAAUUUAAAGGUAUGGCUCUAGGACUUUGUGAGGCAUUAUGGCUAAGACUCCUCUUACAGGAUUUAGGUUACCUAUCUAGCCAACCAAUUCGAUUGUUUUGUGACAAUAAAGCCGCAUGUGACAUUGCUCAUAAUCCAGUACAACAUGAUCGUACAAAGCAUGUCGAGGUGGAUAGAUUCUUCAUUAAGGAAAAGUUGGAUGAUAAGAUUAUGGAAUUGCUUAAGAUUUGAUCAGAAGAUCAAUUGGUCGAUAUCCUUACCAAAGCUGUCUCAAGUCAAGUGUUCUCAAAAUUUUUAGACAAGUUGAGCAUGUGUGACAUCUAUGCACCAACUUGAGGGGGAGUGUUGAGAUAUUAGGAAUGCUUUCCUUAUAUCAUUUAGUGUUGAAAUAUUAGGAAUGUUUAGAUAUUUGGAAAGUUGAGAUAUUAUGAAUAUUGAGAUAUUAGGAAUAUUGAGAUAUUAGGAAAGUUGAGAUAUUAGGAUAUUAAUUGUUAUUUCCUUAUAUCAUUCUUUCCUUGUAUCAUUCUUUCCCAUUCUUAGAAUGGUGAUUACCCUCUAUAUAUAUUCUGUACAUGAACGAAUGAAAGAAUGAAUGAAAAAACUACCAUUUAUCAAUUUGAAGAGCCACUUCCUGAAUUGCAUUUACAGCGGACAUAUUGGAUGAAUUGUCUUUAAAAAGAAAAGUAUUUAGGACUGCCACUCUCUUUCAUACAAAAAAUCAUGCGUCCCACAAUAUCAGUGUUUGACACUCCUUCUGUGCACUUGAUCUGCUUGUAGUGACCAGCCCACAUCCUAAAAAAAUCUAGGUAAUCUCUCCAACGAGCUCCGGUGUCAACGAUUUGACAUGUCUCUUCAUGUAAAUGGCUAACUGAUUCUUGUCCAAUACUGAUUGCACUUGAAGCUUAAAUGUAUCAACGAUAUCAGCCACUUCGAUGACUUGAUGCAACCUAGAAGUCCUUCAAGUCAUAACUCACAAACUUGGACAGUUUCUCAUGAAAACAGUCACCUUGUAGCCAACACGAAACUCAAAACACAGUCUCACAAGAACAACUUCAACCAUCGCAUCCAUUCUCUCAUACGGAGAUCCCAAGAGGAAUUUAAAAACGUGCAUCUGUUGGAAUACAUUUGAAGGAAGUAUAUUUCUCGGGGCAUCAAGAGUUGUUACAAAUCUCAUCAUUAAAAUGACUGGAACCUUGACCACCCAUUCACUCAACAUGAGAAUGAAAUCUGAUAACACGGACCCACAACAUCGCUUCAUAUCAUCUAUUAUCACAACCACCGGCUUGUUGUAGCUGCCCGAAUCACUACACCAUGAUGCUAAAAUGGAUACAUCAGCUGCGUCCAAAGCAACCAUUAGAAACUGUCUCAACAAACCUCUGAGACAGCCGCCAAUGCCAUUAUUAGCCAAAAAAUUAAUGUAUGAUAAGUUAGCCACAUGACAUCCAUGAGAUUUUAGAUGCAGACCGAACUCUUCCCAACGUCAUCAAAUCAUCAAUGUAACCCCAUAUUCUAGGUGAAAACCAAACCAGUGAAUAGUUGCCUUAAGAUGGAUGUUCCUCAAAACAUCCUUAAUAGUGGACUCAAUAUUUGGCCAAACAAAAUUGAAGGCUUCCAUUCGUAAGUGCUCAUGGUGAUGAUCAUCCCGUUCUUUAUCCGUGCCAAUUUCCAUUUUCUCGGCAUUUUUGACUGAGAUUGGAGAUGAGUCAAUCUUCUUCCUGAAAUCUAGCUUUGAUCCAACAAGUCUCGAAGUUCAAAGCAAACGCAAAUGCUCAAUUUUUCUCAUUAAAUGCACUCGACGGUGUUCUUAUAACCCAAGUCCCGUAUGCAUGAAUAAUAAGAGCGGAUAGAUAUGAAAGAUAGGGGAUGUAGCCAACGGGAUGGGUGAUGAAGAAAAGUGGGAUAGAUGGGUUAGGUCAAUAAGAGAGAUAAAAAGUUAGGUGUGAUCACGGGUAUGAGAGAAAUGGUAAGCUCAUAUGGGAUGAACUGUGGGUGUCAAUUAUGAUGGGUAUGAACGACAUGUAAUGGCAUGUAAGCGGUUGGAGAAAUGUGUGAUGGACGUUAAUGAGGCCACGUAUGGCCAUGCAACAAUGGAGGGAAUAGGUUUGAGGUGCACUUGGAAAAUGGGUAUGUAAUGUGGUAAAGAGAGAGAAAGUGAAUUCGGUGGUAGUGGGCAUGAGAGGUUCGGUGGAUGUGAGUGAAAGUGUCCAUAGGGGGUGGCCAUGCAUGCAUGAUUCCAAUGCAUGUAGGUAGGUGACUUUGGGAUUCCAAUGGAGAUGAGCACGACACGGGUAUGGUGGUUAUGACGGAGGAUGGUGAGUAAGGGAAUGAGCAUGGAGAUGGAUGUGGUGUAUGAAGGUUAGUGAGAAGUGGGUUAGCGACGGAAACAUGAUUCUAGUGCGUGCAUGAGAGGGAAAUGGGUAUGGUGGAGGAUGCUUGAUUCCUGCAAGCGUGAGUGAAUGAUGGGUAUGGCUAGCACGAAGGACAGAAAGAUGGUGAAACGGAGCGGGUUUGAUGGGUCUCGGGAUGGAUAUGAUAGAUGGUGGAGAAAAUGGGUUAGUGGGGGUGUGAAUUGAUUCGUGCCCAAUUGGUGUCUCAGCUGAUUCGUGUUCAGCUGGUGCUCCUUGAUUGAGAGAGUAAUCAACAAAAUUUAUAACCUAUUACACCAUUUACUAGGGUAGCAAAGACAAAGCUACUAUAGCAUAGUGGCUCUAGGAUCGUUCACUGGGAUGGGUUUUCACUUUGCAAAUGAUAUUAAUUCAAAGCUGAAUUGGUGUCUUUUCAUUUCAAGGUUAGCUUUAAAAGAAAACAUAAAGAUGUUUGAAUGAAAAAGGUUUGGUUUUAAACUAACCAAAAAUAGUAACUGAUUUUACUUACAAAGAAAAAUGUUUCUUGGAGUUUCAGAUCACUAGGCUCAGAUUCCUCAUACAAAAAGGGAGUUUCGGUCACUUGUUUCUUUUCCUCGCAUUAGAUAAUUAACAUAUAGUUCCUUCUCCAACCGGUGUUGUACAGAAACUUCCCAUUAAUGGGUUCAAACACUAAAUCUCUCUCACUGAUGCACCUUGCAAUGACUUGUGCCUCUCACCUAGCAUUUGCCAUUCAAGGUGAUCUUUAACCUUGGACUUUCCUUCAAAAGCUCGCAAUAGAUAACUAAUGGAUGUCUCCUUAGAGUCCAAAAGCUUACCAAGUGUUGGCUAUUCUAGAAAAUCCUACCUUCAAACCACCUACCAAAGGCUCGCAAGGGGUAAACUAGUGAAUCUCCAUGGACGGAGAUCACUUGCCUUACCAAGUGUUGGCCCAGGUGAUUUAAAAGCGUUUUAAGUUAACUAAAAAGAUAGAAAUCAUUAACGAGUCACACUUUCUCUUCAUUAAUAACUAAAACAACAAAACUUCCAAAUUAUGCAUGUGGAAACUUACCCGGAUUUCCUCACUCCAAGAGACGAAGAGCCUAGCCUCUCAUCCUCUGAGGAAAAAUCCUCAGAGUUUGUUUGGCUAGCAAGAAAAUGAAAAUGAAAGAGAAGGAAAAACAGAGCAAGGCUCUGUAUAUUCUAUAUAUUUAUAUAUCUAUCUAUAUGAUGGAUCUCCUGGAACAAGCUCCUCCGAGAGUCCUCCAAGAGUCCCAUUUUUUAGUGUUUACAAGAGAGUUUAUAUAGGAAGGUAAUUUACCCUUCCUUGGAUACUUCUUAGCUAAGGAAUUACAUAAGUGGUUGAAUACAAGGAGAAAAUGGAAAUUUAGACACAAAAAUCUGAAGAAAAAUAUCUCAAAGUUUCGGUCGCAAAUAUCGGGAAGCACUAAGGACCAUUUCGCAGGUGAAAACGAGGUCUGCGAAAUUUCGCAGACGCACAAAAAGGGCUGCGAAAUCACUUCGCAACAAAAGGCUGAUUUCGCAGCGCUACGAAGUUGGCUUUCAACUUGCGGUGUUCGGCUUCCAAUGUGUUGCAACUAUCGGGAAACUUUAGGGGGAAUUCCACAGCACUGUACAAAAAGGCUGCGAAAUCAUCUUGCAACAAAAGGGUGAUUUCGCAACGCUGUGCAAAAUUCUUCCUUCAGCUUAGAGUGAUCGGCUUGCAAUGGCUGUAACUCCUUCAUUUCAACUCUGAAUUGUGUACCGUUUGAAGCAUUGGAUUCUUGACUUCCUGAGCUUUGAAAUGGUAUAUAGAAUGUAGAAAAUGGACUUCAGGAAGUGCUCCAAAAGUGCGAAAGAAGGCUGCAGCUGCUGUCCUCUGUUUUCUUCACUCUAUUUUCCUCUCUCCAGUGCUCUUUCCUUGCAUACUUUGAACGACUAAGGCAAAGGACUAUGAGGCUCCAAAGCUUGGUUCUUCAUGAAUUUGAGCUUCCAAAAGCUUUGCCAUGAACUAUAUACAACUCUCCCUCAUUCUUAAAUUGCUUUGGUGAGCAAAAAGCUAUCAAAAACACCAAAACUUAACACAAUUUGAUUAGAAACGAUUGCAAGGGUCCUUAACAUGUUAAUUGGGUUAAAAAGCAAUAACUACUACUCAAAAGUGUUUAAAAGAGUUAAUUACAAGGUAUGAAAUAGCACUUUUUGAGUAGUAAUCAUGAAUGAAAGGCGCAUGAGGAUACAGUGAGUGCAUAGGAUCAAUGAUAUUAAGCGAUGUGGGUUAGCGAGAAAUGGGUAUGGAGAAGGUAGUGGCUCUCAUGCACGUGGGUGGAUGGAUUUGGGAUGCUAGCAGAUUAGAGGAAGCUUGGGGGGGGGGGGGGGGGGGGGGGNNNNNNNNNNNNNNNNNNNNNNNNNNNNNNNNNNNNNNNNNNNNNNNNNNNNNNNNNNNNNNNNNNNNNNNNNNNNNNNNNNNNNNNNNNNNNNNNNNNNGGGGGGGGGGGGGGCGCAUAUAUGGCGUACUAAAGAUGAGACAAAGGGUCGGCGGAUCUUAUGUGAACCGGAGCAAAGGGGUGCACCCAUGAUUCUGUGGAACCUGGUAGCGGCUAAAACACCGACAGGCUCACCAGCAGGGAAGGGAUGCUCGGAGUUAGUUCUAGUCUUCACUCCAUACUCAAAUUGGAUAGUUGAAUUGCUACAAACAUUCCUCACUGUACCAUCAUAACAGAUAACAACAUCUCGAAGAGUGGCCAUUAAGUUUUUAAACAAAGUUCCUAGUCCAGACAAGCCCCUUGAUGAUCGUACAAUUAUUUCUCGUGGAAAUUGAAUGAACCAUUUCCUCAUAAGGAUCUAAGCCAUGGGAGAAACAGUUUCAUGAAAAGGAUACUUGCUUUUGAAUUAGAUAAGCCAUGCCCUCAACCCAGAUCCUGGAAUAGAACUUACCCUUUUCUGAAGGUUGUAGUCCUAGGAACCCCAUUUGUUGAACUACCUUGUUAAUAGCCGAAUCACUCUUAGAAUCAUUUAAAUUACCCAGUGCAGAUGAAUUCAAAAUUAAAUUAGCAACAAGAACCUUGGUAUGUCUCAAGUGAUUCUCUGCCUGCAACUCUAGCAAUUCAUUAUACUUCGACCUUAAGUUAUACAACAACGAUGAAAUGUCCUCAACCUUUUUUUGGAUAUUCUGUAUGACCUCCCUGGGAUCGGAAGAAUCCUCCAAGCUGACACUGAAACCCUCUGAAAAUAAAUUUUCCAUGAACAAAGGCGGUAAUGAAUCAAAGAACUUCAAGACCUCAUUGGGACCUUCCUCAGAGAAAAUGGAUGUGACAAUUUCAUUUACCAAAGAUUGCAACACAUCUCUAUUAUAAUCAACUUUCAAUAUAACACUUUUGCUAAUCGAGUGCCUCUUUCCAAUACAAUCAAAAUGAGGAGGUAAGGCAGUUUGCAUCUAUGGAAUGGACUUGAGUUUUUCCGUAAGCACCUCGACCCAGAUGACCAGUAUGAAGUGCGACACUCAACAUUUCAAAAAAAAAACUUAAAAGAAAAAAACAUGAGAAGAAAACAGAGCAUGUACACAUAUAUAUAUAAAAAGAAGGCUGCUAAGUCUCGCCCCAUUCCACAGAUGUCAAUGGGAGGGGUUUAGGUGGAACCAAAAGGAAACGUGGUCAUGAUCUCCAAAAAUCAAAUGCAGUGAUGAAUCUACACCCAGAACACUCCAAAACAAAAAAAUAAAAAUAAAAAUGCACAAGUAGUCUUCAAGUGUCAAAGGAAUCCACAAAUGAAAAGAAACAUAGGAGCAUGUACGAAGUGCGACACUCAACAUUUCAAAAAAAAAACUUAAAAGAAAAAAACAUGAGAAGAAAACAGAGCAUGUACACAUAUAUAUAUAAAAAGAAGGCUGCUAAGUCUUGCCCCAUUCCACAGAUGUCAAUGGGAGGGGUUUAGGUGGAACCAAAAGGAAACGUGGGCAUGAUCUCCAAAAAUCAAAUGCAGUGAUGAAUCUACACUCAGAACACUCCAAAACAAAAAAAUAAAAAUAAAAAUGCACAAGUAGUCUUCAAGUGUCAAAGGAAUCCACAAAUGAAAAGAAACAUAGGAGAACUGUUCAAAACGGGAGAAAUAAAACAGACUGAAUCCUCUUUGGCUUGCUCUCCUCUCCUCUCCGUCUCCUUCCCUCCCAGCUAUCCAACUCCACCCCCCCCCCCNNNNNNNNNNNNNNNNNNNNNNNNNNNNNNNNNNNNNNNNNNNNNNNNNNNNNNNNNNNNNNNNNNNNNNNNNNNNNNNNNNNNNNNNNNNNNNNNNNNNUUUAAAGGGGGGGGGUUUGGGGGGAACCAAAAGAAAAGGGGGGGCGGUCCCCCAAAAAAAAAAGGGGGGGGGAAAUCCCCCCCCGGACCCCCCCAAAAAAAAAAAAAAAAAAAAAAAAACCCCAAGGUUUUUUAAAGGGUCAAAGGAACCCCCAAAAAAAAAAAAAAAAAGGGGAAACUUUUAAAAAGGGGAAAAAAAAAAAAGGAGAAAUCCUUUUGGGGUUGUUUUCCUUCCCUUCCCGUUCCCUUCCCCCCCAAUUUUCAAACCCCCCCCCCCCCCCCCCCCCCCCCCCCAAAUAUCUCUCAAAACCCCUGUUUUUGUCUUCCCCAGCAAGCCAUACUACCCACUCCACUAUGCAUUGCUUAGGGAGGAUGUCAUCCUCAACCACCACCAUGGUCGCCUUUGCCACACGUCCAUACAGCUAGUUUCUUCUCCAGAAAGAGGUCCCUUCCACUUCAAAAAAAGAAAAAAGGAAAAAAUUUCUCUCCCGAGUGGUCCCAAAACGAAUGAAAAACCCCUGGUCUUUGAAGAGGUCUACAGUUUGAUUGUUAAGAAACUAUUAGAAGUUUUCUAAGCUAAAACUUAUUUUUAUGUAAUGUAUUUUAUGAUUUAUGAACAUUGUUGAGAUUAAUUUGUUAACUUUUUAUUUUUAAUUUGGGAAAAAAAUAAAUAUUAAUUUUGGAAAUUAAACAAUGGAUAAUAUAAUGAUAGAAUAAUAUUUUUUCCAUUAUGUUUGUUUAAUAGGUAGAUUCACAAAAUAUUUCAGACUUGUAUUUGAGAUUUACCAAUUUUUUCAAAUGAUUGGAUUAAGGUUCAGUCAUGAUUGGAUCAUAUAUAUUAUAUACUAUUCUAUUCAUGAGUAAAUCAAAUGAAUGAUGUAAAUUACCAAGUUCUGCAAACUUCAAGCAUUGCCAAAAGAAAAAAAAAACCAUUUUUUUUAUACGACAUAGACUAAGGACUUUGUAUAAGUCAAUAAUUAAGAUGUCAUCAAAGUCCUUCAAGAAAUGUCCAAGGAAAUUUUAAAAAUCAUGAAAAAAAAAAAGUUAUAAAUGGUGUUUUAAUGUAUUAUAUACAUAUUCUCUUCAAAAGGUAUUUUUAAACUCCUCUUAGAAUUUGCUAUUCCGACAUUCUUUUUUCUUUUUCUUAUCUCAAUUUAAAUAGACUUUAAUUUAACUUAAAUUUAAAUAGUAUGAAAUAUUAAGUGAUUUGUUUUCAAUUUUUUUUUCUUUGACUUAAUUCUUAAAAAAUAUUGUUUUAAUAUUUAAGUCAUUUUAAAGAUCGUUUAUUUGUUUAAUUUAUUAUUUUUUAAGACAAUUUUAUCUUAAUAGAAAAACUAAUUCAUUGUUUUUCUUUUAUCUUAAAUUUUAAAUUAACUUGUUUUAAGACUUAAGUUAGAAUUAAAAUUUUAAAUUUUAAAAAAACAAUAAACCCUUAAACUAUAUUUGUUUAUGAAAUUAAACUAAGAAAAAUAAUUUUUUAAUUAAUGGUUUCAUUGUGGAAAUACAAAUAUAUAUAUAAUAAAAAUAAAUUAAAAUUUUAUACAUUUUAAAAUUAUUUAAUUUAUAUUUAAUAAAAUAAAUAAAUAAAAUAAAUUAAAAAAACAUAUUAACUUCAAUUUUUUUUCCUUCACUUUUUUCUUCCCAUCUAUUUUUGUUCAUUUCUUUCCCUCACUUCUCCCCUCAAAAUUUUAAAUUUAUUUAACCAUUUUAAGUCUUCGUGCCAAUGCUAGUCAUAAACAAACAAUUGAUGAAGACCUUUCAGCCCUUUGUGGAGCAAGUAUCACAAGAAUAUUGAGCCAAUCAUGAACACCAUCCUGUCCUCAACUUCAUCUGUUGCUAUAAAUCUAAAUACUGAUGUAGACCUGUGGACCCCGCAUUUCGGCUCAUGCGUUUCCCACUCGAUGGCGAGCUCGAUUUUGAUUUCGAAAAAUUGAUUUUAUAUUGAUUAAGAAAAAUGACUUGGAGUCGCCACUUAUUUUUGUUUUAUUUUUAAAGGGUAAACAAAAUAAGAAAGAAAAACCCUAAGUGCGACUCCUUGUUUUGGAAAAGGUGGUCUGUGAAAAAUCGGAUUGGGUUCGGGGGUCAGGUUACUCAUCGGGAAGGUACGGUAAAGACCGUAGCACCCCUCUAAGCCCCUAAAGUCGGGUCUCGACUAUUAAAAUGAAACUGACGUGGCAACUGAUGAGUAAAUCAAUGAAUAUCCUGAAUGAGCAUGCACACAUAAGAAUCGAGACAUGCAUAGACAACGGUUAGAGGGAAAAUGGGUACAUACCUGGGCCACGAGCCACCAUGCGCUAUCAUUAGAGAGGGUUAGUACACCAUAUAGAGCACAAAACAUAUCACAUGCAUCACUGAACAGGGAUUAAAAUUGUUCGAAAGAACACUUGAUUUUUGAAAUUCAUUUGAGAAUCGGAAUCUUAGAGAUCAUUUGAAAAUUGGAUUCUUAGGAAUUAGAUGUAAUGAAAUUUUUAAGAGAAGUAAAUGGGUAAGUAUGGAAUAAUGUUACUAAUUAAUCAAAACGAUAUUUGGACGGAUGAAUAGUGAAUAGUGGGAUUUUGAAAAUUAAGUUUGAAAGUCGGAUCUCUGAAUAAUUGGACUCUAAUUAUUGGAAUUUUUAGAAGGAAGAAAUAAGUAAACGUGGAAUUUAUAACAAUGAUAACAAAGGCGACAUUUGGAUGAAUAAAAGAGAAUGGUGGAAUUUUUUAGUCUCAAGGUUAAAUUUGGAGGUCCGGCUUUGAAGAAUUGAAUGUUAAUGAUCGAAAUAAAUAAGUAAAUAAGUAUGGAGUAAUGAUACUGAUGAACCAAAAUAAUGUUUAAACGAAUAAAAAAAAGAGGAUAGUGGAAUUUUUCUAAUUGAGAAUUUGAAUUAGGGCGUUGGAUUUUUUAAGGGACAUGACUUUGACUAAAUAGGUAGGUAUGUGAUUAUAAUACUAAUUAACGAGAAUAACAUUUCGGUGAAUAAAGAUGGAUAGUAGAAUUUUUGGGAUUAAAGUUUUGAUUAAGGCAUGGGGUUUUCGGAAGAUUAGACUUUGAAUGGAUAUGGGAAUAAUGUUUCUAAUUGAUGAAGAUAAAAUUUAGAUGAACUGUAGAAUUUAUAAGAUUGAAAAAUAAGAUUGAAAAAUUGAAUUAAGACAAGAGAUUUUUGAAGAACUAGGUUUUAAAUAAAUAGACGAAUACGUUAUAAUAAUCCUAAUUGAUGGAAAUAAGAUUUAAACGAAUUACUGAGAAACUAAAUUAAGACAGGGGAUUUUGAAGGAUUAGAUUUUAAAUAACUAAAUAAAUGCGGGAUAAUAAUUCGAUUUAUGAAAAUAUGAUUUAAACAAGAAUUAAAUUAAAACUUAGGAUUUUUGAAAGAUUGACAUAGAUAGAUAGGAGAAUAUAGGAUAGUAGUUCUAAUUGAUAAAUAUGAGAUUUAAAAGAGUUUUUGGGGAAUUAAAUUAAAACAUGUGACCUUUUUUAUAGAUUGGGCUUUGAAUAAAUAAUAAAUAAGGGAUAAUGAUUUGAUUUAUGAAAACAUGAUUCAGACAAGAAUUAAAUUAAGACUUAGGAUUUUUGAAGGAUUGACAUAAAUAGAUAGGAGAAUAUAGGAUAGUAGUUCUAAUUGAUGAAUAUGAGAUUUAAAAGAGUAUUUGAGGAAUUAAAUUAAAACAUGGGAUUUUCUUAAUGGAUUAGACUUUAAAUUAAUAAAUGAAUAUAGGAUAUUAAUUCAAAUUAAAGAAAAUAACGUUUAGACAAAUAGUGGGAUUUUAGGAUCGAGAAUUGAAUUAUGACAUUGGAUCCUUUUUUUUUUAAGGGUUGAAUUUUGAAUAAAUAAACUAAUAUAGGAUGAUAAUACUAAUUAACGAAAAUAAUCAGUUAAAACGGGAUAACAAGGACAGUGGAAUUUUUAGGAGUUUGAAAAUUAAGCUAGGACAUUGGAUUUACGAAGGGUUGGAUUUUAAAUUAGUAUAUAAAUAUGGGAUACUAACUCUAAUGGGUGAUAAUGAGAUUUGAACUAAUUAUUGAAGAAUUAAAUUAAGACACAUGAUUUAUUUGGAAGCCUUAGACUUUAAAUAGCUAGACAUAUAUGGUGAUAAUUCUUAAUUGAUGAAAAUGGGAUUUAAAUAGAUUAUUGAAAGAUUAGAUUAGGAUAUGGGGUUUUUCAAGGAUUAGAAUUUAACUUUGAUGACUGAGAUUUUCAAAAGAUGAUAAAUAGAUGCGUACGAAGUAAUAAUAAUAAUUAACAAUCAUAAUGUUUAAACUAGUUAAAUUAGAUGAAAUAAGCUCCAAGAUAAAAAUAUAAUUAACAAUAGUAAUUUGUUCUUUAAUUGCCUUUAAGAUGAGUUAACUAAAUGGGUAAAAAUAAGGUAACAAAUAAAAGGAAAUGAUUUGAUUAAUUAAUUAUGGAAAUUAGAGGCUUUGUUUUAUUUUUAAAAAAAUGAUUAUUUAGGAAUUGGGCAGCCUGGAGGGCUUACUUGUUCACAAACUUGGGCUUGGUGCUCCAACCCAAAUCCAAAGCUACCAUGGGCGGGCUCAAAAACCCAUCCCAAACCCAAGCCCGAAACUCCAUCUUCUUCCUAGCUUACCCCCCUCUAAACGCACACCAUCCUCAGAGGAAGCCUUCAUGGCCAGCAGCAAGGUGGAGAGAGGAGCCGUGGCAGCGGUUCGACGGUAUCCAGAAAGUGUCGUCGUCAUGGUGGCUGAUGCGAGUGCUCACCUAGCCGGAGCGGGUGAUGGCGGUUGGUGAGGCGAGCCAGCGCCUCGCCGACGUGGUGCGCACAGCAAGAAGACGCAGGGAGGGAAGGCCGGCGUGCAUGGAAAGUUGCGAAGCUCUCCGGGCCUCUGGCAGACGUGCCGCCGAUGGAGACGGCGAGGGCGAUGGCGAAUAAUGAGGAGGGAGAUGGCGGAGGCAGCUUGCCUGCUUGGAUCCCACGCGUGCAGAAGAGUGGCUUUGGGAGCCCUUGCGGAAAUGGGUAUGGCGACUAGAGGAAGAAAAGGUGAUGGGGAAGAAAGGUGAGGGUAACGGCCAUGCCGGGAACAUGGGUGCACGGCUAUGGGGCUGCUGAACAAAAGGGACUGUUGGGGAUAUGCAUGGCAGCAGCCUUUCGAGUGCCAGUGACGUCCGCUUGAAGGGCAGGGUUCAAGUAUGGAUCCUUCAAGGCACUCUCGACUUCGGGGUUGGUAUUCUCUCCGACAACGAAAUGUCUGGGCAACUGAUUCCUCAAGUUUGAUGGGUCCAGAACCCUUUUAUCGAUUUAAAUCCAUUGCCUGGCUCCCCUUAGAUGGACAUCAGAAACAGGGGAAGGAGAGGAAACUACAAGAAAAUAAAAAGGAGGGCACCAGCUGACCAAACAACUAAGGCAAACAAACCUAUGUUUCGCGCUUGGAUCCAUGGGCUUCGCUGUAGGUGGGUGGAUCCGGAUGCAUUCCACGGGAGCGAGGACAAAAACAAAACUCUCCCAUGAAGUAUAGUGCAACAGAAACAGAGCCGAGUUGCUCUCAAAUCAUCCCGAGGAAAAUAAACGAGCUAGCCACAAUGAAUUCAUAGACCAAAUGGCGACCAUAAAACUGAACGUAUAACCAAAAAAUCCGUAAACACUAUCCAGAAAAAAGAGGAAUAGGAAUAUGUACCGAUAAAAUGAGUUCAAUGAUUCAUGGAAGACAUACCUUUCCUUUCUUCUCUCUCGGCGGAUCCUCUUGCGGACGUCCUCUGCUGCCCAAAAGUCCUCCUUCCUCCCUUCCCUUUUCUUCUUUUCUCCUCUGUUUUUCUUCUGUUCCUGUCUUCCUCAGCAAGCCAGUCGUAUCCCGUCCAAUCUGCCCCCCGAGAGCCGCCCACUUGAGUCCCCUCUCUGCCCCAAAAACCAGCUCCUGACCAUCAUGUCGAGCCCCGGGAAAAAGGUAGGAAAAGGAAAAGAAAUAAAAUAAAUCCAAAUAAAAAAAUCUCUGCCUCCAGGGGGGUCUACAAGACCCUAUCUGAAAAUGGUCCACUGGAUAGGUACCUCCCACAAGAAAAUUAAUGAAAGCUAGAAAAAUGAAAAAAAUAAAAUAAAAAUUAAAGCUUCAUUUUUAUUUUUUUUUUCCCAACUCACAUGGAAUAUAGACUAAGACUUUGUUUCAGUCAAGAGUCAACAUGUCACAAAAUUCCUGAAGUCAUUGUCUAAGGAAAAUAAUAAAUAAUACUUUAAUGUAUGAUGUAUAUAUUUUCUACAAAAGGCAUUUCUAGACUUCUACAAUUUUCUCCUAUGGACCACUGACCAACUUCAAUUAAUUGAGAAAGUUACGUGAAUGAAGGGACUUCCUACUCCAUGUUAAGUGAUAUGACAUAUAAAGGAAAAUAAAAUAUCAUGAAAAUUAUUAAAAUUUUUAUAUUUAUACAAUUCUUUAUUAUUAUUAUUAUUAUACAUAAAGGGUUGGAAAAAUGCAUAACAUGACUAAGUGGUAGUUUUUUUUUUUUUUUGUCUAAAAUGUAAAUAAAUCUAAAUUAUUAUUUUUUAUUCUAAUUCUAAAAUUAAUAAUUUAAGAAAUAGUAAUUUAAUAUAUUUACAAAUAUAUACAAAAAUUUAAUUUAUUACCAUAAUAAAUAUUUUCUGACAAUUAAUUAUGUAAUUAGUAGAAAAUUUAUAAUUAGAUAAUGAUUAGGAUUUUUAUUCAUGUUUGGUUGUUAAGAAACUAUUAGAAUUUUUCUAAGUUAAAACUUAUUUUUAUGAAAUGUAUUUUCCGAUUUAUGAAUAUUGUUGAGAUUAAUUUCAACAUUUUUUUAUUUUUUAUUUUUUACUCUUCAUAUGGAUAAUAGAAAGUGGAUUUGUGAUGCUUUCUUGGAUUUAUAGCAAUUAAAACUUAUUUCUUGAAUAUACAAUUUAAAAGUUCAAUUGUUAAAAUAAAGUCAUUUCUCAAAGAGAUUUCCUAUUUUACUUUAGUUAGUUUUGGAUUAGAAAUUAUACCUUUUAAUUUAUGCUCUCAUUAUUAUUCUAAAUCUAUUUGAGGUAAAUAUCAACUAGCUAGAUGUUGGAUUUGUUAGAUAAGGUCAUUCAUGUGUUCAGCUCUCAAGUUUGAUAUAUAAAAUCACCAUAGUACCCUUCACCUCUGUGUCAAGGUAUCGUAGUAUUAAACUUUUAAAAAACAUUAUAAACUUGAUGCAUUGGAACGGUAUGAUCAUUAUUGUUGAAUGAAUCUAUCAUUUUUUAUUGAGUGAAUAGCUUAAUUUAGAAUUUUUACGAUUUUUGUUUUAGUUAGAACUUUUAGACAAUAUUUGAUUCCUGAAAACUUGAAGGGAAAAUAUAAGGGAAUAAAAUAGAGAAGAAAAAUAUAAGGAAACAAAAGAUUUAAAAUCACUCAUUUUAACUCAUGUAAAUACUAAAUAAUUUUUAAGGGGUUGCUAUUCGCAACAUCUCUUUUGCUAAUGUAACACUUUUUUGUCAUAUUUUUUUUUUCAUAUAUACCCUUUUUAAUAAAGAACUCUCUCUAACCUCCUCUCAACAUAUUAAACCUAAAUUCUAGUUAAUUAAGGGUACGAAUCACAUACGAAAUACAAUGAAUAACGAAAUUCAAUCAUCUUAUGAUAAUUUUCAGGUAAGAUUUAUAACUUUUAUUUUUUUUAUAAAGAAGUAUAUUGUUUUGACAUUUUUUUAGGCUCUUGAUUACAUACUUUGUUUUAUGAGUCUUUACUUUGCAUACACAAAUAAUUAUUACAUUACUCAUAUUCUUAAUCAAUCUUUAGUUAUAUGCAAUAUUUUUGUUUGGGUUACAAAAAAAAUCAUAUCGAACACAAUAAAAAAAAAUAUUUUUUAAAAAACCAUUCCAAUUAAAUAUUGUUUAUUUUAAAAUUUUAAUAAUAAUAUUUAUUUUAAAAAAUUGAGUUAUGAAUUUCACAUUAAAACAUUGAAUAUAAUAAAAUCAUUUUACAUAAUAUACUUUUGGUGAAAAUAUAAUUUUAUAAUUUAUUAUUUAAAGAAAUUAUUUUGUUUUAAAAUAUAAGAAGAAUAUGAAAAACAAUUGAGUGUGAAAAAUAAAAUAAAUGAAAAGAAAAAAACACAAAGUUUACUUGGGGUGGGAGGUUGAGUAGGUAGAGAUGAAAAGAAAGAUAACAAUAAAAGAAAAAGAAUGCUAAAAUGUAGGGUGGGGGUUGGGAAAAAGAAAAGAAAAAUAAAAAAAGGGUGCAAUUGGGACAUGAGGUUGGGGAGGAGAGAGAGGAGAGGAGAGAGGAGAGAGAGGGGAAAGGAAUAAGGAAGGGUAGUUUAGGAAUGUAAAAUAUCAUAUUAGUAAAAAUGGUGUUGCGAAUAGCAAUUGAGAUUUUUAAAUGUAUAAAUUUUUAACUAAUUUUAAUUAUAUUUAAUUUUUAUUGAUAUUUUCGAUGAUAUAACAAUCCAUAACAUAAUCAUUUUUCCUAUUAUUAUUUUUUCUUUUCUUCGCACUUUCAAGGAAACAAAAAUAAACACCGAGUAAAAUUAUGAUUUUAAAGGUAGCUUGGUUAACAUUGUGUAUACUUUUUGUUGAACUCUUUUCGAAGUGGAAUUUUUGUUAUAAAUUUAUCUAAAUACCUAAAAAAUCUCGUAAGCAACAACAAUUAGGUUUGUGUUACAUCUCAUUUAACAAUUAUUGUAAAGCUAUAAUGACUAGAUGGGGUUAGAUAGUACACAAUUUGAACCUUUGGUUUCAAAAUUUAAUCAAAGAAAAUUCAGUAACCAAAUGUUUAAAAUUUAGGAAUGAUGAUGGACAGGUUUUGAAACUAUUUCAAAUUUUGAUACAACUAUAAAUCUAGAAGAAAUGAAGACCUUUUAGCAUAUAGAAGAAGUUUCACCAAACUAAUAAUUAACAUAUAAAUAAGUAGGAUGAGUGUUUGAGACACUUCUCUUUUUGUUGGAUUCGGUUCUAGUCUGACUCAAGGUUAAUAUAUUUUUAAUUUCCACUUUGUUCAUUUAUGCAUUGAUUCAAAAAAAUAUGUCAUGUACUAAUGUUAAUUCAAGAUACUAAUUACCAAGUUUUUGAAACAUGAAGUCAUGGUCCAAAGAAAACGAUACAAUAUUUUAUUUUUUGUUUCUAUUUCUCCAUUCUUUUGCUUAACUCACACGAAAUAGACUAAGGACUUUGUUUUAGUCAAGCAUCAAGAUGUCACAAUCACAAAGAAAAGAAAUUCAAACAAUGCUUUAAUGCAUGUUGUGUAUAUUUUCUCCAAAAAGCAUUUUAGACUCUUGUUAGAAUUUUCUCCUACGGAUUCUUUACUAACUUUAAUUAAUUGAAGAAAGCUAUACCAAAUUUCCUACUCCAUGUUAAAUAUUAUCGCCUAUAAAGGAAAUAAAAUAUCAUAAAAAUCAUUUAAAAAUUUAUAUAUAUUCAAAUUUUUUAUCAUAUAUAUAAAGGGUUGGAAAAAUGUAUAACAGGUUAAUGUGGUAUUUAUUUUUGAUCUAAAAUUUGAGUAGAUCUAAGUUUGACUUAAAUCUACUUAUAUUAUUAAGUGUUUAGGUUGCUUACUUUUUAUCAAUGUAUAAAUAUUGUUAAGUGUUAAAUUGCUUUCUUUUAUUAAUGUCUAAAGAGUUACACUUAUUUAUUUCUACAUGUUAAAAAUAUCUAUAAAAUUAAUUAUUAUAUUUUUUCUUAUUUUAAUUUUAAAAUUAACCAUUUAAGAGAUAUUAAUUUAAUAUAUUUAUAAAUGUACAAAAAUAUUAUAAUUUAUUAUCAUAAUAAACAUUUUAUAAUGACUAAUUAUGCAAAGUGUAGAAAAAUAACAAUUAGAUAAUUAUUAGGAUUUCUAAUUAUGCUUGGUUGUUAAAAAAUUUCUAUGUUAAAACUUAUUUUUAUGUAACUAUCUUCAAAUUUAUGAAUAUUGUUGAGAUUAAUUUAUUAAUUUUUAUUUUUAAUAUGGGAAAAAUGUAAAAAUCUAAAUUUUAUUUUUAAAAUUAAUUGGAUUUUUUUAUUCAAGCUAAUUACUAAAUGAGGGUAAAUUAGAAAUCUAAGAUCAAGGACAUUAGCCAACCAAACUGACCCAAACCUAACCAAUCCAAUCUUAUUCAUUUCAAAACAAUGAACCAAUAGAAACCGAUUCUAAUCAAACAUAUAUAUUAUAUAUUAGACUUAAAAUAUACAAAAUUUGAAUUUUCAAAAUUUGAAGUUAUUUUUUGAAGAGACUUCAUAUUUUGCUUCUCACAUUUUACUAUAAAUUUAUGAAAUUAUUUUUUAGUUGUCAUAUUUUAAAAAAAAAUAUUUUAUUUUUUCAAAAUAAAUUCACUAAAUAAUGUCUCACAUGUAUUUGUGGUUCACUAAAUUUUUAAUAAUCAAAUUAAUAAAUUUGUAAAAGAAAAAUAUUAUAUUUUCUCCAUUUUUUUCACUUGAUAAACAAAUCUACAAAAAUGUCAAGCGAAUGUUUGAAAUUUACCUCUUUUUUUUUGCUUUUUUUUUUUUUUUUGUAAUCUUUGGUUGAUUGUAUUUUUAAAAGCAUUAUAAAUCCCAAGAAAGAAAUAUUUUUUUCUUUACCAUUAUAGUUCCAUAGUGUUUGAACUUAUCUUUACCAUUUUUUUUUCUUGAUCUAACUACAAGCUUGACUACACAAACUUUGUCAACAAUGAGAAUAAAAGUGAGGAGGGUGAUGAAGUUCUCCCUAUACUCUCCUCCCCCUUUUUAACUUUCCACGUUUUAAUUGUAUAUCCCCCCUCAACAAUAUAGUUUUAAGGUAUGUACACUUUAAUCCUGAUGGACUAAAGGCCCAUAAUUCAUCUCAAUGGGUCAACUAAAAUAUUAUGAGGAAGGUGAAGCCAUGGGCCUCUGCACAAUACAUUAAAUUGAUUAUGGCCCAAAACAAUACCCAUGCACAACCAAAUAUAGUUUACAAUAUACGUAGUCCACAAAAAACAUUUGACAUUAAUAGGUGAAUUUAGGUGAUUAUGCUAGUCCAAGAAACAGUAAAAAAUUUUAUUUGAAAAUUUAUAUAUUUUCAAACUCUUAAUUCCUCUUUAUAAAUGUGGAUAAAGUUAGAGAAGUAAUGAUAAGAAUUAUUAAAAUUUAUUAAUCUUGAAGAGAAGUAUAGAAAAUGGGAAAUUAAUGAGAAUUUUAUUAUUAUCUUUUUUAGUUCCUUUAUUUUAAUUUUUUUUUCUUUAUUUUCCUUCAAUGUUGUCUUCCCUAGUAAUAUAAAUGUGGAUUUGGGAAGUACAUAUGCCGUUAUAUGACCCAAAAAUUAUUGGUUAUAGAAUACUAUAAAUUCCAUAAGAACAUAAUUCACAUACAUUUUGUCUCAAAGUUAAAAUAGUCUUACUAGUUGUUAUAUAUCUAUUGGUGCAGUAGAUUUUGAGCUUGUCUUAAAAGCUCUCGCCUAUUGAUGCCCUUAUCAACUACUUCGCAAACCAAUUUGCCAAACUUGCAACACAAGAUGGUUGGGUGGUCAUCCCGCACAUCUCCUAUGGUCAAGUAAGUGGAUAACAAGAAAAGGAAGUGUUGAGAGUAGAUGGAAAAAUAAAUAUGGGAAUAUGGGUGAGAGAAUAUGAUAGGUGAAGCUUAUUCUCUUUGUUAGAGCUUGAUCGUACCUUUAUAUUUCAUUACCCAAUGAUGUUAAGCUAACUAUUAUGAGGUAAGUAGUUACUGUCAACCCCUUAGCCACUUGACUCUACUAUGGAGGAAAAGACCUCAUAGGUAGGCCUUGCACCCAUGAGAGCCUAGGUGGAAAGCCUGGAGAUUUGGUGGUUCAAACUCCAGGGGCUAAGUGAGGAGGUCGCGGGCGAGCCAGACGCGUACCGCGAGCGGGUCAGAUGCGCAUCGCGAGCGCGCAUUGCGGGCGAGCCAGACAUGCACCACGUGCACACCAUAUGGGCAUCGCACGUGCACCAAACUUAGGUGGUGCAGAUGAAGGUUGAGGAACUUUUGAAAUUUUAAUUUAUAUUUAUUUAUUAUUCCAUUAUGUCUCCUCAGGCAUAUUGAUGUCUCCUCUAGAAACAAUGAAAAUGACCCGUAUUGCUCUUUAAGGGGGGAUAGGUGACUCAAAGGGGGGAGCACCAAGGGAAAGCCUUGACCGCACCAAGGGGCCACCAUGGCACGACCUUGGGCGUGCCUAGGACACAUGGACGGGACUCGAGCAUGCACACAUGGGCUCCACGACAUGUGUAGUAUGCACCCCGUGACCGCAACUGCACGGGGCCUGGUGCGGCCUACCUCCUCCGCGCGCAGGCACGAGGGCACCUAAACCUUGUGCGGUGAGCCAGUUGAGGAAACCAUGGGCACAAUGCCAUGGCUUGAUGAGGCACCAGACAACAACUAACUCACACCCAUGAUGCCUACGCACAGCACAGGGGCGUAAUGCCUUGUGAACCAAGAGGGAUCAGCCAUGAGCACAAUGCCAUGGCUCAUUGCUAUGGAGUUGGACCUGACAAUGGAAGUAAGCAACACGCCCAAGCCAUGGGCACCUAGACAUGGCAUGGGCUCACACAUCAGUGUGGGGAAGGCACACCGAUGCACUAGACACUUGGUCAGCUGGUUGGUGCACGUUGCCUGGUUCAGAAGGUCUUGAUCAAAGACACGCUGGUAGUCACCAAGUCACAAGAGGUACCUUGCGGGGAGGAAACAGCUUGCUAGGGGGACUCUCCAGCAGCUUGGUGAGAAAGGCUUGAGAAGAUGGCAAUACAGCUAGCUAGUGGCAGCUAGCUAGAACAGCAAGUGGCCAAGUCAAGUAGUCAACUACAAUUGACUUGCAAUUGGUUGAGGUGUUGAUGGUUGGUGCAAGUGGGUGGUUCACGAGCAGGCUAUUAUCUGGGUGGUGGGUGGUUAUGCAAGGUAGUUAUGGGCAGUUCUGGCCAGUUGCAUAACCACUAGGUUGGCUCCAACCUUUGAAUUUGGAAAAUUCAAAUAUGUAACUGCAGGCUGAGUCUUUUAAAAGGGUUCCUGCAUCCUUGAAACAGAGAGUCAGAGAUUGGGAUAGGGUUCUUCUCUUAAUGCUUGGGGUGUGAAGCAUUGUACUCUGACUCAGGGGACUAAUUUUAUCUUGUAGAGUGAAUUAAUACAAGUUGGGAAAGGUUUCCUGUAAAUCGUUGGUGUUCCUAUUACUGUGCUUUUACUUUGCUUUUACUCUGUUUUUCUAAAAGCUGGGAAGGAAGGUUGGCUAAGGAAGGGUCCUUAGCACCACACACUCGUGAAAAAUUUAGUGUGAUCUUCAGAGGUGUGACAAUUGGUAUCAGAGCUCACAUCAGAGAUGGUUGGUGGUAGUGCAAUGGACGCCCUGCGGGAAAUGAUGACUCGGAUGGAAGAAGGGUUGGGAGAAUGGCCACGUGAGGAUGACACUGUGGCUUCGUGGGCAGAACACACCGUGGGAGAAAUUCAAGUGCAAAGGAGUCUGUUGGAGACCCAUGACAAUUUCUUUGAGGAGAAACUUGCUGGGUUGAAAUCAGAGAUGCAGUCCCUAAUGGAUGACUUCAAGGGCGCCUUGCAGUCCUAUGGAGAGGACAUUGCAACCCUUAAGAAGGCUAUGUUGUAGGGGUCCUCGUCAGGUUCUGAAGCCCCUUCCAAAGUCUAGGUCCCAGAGCCUAAGGGCUUCAACGGUAACAUGAACGCGAAGGAGUUGGAGAACUUCUUGUGGGACAUGGAACAGUUCUUCAAAGUUGCUCACAUUCCUGAUGGCGAGAAGGUGUCCAUCACUAGUAUGUAUUUGACUGGUGAUGCCAAACUAUGGUGGCGAAACAGGAUGGAAGAUGAUGCAGAGUCUGGAAGGCCCUAAAUCACCACUUGGGAAACUCUGAAGAAAGAAUUGAAGGAUCAGUCUUUCCCACCAACACUGCUUGGGUGGCUAGGGAAACACUGAAAAGGCUCAGACACACCGAAUCUGUGAAGGACUACGUCAAGGAAUUCAGUUUCUUGAUGCUCGACAUAAAGAACAUGUCAUAGGAGGACAAAGUCUUCAAUUUCAUGUCUAGAUUGCAAGGGUGGGCUCAGAUGGAACCUAGGAGACAAGGGGUUCGUGAUCUCCCUGCUGCCAUGGCUAUAACAGAUUGUCUGGUAGACUACAAAAUGGGUGGCGCCAUCUCCACCAUGCAGAGACCCAAGUCAGAAGGCUAAGGCUGAGGGUAAGACUUCUAAGAAGUCUAGGUAGAAGAAACAGAACAAAAAGCCUACUACAGGGGGAAAACCAGUGGAAAAUACCAUAAAGUUUGUGCAACAGACCAUUUAGAUGGCAAGAUGCUUCAUCUGCAAUGGCCCUCAUCGAGCCAGAGACUGCUCUAAAAGAGAGAAACUCUCAACCCUUGUGACUGCAGACGACAAGUGAGAGUUUGACUUAGAGACCCCUCCUAGAGUCAACCCAUUGCAACUCCUGAACAGGAUUAAUGGUGAGACCCCAGUCCAAAAGUCCUUGAUGCAUGUCCAUGCAGUUGUAAAUGGUGUGCAGAUGAAGGCCUUGGUGGACAGUGGUGCCACUCACAACUUCGUGGCCACCAGAGAAGCAACCAGGUUGGGAUUGAAGUUGGAAAAGGAUACCAGUCAGAUCAAGGCAGUCAAUAGUAAAGCCCAGAAGAUCCAAGGUGUAGCCAAGAAUGUCCCCAUGCAAAUUGGUGACUGGAAGGGCACGUGCAACCUACUCUGUGUACCCUUAGAUGACUUUGACUUGAUCCUUGGUGUAGAUUUCCUCUUGAGGGUUAAGGUGGCCUUGAUCCCACAUCUUGGUCGACUGAUGGUGUUAGAAGAAAAGUAGCCUUGCUUCGUGAAGGCCUUAAGGGCAAAGGAUGGUGGCAAAGGUCAGCCUGAGAUGUUGUCUGCCAUCCAAUUGAAGAAGGGAUUGAAGAGGGGUCAGGAGACAUAUGUUACAGCCUUGAUCAAGAUCAAGGAGUGACAGUUUGUGGAAGUCCUUGAUUUAGUGGUCAAAAUCCUUAAGGAGUUCAGAGACGUGAUGUCUGCAGAACUUCCCAAGGAAUUGCCACCCCGACGGCCUAUUGACCACAAGAUUGAACUGCUGCCUGGAACAAAGGCCCCAGCUCAAGCCCCUUACAGGAUGUCUCCUACAGAGUUGUUGGAGUUACGUAAGCAAUUGAAGGAAUUGUUGGAUGCAGGCCUGAUCCAGCCCUCAAGGGCCCCAUAUGGUGCACCAGUGUUGUUCCAGAAUAAGCAUGAUGACUCUCUCUACAUGUAUGUGGAUUAUAGAGCUCUCAACAAGGUGACCAUCAAGAACAAGUACCCGAUCCCCUUGGCUGUUGAGCUGUUUGACAGACUGUCAAAAGCCUUUUACUUCACCAAGUGGACCUGAGAUCGGGCUACUGGCAAGUGCAAAUUGUAGAAAGAGAUGAGGGGAAGACCACCUGUGUAACUCGGUAUGGAUCAUACGAGUUUCUGGUAAUGCCCUUUGGACUGACUAAUGCCCCUACUACAUUCUGCAAUUUGAUGAAUGAUGUUUUGUUUGACUAUUUAGAUGCAUUUGUGGUAGUAUAUCUAGAUGAUAUUGUGGUUUACAAUAAAACCCUAACAGAACAUGAGAGACAUUUGAGAUUGGUGUUCCAGAGAUUGAGGGAGAAUAGGCUUUAUGUGAAGCCAGAGAAAUGUGAGUUUGCUCAGGAGGAGAUCACAUUUCUGGGACACAAGAUCAGUGCAGGCCUGAUCAGGAUGGAUAAAGGCAAGGUGCAAGCUAUUAUGGAGUGGCCAGUCCCUAGCAAAGUGACUGAGUUGCGGUCUUUCCUUAGCUUGGCCAAUUACUACAGAAGGUUCAUUAAGGGAUAUUCAAAGAGGGUGUCUCCCCUUACUGACCUAUUGAAGAAUGACAACCAAUGGGAUUGGAGCAUGCAGUGUCAGAUGGCUUUUGAAGGCUUGAAGGAAGCCAUCUCCACUGAGUCUGUGCUGUGGUUACCAGACUUGGACUUACCCUUUGAAGUCCAAAUAGAUGCCUCAGAUAGAGCUUUAGGUGGAGUCUUGGUGCAAGAAGGGCACCCUGUGGUGUUUGAAAGUAGGAAACUGAACAAUGCUGAGUAGAGGUACUCCACUCACGAGAAGGAGAUGACGACUGUGGUUCACUGCCUGCAAUAGUGGAGGCACUACUUAUUGGGAAGCAUUUUUACAGUGGUCACUGAUAAUGUGGCCAACACCUUCUUCAAAACUCAGAAGAAGCUGAGUCCCAGACAGGCACAAUGGCAGGAGUUCCUGGCCGACUUCAAAUUUGAAUGGCUGCAUCAACCAGGAAGACAUAACACUGUGGUUGAUGCCUUGAGUAGGAAAGAGGUGAUUGCCUACAUCAUGACCCUCUCAAAAGUCAUCUUUGACUUCAAUGAGAAAAUCAAGCAAGCUGUAGAGUAGAAUGCUGCAUAUAGUAGGCUGAAGCAAAAAGUUAAGGAGGGUGUGAUCAAGAGGUAUUGGCUAGAGGGAGACCUCCUUGUGGCAAAAGGAGGAAGAUGGUAUGUUCCUGCAGGCGGCCUAAGAAAGGAGUUAAUGCGGGAAACUCAUGAUGCGAAGUGGACAGGCCAUUUCGGUGAAGAGAGGACUCUGGCACUACUAGCUAGAUCCUACUACUGGCCUAAGAUGGGUGAGAAUGUUCAGGCAUGUGUGAAAUCCUGCCUGGUUUGUUAGAUGGACAAGACUGAGAGGAAGAAGGCUGUAGGGUUGCUGUAGCCCCUCCCCAUUCCAAAAAGACCUUGGGAGAGCAUUUCCAUGAAUUUUAUCACUGGAUUUCCGAAGGUUCGUGAUUUUAAGUCUAUCUUUGUUGUUGUAAAUAGAUUCUCUAAGUAUGUUGUGUUUAUACCUACCCCUGAUGCUUGCCCUGUGGAGGAAGCAGCUAAGUUGUUUUUCAGUAAUGUUGUCAAGCACUUUGGGUUGCCUAGGAACAUAGUCAUUGAUCGGGAUGCACGAUUCACAGGCCGAUUUUGGGUUGAGCUGUUCAAACUCUUGGGUUCAGAGUUGAAGUUUUCUACAACCAACCACUCUCAGACUGAUGGGAAGACCGAGAGGAUAAAUGCCUUGUUGGAAGAAUAUCUCAGGCAUUAUGUGAUAGCAACACAAAAGAAUUGGGUGGAUUUCUUAUAUAUUGCCCAGUUGUGCUAUAAUCUACAAAGGAGCUCAGCAACAAGGAUGAGUCCCUUUGAGCUGGCUAUUGGGGUGCAACCACGGAUGCCUUUGGAGGUGGCUAAGCAAAAAGCAGGAGAAAGUAGUCCUGCAGCUUACAAGAUGGUUUAGUUCCGACAGGAGAUGUUUGAUGAAGCCCGGGACAGUCUAGAGAAGGCAGCUAGACGAAUGAAGAAGUAUACGGAUUGUGAUCGUAGAUCCUUGGAAUUUCAGGUUAGGGACAAGGUCCUCCUGAAAUUGACUCCUCAGAUAUGGAAGAAAAUUAGCAGCAAGACAAGGUAGAGGGGUCUAAUUCCUAAGUAUGAUGGACCAUUCGAGGUGAUAAAACGGGUUGGGCAGGUGGCCUACAUGUUGACGUUGCCUGAGAGGCUCAAGCUUCACCCAACUUUCCAUGUUAGAUUUCUGAAGCCUUACCAUGAGGAUCUGGAUGCAGAGAUGGUGCAGACAAAGCGGGCCCCUCCCUUGGUCAUGAAGUAGUUUGAUCGAGAGAUAGAGAAGAUCUUGGAUCAUAGGACCAUGAGACAUAACAAAAAGAACCGGCGAACUGAUUUCUUGGUUCAGUGGAAAGGAACUUCAGAAGCAUAAGCUACUUGGGAGAGGGAUGUUACCUUGUGGCAAUUUGAGAUGGCGGUCUAGGCAUACUAGCAGACUAAGUCAACGAGGGCAUCGACUUCACAAGCGAGGGUAGGUUUGUCAGCUCCUUAGUCACUUGACUCUACCAUGGAGGAAAAGGCUUCAUGGGUAGGCCUUGCACCCAUGAGAGCCUAGGUAGAAAGCAAUGAAAGCCUGGAGAUUUGGUGGUUCAAACUCCAGGGGCUAAGUGAGGAGGCCGUGGGCGAGUCAAACGCGCACCACGAGCGGGCCAAACGUGCACCGUGCGCGCGCAUUGCGGGCGAGCCAGACAUGCACCGCGUACGCACCAGAUGGGCAUCGUGCGCGCAUUAGACUUAGGUGGUGUAGAUAAAGGCUGAGGGACUUUUGGAAUUUUAAUUUAUAUUUAUUUAUUAUUCCAUUAUGUCUCCUCAAACAUAUUGAUAUCUCUUCCAUAAACAAUGAAAACAGCCCGUAUUUGCCUUUAAGGGGGGGUAGGUGACUCAAAUGGGAGAGCACCAAGGGAAAGCCUUGAUCGCACCAAGGGGGCACCAUGGCACCAAGGUGACUCCUAGAGUCUUCAUAGGGAUGCCUUCUCGGGAAGUUAGGCUUACAUUAGUUGAAGAUACAUUUAGCAAAUUUAUAUGCUGGUGGAGUGGACAAGUUAUCAUAUGAGGGUUAGGUAGCAUUUAUUGAGAAUCAUUUGGAAGAUAUCUUUGAGUCCGCAGAUAAACCUCUGGAAGGAAGAUGUUGGUGAUUGUCUAUCGAGGAUCCUUUUCAAUGCUUGUCAAUGUGUAUUAAUCUAUCGGAUGCAUUAAGAAGCUCCCCUCCAAAGACUACCAUUUCACACAUGCCUGUCCACCAGGUACUUCAUUCUUAGCAUGGUCACAUUCAAACUGAGAAAUGUUUACCGAGUGAAAUCAAAUUAAUCCCACCUCCUCCCUAGUCCACCCAACCCCACAAUAAAAAAGAAAUCUCAAAACUAGCUUUUAUUGGAAUUGUGUUCUAUGCAUAGGCAUAUCAUUUGUUGCCCUGUGUAUUUUGUAUAAACUCCUCCAAGCAUAUAGCUCCUCUGCAUUUACACAUGGAAAAUGACAGUCACAUGAUUGUACAUAUCCUUCAGAGUACCCCAUUUGUUACUCCAUUAUUAGGAGCAAAAAUAAUGGAUUGACCACUUCUUUCAUAGCCCUGUCUUAUGUUUGUGCUAUCCUACUAUAGUACGCUUGAGAGGAUAACAGACAUUUCCCUGACUUUACUUUUGUUUUCAUAUUAAAUGCUUAGAUUCAGGUCAUUUGGUUAUCCAAAACUUAAUCUAUGAUUGUAUUGUUCCAUCUUUUUCAAGGAUGGCUCUUGCAAUGGCUUACAACACCAUGCUGCCCUUGGAAGGGACAAGGUAGUGGAAUUUUCUAUUUUUGGUUGAUUGUUGUGGAAUUCUGAUUAUGUGAUAUGGAAGCAUGGUUUUUGAUUAGUUAGACAGUUUUUCACUUUUUUUUUUGCUUUGAGGCUAAAUGUGUCUCAGCUUUGAUCUUCUCUCUUUUUGAUAGAAAAAAGGAACUUUGUUAAGGAAAUAUGGUAAAAGGAUAAGGAGUUGGAAAUUGAAACCCAAGAAAGAAACCAAACUUUGUUUGAGUUUAGUGCAGUUUAUUUAAUUUGAUUUUUCAAGUAAUUUCAAAGUUUGGUUGUUUCAAGAAAGGGGAUUAUCAUCUGUAUUUGGCGAGUUCAAAGGCUAGGGUAGCAAAUCUGUCUCUAAAGAGUGAAUUUUAGUUAGACCUUAGUAUUGGAGGAGAUAAAUUUUUAUUUAUUUAUUGAAGUUUCCUUGUUCUUUGGCAAUAGAACUUUGUAUUGGGGAUUAUUAUUUGAUUAUGCAGUUUGGAUACAUAUACAUAUUUGGAUUAUGCAAUAUUGGAAAUUCUAAUUUUGUUGCUUCAACUCCCUAUCAAAAAAAAUAAUUUUGUUGCUUCAACUAAAGUUUUAUAUAUGUAAUAGAAAAUAUAUACCGGAAAAAGUGGUACCUCUUCAAUUUUGAAAUGAGAAUUUUAAUUAAAAUAUUUGAAAAUAUAUAUAUUCAAGACUUCAGCUGUGGCGAAAUAUAAGUUGUGUCCACUUAAUCUAUGGCAGCGGAUAAGGAAAAGUGGCAUCCAUAUGAAGCCCUAUAAUUGCAGCUGACAAAAGGUCAUGUCUAUAAUACUAUGUAGUAUUAAAUUCUAUAGAUAUCACACCUUCAUAGCAGCAACUAUCAGCUCUCCCAACCACAUAUAGAGCUUUUAGUUGAGGAAAAAACAUGAGCACAGGGAUAGCUUCACAACUUCUUGUGUUUUUACUGGUGGCUUCAACUAUAGGAUUUAUUUGCAUUCCUAUGGCCUUCGCAGCUAUGAACUUAACUUCUUGUAGUGUGUAACACUCUCGCCUCGUGUAUGAUUGCAUGAACUUGCAACACAUGUGCUGCACAACUCUUUGUUAAUGGUUAUAAAAAAUAGUUUUAAUUUCUAUUUUUGAGAAUUGAAAAUAAGAAAAUCUUGUUUGACAAUAAGAAAAUAGUAAACAAUUUUUUUAUUUUUAAAAACAGAAAAGUUUUUGUUCUUAAAAAAAAUGUUUUAUGAGAACAUAUUUUAGUUGUUUUUAAUUGUUUUCUAGGAUUAUUUUAAAAAUAAUAAUAAUAAGAUUAAUAUGAAGAAUAAUUAAAAAUAAAAUGCUACAUACAAAACUUAUUUUUUUUGAAAAAUAUUUAAAUGUAAAAAAUAAGUUAAAAAUAUUUCAAAUUCUCAAACAAGCUUUAUUUUAUUUUUUUUAGAAUGGUUUUCAAAAUCAUUUUCUAACUAAUUUAAAGUAUACUUGAUAGUGAUUUUAUGAAGCGUUUUUUAAUUUUUUUUUAAUACUUGAAAGAUAAAAAAUUUUAAGUGUUAAAAAGAUUAGAAACCAUCCUAAAAUCACUACUAAAUAGACUCUAAUUCUCCAUUUUAGAGGCUUGUAAGGGCUUUUAUAAUUUGCUUACCAAUCAUGUUAGACAUGUGGUAACCAUGUUAUGAGAUUUUGGGUUAGCAUCGGCUAGUUUGUACUUGUAUGUACUUAAUUUUUGUUUUUAAAAAUAAAAAAUGAAACUAACGUCGAUAUAAAAUAUAAAAACUUUUAGAAACUUACGUUACUUCAAAUUUCAAAUUUUUUUAUAGUGAAUUUUAAAGAUAUAAGGUGAGUUUAUACUUUUGAUAUAAAAAUUUCUAUUUUUUAUAUAAAAAAAUAUUACUAUUUUUUGUUGUAAAAAAAAGUCAAUAUAUAAAUAAUGAAAGUUGAAAGAACAUUUUUAAUGCAUAGAUUAUCUCAAGGGUUCAAAUGUGGGCUAAGUCUAAAACUUAAUAUUAAAUCUUCUCUCAUUCAAAUAAUAGUAUUUAUAAAUAAUAGAAUAUCCUAAAUAAAUAUAGUUAUGGACAAAUAUUUCAAACAGGUUUCUCAAAUAUUAGUAUCAAAAGAAAAUUUCAUUAACCAUAACAAGCUCCCUGUUUCAAUCUAAAACAUGUAAAUAAACAUAAUUAAUUUUAAUUUAACAAGAUUUAGAUUUAUAUUAUGGACAAUAUAGUAAACCUAAAAGAUGAUCAUAAGUUUCUUAGUUCAUGACUUCAACUAAUAGAAAAAAUAUUUACAAGCUCAAUUUUGUUGGAAUUUUAUUCAAUUCAUUCUAGUUUGAGACUUUGUAUAUUUUCCUGUAACUUACCCUCCAUUAAAGAUACAAAAUUAUUUAGAGUUAACUAGAGAUCGGAUAGCACAAGUACAAAGAGUUAUGAAAAGAAUAAUAACUUUUAAUUGAAAAAGAUUUAGGAGAUCGAGUGCUCAAGCACUUGAAUCUAGCUUUCAUGGCUUAGAGCACUCAAGUAUUGCUAGGAAGUACCCAAUAGCAAGCAAUCAAGUGCACUUGCCUCGUGCUUGAGUACUCAAAAGUGGGGUUUCCAAAAAAUAAGUUUGCAUACAACACUCCUUGAGAAAAACAAUGAUCGCAUACAUGUAUAUGAUCCAUGGUUUAAGUAAAACAUUUCUUAUAUUUAUAAUAAAUUUAUUUUAGAAUGUUGUUAUUAUAUUUGUGAAACCAAGGUUUGGUUAAUCUUGAUUUUGAUGAUAACAAAACAAGGUUUAGAACUAAUGACUACAUUUUAAGUGUGAUUAGGCAAGAUGACUUCUAAAGUGGAAAUCCAAAGACAAAUCAAGUCAAGGAGAAAUCAUGAAGAAGAAGACCACCUCAAAGAGAAGAGUUUUUCAAGACCAAAGCUUCUUAAGUCUCUUUGUAAGGUUGUUGGUGCACUAGGAUUUCCAUGCAUUAUUUUCCUUACUUAUGCACCUAAAUCAUCCAAGAGUUAUUUUGUUUUAAAUAUUUUUAAAAUUGGAUGAUUUCAUGUUUUCAACUAAAACCUUGUGUUAAAUGUUGUUUCAAACUUGUUUAAAAGGUUAUAAAUUGGAAAAGUUGGUUGUUGAGCAAAAAACGGCUCAAUUGCCUAAAUCGGGUGAACCGUAUGAACAGUAACCGGUCGACCCCUAGCUCAACCGGUUGAGGGUAUGAACAGUAAUCGGUUGACCCAUGAACGGUACCCGGUCGACCGGUACAAAAUUUUCUCUCUCUUCCAGAAUGCUUGUUCAACCGGUUAAGGUUGAACCCUAACCGGUUGAGGUCCGGUCGAGGUCCGGUCGAGGCCUAACGGUCACCUGCCAACAUUAAAUGCUAACGGCUAGUCAACCAGUCGACCCAUAUCUCAACCGGUCGAACCUCCAACGGCUAGUUUAGCUUUUUUCUUCUAUAAAAAGGCUCCAAUCUUCAUUGUUUCAUGAGCUUAACCUUCCCAAAUCAUUCUUGAUUAUAUUUGAGCCUUGGAAGAGUGUUUUUGAGUGCACCAUUGUUUCAUAACUUGCAUAUCUUUAGUGCACCAUUCAAUCCUAGUUUUUCUUGUAUCAUUUGAGCUUAAAGCUAAUACUAGGAUUUUGUGAGAUCAAUCAUUUGUAAACCUUGAGAGGAAGUUUCAAGAAAGGGAUAUCUCUUGAGAAUUGUAAAGGGUGUUUGGAAGCCAAAAGUCCAAGAGGGUGAAUUGGAACCAUAAUCCAAUUGUAAAGAGAUUGAAACCUUGGUUGAAGCUUCAAGAUAGUGGAACCCUCACUCGGUUAGGAGGUUGAGGAGAGUGGACGUAGGCAAGGAAGUGUCGAACCACUAUAAACUCUCGUGUUUGCACUCUCUCUUCCCUAACUCUUUUAAUUUAUAUGCAAUUGUCUUUAUUUUGCUUAUCAUAUACUUGCAUAUAAAUUGUCUCUUAUUUUUACUUAGUUUAAAUUUGAAAAAGAGACCAUCACCCUAUUCACCCCCCCUCUAGGGUGACUACCAUAGGUUGGAUUAGCCUCAAAUUCCUAACAAUAUUAUACCAAUGUUGUUAGGUCAUAUUUUGUUGAAUCAAAUGAAGAGAAAAUAUAUUAUUUGACAAAUAUUUUACAAUUAGAGGCAAGGUUUGAAAUAUCAGUAAAUACAAAUAUAUUAGUACUUAGAUUUUACGGUUAUAUCGAAAAUAUUGAAUAAAUAUCGGUGAACAUUUUGACAAAAAUAUAGAUCUUGUUUUAAAAUUCAUGAAAAUACUUAAAAAAAACUUUCAAAAAAAUGAUAAAAUAAAGAAUAAUAUAUAUUAAAGUUAUUUUGUAUGCUUAAAUUCUUUUAAUAUAUUCGUAUUUAUUUAUUUUUAAAUUUUAAAAAUACUUUUAUUGAAAGAUGUUUUAUUACAUUUUAAAUAAAAAAUUAAAUUGAUUUAUAUAAAAUAUCCAAAACCAUUACCCGAUAAAGAUGUCUUUUGUGUGGGGAAGUAUUCGUUGCCAUCCAUGCAAAUCAAACCCACCUUUGAUCUUUAUUCACAAUUUCAUAUAUCAUAUAUAUGUCUACUAAACUUAUGUAUGUUUAUAGCUAUAUAUAUAUAUGGGUUUGUACAUGUGGAUGUGUGAAUGAAAAGUUGGAAAAUAGUCUCUAUUGUUCUUUAUCGAAAUGAUAGCUAGGGUUUCUAUUCGUCUCUCAUUCUCUGUAUUGUUUUGUUUCUCUUUCUUGGGGACUUACCUUUGUUUGUGAAUCGGAACCUAUGCUCAAUCAGCUUAAGAAUUACCCAGUAGUUUGUUUGAAUCAGGGGGAGUUUGGGUGGGAGAGUCUUAAGGUUUGUGAUUUGGGGGGUUUUGGUGUUGUGGGAGCUGAUUGGUGUCUGGGUUGGGAGGAAUCUAGGGUUUGUGAUAUGGGGUUUUGGUGUGGUUGAGGUGGGGAGGGAAAGAUUGAAUCUUGGGGAUUGUUUUUGUUGGUGGGGUUUGGAAGAUGGUGGAGAAUCGUGGAUCAGGUGUCGUCUGAUCGCCGCUUUUCUGGUGGCAAGCAACCAUCCGAUUGGAGGGGUGGGGGCUUUUGUAUGGAAACUCGGAGCCCCAAGUGGGCGGAGGCGUCCUCAACAGCCCGUUCUUCUGGACCCACUACCCGGUCAACCAAGCGAUCUCGUAUCUCCUUUUCUUCUUCAAUGAUCCCAAUUUCAUCGAACCCCAACGCCCAUGCUACAGUGAAAAAUUAAUUUUGAGGGGAGUGGAGCUACACUUUGACCGAAGCCAACGUUGACCGAUAGAAAUAUCGGUAAAUUUCCCAACAAAUCGGCAAAAACCGAUAUUUCGGCGACAAUUUCAGAAAAAGAGCAAAAUUCCUUCCAAUUGAUUAUCUGUCCUCAAUAUCGUAUCGAGCUUCACCGAUAACCGAAAUAUCGGAGAAAUUUCGUCGAUAAAAAAGACAUUUCAAUCACUGACUAGAGGUGAUGAACACUGAUGUUAGUAAUUAGGUUUGCCAUAUUUUUCAAUAAUGUACAAUUAGCUCAAUCACUUGAAGCUUAUACCAAAAAUAUAUUUGAAUCAAUAAUGGACAAAAAUUUCUGACUGGUACUUAGUGAUAAUCAACUACCAAAUUAUCAUAAACAUAGAAGUUGAAAGGAUAAUUUUAAGGCACAGAUGACUCUAAAAUAUCAAAACUAGGCUGAGGUGGUGUUUGUUUUUUUACUUAAUUCUAAAUAGAACCUUAAUACUUAAUAGUGUUAAAUAUUAGGUUGUUUGAUUUUGUAAUAUUUUAUUUCUAUUAAGUAUUAAAAAGUAAAGAAAAAUCAAUAUGUUAUUUUUUCCGUUUAGAAAAAACUAUAUAUUUUAGCUUUUUCUAUUUAGUAAAAAGUCUAUAAGUCAUGAAAAAGUAGAAAAACAAACAACCUAAAUUCUGAAAACAAAUUGCUUUCAGCAAAAAACAAACACCAUCUGAGUAUCCAACUUAAUAUUACAACUUUUCUUACUUAAAUGACAGUUUACAAAUAACAAACCUACCUAAAGAAAAAUAAUUGCUUGCCAACAUUUCAAAGAUAAGUUCUCAAACACUCGUGCCAAAGAAAUCUUCAUUACCACUAAGAAUUCAUCAUUGUAUUCAAUCUGAAACAAGUAAAUACACAUAAUUAGCUUCAAUUUAAGCAACAUUUAGAUUUUCAUCAUGGAAUAUAAAUAGCAUGUUCAUUAUAUAAUUAAUUAAUUAAUUAACAACAUAAUAUUAACAAACUUGGUUAUAGAGACUAUUUAAAUUCUUAUAGUUUUCAUACUUAUGGUAUUAACCAUACUCAAAUGAGUAUAUUUGUCAAUAAAUUUAGAGUUUCAACUAACGACCUAUAACAAUCUAUAACCUUAGCUGCUUGUUUGUAUAUUUUUUGGAAUUCAACCUUGGAAAAAAUUUCAUGUAUCUUAAUCUUUCCUAUGAAAAUCGCAUUCUAUAACUUCAAAGAGUUGAACCCAAUUAUAAACUUCCUCAAUCCUCUUUCUAAUGACUCAAACUAAGAAAUUGAUUACCCUAUGCAUUGUAUUUAGGAACUUAAUUGUAGUAAGGAAAGAGAAACAACUUAUAUUCAUAUGCAUGGUUGAAGGGUCUAAAAAUAUGCCCCUUACUAUAACAUGCUUUGAACAUUUAAAGCAAUAUACUUUUAGUAAAAUCUAAGUCCAACAAGACUACAAUUCAAUUUCUUUUGUAAAUUUAAAUCAUUAUUUCCAAUUCAAGAAUUUAAGAAAUCAUAUAAUAAAAUAUAAGUAUAAAAUGAUUAAUAGCUAACAAAUAUGUACCUAAACGGAGAUGACCUUACAUUACAUUGUAAUGAAAUUCAUCUUACCUUCUUUUUGUAUGAUGUUUGUUAUUUUGAAACCUUAUCACCCUCUGCAAAAGAGCUGAAUUCAUUGUGAUGAUAAUCAUAACACACCAAAAAUACAAUGAAAUUAAAAAACAAACAAGGAAGAAAAAAAGAAGGAAAAAGAAUGGGAAGUGAUGUAAGAUAUUUCACCUUUUUAGCCAUGAACUCCAUUUGCUUCCAUCUUCCUUUUCAGACAAGCCGCAUUCACUGCAGUGAAGACAUAUAGCCUAUCUCUGGUUUCAUCAAUGAACCGGAAAUAUGCCUGCCUCCAAGACUUCUUUAGAACCAAACUGCCACAUACAGCCCAAAAUCCCACCGGAAAGCCCAAUCCCAUGCUUAUGAAGAACCAUGACAUGUCCCAUUCAUCUUCAUCUUCCUCCUCAUCUUUGUGAUCUUGAUCAUUUAAAGUGGAGCAGUUGGUGGAGCAGUUGGUUGACAAUGGAGGCCCAUAAAGUCCCAGGUUCGCCUCAUAAAUGGAUGGAUCGUUGAAUGUCGAGAACUGGUUGGUUGUUGGAAUUGGUCCUGACAGGCGGUUAUGCGAUAGGUUCAAAUGGUUCAAUGAGGUUAUAGAAGACAUGCUCGGAGGAAUUGGGCCUGACAGGCAAUUGCAUGAGAGGUCAAGAGUUUCUAGCCCUUGCAUGGCUCCAAUCUUCUCAGGUAUCUUUCCAGUCAACUGGUUUCGGGACAAAUUCAAGGUACCCAGGGUCGAGAGAUUUGUGAUCUCUUUUGGGAUCUCUCCCCAAAUGUUAUUGCUAGAAAGAUCUAUCAACUUCACAAUUGGCAAUAUGCUAUCAAAUUCCAUAUUUUGUCCCUUUACAACUAGCUCCAUGCGCUCCGAAUAGGCGGCACGACCACUGGGGUCGUCAAAAUUUUUGUCUAAUAAGGUCACAAAACUUAAAGCAGUUAAAUUGCCUACGCAUUGUGGGAUGGAUCCUGAUAAAUUGUUCACUGCAAGAUCCAAAAUGUGGAGAUCAGAAAGCCAACACAAUUGCUCAGGAAUAUCUCCUGUCAACAUAUUGCCCCGUAGACGCAGCUGCUCCAGUGUUGGCAUUCUUUCUCCAAUCCAUUUGGGUAUCUCCAAUCCAGUGUAGACAAGCUUGUGCAGUUUUGUAAACUUGGAGCGAGUUCCCCAGUAAGAUUGUUGUCACCCAAUAUCAACUGAGUAAGUGAAGAUUUUGAACACAUCCAACUCGGAAUCCCACCAGACAGUUUGUUCUUGGAUAGAUCUAUGGUCCUAAGCCUGUGCAAAUCAUUCCAAUUCUUUGGAAUCUUUCCAGAUAAAUGAUUGUUUGAGAGAUCAAUUACUUCCAAAUCCUUCAGUUUACUAAUUGAUGAAGGAAUGCUGCCAUUUAACAAGUUACAAGAAACAUCAAGGAUUUCCAAGCUUGAUAAUUCCCCGAUGUUCAAGGGAAUUGGACCUGAAAAUGAAUUGUUUCCCAAAUACAAAGAUCCCACAUUAAGUCGAAGUGGGAGUGGGCCCCCCAAGCGGUUGAAACUUAAAUCCACCAAUGCGUCUUGGCUAAAGGAUGAUGAGUUGGGAAGCGUUCCAUACAAUUGGUUUCUAGAAAGAUCUAACCACGAAAAAUCUUGUUUCCAAAGCAACGCGGCUUCAUUUUUUAACUAAAGCCGCGAUUGGCAACCGCGGCUUUAGUUCAUUUUUAUUUAAAUUUAAAAUUUAAUUAAAAAAUUAUUAAAUUACAAUUUAUGAAUGAAAUUUAAAAAUAUACUUAAAUAAUAAAUUAUUUAUAUUUAAAUUUAAAAUUCUAGUAUUACUUCAACAAACAUAAAUUGAUAAAUAGAAGAUAUUAUAAAUGAAUAUUUUAUUUAUUAAUAAAUUAAUAAUCUUAAAAUAAUAAAUUUAUAUAAUAUAUAAAUAAUAUAUAAAAUUGUAUAAUUUAUUAAUUUAAGAUAUUUAAUUUGUUAAUUUUUAAGAUAUUAAUUUAUUUAUAUUAUGAUAAAUUUAUCUUUAUCGAAAUAAUAGUAUAGUAGUUAAUAACUGAGAUUUCAAUUAUAAUAUUUUUUUUACUUUCAAAUUUAAUUAAAAACUAUUGAAUUACAAUUUAUGAUUGAAAUUUUAAAAAUAUACUUAAAUAAAAAAUUAUUUAUAUUUAAACUUAAAAAUCUAGUAUUAUUUCAACAAACAUAAAUUGAUAAAUAGAAGAUAUUAUAAAUGAAUAUUUGAUUUAUUAAUAAAUUAAUAAUCUUAAAAUAAUAAAUUUAUAUAACAUAUAAAUAAUAUAUAAAAUUGUAUAAUUUAUUAAUUUAAGAUAUUUAAUUUGUUAAUUUUUAAGAUAUUAAUUUAUUUAUAUUAUGAUAAAUUUAUCUUUCUCGAAAUAAUAGUAUAGUAGUUAAUAACUGAGAUUUUAAUUAUAAUAUUUUUUUUACUUUCAAAUUUAAUUAAAAACUAUUAAAUGACAAUUUAUGAUUGAAAUUUUAAAAAUAUACUUAAAUAAAAAAUUAUUUAUAUUUAAACUUAAAAAUCUAGUAUUAUUUCAACAAACAUAAAUUGAUAAAUAAAAGAUAUUAUAAAUGAAUAUUUGAUUUAUUAAUAAAUUAAUAAUCUUAAAAUAAUAAAUUUAUAUAACAUAUAAAUAAUAUAUAAAAUUGUAUAAUUUAUUAAUUUAAGAUAUUUAAUUUGUUAAUUUUUAAGAUAUUAAUUUAUUUGUAUUAUGACAAAUUUAUCUUUAACAAAAUAAUAACAUACUCUUAAGCCGUAGUUGUCAUAUAUAGAUUUUUUUACAAAAUUAGUUAAUGAAAUUAAUUACAAAAAGUCUACUACAAAAUGUAAUUUUUAAUAGUUUAAUUAAAGUCACAAAAAAUAUCCACUAAACAUUAAUAUAGUGGAAAAUAAAAAACAUAUAUAAUCUCACAUGCCUCCACAAAGAGAGAACCUAUGUGUAAUACUCUCUUCCUUUUUGGACGCCCCUCUCUAACUGUAGCAGGUACUGCAUGUGACACAUGAAUAACAUCUGUCUGUGAUGGGGCUAGAGCUGGAAAUGGAGGUGGUGGUGGAGGUAGCAAUCUAGGUCGACGUAAGCCCCGCCUACCCCUCGGAAUGACUGGCGGUAAAUCUAGCUGAGUAGUCCGCCUAUUUGAUUAUAGAAAACCAUCCUAGUGUUGUCAAAUAUCAAGCAAUCAAUUACACACAAAAUGUAAUCACAGCAUUCAAAAGAUCACCAACCAAAUCACAAAUGAAAUUUAAUGUCAAUGAAAGUACGUAUUUUCAUCUUUUGAAUGGCUCAUAAUGAUCAUGAUGAUACAAUAAGUUUCUUGAUGAACUUAACACUAUCAAAGAGUUCUAAGCAGGAUGAAAAAUAAAUAAAAAGUGAAACCAUGACUAGUUAGCAACUUAGCUUACCUCAAGUGAAUCAAGAUGUUCCAAGGUUUCAAUAGUUAUAUUAUUAUCAUCCAUUAUUAAGUAUUUACUUUGACUUUUCCAAUCAAUAUAAAAAACAAACAAUAAAACAACUAUUCCAAUUCCAAAGUUUCAAAUUUCAAACCAACCAACUACCCUUUUGAUUUGAAUAAUUAACAAUUACUAGGGUGGGUCCCCUUUCUUAUUCAAAAGCCAACAAUUAUCUAAUUGAAUUUUUUUUUUUUGAUAAAUAAAGAGAAAUUUUUCUAAUUGAAAUUUGAUAAUUGAUUAAUGAACAUCAUGCAUAACUGUGGUAUUAUGUUGACUUGUUAUGAAAUUAAAUAAUAUUUUUUAACAAAAACAAGAUAUUAAGUAAAUUAGCAAUUGAAAAUAUGAAAAUAAAAAUAAAUAACACUAUAUUUUAUAAAAUUUAUUUAAAAGUGAAGUAUUUAAAUAUGAUAUAUUUAUAAAAAUGACUCUACUACACCUUCAAACUUUAAUUCUUAUAUUCAUUUAUUCAUUUAAAUAUUCAAAUAUAUAAAUAUUUUAUAAAUUUAGUAAUUUACUUAAUAUCAAUAGGAAAAUUUAGUAAUAUUAAUAUAAAUUUAGUAAAUUCAGUUAAUUCCCUAGGAAAAGUGAUAAGCUGAUGUACCAAUACCAAAGCAAGCCCAUAAUAAUAAUUCCACAGGAAAAUUUCAUAAUAAUAAUAUGAUAAAAUUAUUUUUAUUAAUAUCUUUUUUAUUUAAUCUUUAAUUUUAUUAAAAAUUAUAAUAUAUUCUAUUAAGAUGAGAUAAAAUUGUUCUCAUGAUUUGUUUUUUUUUUUUUUAACUCUAUUAAAUCUAAAAAUCAAAAGGCUACCCACUUCUCUCACUCGGGCAUGAAGAACCCCUUUUCUGAAGUUGCCCUCCAGCCGGGAGAAUCCCUAAAAAAGCCCUUCUCUCACUCUGCCACUCUCAAUCCUCGCAGGUACUAAUCUAAUCAUAUUAUUAUUAUUAUUAUUUGCAACCCCCCUUUGAUUCCCAAUAAAAUCCAUGCCCCAUUCGAUUUCCGCGAAAAUUCAUCCUCGUUUGAUUUCCGAGAAAAUCCAUGCAAAACCCCCAAGGAAAACCAAAAAAAUUGCUUUUCUUUUGCUCUCUGUGUUUUUUGGAUCCGUUUUAGGGGUCUCUUUGCUGUUGUGCCAUUGGAUUUAAAUUUCAAGAACCCUAAAUCAAAACUGAGAAACGGGAAAAAUCAAGAAUUUUUUUCUUUCUGUUUUCAUUCUCGUUUCCCACUUUUCUCAGCAUCCAACGGGAAAAAUAAAAAUACUAACAACACAUGAUAAAAAAAAGCUCAGAUCUAAAAAAAAUUAACACUAACCUCAACCUCCAACGUCUCCCUCAGUGGCCCACUGGUGGGGCUAGGAUUUUUAAGGAAAAAUGAGCACGGGCUAGGAAUAGAGAGUAGCUCGGAUGGAAGUUGUAGCUCCAACGUCUCCCUCAGUGGCCCAUUGAUGGGGCUAGGGUUUUUAAUGAAAAAACCACACGCAGAGCACAGGGGAAGAGAGCAACUCGGAUGGAAGUUUGGGAUUGGGAAAGAAAAAAUGCAGCUGAAGUUUGGGAAAGUAAAAAAUAAAAGGAAUAAAAAAUUACUUUGUAUGCGGACUCAAAAUGGUUAUUUUGAACAAUUGUUUGAAAAGUAGGUCAUUCUGAACAUUAUGUUUCAGCGGAAGGCUAUUUUGACCCAUUAUUCUUGGUUGAACCAUGUAGAUCUUAUGUCAAAGGAAAUUGGGCUGUCGGGAAGCCAUCUUCCUCUGUGUUGGUCACCGUGCCUAGAAGUGGAGAUAGUUGAGUCGAUUGUAUCGACCAUGGCCUAAAUGAAGCUGAUCCUACAGCGUGAACCAUUAGUUACAGGGAAGAGCAAUGGCAAAUGGAAAGCAGUACCGUCUUAAUCCACAUGCACAAGAACCAUGCAAGUGUGACCGUCCAUCAUUUCUAUACCAUUAUCUCACAACACCCCCCCCCCCCAUGCAUUUCAUCAUCAUCAUACCCAUGUAGCCUACCUACCAUCCCAUUUCGUUUUUCAUCUACCAUCUACUUCCUACUCGUUUAUCUCUCUACACCACAUAUCUAUGUACCCCAUCUAUCUUUUCAAACCUCUCUCCAAUCAUACCCUAUACCCGCUCUCUUUGCCUCAUUUCUCCUUCCCCAUCUGCAUGUCUAUAUUUCACACCCGUUUACUUUAUCACUCCAUCAUCACAUCUCCUAUACCCAUCGCUUGUAUACGUUCACAUCCAUCCCAUUUCACCAUAUCCAUCUACCCGUAAAUCCCAUUCCAUAAUAGCCAAUUUUCACUCCUUUAUUAUCCUUCAAUACCCACUGUUUGUCCCCCACCGACUUGAUUCCUAUGCUUACCCAGGAGCAUGCAACUACUUUUCUUCACAGCCACCACCAUUGCCAGGCUGCUCAGCAACUGUUGAACAACACUUUCAACGAGGAACUAUCCAGCUACCAGCGAAGCUUUCUCAGAAGCACCAUCAACUCUGGGAAAAUCAAUCAGCACAGAAUGUUUCAAUUGUGGACUGUUAUUAGUCAGUUGCAAUCAGAAUUGGCUGAUUAUAAGAGCCAUUUAUGGAAGUUAGAAGCAGAGGCGUCAUCUGCAAAAGUGACAAGGACAGAGUCUCACUCUCCCUUUCUUUCUCUAUCAAGAAAUCACGGGUUGAGAAGAGGUGAAGCAUGGGAUCAUUGGCGAAGAAGGGUUUGCAGCAGUACCUUUGACAACUUCAGUGUCACCCUUUGAGAACUAAGACCAUUAUAGCGGCUAUGUUGUCAGUUGUCAGUGACAUAGUUUCUCCAAAGCUAUCUGGUAUGCAGAAACUUCAACUGAAGCGUCUUCUUCUCAAAGUGCUUCUUGGAUCUGGUUAUCUUAGGCCCUUCGGACAUUUUCUGCAUACACUAUUGGAUAGGCUUUUUAAAGGGAAGAAAGAUUCAAAGACAGUGGCCAAGAAGGUGGUCCUCGAACAGUUGACUACUUCAACUUGGAACAACUUUGUAUUCAUGAUGGAGAAGUGGUUGGAGUUGUCAGUGAUUAAAAUAAAGGUGUUUUCAAUAAUAAGUGGGCUUGGCACGAAGCAGACAUGAAUAGGGUUGUUGAUGACCUGGUUGCUUUCUCUUCAUCCUACAGUACAAAUGGCUUGGCUUCGCCUAUUGCCGUUUCCUUUUGCUCUCCGUUUGAUACAUUGGAGGCAGACCACCAACCUUUUGGUUAUAUCAUACCAGGAAACGAAGGACCUGGUAAGGUGCUGCAUUCUUCUUCAGCAUCGGCAGAUACAUUGUCAGAGAAGAAAGUUUCUGGAUCUUUGGCAAAUUUACCUGUUAAUGUUGAAGGGAAAUCAGGAGAUCCACUUCCUUACUCCCUCUUGCCACCAAUUAUCAUUCCCAAUAUUAGCUAUAGUUUGAGAUGGUAAUGGUACCCCAUCACCCUCUUCAAUGAGCUCCACCAUCUUAAUUCAGAGGAAGGCAUGAUAGAGAUCUUGAAGGAGAAGGGGAAGGAAUUAUUGGUGCUGCGGGGACUGCUUGCCUUGGAGAUAAUUCUGUAGAGUGCUGUCAAUGGCGAUCUACACUGCGCUGUUAGUGGCUUUCUCAUCGCUAUUUCUGUAACAGCUGGAGUACAAAAGAGGUGGAGAAUGCUAGUAACCAUCAUGAAGCUUUCGAUACAUAUGGCUUUGAAGGAGACUCACCUUCGGGCUAUGCACAGAUGCAGUUGAUGAGCUAUUGGAAUGCAACUCUUGCUUUGCCAAUUGUACUAACUUGCUUGAAACAAAGUGGCGAGCGAGAGAACCACCCUGUUUUAUCAGCUGUCACUGUUUCUGCUGCUCAAAUAAUAAAUCCUUGUCUCCACAUUGAGGCUUUACAAAGUUAUGUGGGACCCUCAUGACAAUAGCUUCCAAAUCGAAAAUCCCAAGAUAUGAGGCACUAAUGCAACAAAAUGCUGCAAUAUCUGAGCGUGGUAAUGCUUUUCUGGAAUGCGACAAUGCUAUUGCUGCCCUUCGAUCUUUAGAAAGUGUCGUCUCAAUUCCACGUGGAACGAAAUGCAUGGAUCACCUCCCAAGUCACGCAGCUAAUGGAGGGGUGGAACUUGUAACUGACAGACAAGAGAAAACUCCUGCCAAAGCAGAAACUGCAGUCCUGUUUGAGGAUCUUCGAGAGCUCGGUAUUCUUAUCAGAAAGGGAGAACUCCAUGGAAACGUCUUCAGAAUAAAGCCACCUAUGUGUUUCUGCAAAGAUGAUGCUGAUUUCCUUGUUGAUGCUUUAGAUUGCAGCGUAUCAAAAUUGUGAGGAUCAAAUCUUCCAAGAGCUGGAGGUGAAGUCUUCACGCCCUUUGGCACCCUUACAUCCCUUCUUUAAUUUCGAAAAUAACUUUUUCUAAAUCCCUCUUUUCAAAUAAUUUUCUAAAUUUAAUUUGUUUUAAAAUAAUUUCAGACUCUUUUAUAUUUCCUCCUUAGCAUUAUUUUUAGGUUCCAAAAAUCCAUUUUUUUUAAUAAAAUUCUGCUACCAUUUUUCUUCAUGGCGAGCAAUUUUCACAUUUUCUCUAUUCUUAGAAGGUUUUGAGAUAAGCAAGGAUUCAAUUUUGUAAUUCCAAAAUAAUGGGGUUAUUGGAAUUAAUUCAUGCAAAAUAAAUGGGCUUUGGUGGGGGCCCCACAUAAGUGACUUUAUAAUUGAUUUAUGGAUUGAUUGAUUUAAUUGUCCCGCAUGAUUGAUUUUAUUCUACUCUAUAACAUGCUCGAAAUUAUUUCUUAAUUGUGCACUAACCUCGCUUUUUGAUAGCAUAUUAUGGCUCGUCGCCCAGGUACGUAUCUAUUACCCUUCUAGUCUUUCUAUAUGCAUGCUCUAACUCUCAUACGUGCAUCAUCGGUCUGGGUAUUCAUUGAUUUACGCAUCAAUUGCCACAUCAGCUUUAUUUUAUUAGUAGAGACCCGACUUUAGGGGCUUAAAAGGGUGUUACGAUCUUUACCGUACCUUCCCGAUAAGUAACCUGACCCCCGAGCCCGAUCCGGUUUCUCACAGACCACCUUUUCCUAAAUAAGGAGUCACAUUUAGGGUUUUUCUUUCUUAUUUUGUUUACCCUUUUAAAAAUAAAAUAAAAAUAAGUGGACUCCAAGUCAUUUUCUAAUAAAUAAUAAAUCAUUUUUUUUUAAUAAAAGUCGAGUUCGCCAUCGAGUGGGAAACACAUGAGCCGAAAUGCGGGGUCCACAGCAAUAUUUUUGUUUGGGUUACAAAAAAAAAUCAUAUUGAACACUAAAAAAAAUAUUUUUUAAAAAACCAUUCCAAUUAAAUAUUGUUUAUUUUAAAAUUUUAAUAAUAAUUUUUAUUUAAAAAAAUUGAGUUAUGAAUUUCACAUUAAAACAUUGAAUAUAAUAAAAUCAUUUUACAUAAUAUACUUUUGGUGAAAAAAAUAAUUUUAUAAUUUAUUAUUUAAAGAAAUUAUUUUGUUUUAAAAUAUAAGAAGAAUAUGAAAAACAAUUGAGUGUGAAAAAUAAAAGAAAUGAAAAGAAAAAAAAAACACAAAGUUUACGUGGGAUGGGAGGUUGAGUAGGUAGAGAUGAAAAGGAAUAUAAAAAUAAAAGAAAAAGAAUGUUAAAAUAUGGGGUGGGGGUUGGGAAAAUGAAAAGAAAAGAAAAGAAAAAUAAAAAAGGGGUGCGGGACGUGAGAUUGGGGAGGACAGAGAGGAGAGGAGAGAGGAGAGAGAGGAGGAAGAAAUAAGGAAAGGUAAUUUAGGAAUGCAAAAUGUCGUAUUAGUAAAAAUGGUGUUACGAAUAGCAAUUGAGAUUUUUAAAUAUAUAAAUUUUUAACUAAUUUUAAUUAUAUUUGAUUUUUAUUGAUAUUUUCGAUGAUAUAACAAUCCAUAACAUAAUCAUUUUUCCUAUUAUUAUUUUUUCUUUUCUUGGCACUUUCAAGGAAACAAAAAUAAACACCGAGUAAAAUUAUGAUUUUAAAGGUAGCUUAGUUAACAUUGUGUGUACUUUUUGUUGAACUCUUUUCGAAGUGGAAUUUUUGUUAUAAAUUUAUCUAAAUACCUAAAAAAUCUUGUAAGCAACAACAAUUAGGUUUCUGUUACAUCUCAUUUAACAAUUAUUGUAAAGCUAUAAUGACUAGAUUGGGUUAGAUAGUUCACAAUUUGAACCUUUGGUUUCAAAAUUUAAUCAAAGAAAAUUUAGUAACCAAAUGUUUAAAAUUUAGGAAUGAUGAUGGACAGGUUUUGAAACUAUUUCAAAUUUUGAUACAACUAUAAAUUUAGAAGAAAUGAAGACCUUUUAGCAUAUAGAAGAAGUUUCACCAAACUAAUAAUUAACAUAUAAAUAAGUAGGAUGAGUGUUUGAGACACUUCUCUUUUUGUUGGAUUCGGUUCUAGUCCGACUCAAGGUUAAUAUAUUUUUAAUUUCCACUUUGUUCAUUUAUGCAUUGAUUCAAAAAAAAUAUGUCAUGUACUAAUGUUAAUUCAAGAUAUUAAUUACCAAGUUUUUGAAACAUGAAGUCAUGGUCCAAAGAAAACGAUACAAUAUUUUAUUUUUUAUUUCUAUUCCUCCAUUCUUUUGCUUAACUCACACGAAAUUUGUUUUAGUCAAGCAUCAAGAUGUCACAAUCAAAAAGAAAAGAAAUUCAAAUGUUGUGUAUAUUUUCUCCAAAAAGCAUUUUAGACUCUUGUUAGAAUUUUCUCCUACGGAUGUUUUACUAACUUUAAUUAAUUGAAGAAAGCUACAUGAAAUUUCCUACUCCAUGUUAAAUAUUAUAGCCUAUAAAGGAAAAUAAAAUAUCAUAAAAAUCAUUUAAAAUUUUAUAUAUAUUCAAAUUUUUUAUUAUAUAUAUAAAGGGUUGGAAAAAUGUAUAACAGGUUAAUGUGGUAUUUAUUUUCGGUCUAAAAUUUGAGUAGAUCUAAGUUUGACUUAAAUCUACUUAUAUUAUUAAGUUUUUUAGGUUGUUUACUUUUUAUCAAUGUAUAAAUAUUGUUAAGUGUUAAAUUGCUUUCUUUUAUUAAUGUCUAAAGAGUUACACUUAUUUAUUUCUACAUGUUAAAAAUAUCUAUAAAAUUAAUUAUUAUAUUUUUUCUUAUUUUAAUUUUAAAAUUAACAAUUUAAGAGAUAUUAAUUUAAUAUAUUUAUAAAUAUAAAAAAAAUUUAUAAUUUAUUAUCAUAAUAAACAUUUUAUAAUGACUAAUAAUGCAAAGUGUAAAAAAAUAACAAUUAGAUAAUUAUUAGGAUUUCUAAUUAUGUUUGGUUGUUAAAAAAUUUCUAUGUUAAAACUUAUUUUUAUGUAACUAUCUUCAAAUUUAUGAAUAUUGUUGAGAUUAAUUUAUUAAUUUUUAUUUUUAAUUUGGAAAAAAUGUAAAAAUCUAAAUUUUAUUUUUUAAAUUAAUUGGAUUUUUCUAGUUAAUUACUAAAUGAAAGUAAAUUAGAAAUCUAAGUUCAAGGACAUUAGCCAACCAAACUGACUUUAAAUCUAACCAAUCCAAUCUUAUUACUUUUUAUUUUCAUUUAAAGAUGUUUGUUUCUAUUAAAAAAGAAAUGAUUACAUUGGUUCAGUGUUCAUGAACCAAUCGAAUCUAUCUAUUAUAUAUAUAUAUAUAUAAAAAAUGAUCACAUUGGUUCGGUAUUCAUUUCAAAACAAUGAAUCAAUAGAAACCGAUUCUAAUCGAACCUAUCUAUUAUAUAUUCGACUUAAAAGAUGCAAAAUUUGAAUUUUCAAAAUUUGAAGUUAUUUUUUGAAGAGACUUCAUAUUUUGCUUCUCAUAAUUUACUAUAAAUUUAUGAAAUUAUUUUUUAGUUGUCAUAUUUUUUAAAAAUAUUUUAUUUUUUCAAAGUAAAUUCACUAAAUAUUGUCUCACAUGUAUUUGUGGUUCACUAAACUUUUAAAAUCAAAUUAAUAAAUUUGUAAAAGAAAAAUAUUAUAUUUUCUCCAUUUUGUUCACUUGAUAAACAAAUCUACAAAAAUGUCAAGCGAAUGUUUGAAAUUUACCUCUUUUUUUUUUUUUUUUGUAAUCUUUGGUUGAUUGUGUUUUUAAAAGCAUUAUAAAUCCCAAGAAAGUAAUAUUUUUUUCUUUACCAUUAUAGUUCCCAUAGUGUUUAAACUUAUCUUUACCAUUUUUUUUCUUCUUGAUCUAACUACAAGCUUGACUGCACAAACUUGGUCAACAAUGAGAAUAAAAGAAUAAAAGUGAGGAGGGUGAUGAAGUUCUCCCUAUACUCUCCUCUCCCUUUUUAACUUUUAUAUCCCCCCUCAACAGUAUAGUUUUAAGGUAUGUACACUUUAAUCCUGAUGGACUAAAGGCCCAUAAUUCAUCUCAAUGGGUCAACUAAAAUAUUAUGAGCAAGGUGAAGCCAUGGGCCUCUGCACAAUACAUAAAUUGAUUAUGGCCCAAAACAAUACCCAUGCACAACCAAAUAUAGUUUACAAUAUACGUAGUCCACAAAAAACAUUUGACAUUAAUAGGUGAAUUUAGGUGAUUAUGCUAGUCCAAUAACAUAAUUUCAACAUAUGAUUACAUUUUACUCUCCCUUUAAUGUUAAAUGACCAAUCAUGAAACAACAAAAAGUUUUAUUUGAAAAUUUAUAUAUUUUUCAAACUCUUGAUUCCCCUUUAUAAAUAAUGUGGAUAAAGUUAGAGAAGUAAUGAAAAUAAUUAUUAAAAUUUACUAAUCUUUAAGAGAAGUAUAGAAAAUGGGAAAUUAAUAAAAAAAUUUAUUAAAAUUUGCUGAGGUUGAUAUUUUUUAGUUCCUUUAAUUUUUUUUACUUUAAUUUCCUUCAAUGUUAUCUUUCCUAGUAAUAUAAAUGAGGAUUUGGGGAGUAUAUAUGCUGUUAUAUGACCCAAAAAUUAUUGGUUAUAGAAUAGUAGAAAUUCCAUAAGAACAAAAUUCACAUACAUUUUAUCUCAAAGUUAAAAUAGUCUUACCAACUGUUAUGUAUCUAAUGGUGCAGUAGAUUUUGAGCUUGUCUAAAAAGCUCUCGCCUAUUGAUGCCCUUAUCAACUACUUGGCAAACCAAUUUGCCAAACUUGCAACACAAGAUGGUUGAGUGGUCAUCCAGCACAUCACCUAUGGUCAAGUCAAUGGAUAACAAGAAAAUGAAGUGUUGAGAGUAGAUGCAAAAAUAAAUAUGGGAAUAUGGGUGAGAGAAUAUGAUAGAUGAUCGAAGCUUAUUCUCUUUGCUAGAGCUUGUUCGGACCUUUAUAGUUCAUUACCCAAUUAUGUUAAGCUAACCUUACCAUGUUAAAAAAUUGGAAAAUAUUAAGGAAUUGAAUUGGUAACUAUUGACUUCCAUCUUGAUUGUUGACUUUGGCAAAAUUAAUUUAGAUUGUUGGACCAAGAUAUAAAGAAAUAAGGUCAAAGUAUAAAUGUAUGAAUAAAUAAAGGUACCAAGUGGUGACCAAGACACCGAUUGGUGAUGUCUUUUCAAUAUCUAUCGGAGAAAAAGUACCUUUCAGUAUUAUGGUAAGAUCCUAAAACCCUUCUGUAUGUCUAGUGAUUGUUCAUUUUCUGGGGCAUCGAAAAGAAUUGUUUCUCCAACUACAUUACUACCAUCAAUGACGAGGCCUAGAUCAACGACCAACUCUGAUUCUCUCUUUUCUUCUCCGAAAUACUCUUGUGUAUUUCAAAUUCGGAGCCGAAAUCUGGUCAAAGAGAAACAUAACCCGAAAUUCAACCCGGUUGGCCAGCCAUUGAUGAAAGGUCUCUAAAGAUUGUAGUCUUCUUCGCUUCACAGUGAUGAAAUGCAUAGCCGGGGACGGAAUCACCUACUAUCUGGUUCGGCUUUCAAAUCUCUAGUUUCGGUUCUCAUGCUAGCCAUGUUCGCCACCAUGGCAUCGAUUUAUGUCACCGGCCCGUGAGUUCUCACACUGUAUCGUAUUGUGAAAUGAUUUUCAUUUCUUAGCUGUAAUAGUGUUUAUAGUGUGGUUAAUUUCGUUAAUUUAGGUUUUUGUUUUGUGAUGCUUUGAUUUUGAUUAUAAUUGGUCUAUGUUUUUCAAAAGAAAAAUUGUUUUUAUGGAAAUCUGUUAUUGGUAGGCUGUGGUUGGAUUCUGAGAAUAAGGUUUAUUUGAUUAAAGAGCUUGAUAUUGUUAUUCAAUUGUAGCUUCAACUUUUCUUCCCCACAGUUUGUUAAUGCAUUUUUUGGGACUGUUUUGUUAUUGAGACUAAAUUAUAGUGAUACAAAGAGGGUCUUGACAUUGAAUGGAACCAGAAUCAGUCCAUCAUGGUAUAUGUUCUAUAGCAUUACAUUACAAUGCCAAAUAAACUGGUGAUGUGCAUAAGCUCUUGCCUUUUUCUUUCUUUUAUUGAAACAAUCAGAGUUGAUACCAGCCGAUUUUCAUUUUUUGAAAUUAAUCAUUCAUAGUAAAAGAGGUAAAUAUCUAUACUUACCAUUUUAAUAGUUUUCAAGUGGAAUCAGCCAAUGACACUGAAAAUUACAGAGUAAUUGGGGUUCUUUUUUUGGGGCUUUUGUUAUAAUAGACAAAAUAUAAUCUAGAGGUCAUGGUGAUGGUUCUUCAAUUUUAUAGGAACAGCAGAAGUUAGCAGCCUUUGAGAUGGAGUUACUUGCAGUACAACAGGAAGAUUUUGUCUCAAAGAACUUGUCAGAAAAGAAGGAACUCCUCCUAAGAAAAAACAUUUAGCUGUUGUAGGAAUUAUAACAAAGUUUGGCCACAAGAACAAUAGAGAUGCAAUCCAUAAGACAUGGAUACCAACUGGUAGAAUACCCUUCUUUUUGUAAGUUUCUCUCUUUACUCUUUCUAUGAUUUACAUAGAGAAUGACCCAGUUGGCACUUAACAAAUUGACAUUUCUGUUAUAAGCAUAUAAGGGAUAAAAACAGGAGGCUUGUAGGCUGAACUCUUGUUAACAUGAAAACUUUUAGGGAACUUCCAUUUGUCUUCUAUUCUUUUUUCAUUGUUUUGUUUAUUUUCUCAGUUUGCAAUAGUCAUCUUUCAAUAGUUUGCAAACUCCAUCAACCAAUUUGAAAAGCCUUAGAGCUAACAAGUGCAAAUUAUGAGAAGCUAAAAUCUUGUUUCUCUAGGAUUUUUCUAAAGUUGCUCAAUUGAAUGGAAAGCAGAAAACCAUCAAGAGGCCCUGCCCUUGCCCCUGCCCUGCACCCUCUAUACUCCUGUUUACAGAAAUUUGGAGUUUGUCUUUAUUGUAAUAAGGGAGACAAUAGUCUGCAUAAUAAUGGAACAAAAAGUAAUAUUGUGAUUCACUGCUUCAAAAAGUAAUUUUGACAUAACUUAUGUGCUAAACUGCACUAAAAUGCUUAGCACAAAAAGUAUGUUAUUCUUCAUUUGAGAGCAUUACAUUGAACAUCAUAUGUUAGCAUCACUUUUGCCAUAACUAAUCUUUCUUUCUUUCUUUCUUUCCCCUUAUCCAAGACAAUGCAUAUUGAGUGAUUGAUACGUAAGUUAAUAGCCUUAGCACCCACAUGGGGUGAAGUUUGAAUCCAAAAUUUCCCAAUAGUCUUAAUACGCUUCCUCGGGUGUGUUCGAACUUAAGACAUCAAUGUUAAACCACCACCUUACCCAAAACCUUUAAGUUGCUCGGUAAUAGGCCAACAAUGGGAUAUUAAGGCGACUAAUAGGUAGGCUAAUAGCCUGAGCAAUUCUCUUAUAAUGUUUAAUGGUUCAAAUGUUGACAAUUAAAACAUUUACAAAAGCAUGAUGACUUAUCCAUCGUUUUCAUACAGAUACUCUAGAAGCAGCUCUUGCUCUACCCAUUUGAAUAAGCCUUGAGUUUAUAUUGGGUGUAUGAAAUCAGGUGAAGUUUUCUCAAAGUUGUGAGUAUAAUCAAAGGGUUUUUUUUUUUUCUUUUCUCUAAUGAUGAGAAAACGAGUUCUUUAUGAUAUUCUAUUUUCACAUAUUGUAUUAUCUUUUCAUAUUGUCUUAAUUAUGUAGGAUCCACAAGUAGUAAGAACUAGACUGGUAGAAAUUUGGUGAUGGAAAAUCAUGAGUAAUUCUGUAUUGAUUUCAUCUUGUCUCUUAUAUUAAGAUAAGUAAUUAUUACUUUCUAGUUCUGUUAACUAGUCAGGAAGUCUCUUAGUAUCUCCGAAUUCAUCUGAUAGGUGAUAGAAGUCCCAAUGAAUAACUAGGGCAUUGUCCCAUAAGAGGCUUGCUUGAUAGAGAGUUAGAGCACCAUUUCUGAAGUUUUUUGGGCAUUUAAACAAUUUAUCAUUCCAUCAUAUUCUUGACAUCUGUUACACUUGAUUUGCCCACCCUAUGCACCCAUAUUUAAACCAUCUCAAACUCUGAUUUGUGUUGAGGUAUCCUGGAGUUUGCAGAGGGACGCCUUCUCGGGAAGUCAGGCUUACAUUGGCUGAAUAUACAUUUAGAAAAUUUAUAUGCUGGUCGACUGGACAAGUUAUCAUACGAGGGUUGGGUAGCAUUUAUUGAGAAUCAUUUAGAAGAUAUAUUUGAUUCCACAGACAGACCUCUGGAAGGAAGACGUUGGUGGUUGUCUGCUGAGGAUCCUUUCCAAUGCUUGGCUGCAUGUAUUAAUCUCUCAGAAGCAUUAAGAAGCUCCUCUCCAUAGACUACUAUUUCACACAUGCCUGUCCACCAGGUACUUCAUUCUCAUCAUGGUCACAUUCAAACUGAGAAAUGUUUACUACCGAGUGAAAUCAAAUUAAUCCCACCUCCCUCNNNNNNNNNNNNNNNNNNNNNNNNNNNNNNNNNNNNNNNNNNNNNNNNNNNNNNNNNNNNNNNNNNNNNNNNNNNNNNNNNNNNNNNNNNNNNNNNNNNNACUAGUUUUUAUUGGAAUUAUGUUUCUAAGCAUAGGCAUAUCAUUUGUUGCUUGUGUAUUUUGUAUAAAAUCCUCCAGGUAACUAUAUAGUUCUUCUGCAUUUACACAUGGAAAAUGACAGUCACAUGAUUGUUCAGACCCUUCAGAGUACCCCAUUUGUUGCGGAGCAGAAAUAAUGGAUCUACCACUUCUUUCAUAGCACUACCUUAUGUUUGCGCUAUCCUAUUGAAGUAGGCUUGAGAGGAUAACAGAUAUUUCCCUGACUUUACUUUUGUUUUCAUAUUAAAUGCUUAGAUUCAGGUCAUUUGUUUGUCCAAAACUUAAUCUGAGAUUGUAUUGUUCUAUCUUUUUCAAGGAUGGCUCGUGCAAUGGCUUACAACACUAUGCUGCCCUUGGAAGGGACAAGGUAGUGGAAUUUUCCGCUUUUGGUUGAUCGUUGUGGAGUUCUAAUUAUGUGAUAUGGAAGCAUGGUUUUUGAUUAGUUAGGCAUAGCUUUUCACUCUUUUUCUGCUUUGAGGCUAAAUUUGUCUCAACUUUGAUCUUCUCUCAUUUUGAUAGGAAAAAAAUGAACUUUGUUAAGGAAAGAUAGUACGAGGAUAAGGAACUAGAAAUUGAAACCCAAGAAAGAAACCAAACUUUGUUUGAGUUUGGUGCAGUUUAUUUAAUUUGAUUUUUUUAAGUCAUCUCAAACUUUGUUUAAUUUUGUUGCUUCAACUAAAGUUUUAUAUAUGUAAUAGAAAAUAUAUACCGGAAAAAGUGGUAGGACCUUUUCAAUUUUGAAAUGAGAAUUUUAAUUAAAAUAUUUGAAAAAAAAAUUUCAAGACUUCAACUGUGGCCAAACAUAAGUUGUGUCAAGAGAAUAAACCUAUGGCAGCAGGCAAGGAAAAGUGGCAUCCAUAUGAAGCCCUAUAGUUGCGGCUGACAAAAGGCCAUGUCUAUAAGUACUAUAUAGUAUUAAAUUAUGUAGAUAUCACACCUUUAUAGCAGCAACUAUCAGCUGUCCCAACCACAUAUGGAGCUUUUAGUUAAGGAAAAAACAUGACAACGGGGAUAGCUUCACAACUUCUACUUGUGUGGGGUGGCUGCAACUAUAGGAUUUAUCUGCAUCCCUAUGGCCUUCGCCGCUAUAAACUUACCUUCUUGUAGUGUGUAGCACUCUUGCCUCGUGUAUGAUUGCAACACAUGUACUGCACAACUCUUUGUUAAUGGUUGUUAAAAAUAGGUUUCUAUUUUUGAAAAUUGAAAAUAAGAAAAUCUUGUUUGACAAUAAGAAAAUAGAAACCAAUUUUUAAAAAAAUAGAAAAUAGGUUUUGUUCUUAAAAAAAAAAAAUGUUUUCAAUUGUUUUCUAGGGUUAUUUUUAAAAAAAUAAUAAGAUAAAUAUGAAGAAUAAUUAAAAAUAAAAUGCUACAUAUAAAACUUACUUUUUUGAAAAAUAUUUGAAAGCAAAAAAUACGUUAAAAGUAUUUCAAAUUUUCAAACAAACAUUUAUCAUAUAAAUCUCAUAGAAUUAUUUUCGAAAACUAUUUUCAAAAAAUAUUUUUUUUUAAUGAUUUUCAAAAUUAUUUUCAAACUAACUUAAAGUAUGUUUGACAGUGAUUUUAUGAAGUAUUUUUAAUCUUUUUAAUAUUUGAAAAAUAAAAAAUUAUAAGCGUUUCCUAAAAUCAUUACCUAAUAAACUCUAAUUCUCUUUACUAGAGGCUUAUACGGGUUUUUAUAUUUUGCCUCCUAACCAUGUUAGAUAGGUGGUAACCAUGUUAUAAGAUUUUGGGCUAGCAUUGGCUAGUCUACACUUGUAUGUACUUAAUUUUUGUUUUUAAACAUAGAAAAUGAAAGUAACUUGGAUAUAAAAUAUAAAAACUUUUAGAGACUUACAUUAUUUCAAAUUUCAAAAUUUUUUAUAGUGAUUUUUAAAGAUAUAAGGUGAGUUUAUACUUUUGGUAAAAAAAAUUUCUAUUUUUUUAUAUAAAAAUUAUUACUACUUUUUGUGAUAAAAAAAUGUAUAAAAAAAUGUCAAUAUACAAAUAAUAAAAGUUGAAAGAACAUUUUCAAUGCAUAGAUUAUCUUAAGGGUUCAAAUGUGGGCUAAGCCUAAAACUUAAUAUUAAAUCUUCUCUCAUUCAAAUAAUAGUCUUUAUAAAUACUAGAAUAUCCUAAAUAGUUAUGGACCAAUAUUUCAAACAAAUUUCUCAAACAUUAGUAUCAAAAGAAACUUUCAUUAACCAUGACGAGCUCCCUAUUUUAAUCUAAAACAUGUAAAUAAACAUAAUUAACUUCAAUCGAAGCAAGAUUUAGAUUUGUAUUAUGGAUAAUAUAAAUCUAAAUAUUUUCUUAAAAGAUGAUCAUAAGUUUCUUAGUCCAUGACUUCAAUUAAUAGAAAAAAUAUUUAUAAGCUCAAUUUUGUUGGAAGACUUUUUAUAUUUUCUGGUAACUUACACUCCAUUAAAGAUUCAAGAUUAUUUAGAGUUAACUACAGAUUGGAUAGCACAAGUAUAAAGUUAUGAAAAGAACAAUAACUUUUAAUUGAAAAAGAUUUUGGAGAUCUAGUGCUCAUGCACUUGAAUCUAGCUUUCAAGGCUUGGAACACUCAAGUAUUGCUUGAGAGUACCCAAUAGCAAGCACUCAAGUAGUGUACUUAUCUCAUACUUGAGCACUCAAAAGAGGGGUUUCCAAAAAAUAAGUUUGCAUACAACACUCAUUAAAAAAAAUGAUUAUAUAUAUAUAUAUAUAUAUAUAUAUAGGGAGAAUUGUGUUUUGGGCCCAGCUGGGCCCAAAAAUUAACAAAUGGUCCAUAUAUGUUACAGAAUUAAUAGAAAGGCUAUGAGAUAUUGAGUGACCUAUAUACCCUUCAAAUUUCCAAGUCAGAUUGCUGUAAAUUAAAAGGGAGAAUUGUGUUAAAUGUGAAAUGCCAUGUCACCUGACUACAAAAAGGGUCACCACCAUCCUACCCCUUUAUCUCUCUUCGUAAACACCAUGAUCAAAGAGGAUGGCCACUGUGAAUGUCCCCCAACCGAUUUCUUCGGCAGGCGAGGGUUGUGAGCAAGUCAAAAAUCAGAAAAGCCUUGCAUCUAUUUUAUCAUCAUCAUCAUUUCAAAAUCCAAAUGACAGUGGGUGUAAAUUAUUUUCUCUCACAUUUUGAUUUGAUCAUAUCCAUCUUGGGUCAUAGGAAUGAAGCAUGAGGUAAGUAAAUUGAAGAAACUUACAAUGAAUAUUUUCGAAAAGAUCUCCUAUUAAAUGGCAUUUCACCUGUUUGAAAAUUCUUCACUUUAUAAUCUGGUUGUUGGCUUUAUAGUGUAGGCAAUAAAUGGGUAUGGUGGAGACGGUGAGCUAUGGGGAUUAGUUAGCGUACUUAUGAUGAAUAGGAAAGUAAAUUGGGUUUCAUUUUCCCCCUUUUCAGUCAGCCAUGACAUUGGGAUGUGGUUAACCUGGCCAUAUGCACUCUUUAAGUUAUAGGUAGGUCAAAUUCCUGCAACUGUACAAGGCAUUUACACCAACUGUACAAGGCAUGUACACCAACUGUACAAGGGUGUGUAUCUUAAGGGAUUUCGAGUGAUUUUUAAGAACUUGCUCAUUUACUUUUUCCAAUCGUGGGGGACAUUCCUCACACUUAUUGGUUGACAACAUACUCAUUGCAUGCAUUUUAUUUGAUAUCUACCAUGUUAAUUCAUUGUUUUAUCUCCCCUACAUUACUUAUGCGUAUGAACGGAAAUGAGGGUUCAUUUUUUCCUCCUUUUCCCUCAUCCACGAGAAUGGAAACAUUGUUGCCCCACCCAUAUGCACUUGUUCGGUUGUCCCUUCGGUGGAUUGCAUAACUGUACAAGCCAUUUACACUAACUGUACAAUCCAAAUGUGUUAACUGUACAAGUGUGUUCAACCCUACCUAUAUUGAAGGAUUUCAACUUUUUUUGAAAACAAUCGUUGCUCAUUUCCUUCUUUUUUUUUACUAGAGGGACAUCCCUCAUAGUCAUUCCUCAUUUCCCUUUGUACACAUUCAAAUGCCUUGUGGUAGCCCACUUAUGUUGCAUAGGAACCUAAAUUGGGUUUCAUUUUCCCCCUUUUCACUCAGCCAUAUCUUUGGAAUGUGGUUAACCCGCCCAUAUGCACUCCUUUAGUUGUAUUUAUGUGGAAUUGCUCCAAGUGUACAAGGCCUUUACACCAAGUGUACAAGGCCAAUGUACUAAAUGUACAAGGGUGUGUAUCUUAAGGUAUUUCAAGUGAUUUUGAAUAACUUAGUCAUCAACAUUUUCCACUCGUUGUGAACAUUCCUCACACAUAUCGGUUGACAACACACUCCUUCCAUGUAUAUUAUUUUAUUUGUACAAUGUUAGUUCAUUGUUUUAGCUCCCCCACAUUACUUAGGCGUAGGAAUCGAAAUGAGGGUUAAGUUUUUCCUCCUUUUCCCUUAUCCAUGGUAAUGGAAACAUUGUUGCCCCACCCAUAUGCACUUGUUCGAUCGUCCAUUUGGUGGAUUGCAUAACUGUACAAGCCAUUUACACUAACUGUACAAUCCAAAAGUGCUAACUGUACAAGUGUGUACAACCCUACCUAUAUUGAAGGAUUUCAAUUUUUUUGAAAAAAAUUCAUUGCUCAUUUCCUUAUUUUUUUGCUAGGGGGGCAUCCCUCACAGUCAUUCCUCAUUUCCCUUUGUACACAUUCAAAUGCCUUGUGGUAGCACACUUAUGUUGCAUAGGAACCUAAAUUGGGUUUCAUUUUCCCCUUUUUCACUCAGCCAUUUCUUUGGAAUGUGGUUAACCCGCCCAUAUGCACUCCUUCAGUUGUAUUUAAGUGGAAUUGCUCCAACUGUACAAGGCCUUUACACCAAGUGUACAAUGGCAAUGUACUAAAUGUACAAGAGUGUAUAAGGGUGUGUAUCUUAAGGUAUUUCAAGUGAUUUUGAAGAACUUAGUCAUCAAUAUUUUCCACUCGUCGUGAACAUUCCUCACACAUAUCGGUUGACAACACACUCCUUCCAUGUAUAUUAUUUUAUUUGUACAAUGUUAGUUCAUUGUUUUAGCUCCCCCACAUUACUUAGGCGUAGGAACCGAAAUGAGGGUUAAGUUUUUCCUCCUUUUCCCUUAUCCACGAUAAUGGAAACAUUGUUGUCCCACCCAUAUGCACUUGUUCGGUUGUCCCUUUGGUGGAUUGCAUAACUGUACAAGCCAUUUACACUAACUGUACAAUCCAAAAGUGCUAAUUGUACAAGUGUGUACAACCCUACCUACAUUGAAGGAUUUCAACUUUUUUUGAAAAAAAUUCAUUGAUGGUGGUGUUUACUUAUUGUUGGUUAGUGUUAUGACAAACAAUUUCUGUCUCCCUCUAUUCGCCUUGUUAUCUUGGGUAACAACACAUAAUUUCAAUAGACCAGUUUGUUGCCUUUAUGAAAAACUCUCAUUUGAUGUUGAUGUGAGGACAAAUAUCUUUGAGGUAUUUAAUUCAACAGCUUCAUGCAAAAUCAGAUAGUUAAUUCACAUUCUAUGGCUUUAGAGGUUUAUUUUCUCUUAAUUUUCAUCCUUCCAAUAUUCUUAAAUUAUGAGUAUGUUCACUUCUUUUGUUUGUAAGACGGAUUUAUGACUCUGCAUCAAUGGAAAAUUAUGUGCACAAUAUGGAGUGACGGAUAAUAGGAGAACUUAAACGAUUACAUGAGGGUGUCGAAUUGCACCUUUUCCUUUUCGUUUUUAGAUGAAGCAAAUAAAUGAUCUUUUAUCCUUGAACUAAUUGUUUUUCCCUUUAUGUGUGCAGGUGGGUUGAUUCUUGAAGUGGGAACUUUGUCACGAUUAAUACAAAUAAUUCAAAAUAAGAGGCUUAACAUCAGAUGAAAGAUGAGAAGAGAAAAACAGAGAAGUCUAGAUGAUCAAGAUAGUUUAUUUUAUAGGAAGCCAAUCUAUGUUAAGAGUUGGAUAAUAAGAUACCAACCUUCUUUUAAGUUUUUACAUUGUAACUAUUUUCAUUAAAUAGUAUCAUAUACGUUUCGGGACAUGUAAUUAUGCAUUUCAUUCCAAUUAAAAUUCCAAUGUAUUGAACUUAAAUUUUGGUUAUUUCGCAGUUUAUCAGCACAUGUUUCUUGUUUUUAAAUUUUGUUUUUCCUCCGUUUAUAUUGGUUGUUGGACAAAUAAUGACUCAUUCUCAUUUCAUGUCGUUCUCCAAGUUUGCUGAAGAAUUUCUUUACUUGAUAAUUUUAUUAAGUCAUUAAAUACAUUAAUCAUGUUUGUUAAGAUAAUUUCAUAGCCCAUAUUUUUAAUAUUAAAUUCAUUUCAUUAAUUAUUUACUAUUUAUAUCUCUAUAUCAUUUUAUAUGUACACCUUCAUAUUUAUUACAUAAUUUUUAUAGUCAAUAUUGUGUAGUACUAUAUGUUUGCAAAACUUUAAUUAUGAAUAUGUAAUAAAACAGUUACUAAUUAAAGAGUAAUAAAGAUAAAUGUCAAACUCAUUUACUUUUUCUAAAAGGGACAUUCCUCAUUUCCCUUCGUACACAUUCAUUGGAUGAGAUAGCGCGCUUAUGAUGAAUAGGAACCUCGAUUUGGUGUCAUUUUUCCCCAACUCGGUGAGCCAUGACAUUGGAACGUGGUUAACCCAGCCAUAUGCACUAGUUAUGUUGUAUCUAGGUUGAAUUUCUGCAACUGUACAAGGCAUUUACACUAAGUGUACAAGGCCAAUGUACUAAAAGUACAAGGGUGUACAAGGGUGUCUAUCUUACUUUUUCCAAACGUGGGGAACAAUCCUCACACAUGCUGCUUGAUAACACACGCAUUGCAUGCAAUUUAAUUGAUGUCUACCAUGUUCAUUCAUCCUAUUAGCUUCCCUAGUAAUGAUGAAUAUGAACCGAAAUUAGGGUAAACUUUUGUGUCAUUUUCCCUAGUCCAUGGUAAUGGAAACAUUGGUUACCUACCCAUAUUCACUUGAAAAUAUGUACCUAUUAGGGAUUUGGUGACUGGACAAGGCAUUUACACUAAGUGUACAAAGCAAAUGUGCUAACUAUACAAGUGUAUACAGGGGUGCCUAUCUUGAAGGAUUUGAAAUGCUUUUGAAAAAAUUGCUUGCUCGUUUAUUUUUUCUAAGAAGGACAUUCCUCAUUUCCCUUCGUACACAUUCAUUGGAUGAGAUAGCGCGUUUAUGAUGAAUAGGAACCUCGAUUUGGUGUCAUUUUUCCCCAACUUGGUGAGCCAUGACAUUGGAACGUGGUUAACAUAGCCAUAUGCACUAGUUAUGUUGUAUCUAGGUUGAAUUUCUGCAACUGUACAAGGCAUUUACACUAAGUGUACAAGGCCAAUGUACUAAAAGUACAAGGGUGUACAAGGGUGUCUAUCUUACUUUUUCCAAACAUGAGGAACAACAACAGCCAACAUACGAACCCAGAGGACUAUACAAAAUUCAUUGUGCUGAAACUUAUGGAAGAACUCACAAAACAUCAUUAUGGGGUUGAGCUGCUUUAGUUCAGGAAUCCCAGCAAGAGAGACAUCUUGCUUUGUAUGAAAAACACGUCCUUCAAUAAUUGUAACAGUUGUAAAUUAUGAAUUAUAGAGGUAACCUGCCUGUAAUCUAAUGAGAAUUGACUUGAUAGAUUAGCUUUUUAACCAAGUACUUAGUGAUGAAAAUGUGUUUUGUGCUUGAACGGUGUCAUUCCCAUUAGUCCAAAAUUUUGGGAUGAUGAUCGCCAUUUUUCGAUGUGUUGAAUGAUUACUUUUAAGGUGUGGAGCUACUGCAUUCUGAGAAUGGUUAAUAAUAAUUUUUAAAAUCAUACAUAAUAACUUCCAAAAUAAAGACUAAUAAUUUUCAAGUGAUUGUGGAUUAUUCUUGAGUUUCCCUUUUCUCUUGUCUGAACUUGCUAGUUCCCAAUACUAAAGUAGGAGUCCAUUGAUAAUUUAAACACAAAUAUUGACUAUAAGUCUCUGAAAAACCUUAUUACUAUAAUCAAUCAAGCCAAUAUCCACCCAACUAACCCAAGGGCAAAGUGGGUUCUUAUUACCAAGCCAUGAGCAAUUUUGCCCACAAAAAAAACCUAGGACAAAAAAGGGAAAAAGCCACACGAAAAAAUGUUUUAUAUAUAUAUAUGAAAAAAAAAAAGAUCUCAAACCACAUGGCAUCCACAUGAUUGAGAAACACCAAUUUAGAAUUUAUUUUGAUAGGGGAUUUACUUUAUAGAAUAUUUUUUUAAAACAAGUUAUUUUUGUUCAAAACCCCCAUGAACAUGCAGUCUGAUGAUGUACAAGGCAUAAGAGUAGAGAAAUGAAAGGAAUGGAUAUUCAUGGCAUAUUUUCUAGUGCAAUUUUCUAAAAGAAUAAUGGCGUAUUUUCUUAUGACUGUAGACAGUUGAUGGAUGAGAUCAAUUAGUCAUAAUUCUACCCUUAUUGCAAGAUCAUUCUUCGCCGAGAUCCUUUUGCUUUCCCUUCGGGGCUUUGGAUUCCUGAAUUGUAAUCCUUUUCCUUCUCCCUUCCAAUUAAGGAAUGCAAGCACGCAACCUGGUUUCACCCACACAUCUUGCCCUCUUAUAUAAAGCCACCACCGAAGGCCUUAUGAACUAAACAGAGAUAUCCAGUUUAAUUUAAGAACUUUGUCAAAUGAAGAAAGUAAUUGCUCUGGCAGAAAUAUCAACUGAUUUAAUUUCUGACAGUCGUACAUCAACCUCCAUAGCAUUACAUCUACUAAAAGGGUUCCUAUUCUAGUUUCACAUGUAGAAUUGCAUUUAUAAUUCAUACACUACAUUCCAACUUCAACCAAACAAAAGCUAAAACAAAAGGCCUAAGCUAGAGCCAUUUGCAUUUCAGCACCCAGAUUGCCUAAGCCUGCAUUGAGGCUGUGUACACCCAAGGUUGCCAGGAUUGAUGAUGAGCCCCUGAUGAAGCCAAGGUUUCCAUCUUCACCAUUGGAACAACCAACAGCAAGUGAUCAGAUAUUCAAUGGCAAAUCGGGUGGGCACGACACUACCAACAGGCACUGCAUGACUUGUGGGCACGUCGUGUGACACUGGCAACAUGUGAUGGCAUGCUCAUGUGCUUCAAUUAAGUUACGGGCUCCGACACUCUGAAACUUUCCCUAAGUCGCUAGAGGCUUUAGACGAAUUUUUCAAGUGAUAUAACUUUCCCUUCGAAACUUUCACCGACUUCUAUUGAACAGCAGAAGCUAAAACGGGCACAUGAAAAUAUUUUGUAUAACACAAAAAAAAAAUACCUUGCGCUUCCAAUAAGUAUAUCCAAACAAGACUUAUGUCACGCAAAUUGUGCGACAUGCAGGAAAAGCUAGAGAGGUAGAUGUCUAAGGUGAAGAGAAGUGAUGAAAAUGUACAACAAACAUGAAGGAUGGUUUAAUUCAAGUCAAUCAGAACCCAGUUGACCCAACUAAGGAAGAGUAUGAUGCAUUCUCAUCACUGGCUGUUGGCCUCUUCUCACCAUCCCUGUUUGAUGCUCCAUUCCCAAUUUUGGGAAGCAGCCCUGUUUCUAGACCAGCCAUAUCAUGCAACUCUAAUCGUCGCUGUUUUGCUUCUUCUAUAUCACCUUCCCAGCAAGUUUCGGAAAUAAUUUCAAGCGCUUUCUCCAUCUUAUCCUCUGUCACAAGCUCUCCAUUUUGCAGGAGGACAAGGUAAAUUUGUUCAGCAGAAGCCUUCCGGAUCUAAGGGAGAUAGCAAAAAACCAAUCCAUCAGCAAAGGACGAUUUAUUAUAUAAUUGAGAGGCAAAAUUUUUAAGGUUUAAAAUUCAGUAAAAGUGAUAAUAUUUUGUGUGCACCACAUACCUUGGGAUAUCUAUGGCCCAGGAAAGUGAGAAGAUGAGAAAAGGCUCAGGUGUUGACGGAUUCUGGAACGGAAGCAAUAUACCCAAGUAUUGCAAUGCCAGCAUAUAACUUGGAGAAAUCCUUUGUCGCUUUCAAUUCCACUGCCAGAGAAUCCAAAACACCAGCAUAGAAGAUUGGAGUAUGGCCCUGGAAAUUGAGAUAUCUUAAAAAUGUGUUGACACCAAAGAAUUAAAACUACUGACAUAUAAUUCCAUAAAGGAAUCAGGAUCAUGCAAAAACCAAUAUUAGCUUAAUCUUUCUGAUUACAAGAAUUUAGUCGGAUAGAAAAUUUUAUUAACAAUUCCAGAAUUGCAUGAAGGGUUCAUUGUUGUCCUGGAACAUCUAACUGUCCUGUCAUUUUCACCUUGUUUCUAUUUUUUGGUCUUGGUAUGGAUUGAAGUAGAACAGAAAAUAAACUAACCAAGUCCAGGGAAUGCAUUCAACCAACAUGGGAAGUCAAAACAAAUAUAAAGUUCUCUUGAAUGAAAUGAUAAAUUUUCCACUAACAUUGCCUGACAAGGGACACCAUUUAUCUGGCAUGCUUUCACAUCUCAAGAAAUUGAGACUUCUGAAUUCAAUAUUCUAGGGAAUCAUGAAUUUAUGAACCAGUCUAUAUGUCAGCACAAAAACUGAGCUGAUAAGAUCUAGAAAAGAAAAAAUAAUGCAAGUGAUCAAAAAACUACUUUGAUUAAAUUAGUAAUUCUUUUGCAUCAGUAAGCCAGAUUUCAAUUUAAUGGCUUGAAAGGUCAGGAUUGUCUGUGUAUUAUAGAAAAAUGCAUAGAAUUGGAGAAACUCUUCUGGUUGGAUGAAAUGAUAGAUCCUAUUACAAAAAAAAUUAAAUUUUAAUAUUUUAAUAAAUGCCUCUACAAUAACCAUUCUUUCAUACAAUUAACAAUGAUGUACCAAUAGAAUCAAACAGAAAUCUUCAAAUUGAUAGCAAUGAACAAAAAAUUGAAUGGGAAAAAAAUUGAAACAUUCUAUCAUCUGUGAAUUAGCAUAGCAAUAAAAGGAGAGUGUCAACUAACCUCCAUGUUCAAUAAUAUCUUUUUGCUGAAAAGAAUCUCAAUGGUCUGAAAUACAGAGGUAAUUUCAUUAAAAAUAAUUCAUCUGAAAGAAGAUAGGGCCUAAAUCUGAGAAAAAAAUAUCUAUAGAAGAGUGGAAGUAGAGGUGUAAACAUGCAAAAGGAAUCAUGGAAACCCAUAUAAAUGCACAAUAUGCAACAGCAAAGUAUAGGCUAUUGAAAUGCAAAAGAUGCAAUAAAUACGAAAACAGAGAGAAUCUAAAAGCUGAAGAUAUAUCUUUCAAAAGCACAUGGGAAGGGCAUGUUUUUGUCUAGGGAUGAACCAUUGCAGAGUCUAGGACCACAAGAUAUAGCAUUCCACUUGGUUGAAUUUCUCAUCAAUCACAUUUUUCUUUCAUCAGUUUCAAUUCUCAAUUUUCGUUAAGAAAUCUAAAUAGUGGAGAAUGGCAACCCUGUACAAGAAACAGCAUAGUGGUGAUUAAAAAGUGCCUUUUGCAUUAGGUGAAAUAUGGAAGUAACCUAUGCCCCAAUGGGUAAGGAGAGAACAACGCAUAGACCCAACCAUGGCUAGAAUAUGGAUGUCUAGAGAUGAGCAUUAAUAUAUUCUUAAGGCUUCGUUUAAAGCAUUAUGAUUUGUAACAGAAGUUCCUUUGUGGUGAUGGGUAAUAGAUUCAAAACCAACAAACUCACUGGCAGAGUAACAUUGAUAAGCAUUGGAAAUAUGUCUAACUGCAAAAUCGAACCCAUAGUGCUAGUUGUUCCAAAUGAAAACACAAACUACUAAAAACAUAAGCUGUGAAAGCAAGAUAUAGCAAGAAAGUGAACUAUAAACAGUCCCCACCAGAAUGCCAGCAAAAUGAUCCUAAAAAUGUAGGUAUAUACUGACUUUAUUUCUGGUUAAUUUUAAUAUGAUAAUGUAUUGGUCUAGUUACUAUAAUGGUAUAGUGGGGGUUCAGUAGAUCUGGGUUCUAUCAGUGCAUGCAUGCACAAAACAACAGAACAGACUUACUUCCAGGGAUCAUCCCCAACAAGAAGUACAUCAUUCUCAUAAUCCACAUACACCAUUUUCCAACUUGAGCCUUUCUCGUCGUUGAGCACAUCUUCAACUCCAAGCAUGCAUUCAAUUGCCUAGCAUAAUUCUUCAUAAUUCUUAAAACUUGCAACAUCAAUUGACCUCCCAACUGAUCCCAUUUUUUGAACCUGCCAUAGCAAAAAAUGCCAUCAAAACCAGAACUCCCUGUUUUCUAAGAAAAAAAUCCACCAAAAAAGAAUGUAAAACAGUUCGUUGGCAAACAUAGAAACGUCAAUGUGUAGCGAAAUGGAGUUUGCAGUGACAUUAUGGUAGUAACAAUAUGUUAAAACUAAACUGGGCACACACUGGAUCAAGGAGGCAUGUAGGAGUGUUGUUGACUUGUUUCAAUAUACUUCAGGUGGUAAUGAUGGGCAUGCCUCAAUCUUUUUGAUGAAAAAGAGACAAUGUAGUCAUUUAAAGAUAUACAAAUUGUUAGUUAAAAAAAAUUUGUAUCAGCAGAAAUAAUACAUGGUACUGUAAAACAUACCACAAGGUGAGUCUACCACAAACCAGUACGCAUGUGGCACACAUAUAGAGACCAGGAAUCAAUAAUAAGUUAAUGUCUAUAUGGAAAUGAGCUCUCAAAUACUACUCUAUCAUGAGACAUUGCAUCUAUGAAUUUACUUGACACAUUGUUCUUAACACAAAUUUUUAUGUUUUAAACAAAAAACAAAAUUUGCCGAUGCUAAAUAUACUGAUCACUUCCAAUCAGGCAAGAAAAUAUUCAACCUCAGAUACUAAGUCACACCAAAGCUUAUGGGGAUCCCAAUCCAUUUAUAUGGAGCCAGGAUUGUGGCUCUACAAUGAUUGGCCAAUGGUUAUUUAGCUGAUGAUUCCUAUACAAUAUCCUAAAUUAAAAAGACCUACAGGAGAAACAAAUUAGAACAAGUGAUCUAGAGUUAUUCAGUAUUGGGGCAGAUUUAGUCCAGCGCCACCCAGAAACCAUGCUUGCACUUUUAACCGACAAAAUAAUUUAUUACAGGACAAAAUAAGGAGAGUUGAUUUCUAUAGUAGGAUUGAUAAGUUACCUUCUCAUUUACCAAUUCAGUGAUGACAGAUGCACAUUGCUGCAAUGACUUAAUCCUUGUCAUGCAGUGAGUUGAUGGUUGCUCUAAAGCAUCUCCUAUAUCCAUGGAUCCUUGUGAAGUCCCAGAAGAUGCCGAGCUAUGACUUUCCAAGCUUCCAGUAUAACAUGUGUUAGUGAUUCCUGCACCAGCAAUUGGCAUUGGUGCACUUGAUUUGGUCUUCAUAUUUACAGAUGUUAGAGGGGCACUCCCUGAUUUGCAUUGUGAAUGACUUGGCUUGGAAGCAAUAGCUGAGGAAGAUGAUACAUCCAUUGGGGGUCCAGAUACAAAAACAUAAUCUUGAUCAACCAACUCCUCCAAUGAAUCCACAACUGUGGAAUCCAUACAAAUAAGAUAAUAAAAAAGAACAUAAAUUUUAGCAACACGUUUUUUUUUAUAAUAGAAUAUUAAAAUGAGCAAUGAAAUAUUAUUGAAAACAUUGGUACCUCUUGAACAACUUCUCAUUGGUCUUUGUUCCAUGGAUUUUAGAGGUUCUUUGACAUUCUCAUUUGAAGGCCUAAGAUUGUCAAUCCUAAAGCCAGUAAUUUCUGGUUUAUGUGAUGUACUGUUGUAUUUAAAAGCAGGAUCCGUGUUGUUCGAAGUGUUAAAUAUUGUUUCCCUUAUAUCAACUUUGUUAUCAAGAGAAAAUCCAUAGGUAGACUUCAUUGAGGACCUCUUCCUCAAAAAUGAUGGGCUCCCUUCAGCACCACUAGAAUCAUCAUCUAGAGGAAAAGACAUACAAUCCUCUUGAGAACUUGCCUCUGUUUUUCUCACAGGAUUGCAUUCAGAAAAAGGAAACCCAUCAUUUAUUCUUGAUGAUCUCCUACUAUUGCAUGCCACGAAGGAUUUUAACAUGAGUAAAUAAUGAAAAUAUCAUAUGCCAAGAUCGAGAAGAGUAAAAAAAAUUUUCUCCUUUACCUUAACGCUUCAUCUGGUUGCUUUUGAGAAAGGAAUAGGUGGUUAAACAACUCUUCAAAUGUUAGUCGUUCCACUGCAUAUACAAGGACAUAGAAGGGUCAAAGAGCUAUUCAACCUCAAUAAGCCUUUAGUUUUAGAACUACAGUGAUUUCUUUUUGGCACAAUCAGAUAUCAUAUAUGUUUCACUUUUGUAUCAUCUUUAGUUGUUUUAGGCUUUUCACUUGGUGCCAUUAAGAAUUCCUAGCAACAAACAGGUUUCCCCAAUAAAACACACACACACACACACACACACACACAUAUAUAUAUAUAUAUAAAUGCUGCCAGUUUCGAGCUAAAUUCUGUGAAAUACCUGGAUUGCGGCGCAGCAAUUUCUGACACAAAUCUUUGCAGUUAGCACUCAAAGCAUUAUUAUCAGGAGGGAAAUGCAAUUCACUAUAUUUAACAAUGUUUUGGAGCAACUGCUCAAGAAACAAGACAAAAGGUUAAUCAAGGAAAAGUUAAGGGCACAAAGAAAGACAAAUUAAACAUAGCUACAGAAUUAUUACUACUUAAAUUAAACACAAAAAGAAUCAAUAAUUAAACCAAGUUGAAAACCCAACCACUACAAAUGAUUAUUUCAGAUGUGCUAAAAAAAAUAAAAAGAAAAAAAAAACCUGUAUAUGAUUGUUUCUUGUAAACGGUGUUCUUCCAGUCACAAGUUGAAAGAUAAUGGCACAAACACUCCAGAGAUCUGCCUGCGUAUUUGGUUGAAGUUAAUAGGAGAAGGUUAUGCGAGAAAAUGGAUGGAUUCUUACAGAUGGAGAAAGUAAAUAUCACCUUUGCGUCAUAUUUCUGAAGUUGCAUUAUCUCUGGCGCCAUGUACAAUGGUGAACCACACAAUGUUUCUGCAAGACCUCUAGGUUGUAGAGAUCUGCCAAAAAAGAAUCGGAACAUAUAAACUUAUUGAAAGGACCUUAACUAUAUAACCCAUUUAGCUGUACUAGAAACUAGAAACGUUAAACAAAAGGAUUUUUAAAAUGAAAGAGAACAGGUUUCAUUUCAAUGAAUAUUUACACCCUUUGAAAUCAGCAAUCUUCAAUACUGAAUUGUUGUCAUUUGUGGAGAGAAGAAGAUUUUGUUCCAAGUAAUACAUAUGCCAAAUGGAAUUAGAUCUUAUGCAAUGCCUCUUUUGCACAGGAUGUACAACAUAAAGAAUACCCAUCACUAAAAUUCCCAUCGUAUUUGCAGAGGAUAUAAAUUUUGAUGGGCAUGCCCUAUAGAAAAUUUAAAAUCAUGACAAAGUCAAACACAAAACAAGAGCCAAUAUAUAUAUUUAUAACUUUUUUAUUAAAAAGAAAAAGUAGACAAGAAAAAAAGCAUGCCUGGGAUUGUAGAAAAUGGUAAAUGGGCUUCGGUUAGCCGCAGCAUGAGAUGUAGCUGCAAGAACUCCAAUAUGCAGGCUAUCAGUGGACAGAACUGAUGAUGGCAAUGAUGUUUGUUGACGGUUUGCACGCCUCACACCAAACAAUAGCUGUGAUUUCUCUUCUCUUGUGAUGACAAUGAAUACAAGAUAAUGAGGUUAGCUAAAAUAUAUUUUUUAGAAUGCAAUAUAUUAUUAAACAAGCAUUAAACAUGUGCCUAUGAAAUAGACUUGAGUGAUUGUCCAAUAUGGAUACAUCAUACAAGGGUCAAAACUUUCAGAUGUCCUAAGAGUUUCUUUCGACAGUUUCAAGGAUGACAAACCACAUUAGAAACUUUCCCAAUAUUGGCACAGGUUGUCACCAAUCUCAUACACAAGAUGUUAAAAACAGAAUAAGGGAAAAAGAAAAAGAAAACCUAAUUAUUGCGUGCCUACAUAAUCAGAACAUCAAACUUGAAUUCUGGUUUCAUAAAAACUUGGAUGCAUAAUAAUCAGUCAACUAAAAUGAAGCCAUUAUUUGACGUCUACCUAGACCACAUCUAUGUGGAACCUAAUCAUACUUAAGCUAGAAAUAACUUUUUAUGAAAAUUUCCAAUGAAUGUUAUAUAGUACCUAGUUUAUGAUCAUCUUCAAACUUAAGCAUGGCGUGUCAUGAUUAUCAAGAAAUAAAGGUUCCCUCACCAUCAGCAAUUUGCUAUCAUUCAAGUUUAAAUACACUUAUGUUAUUAUUCACAGCCAAAUAUCAAUGAUUGGGGUCAAGAAAGGGGAAUAUCUCAUCAUGAUUAACAAAAAUAUUUACCUCGAUGUUGCCUACAUCCCACAUUGGUUGCCUGCAGCUAUUUUGAUCAUCUAACAUAUUUCCAGCCUGCUUGUUACAAUGAAAAGGUGAUAACUCACUGGUUUUUGUUCUCUAUCUUUCAGAACUGUUGGAAAAUGAAUGUUGAAUGUCCUCUGGUUUUCCUUUUUCCUUGCCAGAGCUGCCUUCAAAGUACCAAUCUGAAAUAAUAGUUCAAAGUUUUCAGAAUAAUAAAUAAGAAUUGAGAAGAAUGAUAAAUAAUGAGAGCAUUCAGAACCUGUUCUUUCAGCUCUUUCACAUCUGCACUAUCCUUGUUUACACGAGCAGCAUCAAGUUCUACAGUGGCAAAUCGCUCUGCAAAUUUAACUGUGCUAAUUGUUUCUCCAUCAGCAUCCGGUUCAGGGCUAAUGUGAACAAACAUUAGUGUCUUGGCUUGCCCCCCUAAAGAGAAUUACAAUCCAAAAGCCAUAUUAUAAUUUAAAAAAUAAAAUUAAAGAAAACAGAAUCAAAUAUGAGGUUCAUACUCUGAAAAUGCAUUAGUUUAUUCUUACCAAGUGAGUCUUGAAGAAGUUUUGUUACUUAACUAUUCCUGUAAGGGACAUGUGGACUCUUCUGGGCAAGGGCAGAGAUGACAUCCCCUAAAACAGAGAGAGAUCUGUUAAUAUGCUGUGCCUCCUUUAGUCUAUCUCCAUUGACCUCAAAUUUGUCUACUCUCUCACUGUCGGCCUGAUCAACAAGAUGCAUACAGCCACGAAGAAUAGUUCCUGACAUCAAGUCUCUUCCUGAUUCAUUCUAAUAAUAUUUAAUUCUCUCUAUUUACUUAUUAUGCAAUCACAAUCAACUUAAGUUAAAAAACAAUCAAACUCUGACUAAUCCCAUAAUCCCAGUGUUCAUUUCCGCAUAUGACACCAAAAAAAAAUUUAAAGAACUACAUUUGUCCACCAUAAAUUACAUACAAAUGUUAGCACUUUAUACAGUUUUAUCACAAAUUACAAUCCCCUUUAAUCUCUCCGGACAUGGUCUCGGUGUGCAUUUUGUGCUGAAAGCAACAUACUCCCCAUAAUCUUCAACCUGUAAUGUUUCAAUUUCCCCUGCAUUCAUUCAAGUUGAUAGCAACAAAUCAGCAAAUUAAUUAAUUAGGCUUUUCUAACUAUUUUAACAUUAAUGAGAUAGUCAUAGAUAAUUCCUCCUACGUACCACAUCGAUUGAUUUGGAGAACCCCCCCAUUGACCACAAUUCCAUGAAUUUCAUUACAAAAACUCCGCAAUCGUGCCUACGUCAAUAUAAUUACCAAAACGUUAUUAAGUGUGGAAUUAUAAAUAAGAGAUGAACUUAAAAUAAGUUGCAAUCCUAUACAAUAUCCCGGACUGCAAGGUCAACACUCACUCAUUAGGUUGGAGGGGUACAUCAGGUGUUAUGAAAUUCAAUGUCCUCAAAUCAUAAGGUGAUACCUCUUUUUUGUGGGCAGCCAACCACAAGACAACCUUGGCCUGAAACAUUUAUUAACGCAACAAUUGAAAUUUUUAUGGGAAGACAUACCUAACAAAUUAUUAGUUGUUGCUUGUUACUUUACCAGAUUUUGUUGAACUCCACUCAACAUUGUCUUCUUCCUACCAGGACGAGAAUCUAGCAGUUGGAUUCUCUUGUUUGCUAGGUCAUAUACGUACAAUGUCCAAUGGUUCUUUAUGAGAACCGGUAAGAAGACCUGCACCAAUAGACUGCCAUUAAACAUACAUCUAAAUAUUGUACCUUCAUGCAAUAAAAAUACAAAUCCAAGCAUUAAACAUAGGAAUCCACCUCGUUAACAUUGACAUAUGGAAUAUCCAUCUGAUACAGAUGUGGUUCAAAGUGUCCUAUAACUACCUCCCUCACUAAGUGUUUUGCUUGGGAGUGGAUUAUCAUUUCCUGCAUGUCAAAUAGGGGAUAAUAUCAGGUUUGUCAUUGUAGGUGAUGCUUGGUUCAAGACAAAAAAUAAAGUUAAGCAAGGAUUUAAUGGAAUAGUAAUCAUUACAGCUAUGUAGGGGGAUAGAAACAGUUUCGACUUCGAUUCAUGUUCAUACUGCAACAAUCUACAGUAGGCAUCGACGACCUGAUUUCAUAUAUCAUAAAAGUGUAAGCAACUAAUUAUAUUAGAACCACACUUUCAUUUUCAAACUUAAAAUAAUGCAUAAAGAGGGAUAAGAAGUGAUAUGCACGUCGCUUCCUAUCCACCCAUUCCCUUCGAAGCAGCCCAAAUUACCUCUGGUUAGGAUAGUGUCAUGCAUAGACACUAGUUCCUCAUUGUUACAAACACAUACAAUUUAGUUUUUAUGUUUUCACGAUCAUACAAUGAGAGGAGUGUCAUUGAAGUAUGUUACCUAGCAUCCAAAUCCUCUCCAAAUACCAGUGCAACUGCUUGUUUUAGGUCGAUUUUGAUGGCAGAUUGUUUGGUUUGUGGUUGGGAUAUGUAUGGGGACAACAGGUUUGGAGCCAUUCGACACACUCGACGUUUUCGGACGUUCCUAUUUGUGGGGACAACAUUACCUUCUGGUUGUUCUUCACCAUCUGCAAUACGAGAUUUAGAACUAGUCAGCAAAGGUAUACAUUAUGAUUGGGUACUUGGGUUGUUAACCAUAUGGGUGUUUGCAUAAAUUUUAUCACUUACUGCUUACUACAUUAAUGGGUACACUGGACUGCAACUCAUACUCAGGGGCGACAACGCGAUCUGGUGUGUCUAGCACAUGGUUUGCAGCAUGCGAAGCCAUGUACUCAUCACCAAGAAAUGCAUGGUCAUUGGUUGUGGGAGUGUUGGCUGGUGCAUAGCUAGAGUGACCACCCACAUCUGAAUUUACCCCACUAUGUCUUCGAGUCCCUAACUUAUGCAUAAGGCCACACAUUAUUCUCAGCUGCUGCUGAAUGCCCCGUUGAUAUUGGUCAAUUGCUCGUUCUGCAUCAUGAUAUUGAUGCCAUAUUUCCUAUGACAUGAUAUUGAUGUCAAUUUUUGAGAACAAAAUGUGACAACAACAUAUUUCUUUGUAGUUAAGAAGUAAAAAUAAAUUACAAUGACAAUGAAAUGAACAUUUAUUAAGUUUUUAAAAAAUUAACAACUUACAUCACUAUUUUCAGCAUCAACAUUUGUGUCAUGGUCCACAUUAGUCUCUGGCUCCAUAGUUCUCUCUACGGUUGGAGAUCUCUAGGACGCCUAUAAUUAGCACUGAAGAUUAGUACUUAAAUAAUGAGUGUUAUGCUGGUAAUGACAAUAUAUUUAUGCAUGCAUCACUUACAAAAUCAAUCUCAGCAUGUCCGAAUGCUCCAAACUCCUUUAUCUCAGCGACUAGUCAUCGCUUAAUCAAAUCAUCGGUCCAUGCCAAUGCUGGGGGCACUGUAAUGGGGACUUGGACUGAAGGAAUUUGGAAUUUAAUGACAUAAUGCAGCUGCAUAAUAAAUACAAACAUCAGUAGGCAAAUGUGACUAUGUUGUGCAAUAAAAUUAUAUAACAAAAUGGAAGACAAAGAUUGAAUAAGUUCACUACCUGUAGAAAUAAAACGCAGCCAUGUACCCAAGAGGUGUUAGACUGUUGGUAUUGCCUAAUUCCCUCAAUUAGUUGGUCAAGCACAAACUGGGCCCAAUUAACGUCAUUUCGGAAUCCAUCCUCAUGGAUGGUAUGCCACAAGUUACGGCAACCAUUGAGCCUAGAUGUGGGGGCCAACAAUGUGGCACAUGCGUAGUAAAUGAAUGCUUUACGGAACUCCUCGCCUAUAGGUAAGUUCAGGAGUUUCUCCUCGCAUGCCCGAAUAGUCCCAAAUGGAUGCUCUGAUGAUGUAGAGGUCACCUGCAAAAUCCGCCCUUCUGUUGGGAGGCCGAAAAUGAGGCCAACAUCGGUGGCUGUAACAGGAUAGUGUUUCUGGGCUGAGAACUCUAUCCGUCUAAAUCCAACAUUGAAAUGUUGGAUUAGAAAGAUACAAAUGUUGUGGCGCACCUCUAUGCAGUCUAAGUUUAAGAGACCUCCAAAUUGGAGGUCUCUUAUGGCUUGUAUUUUUUCCUCUGGUAACCGGUUGUAGAGUUUCUUAAAUCUUGCAGCUGAGCAUCGUGUAAACAUUGAUGUGCCCUGCAUGCAAUGUUUGACAACAUGGACAUGUUAGGAAUAGCGACAUUUUUGCAAUUGGUAAUGCAAAAAAUAAGUGAAAAAGUAAAGCUGUCAUUUCUCAAAGUUACAAAGACUUGUCUGCUUGUAUUUAGAAAUAAUAUACAACAGGGUAAGACAUUAGAUGGGGUUGGGUGCUACUGACAGUGAGAUAUCCUGUAAGAAGGAGGAUUGUAAAUUUAUGAAUAAGCCUAUAUAGAAUAGACAAUAACAGUAAAAAUGUACAGAAUAGACUAUAAAAGUACAAAACUAAAUAUGAGAAUACUACAUGAUAUAUAAAAGAAAGAAAUCAAAUCAAUUUAUGGAAAUAAAUUGACUAAUUCUAUUAGAGAAAGAAACCAUCAAAAAAUCAAUGAAUAAUCCUAUUUAAUUCUCAUUUAGAUUGUAAGACAACUUGAUAGAACAAAAAUCCUUGGUAAUGAAUUUGUGAUCUUCAACAACAACUAACAAAUGGAGUGAACAGAAAAUGCUAUGGAAAAGCAGAUUUCUUUCAUUGCCUUAACAUGCUUACAAUAAAAUGCUUGAGAAAGUGGAAAUAAAAGCUCACAAACUGAAAGGCCUUGUAUUCGUAUUCCCUCGCACACACUGGGUUUUGUGUCAGGAAUCAUCUUUACAAUAAUUCUAUUCCCCCAAGUGUUUUCCACUAUAUUGAACAACAUGGUGGCUACUAAGGGUCUUGCAUUCAUGGAUGUGAGCAAGAGAAAAAACUCAAAGAGAUCUCUUUGUUUUCCCUGUUCUUUUCAUUCUUCUGGCUAUUUAAAAGGGGUUUAACCUGCUCCUUUUGAUACUUCUGACAUACACAAAAUCUAGAGGAACUGCUAGAGCAAGCACUAUUAUGUGGUGAAGCAUUACACUAGGUAAGGAAGUUCAUUUUGACUUAAAACUUUUAUAGGUUUUAUAAAAUAUGGUUUGAGGUGACACAACCGAACAUACUUUUAGUAUAUCCAUUAGCAUUAAUCCCAUCCCCAUCACCAUUCCUACCACAACACCUCUCUUUAUCCUUUCCUCUACCCUCCUCCCUCCUCCUAGAGGACAUGGUUUUUGCCUAUCCCCACAGCUAUAUAGCGAAGACCAUUAGAUCCCUAAAGCAUAAUUUUAUAUGGCGUUAGUGAUUCGUGCCCAGUCGGUGUAUCAACUGAUUCGUGUCCAGCUGGUAUCCUUGAUUGCGGGAGUAAUCAACAAAAUUUAUAACCUAUUACACCAUGAACUAGGGUAGCAAAGACAAAGCUACUAAAGCAUAGUGGCUUUAGGAUCGUUCAUUGGGAUGGGUUUUCACUUCACAAUUGAUAUUAAUUCAAAGCUGAAUUGGUGUCUUUUCAUUUCAAGGUUAGCUUUAAAAGAAAACAUAAAGAUGUUUGAAUGAAAAAGGUUUGGUUUUAAACUAACCAAAAAUUAGUAACUGAUUUUACUUACAAGGAAAAGUGUUUCUUGGAGUUUAGAUCACUAGGAUCAGAUUCCUUGAACAAAAAGGGAGUUCCGGUCACUUGUUUAUUUUCCUCGCAUUGGGGAUUUAACAUAUAGUUAUUUCCCAAAUCGGUAUUGUACAGAUGCUUCCCAUUAAUGGGUUCAAACACUAAAUCUCUCUCACUUAUGCACCUUGCAAUGGCUCAUACCUCUCACCUAGCACUUGCCAUUCAAGGUGAUCUUUAACCUUGGAUUAUCCGUCAAAAGCUCACAAGAGAUAACUAAUGGAUGUCUCCUUAGAGUCCAAAAGCUUACCAAGUGUUGGCUAUUCUAGAAAAUCCUACCUUCAAACCACCUCCCAAAGGCUCGCAAGAGAUAAACUAGUGCAUCUCAAUGGAUGGAGAUCACUUGCCUUAUCAAGUGUUGGCCCAGGUGAUUUAAAGGCGUUUUAAGUUAAACUAAAAAGAUAAAAACCAUUAACGGGUCACACUUUCUCUUCAUUAAAAACUAAAACAACAAAACUUCCAAUUUAUGCAUGUGGAAACUUACCCAACUUUCCUUACUCCAAGAGACGAAGAGUCUAGCCUCUCAUCCUCUGAGGAAAAAUCCUCAGAGUUUGAUUGGCUAGAAAGAAAAAGAAUGAGAAAACAAAAGCAGAGCAAGUGCUCUGUAUUUUACUUCCUUGCAAAACUGUACAAAGGAUUGAUCUCUGAGAACAAACUCCUAGGAUCUAUGAUCGAUAAUAUAUUCGAUAUAUUUUUUAUAUAUUUCAUGUAAAGGAAAUUACAAACUAUAUAUAAGGGUUUAUUCACCCUUUUUCCAAACUUAAUAACUAAGGAAUCCUAUAAUUGGUGGGCUACAAGGAGACUUUGGGAAUUUAGACAUAAAAUAUCUAAAGCAAAAUAUCUCAAAAUAUUUAGAGCAAAAUAUCCCAAAGUGUCGGUCGUAAAUAUCUGGAAGCUUCAGGAGAACACCGCAGCACUGUGCAAAAUGGCUGCUCUCCCAUUCGGGUAGGCGGCUAUCAGAUGAUCCGGAUACGUCCGUCCGAAGAAGUUGAAACACUCUCCUUUUCUAUCCGGCGUCAGAAUUCCGGACGUGAACAUUCGGGUGGAAGUGGCGGCAGCCAGGUACAAAUUGGCGGCAGCCGGGUACAAAUUGGCGGUAGCCGAGUCCAAAAUGGCGGCAGCCGGGUGCAAAUCCUAUCCAGAUAUGUGGUCCGGACGCCCUCCGAUGGUGUAUCCGGACGCCCUGUCCAGGUAUACUCCUUACAUGGAUUCCAAAGAACUCUCCUCCAUCUCAGAUUUGCUUUGGUGAUCAAAAAGCUAUCAAAACACCAAAACUUAACAUACUUUGAUUAGAAUUGAUUGCAAGGGUCCUUAACAUGCCAAUUGAGUUAAAAGGUGGUAACUACUACUCAAAAGUGUUUAAAAGAGUUAGUUACAAGCUAUGAAAUAUCACUUUUUGAGUAGUAAUCAUUUAGUGAACCACAUUUUCCAUAUUACCAAAUUGUACACAAAUAUUACCCGACAACUUACAAAACUGAUAUAAUAGUAUUUAAUAAAUAAACGUUGAAUUGUUAAAACUUCAAUAUUAGAGAACUUUCCAACAUAACUUAUACAUGGUAACUAUAAUAAGGGGAGAUGAAAUUUUAUGAAAUUUCAUGCAUAAUAUAUAUAUAUAUAUAUAUAUAUAUACUAACUUAAAAGGUAUCUCAAAAUGAAAAUUUCAUAAAAUGAUUUCAGAUUAUAUAUAAACAAGGGAGUCAUUUGUUCACACCAAUUCUAAUAUGUAAAAUAUCAUAAAAUGAAAUUUUACCCAUUUUGAUACCAACAUGCAUUCUGAUUUAUGUUCUCACAAUACAUUAAAAUUGCAUGACUAUAGAUUAUAAGUUCUUGUGGCACUCUACUAGAGAAGCCAAAACCUCUCAAAUAGUAUGUUGGCAACGGAAGAAUGCAAAAAACAACAAAGAUAAGCAAGUAUGAUGAACCAUACCGAGAGUGGGAGUGAACUGGCAGCAGAACCAUCUAGGUCAUUACCAGCCAUUGUUAAUAUUAUAACUGCAUCAUUGGGCAUAGAAAAGUAGAAUGUUAUGCACAGCUAAACUGACCAACUGAAUAACUAAACAGCAAGUAUAGUACAAUACUAUGAAAGUUCAGCUAAGUGACAAGAAAAAUGCACGCAUCCAAUGAUGUGAGUAGGACAUACUUAAAAUAGGGAAGUGAAAGUAUACAUCAAGUUAAAAGAUACCACAUUGAAAGUGCAAUUUCAAAUUAAAUCAGUAAUGAAAGCAACUCCAAAUAACGAAAAUUAAAAAGUAGUCUUAUAAAAAAAAAAAAGUAGUGCAUCGUGUCUAUAAUAAGGACAAUACAUAACAUCCAAAAGCAACAACCCCAUGACCAUAAAGCAAAUAAUGGAACAAUGAGGGAUCGUACACAAAAUGAAAACCUUACAAGCAAAGAAAUGAACAUGUCACGACAAUGGAUUAUUACAUUUAGACCGAUUGUGACCUAUGCCAUUGCAUCGAGAGCAAUGAAUAGCUCUCUUAUGGCUAAAUUGUGACUCAAUACGCCUUUGUCGGGGUCUUCCUGGAGGACGUCUCACUUGCGGGGGUUGGAGACUAGGAAAUACGUUGCCUUGGCCAUCUUGCAAAGUCCCAGCCUCACAAACUUUAGGCAUGUUGUGUGUUGGUAAUGGUUGAAACUGACCCGAGUAAAUCAAAUGUUGGGUGGAGACUUUAAAACAUGGGUCGAUAUAGUCAUACACAUCGUGUCUCAAUGUGCGGAUCACAGCACAUACAUGUGGACAUGGCAACCUGGACAUUUGCCAUGUUAGACAUGUACACUUAUGUUGCUGCAUAUCCACAACCAAAUAAACAUCUCCAGUAAAAACCUUGAACGUCCCACCCAAAUAGGGCAUCACAGUAAUCGGAGCAGAUCUCGUGAUAUUUGACAUUAGCUUUUCCUCUGUUUUAGGUCCAACCACGCUCUUCCACUUAUCUGUACCACGCAUAUGGGUGUCCAACAUGGCUACAAGCUUAUCCAUGUGCAUCAACAACAACAUAUAAAUUGUUUGGUGUCGUUCCUCUCUUAACCACGCAUUGAAGGACUCUGCAAUAUUAGUUGUCAUUUUAUCCCAAUGUUUUUUAAGGAACUUUGAUAUCGCCCAAUGCUCCGGACUAUUCUCCGCAACCCACCUUGCUAGGUCGCCAUUAAAAUGCACAAGUUUUUCAAACGCCUCAUUGUAGUCUAUAUCCAACCGAGCAUAUGCAAUGUUGUCUAAAAGCAGCAAAACAUCUUCUUUCCCUUUCUUUUCCCUAAUGUUUUGCCUAUUGAAGAAGCUUGAAAAGUUCUCUUUCACAUGUCAAUAACAAUAGGCGUGAUUUUCUACCCCAAACAACUCCGAAACACUACGCAAUAUCCCUUGAUGUCUAUCUGAUAUAAUAAUUACUUCUUGACCAUCUAGGAUCCCCUUCAAUUUCUCCAAGAACCAAUACCAAUCCUCAUAAUUUUCUGAACCAACCACACCCAAGGCUAGAGGGAACAUUCCAUCAUCUGCAUCAUAUGCAAUGGCAGACAAAAGAGCUCCUUUGUAUGGACCACUUAGGUGGCAAGAAUCAAUAGCCAAUAUCGGUCGAUACCCCAUGGUGAACCCUUGAAUUGAAAAUGCAUGGGCAAUGAACAAUUGCUUGAAGUGGCCUUCAUGAGAAGUGUACUCGACAAUAGUUCCAGGGUUAAUUUCCCUUAGCCUAUGGCAUAACCAAGGCAAAAACGCAUAGGACGCACGUGGAGAUCCAUAUAAACGCUCUUUUGCCUUCUCUUUAAGAUGCCAUGCUUGGUUAUAAGUCAAUUGAACUCCAUGAUCACGUUCAAAAUCCUUGCAAAUUUGUCGAGGAAGGUAUUCUGGAGUUGUUCUAAACACGUCUUCAACAACAACAACACCUCUCUUGGAAGAAACCCGCACCUUAGAUGAACACUCAUCUUGAGCUAUAUGAUUAUGAUUAACUUGGUAAGUAUAAACUCGCAAUAUUUCAUUUCCUUCAACAGCAUGAGCUGUUAUCUUCCAAGGACAAUCCUCAACCGAACACUUUACUGACAUAUGAGUAGGUGAAUUUUUCUUGUACUUGUAUUGAAACCUUCCAGCUAAUGACAUUUGGUAUAUUGCAUUCCGAAACUCAUCUUCAUUCUUAAAUGUAUGUCUGGAACCUAAUAUUGCCUCACGAAACCGAUUCGAUUCCAAAGGGGUGUACUCACUAUCUGCACAACGCGAUGCAAAACCUCUUGAUAACAUCAUAGUAUUAGGACUUGCAUCGCAUGAUGCAUUAGACGAAGGAAACGUAGGAUGUGGACCUCUGCAUUUACAUUCAUAACCAAAAUUAGACUACAUAAUGCGUAAAAUUGAUAUUCAUAAAAUUUUAAAUAGACAUCCAAGUGAAAACGCAUUACCCAAGUGCCAACUGUGUAUUCGGUAUAUUUGCCUCUAUGGCUUCCACAUCGGGUGACUCGACUAUGUACACAUUUGCAAAGUCAUCACUGUGGGAAACCACGUUAUCCAAGUCAUCCUCAUCUUCUAAAUCUUGGAUGACUCUAGGGUUAAACUUGAGGGUGUAGUGCAUCCUCCUCACAUGAAGGGAAAUGUCGAAUUUUUCUAAGACCUUGUGAGUGAAUUCUUCAAAUGCCAUUCCUUUAUAAAUGUGAAUACCUUUGCUUCUUCCACCAACAUAUUCCCAAAGGCCAUCAUUUUUUUGGACAAGUUUGCCUCCCACGAAAAUAUAACAGUAUAUUCUAUUUGUGGCAUCCAUCAACCUAUUGAAAUAAAGCACAAAUUUAUAUUGUUGAACAAACAAUAAUGCAUAUUCAAUGUGAUCUUAAAAGUUUUUUCAUCUCACAAUAUACUAUGUUCCCAUAUGAAAAAGUUAUAUUUUAAAAAAUGUAUAUACAAAAAAAUGUAACUUUAAAGUCUUAAAAAAUAAUUUUUGUUGCUCCUUUUGAUUAUUCUAACCAUUGUCAACAGUAAGAUUAUUUUAAGAUAGGCACUAAUAAACAAACAGUGAGUUGAACUAAGAUAUGAAGACCGAGCUUCUCUCUUCUCUUGGACUGAUAAAUACUACCUAACCUAAACAAAACUAAAAAUAAUAAUAAAAAUAAAAAACAAAAAUGAGAAAUGUAAAAUUGGAAUGGAAAUUAAAAGAUUGAAAUUAAUAGAUUAAAACAAAUCAUUAAAUUAAAAACUAAGAAAGGCUAUAAAAGGAAAAAAAAUGAAAGAUUACAACUAAAAACUAUGUUACUUCUACUCCUACUUCUAAAAAAAAAUCUCUAACUUAUUUUCCCUAUCAUUCCCCUUUACUUAUAUAUUCAUAGUUCACAUUUUUAUAAGCAAAAACCUCUCUCUCCAACUACUUUAGUGCUACCCAAUUUGACACUACUACUUACCUAUGCUAAUAAUCUAAUCGUGUCAAUACUUGGAACUUUAAGACAAAACAUCACAACAAUAUCUAGUAAAGUAGGAGGAUUUUGUGUCUGAUUUGACAUAAUACUCCAGAACAUAUAUAUAUAUAUAUAUAUACACCAAAAAUAUUGGAAUUAUGGAACUAUAAGACAUUCAAUAGGAAAUAAUCCCCCACGUUUUAUUAAGCUCUGACCUAUACUUACACUAGGUAGAAAACAAAUUCUCAUUCUCACUCAAACCCUUAGACAAUUUCUAUUGGUACUACUAUAUCAGACAUGCCUACAAACUUAUUCAAAGAGAAUGGAGAUAUUUAAAUAUUAAUUAUAAAGCGUUGCUUUGCAAAAUAAUAUGAAGAGAUAAUAGCCUAAAAAAUGUAACAAAUAUAGAAUUCUCUUCUAAACUAUCAUGUCCUACUUUAGAUGAUUCAUACAAAACCAUAAGCAAUAGUUUAACACAUUUAAGGUUUAAGGGUAAAAAAAACUAAUAGAUAAAAAGAGAUAAAUCUGUUACUUGUGCCUACAUCUCAAGCCAAGGCACCAUAAGAAAACUUUAGGGUUUUUAGGUUUUCCAUUUCCCCUUUCCAUUUUUCCUCUCCUGGUUUCUAGCAACCAAUUAAACAAUUAUAAAUUAUUUUCAAGUAUAUAUGACAAUUUUUCACAAAUAUUUUUUUGAAUUUAAAAUAUACAAAUAGCAUGAAAAAAAAAUCUAAAAAAAAUUACAAAAAUAAAAUCAGAUCGAUUAAGCCAUGAAUCAUGAGUUGCAGGUAAAGUGCAUUUUCUGUAUUCUCAAGGCUUAAAGAAAAAAUUAUGGUUCAAAAUUUUUCCUUCUUUUUCUCAUUAUUUUCUCAGCAUCCGAAUAAUAGUAGCAAACCAAGAAGUCAAUUAUUGAAUGGGAAUAGUAACUUGAACUCCGGAGAUCAAGUUGAACACAGUUUAGAGAUUUGGACUAAGAAAAUUUUAGGUCGAGAUUUAGGCAAUCUACUAACCUCAAAUAUGCAACAAGAGAGACCCAACUGAAAUCCAUACCUUAUUCAAAUUUUCGAGAGAGACGAAUGCGAAAAAAAAUGAAAGAGCCACAGAGAUUGAGAUGCAAGCGAUGGAGGUGCUCGGGAGGAAGAGAAGAAAAAGGCUUCUAGGCUUGAAAUGUUGAAGAGAGACCAAAAUUAGGGCAAAUUUCCAAAAAGCCGCAGAGAUUGAGAUGCAAGCGAUGGAGAAACUCGGGAGGAAGAGAAAAAACGGCUUCUAGGCAGAGAAGAAAACGGCUUCUAGGUAGAGAAGAAAACGACUUCUAGGCAGAGAAGAAAAUGGCUUAUAGGCUUGAAAUGCUGAAGAGAGCAAAAUUAGGGCAAAAUUCCAAAGAGCCGCGGAGAUUGAGAUGCAAGCGAUGGAGGAACUCGGGAUGAAGAGAAGAAAACGGCUUCUAGGCUUGAAAUCUGAAGAGACACCAAAAUUAGGGCAAAAUUCCAACCUGGAUUUUUUUGUUUAUUAUUUUUUUUUCAUAAUCAGCAAAGGUUAUUUUUGGAAUUAAUAAAAGUGCAUAUCCUUCUUUUUAAUUUUGACACUUCCUAUGGGUUUUCAACUUAAAUGGGUCAGUUAGAUGGACCUUCUCUUAAUUUUUGGGCCCAACUGGGCCCAAAACACAAUUCUCCCAUAUAUAUAUCUAUACACACACAUGAUCCAUGGUUUAAAUAAAACAUUUCUUACAUUUACAAUAAUUUUAUUUUAAAGUAUUGUUAUUAUAUUACACCAAUGUUGUUAGGCCAUAUUUUGCUAAACAAAAUGAAAAAGAAAACACAUUAUUUGGCAAAUAUUUUACAACUAGAGGUGAUGAAGACUAAUGUUAGUAAUUAGGUUUGCCAUAUGUUUCAACAAUGUACAAUUAGCUCAAUCACUUGAAGCUUAUACCAAAAAUAUAUUUGAAUAAUAGACAAUUUUUGAAGGGUACAUAGUGAUAAUCAACUACCAAAUUAACAUAAACAUAAAAGUUGAAAGGACAAUUUUAAGGUAUAGAUGACUCUAAAAUAUCAAAAGUAGGUUGAGUAUCCAACUUAAUAUUACAACUUUUCUCACUUAAAUGACAGUUUACAUAUAACAAAACUAUCUAAAGAAAAAUAAUUGUUUGCCAACAUUUCAAAGAUAGAAUUCUCAAACACUAGUACCAAAAGAAAUCUUCAUCACCACUAAGAAUUCAUCAUUGUAUUCAAUCUGAAACAAGUAAAUACACAUAAUUAGCUCCAAUUUAAGCAACAUUUAGAUUUUCAUAAUGGACUAUAAACAACAUGUUCAAUAUUAUUAUUGCAAUUAUUGUUAUUAUUAUUAUUAUUAUAUAAUUAACAACACAAUAUUAACAAACUUGGUUAUAAAGAUUGUUUAAAUUCCUAUAGUUUUCAUACUUGUGGUAUUUAACCAUACUCAAGUGAGUAUAUUUGUCAAUAAAUUUAGAGUUUCCACUAACAACCUAUAACAAUUUAUAAUUUUAGCUGCUUGCUUGUAUAUUUUUUUGGAAUUCAACCUUGGAAAAAAUCACACGAAUCUUAAUCUUCCCUAUGAAAAUCACAUUCUGCAACUUCAAAGAGUUGAACCCAAUUAUAAACUCCCUCCAUCCUCUUUCUAAUGACUCAAACUAGGAGAUUGAUUACCCUAUGCAUUGUAUUUAGGAACUUAAUUGUAGUAAGGGAAGAGAAACAACUUAUAUUCAUAUGUAUAGUUGAAGGGUCUAAAAAUAUGCCUCUUACUAUAACAUGAUUUGAACAUUUAAAGCAAUAUACUUUUAGUAAAUCUAAGUCCAACAAGCCAACAAUUCAAUUUUUUUUUUGUAAAUUUAAAUCAUUAUUUUCAAUUCAAGAAGUUAAGAAAUAAUAUAAUAAAAUAUAAGCAUAAAAAGAUUAAUAGCUAACAAAUAUGUACGUAAACAUGGAUGGCCUUUCAUUACGUUGCAAUGAAAUUCAUCUUACCUUCUUUUUGCAUAAUGUUUAUUAUUUUGAAACCACAUCACCCUCUGCAAAAUAGCUGAAUUCAUUGUGAUGAUAAUCAUAACACACCAAAAAUACAAUGAAAUAAAAUAAAUAAAUAAAUAAAUAAACAAGGAAGAAAAUAAAGGAAAAAGAAUCGUAAGUGAUGUAAGAUAUGUCACCUUUUCAGCCAUGAACUCCAUCUGUUUCCAUCUUCCUUUUCAGACGAGCCACAUUCACUGCAGCGAAGACAUAUAACCUAUCUCUGGUUUCAUCAAUGAACCGGAAAUAAGCCUGCCUCCAAGACUUCUUUAGAGCCAAACUGCCACAUACAGCCCAAAAUCCCACCGGAAAGCCCAAUCCCAUGCUUAUGAAGAACCAUGACAGGUCCCAUUCAUCUUCAUCUUCCUCCUCAUCUGUGUGAUCUUGAUCAUUUAGAGUGGAGCAGUUGGUUGACAAUGGAGGCCCACAAAGUCCCAGGUUCGCCUCAUAAAUGGAUGGAUCAUUGAAUGUCGAGAACUGGUUGGUUGUUGGAAUUGGUCCUGACAGGAGGUUAUGUGAUAGGUUCAAAUGGUUCAAUGAGGUUAUAGAAGACAUGCUUGGAGGAAUUGGACCUGAAAGGCAGUUGCAUGAGAGGUCAAGAGUUUCUAGCCCUUGCAUGGUUCCGAUCUUCUCAGGUAUCUUUCCAAUCAAUUGGUUUUGGGACAAAUUCAAGGUACCCAGGGUCGAGAGAUUUGUGAUCUCUUCUGGGAUCUCUCCCCAAAUGUUAUUGCUAGAAAGAUCAAUCAAAUUCACAAUUGACAGUAUGCUAUCAAAUUCCAUGUCUUGUCCCUUCACAACUAGCUCCAUGCGCUCUGAAUAGGCAAAAUGACUCCCGGGGUUGUCAUCAAAUUCGAUGUCUAAUAAGGUCACAGAACGUAAAGCAGUCAAAUUGCCUAAGCAUUGUGGGAUGGAUCCUGAUAAAUUGUUAAGCGCAAGAUCCAAAAUGUGGAGAUAAGAAAGCCCACACAGUUGUUCAGAAUAUCUCCUAUCAACAUGUUGCCUCGUAAACGAAGUUGCCUCAAUGAUGACAUUUUUUCUCCAAUCCAUUUGGGUGUCUCGCCCGAAAACCUGUUAUUUCCAAGAUCAAGGGAGUGCAGCUCUGUGCAGUUUUGUAAGCUUUGAGAGAGUUUCCCAGAAAGAUUGUUGUCGCCCAAUAUCAAGUUAAAUAAAGAUAUUGAACACAUCGAACUUGGAAUCCCACCUGACAGUUUGUUCUUGGAUAGAUCUAUGGUGUCAAGAUUGUGCAAAUCAUUCCAAUUCUUUGGAAUCCUUCCAGAAAAAUGAUUGCUUGAGAGAUCAAUUUCGUUCAAAUCCUUUAGUUUACUAAUUGAUGAAGGGAUGCUGCCAUUUAACAACUUACCAGAAAUAUCAAGGACUUCCAAACUCGAUAAUUCCCCGAUGUUCAAGGGAAUUGGACCAGAAAAUAAAUUGUUUCCCAGAAAGAGCUCUAUCACAUUAAACCAAAGUGGGAAUCGGCCCACCAAGUGGUUGAAGCUUAAAUCCACCUCGACUGCUUUUCGGCUAAAGGAUAAUGAGUUGGGAAGCUUUCCAUACAAUUGGUUUUUAGAAAGAUCUAACCAUGAAAAAUCUAGUUUCCAAAGCCAUUCUGGUAUUGUAUCUGAAAUCCCCACAUUUUUAAGAACUAUUGUGUUAAGUCUUUUUUGAGUUCUAAGCCAGUUGGGGAACUUGGGAGAUACAUAGCAGUUGGAAAUACGGAUAUACAAGAGGCUGAAAGGAGGAAUCCAUUCAGGUCUCACGUGAAAACGGAGAGACUGGUUUUUGGGUGAUAAGUGUAAAGAGAAAUACUCCAGUUUUGUAAGAUUACUGAAAUGAAUUUCAGAUAUUACCCCUUCCCAAGCAUUCCAAUUAAGAUACAACUCAGUCAGCUCUCUAAGUUGUCCAAUACUUUCUGGAAUCGUCCCAUUCAUUAGAUUGAAUGACAAGCUAAGUCUCUUCAUCCGCAGCAAGUUUCCAAUCCAUGUUGGAAUUGGACCUGAGAUGGAGUUUUUUCUCAGAUAAAGACUCUCUAAGUUGGUAAGGUGUUGAAUUGAAUUGGGGAAGGGACCAACAAAACUAUUAUAGCUCAAGUCCAGGGAUUUUAAAUUCUUAAAGAGCCCUAAUGAAUCUGGCAACUGACCACUGACUUGAUUACCGCCCAAGUUUAACUCUUCCAAGGAAUUAUUAGUGCAUGCUGAUAAUCGAUUCAGGAAUUCAAUUCCUUCACCUCCAAUACUAUUGUAUGAGAGAUCUAAGGUCACCAAGUUGCGAAGGCAUCGUAAGUUAACAUGGGGAAUCGGACCUUUAAUUGUAGCACCAUUUAAAUAAAGAUCUGUAAGGGUACUGAUGUUAAACAACCAGCCAGGCAAAGUAGUGUUGAAAUUGUUUCCGGAGAGAUCAAUGACCAAAGCAGAAGUCAAAUUAACAAACGGAUUGGAGUACUGAGGGAAGUGACUGAGUUCACAAUGGGACAAAUGUAAUUCUAACAAAAAUGGAAGCAUGUUUACAGCUUGCAUGCAAUUUGAGGUUGCUUUACUAAGGUUCACAUUCCCCAGAUCAAGGUAUUUUAAAGAAGAAAGACCAGAAAGCCAAUUUAAAUUAGAAACCCUCAUUUGAUAUUCUCCUCCAUGAAGGUCAAGAUAACGUAACUGUGAUAAAUUUCCAAGAAGAGGAGGAAUCAUUCCACCUUUCAAAUGAGCCCAAGAAAUUUGGGAUUGGAAUUCCUUGAAAAUCAUUAAGACUUAGGUCCAGGUAAGUUAAAUGUUUCAAGUCAAGUAAGGAAUCACUUAUCUCACCACCCAACGGUAAGAAGUCAUGUUGUCUGAGGUCAACCUUGACAACAUUUCCUGUUUGGUUGUUGCAAUCCACACCUCUCCACUUGCAGCAAACAGCACCAACCCAGGAAGAAAGCCUACCUGAAGGAUCUUUCAGACCAUGUUUAAAUUCAGGAAGCGCUUUCCGCUCUACCUCAAUGCAAGCCAUGUUGAGAUCACUGUCAUUAGAAUUGAUUGUAAGAGCUUCAACCAUGAGAAACUUCAAAAACAGAGAAAGCAAAAGAAUAAGGAGUGGAAUGGUGGUUUUCCUACUUGCCAUUGAUGAAUGCAAAGUUGCACAAUUCUGAAUUGAUACCAUAUAAAUAAAUAAGAUUAGAGUCUUGGUCUAAUUUGUUUAACUAUUUCAAGUCUUCAUGCCAUCUAUAAAUAAAUGCAACAAAGACCCUUCAGCCAUAUAUGGCCCAUGUACUCCAUCAUAUCUGCAAUUAAUUUUACAUGUCACUUCUGACCAUAAUUUUAUCCUUCUCUUUCUUCAUAACAUCUUACGGCUAUUGAAACAUGUAUUAUUAAAGAAUCUAGACGGCAAUAAAAGCAUAAUUUAUGCCCAAAAAUACCCACAAAGUAAUGGCAUAUUAUAUGAUUCAAGUGUCUAAAGCUCUAUGCUAUGUAAGUGGAGUAUUAUCUUUUAAAAAUAUUUCUUGAAUGAGCCACCAUCAUCACAAACUUGUUAAAAUAUGAUCACCUUAAAACUUGAAAGUGAUCCAAAUAAUGGAUGUUUUCACUGUUUUUUUUUUUCUCUCUUUCAAAAAUGUGAUUUUUUUUUUUUUUUUGAGAAAUCGUUUCAUUUUUUCUAUCAUGCUAAUCCUUAAAUUAUAUUAAUCAAUGAGCAUUUGGCACACUAAUUCUAUUUACAUUGGAUUCAGUUUCAAUCCUUCUCAAUGUUAAUACAUUUUUAAUUUUGAAAAAUAUAUGAUGCACGAUAAUCUAAACAAAGAAUAAUUUUUUCUCUAUUUUAUUGAUCUAAUAGAUUGAUUUAGAAAAUAUGUUAGGCCAAUACUAGUGUUUCAAAUUUACAAAUUUUUUUAAAGGAUUGGAUCAAGGUUCAAUCACAAUUGGAUCACACAUUUCUCUUGUCCAUGAGUAAAUUAAGCUCACAAUAUUAAUUACCAAGUUUUUGAAAUAUGAAAAUGUAGUCCAAAGAAAAAGAAAAAGAAUCUUCUUUUUAUUCUUUUUUUAUUUUUUAUUUAAAUGGAAAAAGCUUUAUUUAUUUAUUUGCUUUUACAUGGAGUAGACUAAAGAGUAAUGGCUUUGUUUUAGUCAAGAGUCAAGAUAUCACAAAAAUCCUUUAAGUCAUUGUCUAAAGAAAAACAAUCACCAAGAAAAUAAAUUUAAAUAAUAUUUUAAUGUAUGACGUACCUAUUUUAUCUAAAAAAACAUUUUUAGACUCUUGCUAGAGUUUUCUCAUAUGAACCAUUUACUAAGUUUAACAUGGAUUGCGUAGGAAGUAUAAUUAAUUGAAGAAAACUAUAUGAAACUUCCUACUCCAUGUUAAGUAUUAUAUAUGUUGAAAAUAAAAUAGAAAUUUAAGUAAUAUUCUAAUGUAUGAUGUAUAUAAUUUAUCUAAAAAAAUAUUCUGAAACUCCUACCAAAAUUUUCUCAUGUGGACUGUUUACUAAGUCUAAUAUGGAUCAUGUACGAAGAAUAAUUAAUUGAAGGAAACUACAUGAAACUUUCUACUCCAUGUUAAGUAUUAUAUAUGGUGAAAAUAAAAUAUAAAUUUAAAUAAUGUUUUAAUGUAUGAUGUAUAUAUUAAAAAAAAAUUAAAUAAAACAUUUUUUGACUUUUGCUAAAAUUUUCUCAUGCGGACUAUUUACUAAGUCUAAUAUGGAUCAUGUUGAAGAUAAGUACAUGAAACUUCCUACUCCAUGUUAAGCAUUAUAUAUGGUGAAAAUAAAAUAGAAUUUUAAAUAAUGUUUUAACAUAUGAUGUAUGCAUGUAUUAAAAAAAAACAUCUUUUGACUCUUGCCAAAAUUUUCUCUUGUGGACCGUUAACUAAGUCUAAUAUGGAUAGUGUAGGAAGAAUAAUUAAUUGAAGGAAGGUACAUGAAACUUUCUACUCCAUGUUAAGUAUUAUAUAUGGUGAAAAUAAAAUAGAAAUUUAAAUAAUAUUUUAAUGUAUGAUGCAUGUAUUAAAAAUAGAAAAUCAAAAACAUUUUUUGACUUUUGCCAAAAUUUUCUCAUGUCGUUUACUAAGUCUAAUAUGGAUCGUGUAGGAAGAAUAAUUAAUUGAAGGAAGGUACAUGAAACUUCCUAUUUUAAGUAUUAUAUAUGGUGAAAAUAAAAUAAAAUUUUAAAUAAUAUUUUAAUGUAUGAUGUAUGUAUUAAAAAAAAACAUUUUUUGACUUUUGCCAAAAUUUUCUCAUGUGGACCAUUUACAUGGUUUAAUAUGGAUCGUGUAAUAAGAAAAAUCAAUAUUUUCAAAAUCAGAUCGGCCAUUGAAGUAGAAAAGUUACCGAUUCAUGGUUCACUAGUCAAACCGACGGUCGAACCGAUGAUGUCAUAAAUAUAUAAUUUAUAAAUUAUUAAAAUUUAAAAUAAUUAUAAAAAUAAAAAUAAUAAUUUAUAUAUCAUUUUAAAAUUAAAAUUUUAUUUGAAAAUCAAAAAAUUAGUUUCAAAUUAGAAAUUCAAAUUAAAAUCAUAAUUUUAAUUUUAAUUUUGAAAUUUUGAAAUUUAUUUUUAAAUCAAAAAAUUAUUUUAAAAUCAUAAUUUAUUUAAAAUUGUGAUGUUUUGAUUAAUUUAAAUUAAAAUCAUAAGUUUUAAAAAUCAUAAAGUAAAAAAAUAAUAAAUAUAAAAGAAAAUAAAUUAUAAUUAGAUGAGGUAAAUAAAUAAAUAAAUCAAUCUAGAAAGGAAGGGAAGAAAUGGUGGCCCAAAAUGGGAAGAAUGAAGGAUUGGGAGGAGGUGGUUUUCAGAUGGGGGUGGGACUUCUAGUGGGGAAGGGUUUUCGCCGCAAGGGGAUAGGGGGUUUUGCCACUGAGGGAGCGACGUCUAACCGACCAGUGGCCGAUGACAGCAACUCGGUGUCGAUGAUAAUAGGAGGUAGUAGCUAGGGCAACCGUGCGAGAGGGGUUGUUGGGAAGAAAAAAAAAUGAUUGAACCGGAUGAUUCGGAGGGAAUCGUUUGGUUAGUCCAGUUUGUCAAUCAAACUGUCAGUUCAAUCGAUCCAAUUCUGAUUUGACUACCUUCCAACCUAAUAGACCAAACCGAAUAGAAAUUGUUACUGACUGGCGAUCGAACCGAUUAGACCAACCAGUCCGAAUCGAUUUUUAAAAACAUGAGAAUAAUUAAUUGAAGAAAGCUACAUGAAACUUCUUACUCCAUGUUAAGUAUUAUGGUGAAAAUAAAUAUAAAUUUAAAUAAUGUUUUAAGUAUGAUGCAUGUAUUUUAUCUUUAAAAAAAAAAAAAUAGUGUCUUGCAAGAAUUUUCUCUUGUGGAUCAUUUACUAAUUCUAACAUGGAUUGUGUACGAAGUAUAAUUACUUAAGGAAGCAAAAUGAAACUUCAUACUCCACGUUAAGUAUUAUGGCCAAAUAUAUAUAUAUAUAUAUAUCAUGAAAAUUUAUUUUAUUAUAUAUAUAAAGGGCUAGAAAAAUGCAUAUAUAGUGGGUGUCAUUUUUUUUUGUUUAAAAUAUGAAUACACCUGAAUUUGACUUAAUCUAAAUAAAAUUGAAUGUUAUUAAGUGUUUAAAUUAUGUGUUUUUACUAAUAUUUGAAGUAUUAAGCUUAUUUAUUUUUUACAUAUUAAAUAUAUAUAUAUAUAUAUAUAUAUAUAUAUAUAUAUAUAAUUACUAUAUUUUAUUAUUUUAGUUUUAAAAUUAAUAAUAUAAAAACAUUAAUUUAAUAUAUUUUUAAAUAUUCCAAACUAUCAUAAUUUAUCACCAUAAUAAAAAAUUUAUAAUAAUUAAUUAUAUAAUUAGUAGGCAAUUAACAAAUAGAUUUCUAGUUAUGUUUGGUUGUUAAGAAAAUAUUAAAAAAUUUCUAAGUUAAAACUUAUUUUUAUAUAACCUAUCUUUGGAGAAAGAAGGGGUGAAGGUUUUAAUGAAUUUGAAAACUAUAUAUUUAGAUUUUGAUACGUUUUCCUAAAUUCAAAAUUCUGAAAUUAAAAAAUUGACCUAAAAAAUAUUCAUAAAAAUAUUUUUAUUCUAGUGAAUAAUUGGUGAGUGUAAAUUAGGAGUGUAAGUUCAAAUGUAUAACCCACCAAACCAACUUCAAACCUGUCCAAUCUAGUUGGGUUUGUUCAUUUUGGCUUUUCAUAGCAAUUCAUGAGAAUAUUUUUAUUCUAAAUUAUCUUGAUAAACAAUAGAGAAAAUAAAUAAAAACAAAUUUAAGUCAUACUCAUAUUUUUUUAUGACAAAUUUACUAAUUCAUGGUAGAUUAAUUUAUUAUUCUAAUUACACAAUGUUUAAGUAGUUUAAUUUUUUAUUUUAAAAAACAAGAAAUAUCUAAAAAUUUUAAAAAUAAAUUUAGUUUAUUUUGAAGGAGGAAUUAGAUUUGAAUAUUAUAAUAAAUUUAAUAGUUGAAAAAAAUGAAAUUUUAUUUUCUCAAAAAAUUUCACUAUUCCUCUUAAAAUAAAAUUAUCUCUGAAAAGUAAUAACCUAAAAAACAAACCAUCAUAAAAAUAUAUUAAUUAUAUUACAUGGAAGUUAUGUUUUAAAGAAAUAAUAUCAAUAUAAAUUCCAAAUUUUGAAGUUAUUUCUUUAAUAAAUAACUUAAAAGUUUGAUAAUUAAAUUGAAAUUAUCUUUUGAAGAAAUUUCCCAUUUUACUUUUCACAAUUUCCUACAAAGUAAGAAAUUAUUUUUCAAUUAUCAUAUUUUAAAAAAUAUUAUAUUUUGUUCAAAAUCCCCAAGGAAUAGAUCCAUUGAAUAUUAUUUCACACGUGUUUAUUGUUCACCAAAUUUUCAAUUAUCAAAUUAAUUAAUGUAAUGAAAAUUAUUGAAAUAUUACUUCUUGUUUUUUUAAUCUAACAAGUACCUUAUGUGCAUAGAUUAGGGUAUUUUUAUAUACCCAGAAAAAGAACACCUUGUUGGUCCAGUUAAACAGUUCAAAUUGCUUGCCUUUUUUUUGUAGUGUCUAAAAUGAUGGUUGUUUGCAAUUCAGAUGUUGCUUUCGAUUUGUUCUCUGUUGAUGUACAAGACGACUGAAGCAAGUAUGAGACAACUGCAAUGAACUGAACCCAAAAGUAGGUCAUGAGUCAAGUUUUGCAUUUUUAUGUGUGGGGGCAGACCCUUUCUGUCUCUCUCUCUAAUCUCUAUCUCUCUCUUCAAUCCUAAAAUGGACAAAAAAGAAAGGUCCAAAACAUGCUUUCAAUUGAAAAGAAGAAAUCUCUCUCUAUGUCUCUCUAUCUCUCUCUUCAAUCCUAAAAUGGACAAGAAAGAAAGGUCCAAAACAUGACGGCCCUCAAUUGAAAAGAAGAAAAAACAAAGACUCAACUUUUAUAUUGUUUGAAUGCAAUCACACUCGUGGAUUUUCUAAUGUUUUGAUUCUAUUCUAAUCGAGCACUUACCAAUUUUGAUAAUUAAAGAAGACAAAUUUUCCAUUAUUAAAGUUUAGGAGUGAAAGUGUGGACAAUUACCCUGGUUUGAUUCGUUCAAUUUUAAGUAUAAAAUCAAAUCAAAUCAAAUCAGUCUUACAUGCUUUUAUGUAUGAAUGAAGAAUUGAACAAGUUAGUUACCAAAUCUUUAAAGUUUAGUCUUGCCGACAUGAGAGAAAAAACAAAAUUCCUUGUCUUGUCCACAUGUUGUGGACAACUUGUUUGAAUGAGGAAUCCAUAUGUCACCAAUUAAGCUCUAAGGUCACUGUCCCAAGGAAAGGUUCGAGAAAAGAAAAUGAUGAAAAAUUCAAAUGGUGGUUUAAUAUAUAAUAUAUAAUUUAUUAUUAUUAUUACUUUAUUUUAUUUUAAGAUGAGAGGUUCUUCAAGCAAGUGUAUUAGGCCAAUUUCUUCUUUUGUUACAUCAUUUAUUUAUAAAAAAAGAUAGAUAUUUAAAAUAAAAUACAUUCAUAUAAGAUAAUAAAUAUGAAAAUAAUAUAGGAAAAAAAAUACACUAAGAUAAUAAACAACCAUUGGAAGUAAAAUUUUAUUUUGCUUAUAUAUGGUAUAUCUUAUUUAAUAAUAAAUACUAUAAUAUAAUUAUUUAAUAAAUUUAGAAAUAUUAAUAUAUUUAUGUUUUAUUGUUAUAAUAUGGCAAAGAUAGAAACGCAUUUUGAUUAUUUGUAUUUUUUAAUUUUAUGAUGAUUAAAUUAUAAUAUUAUAAUUUGUUUUCUUCUACUUUCGUGAAAUCAAAUAUAGGAAAAGUACUCUUAGACAUUUCAAAGCGAUGAUUGUUGAUUUUAAACAAGAUAAAAAACAUUAAUAGUUUGUCAAAAAUUGUUAUUCGAUUUUCUAUUUGCAACAUGAAGAUCCAAAAAAUUCUUAGUUCCUAUAAUGUUUGAACAUAUCUUUACCAUUUUUUUCUUCUUGAUCUAACAACAAGCUUGACUGCACAAAAGUGAUGAGGGUGAUGUUCUUCCUAUGCUCUCCUCUCCCUUUUUAACUUUUAUAUCCCCCCUCAACAGUAUAGUUUUAAGGUAUAUCACUUUAAUCCUGAUGGACUAAAGGCCCAUAAUUUAUCUCAAUGGGUCAAAGUGAAGCCAUGGGCCUCUUCACAGUACAUUAAAUUGAUUAUGGCCCAAAACAAUACCCAUGCACAACCAAAUAUAGUUUACAAUAUACCUAGUUCACAGUACAUGAAAUCGUUUCUCCAACUACAUUGCUACCAUCACUGACGUCCUCAUCACUAACGAGGCCUAGACUCCGAUUCUCUCUUUUCUUCUCCGAAAUACUCUUGUGUAUUUCAAAUUCGGAGCCAAAAUCUGGUCAAAGAGAAACAACAACCCUAAAUUCAGCCCGAUCGACCAGCUAUUGAUGAGAGGUCUUUAAAGAUUGUAGUCUUCUUCGCUUCACAGUGAAGAAAUGCAUAGUCGGGGACCGAAUCACCGGCUAUCUGGUUCGGCUUUCAGAUCUCAAGUUUCGGUUCUCAUGCUAGCCAUGUUGACACCAUGGCAUGGAUUUACGUCGUCGGCCGGUGAGUUCUGGCACUGUUUCAUGUUGUGAAUUGAUUUUUGUUUCUUAGCUGUAAUAGUGCUUUAUGGUGUGGUUAAUUUCAUUUAUUUAGGUUUUUGUUUUGUGAUGCUUUGAUUUUGAUUAUAAUUGGUCUAUUUUUUUCAAAAAAAAAAAUUGUUUUUGUGGAAAUCUGUUUUCGGUAGGCUACGGCUGGAUUAUGAGAAUGGGGCUUAUUUGAUUAAAGAGCUGGAUAGGAGAACUAGUCAGGUGUUAUCUUUACUUUUAUGUAUUACCAUUUGUUAUUCAAUUGUAGCUUCAAAUUUUCUUCCCCACAGUUUGUUAAUGCAUUUUUUGGGACUAUUUUGUUAUCGAGAUUAAAUUAUAGAAUUAUAAUGAUACAAAGGGGGUCUUGACAUUGUAUGGAACCAGAAUCAGUCCAUCAUGGUUUAAAUUAAUUACAUGUUCUAUAGCAUUACAUUACAAUGCCAAAUAAAUUAGUGAUUUGCAUGAGCUCAUGCCUUUUUCUUUCUUUCUUUCUGUUUUUGUCUUUUUUUUUUCUUUUAUUGAAACUAUUUGAGAUGAUACCAGCCUAUUUUCUUUUUUUGAAAUUAAUCAUUCAGAGUAAUUGACUAGAUAAUGGGUUUUUCCAUUUUAAUGGUUUUUGUGUGCAAUCAGCCAAUGACACACUGAAAAUUAUAGCAUGCAGGUAAAUAACUUAUACCUAUCCUUCCUUUAUGUGGGGUUCUUUUUUUGGGGCUUUUGUUAUAAUAGACAAAAUAUAAUCUAAAGGUCAUGGUGAUGGUUCUUUUAUUUUAUAGGGAACAACACAAGAAGUUAGCAGCCCUUGAGAUGGAGCUAGCGGCAUCACAACAGGAAGAUUUUGCCUCAAAGAACUUGUUAGAAAAUAAGGGGACUCCUCCCAAGAAAAGGCUUUUAGCUGUUGUUGGAAUUAUUACAAAGUUUGGCCACAAGAACAAUAGAGAUGCAAUCUGUAAGGGCAUGGAUGCCAACUGGUAGAAUGCCCUUCUUUUUAUAAGUUUCGCUCUUUAUUCUUUGUAUUAUUUACAUAGAGAAUGACCCAGUUGGCACUUAACACAUUGACAUUUCUGUUAUAAGCAUAUAAGGGAUAAAAAUAGGAGGCUCGUAGGCUGAACUCUUAUUAACAUGAAAACUUUUAGUGAACUGCCAUUUCUCAUCUAUUCUUUUUUCAUUGUCUUGUUUAUUUUCUCAGUUUGCAAUGGUCAUUUUCAAUAGUUUGCAAACUCCAUCAACCAAUUUGAAAAGCCUUGGAGCUAACAAGUACAAAUUAUGAGAAACUAAAAUCUCGUUUCUCUAGGAUUUUUCUAAAGUUGCUCAAAUGAAUGGAAAGCAGAAAACUAUCAAGAAGCCCUACCACUGCCUUGCACCCUCUAUACCCCUAUUUACAAAAAAAUUGGAGUUUGUCUUUAAUGUAAUAAGGGAGACAAUAGUUUGCAUAAUAAUGGAACAUGAUGUAAUAUUGUGAUUCACUACUGCAAAAAAUAAUAUUAACAUAACUUAUGUGCUAAAUUACACUUACAUGCUUGGCACAAAAGUAUGUUAUUCUUCAUUUGAGAACAUUACUUAUGUUAUUCUUCAUUUGAGAACAUUACUUUAAACCUUAUAUGUUAGCAUCACUUUUGCCAUAACUAAUCUUUUUUUCUUUCUCCUUAUCCAAGACAAUGCAUAUCGAGUGAUUGAUACUUAAGUUAAUAGCCUUAGCACCCACAUGAGGUGAAGUUUGAAUCCAGAAUUUCCUAAUAGUCUUAAUACGCUUCCUCAAGCGUGUUCAAACUUAAGACGUCAAUGUUAAACCACCACUUUGCCCAAAACUUUUAAGUUACGCAGUAAUAGGCCAGCAAUGGGAUAUUAAGGCGACUGACAGGUAGGCUAAUAGCUUGAGCAAUUCUCUUAUAAUGUUUAAUGGUUUAAAUGUUGACGAUUAAAACACUUACAAAAGCAUGAUGACUUACCCAUCCUUUUCAUACAGAUACUCUGGAAGCAACUCUUGCUACUCAUUUGAAUAAGCCUCGAGUUUAUAUUGGGUGUAUGAAAUCAGGCGAAGUUUUCUCAAAAGUUGAGUAUAAUCAAAGUUUUUUUUCUCUAUUGAUGAGAAAACGAGUUGUUUAUGAUAUUCUACUUUCAUAUAUUGUAUUAUCUUUUCAUAUUGUCUGAAUUAUGUAGGAUCCACAAGUGGUAAGAACCAGAUUGGUAGAAAUUUGGUGAUGGAAAAUCAUGAGUAUUUCUGUGUUGAUUUCAUCUUGUCUCUUAUAUUAGGAUAAGUAAUUAUUACUUUCUAGUUAUGUUAACUAGUCAAGAAGUCUCUUAGCAUCUCUGAAUUCAUCUGAUAGGUGAUAGAAGUCCCAAUGAACAACUAGGGCAUUGUCCCAUAAGAGGCUUGCUUGAUAGAGAGAAGUUUUUUAGGCAUUCAAACAAUUUAUCAUUCCAUCAUAUUCUUGUCAUCUAUUACACUUAAUUUGCCUACCCUUGCACCCAUAUUUUAACCAUCUCAACUCUAAUUUGUGUCGAGGUAUCCUAGAGUCUGCAUAGGGAUGCCUUCUCGGGAAGUCAGGCUUACAUUGGUUGAAGAUACAUUUAGCAAAUUUAUAUGCUGGUGGAGUGGACAAGUUAUCAUAUGAGGGUUAGGUAGCAUUUACUGAGAAUCAUUUGGAAGAUAUCUUUGAGUCCGCAGAUAAACCUCUGGAAGGAAGACGUUGGUGAUUGUCUGUCGAGGAUCCUUUUCAAUGCUUGGCAGCGUGUAUUAAUCUAUCAAAUGCAUUAAGAAGCUCCCCUCCAGAGACUACCAUUUCACACAUGCCUGUCCACUAGGUACUUCAUUCUUAGCAUGGUCACAUUCAAACUGAGAAAUGUUUACCAAGUGAAAUCAAAUUAAUCCCACCUCCUCCCUAGUCUACCCAAUCCCACAAUAAAAAAGAAAUCUCAAAACUAGCUUUUAUUGGAAUUGUGUUCUAUGCAUAGUCAUAUCAUUUGUUGCCCUAUGUAUUUUGUAUAAACUCCUCCAAGCAUAUAGCUCCUCUGCAUUUACACAUGGAAAAUGACAAUCAUAUGAUUGUACAUAUCCUUCAGAGUACCCCAUUUGUUACCCCAUUAUUAGGAGCAAAAAUAAUGGAUCGACCACUUCUUUCAUAGCCCUGUCUUAUGUUUGUGCUAUCCUGCUAUAGUAUGCUUGAGAGGAUAACAAACAUUUCCCUGACUUUACUUUUGUUUUCAUAUUAAAUGCUUAGAUUCAGGUCAUUUGUUUAUCCAAACUUAAUCUAUGAUUGUAUUGUUCUAUGUUUUUCAAGGAUGGCUCUUGCAAUGGCUUACAACACCAUGCUGCCCUUGGAAGGGACAAGUUAGUGGAAUUUUCUGUUUUUGGUUGAUUGUUGUGGAAUUCUGAUUAUGUGAUAUGGAAGCAUGGUUUUUGAUUAGUUAGACAGUUUUUCACUCUUUUUCUGCUUUGAGGCUAAAUGUGUCUCAGCUUUGAUCUUCUCUCUUUUUGAUAGAAAAAAGGAACUUUGUUAAGGAAAGAUGGUAAAAGGAUGAGGAGUUGGAAAUUGAAACCCAAGAAAGAAACCAAACUUUGUUUGAGUUUAGUGCAGUUUAUUUAAUUUGAUUUUUCAAGUAAUUUCAAAGUUUGGUUGUUUCAAGAAAGGGGAUUAUCAUCGGUAUUUGGCAAGUUCAAAGGCUAGGGCAGCAAAUCAGUCUCUAAAGAGUGAAUUUUAGUUAGACCUUAGUAUUGGAGGAGAUAAAUUAUUAUUUAUUUAUUUAUUUAUUGAAGUUUCCUUGUUCUUUGGCAAUAGAACUUUGUAUUGGGGAUUAUUAUUUGAUUAUGCAGUUUGGAUACAUAUACAUAUUUGGAUUAUGCAAUAUUGGAAAUUAUAAUUUUGUUGCUUCAACUGCCUAUCAAGAAAAAUAAUUUUGUUGCUUCAACUAAAGUUUUAUAUAUGUAAUAGAAAAUAUAUACUGGAAAAAGUGGUAGGACCUCUUCAAUUUUGAAAUGAGAAUUUUAAUUAAAAUAUUUGAAAAAAAAAUAUUCAAGACUUCAGCUCUGGCCAAAUAUAAGUUGUGUCCACUUAAUAACCUAUGGCAGCGGACAAGAAAAAGUGGCAUCCAUAUGAAGCCCUAUAAUUGCGGCUGACAAAAGGUCAUGUCUAUAAUACUAUAUAGUAUUAAAUUCUGUAGAUGUCACACCUUCAUAGCAGCAACUAUCAGCUCUCCCAACCACAUAUAGAGCUUUUAGUUGAGGAAAAAACAUGAGCGCGGGGAUAGCUUCACAACUUCUUGUGUUUUUUACUGGUGGCUGCAACUAUAGGAUUUAUCUGCAUUCCUAUGGCCUUCGCAGCUAUGAACUUAACUUCUUGUAGCGUGUAACACUCUUGCCUCGUGUACGAUUGCAUGAACUUGCAACACAUGUACUGCACAACUCUUUGUUAAUGGUUAUAAAAAAUAUUUUUCUAUUUUUGAGAAUUGAAAAUAAGAAAAUCUUGUUUGACAAUAAGAAAAUAGUAAACAAUUUUUUAUUUUUAAAAACAGAAAAGUUUUUGUUCUUAAAAAAAAAAAAAAAGAUUUUUAUAAGAACAUAUUUUAGUUGUUUUUAAUUGUUUUCUAAGAUUAUUUUUUAAAAAAAUAAUAAGAUAAAUAUGAAGAAUAAUUAAAAAUAAAAUGCUAUCUACAAAACUUUUUUUUAAAAAAAAAUAUUUGAAAGCAAAAAAUAGAUUAAAAAUAUUUCAAAAUUCUCAAACAAGCUUUUAUCAUAUAAAUAUUAGAGAAUUGUUUUUUAAAACUGUUUUCAAAAACUAUUUUUUUUUUUUAGAAUAGUUUUCAAAAUAAUUUCUAAACUAACUUAAAGUACGUUUGACAAUGAUUUUAGGAAACGUUUUUAAUUUUUUUAUAACUUAAAAGAUGAAAAUUUUUUAGUAUUAAUUAUAAAAAUUAGAAGCCUUUCUAAAAUCACUACUAAAUAAACUCUAAUUCUCUCUACUGGAGGCUUGUAGGGGCUUUUAUAAUUUGUCUACCAAUCAUGUUAGACAUGUGGUAACCAUGUUAUGAGAUUUUGGGAUAGCAUCAUCUAGUUUGCACUUGUAUGUAGUUAAUUUUUGUUUUUAAAAAUAAAAAAUGAAACUAACUUCGAUAUAAAAUAUAAUUUUUUUUUAAACUUACGUUACUUCAAAUUUGAAAAUUUAUAGUGAUUUUUAAAGAUAUAAGGUGAGUUUAUACUUUUGAUAUAAAAAUUUCUACUAAAAAAUAUUACUAUUUUUUGUUGUAAAAAAAAUGUAUAAAAAAAAGUCAAUAUAUAAAUAAUAAAAGCUGAAAGAACAUUUUCAAUGCAUAGAUUAUCUUAAGGGUUCAAAUGUGGGCUAAGUCUAAAACUUAAUAUUAAAUCUUCUCUCAUUCAAAUAAUAGUAUUUAUAAAUAAUAGAAUAUCCUAAAUAAAUAUAGUUAUGGACAAAUAUUUCAAACAGAUUUCUCAAAUAUUAAUAUCAAAAGAAAAUUUCAUUAACCAUGACGAGCUCCCUGUUUCAAUCUAAAACAUGUAUAUAAACAUAAUUAACUUUAAUUUAAACAAGAUUUAGAUUUAUAUUAUGGACAAUAUAGUAAACCUAAAAGAUGAUCAUAAGUUUCUUAUUUCAUGACUUCAAUUAAUAGAAAAAAUAUUUACAAGCUCAAUUUUGUUGGAAUUUUAUUCAAUUCAUUCUAGUUUGAGACUUUGUAUAUUUUCUGUAACUUACCCUCCAUUAAAGAUACAAAAUUAUUUAGAGUUAACUAGAGAUUGGAUAGCACAAGUAUAGAGAGUUAUGAAAAGAAUAAUAACUUUUAAUUAAAAAGAUUCAGGAGAUCGAGUGCUCAAGCACUUGAAUAUAGCUUUCAUGGCUUAGAGCACUCAAGUAUUGCUUGGAAGUACCCAAUAACAAGCAAUCAAGUGCACUUACCUCGUGCUUGAGUACUCAAAAGUGGGGUUUCCAAAAAAUAAGUUUGCAUACAACACUCCCUAAGAAAAACAAUGAUUGCAUACAUAUAUAUGAUCCAUGGUUUAAGUAAAACAUUUCUUAUAUUUAUAAUAAGUUUAUUUUAGAGUGUUGUUAUUAUAUUAUACCACUGUUGUUAGGCCAUAUUUUGCUAAAUCAAAUGAAGAGAAAACACAUUAUUUGAUAAAUAUUUUACAAUUAGAGAUAAAGUUUGAAAUCUCAAUAAAUACAAAUAUAUCGGUACUUAGAUUUUAUGGAUAUAUAAAAAAUAUUGAAUAAAUAUCGGUGGAUAUUUUGACAAAAAUAUAGAUCUUGUUUUAAAAUUCAUGAAAAUACUUAAAAAAACUUUAAAAAAAAUGAUAAAAUAAAGAAUAAUACACAUAUUAAAGUUAUUUUGUAUGCUUAAAUUCCUUUAAUAUAUUCGCAUUUAUUUAUUUUUAAAUUUUAAAAAUACUUUUAUUGAAAGAUGUUUUAUCAUAUUUUAAAUAAAAAUUAAAUUGAUUUAUAUAAAAUAUUCAAAACCAUUACCCAAUAAAGACGCCUUUUGUGGGAGAAGUAUUCACCGUCAUCCAUGCAAAUCAAACCCACCUUUGAUCUUUAUUCACAAUUUCAUAUAUUAUAUAUAUGUCUACUAAACUUAUGUAUAUAUAUAUAUGUAUAUAUGGGUUUAUACAUGUGGAUGUGUGAAUGAAAAGUUGGAAAAUAGUCUCUAUUGUUCUUUAUUGAAGAACGAUAGCUAGGGUUUCUAUUCGUCUCUCAUUCUCUGUAUUGUUUUGUUUCUCUUUCUUAGGGACUUACCUUUGUUUGUGAAUCGGAACCUAUGCUCAAUUAGCUUAAGAAUUACCCAGUAGUUUGUUUGAAUCGGGGGGAGUUUGGGUGGGAGAGUCUAAGGUUUGUGAUUUAAGGGGUUUUGGUAUUGUAGGAGCUGAUUGGUGUCUGGGUUGGGAGGAAUCUAGGGUUUGUGAUAUGGGGUUUUGGCGUGGUUGAGGUGGGAAGGGAAAAAUUGAAUCUUGGGGAUUGUUUUUGUUGGUGGGGUUUUGAAGAUGGUGGAGAAUCGUGGAUCAGGUGUGAUCUGAUCGCCGCUUUUCCGAUGGCAAACAACCAUCCGAUUGGAGGGGUGGGGGCUUUUGUAUGGAAACUUGGAGCCCCAAGCAGGCGGAGGCGUCCUCAACGGCCCCUUUUUCUGGACCCACCACCUGGUCGAGCAAGCGAUCUCGUAUCUCCUCUUCUUCUUCUUCAACGAUCCCAAUUUCAUCGAACCCCAACGCCCAUGCUACACUGAAAAAUUAAUUUUGAGGGGAGCGGAGCUACACUUUGACCGAAGCCAGCGUUGACCAACAUAAAUAUCGGGAAAUUUCCCGAAAAAUCGGCAAAAACCGAUAUUUCGGCGAUAAUUUCAGAAAAAGAGCGAAAUUCCUUCCAAUCGAUUAUCCGUCCUCAAUAUCGUAUCGAGCUUCACCGAUAACCGAAAUAUAGGGGAAAUUUCGUCGAUAAAAAAGACAUUUCAAUCACUGACUAGAGGUGAUUAACACUGAUGUUAGUAAUUAGGUUUGCCAUAUUUUUCAAUAAUGUACAAUUAGCUCAAUCACUUGAAGCUUAUACCAAAAAUAUAUUUGAAUCAAUAAUGGACAAAAAUUUCUGACUGGUACUUAGUGAUAAUCAACUACCAAAUUAUCAUAAACAUAGAAGUUGAAAGGAUAAUUUUAAGGCAAAGAUGACUCUAAAAUAUCAAAAGUGGGCUAAGUAUCCAACUUAAUAUUACAACUUUUCUUACUUAAAUGACAAUUCACAAAUAACAAACCUACCUAAAGAAAAAUAAUUGCUUGCCAACAUUUCAAAGAUAAGUUCUCAAACACUCGUACCAAAUAAAUCUUCAUUACCACUAAGAAUUCAUCAUUGUAUUCAAUCUGCAACAAGUAAAUACACAUAGUUAGCUUCAAUUUAAGCAACAUUUAGAUUUUCAUCAUGGAAUAUAAAUAGCAUGUUCAUUAUUAUUAUUAUUAUAUAAUUAAUUAAUUAACAACAUAAUAUUAACAAACUUGGUUAUAGAGACUAUUUAAAUUCUUAUAGUUUUCAUACUUAUGGUAUUAACCAUACUCAAAUGAGUAUAUUUGUCAAUAAAUUUAGAGUUUCAACUAACAACCUAUAACAAUCUAUAACCUUAGCUGCUUGUUUGUAUAUUUUUUGGAAUUCAACUUUGGAAAAAAUUUCAUGUAUCUUAAUCUUUCCUAUGAAAAUCGCAUUCUGUAACUUCAAAGAGUUGAACCCAAUUAUAAACUUCCUCAAUCCUCUUUCUAAUGACUCAACUAAGAAAUUGUAGUAAGGAAAGAGAAACAACUUAUAUUCAUAUGCAUGGUUGAAGGGUCUAAAAAUAUGCCCCUUACUAUAACAUGCUUUGAACAUUUAAAACAAUAUACUUUUAGUAAAAUCUAAGUCCAACAAGACUACAAUUCAAUUUCUUUUGUAAAUUUAAAUCAUUAUUUCCAAUUCAAGAAUUUAAGAAAUCAUAUAAUAAAAUAUAAGUAUAAAAAGAUUAAUAGCUAACAAAUAUGUACCUAAACGGAGAUGACCUUACAUUACAUUGUAAUGAAAUUCAUCUUACCUUCUUUUUGUAUGAUGUUUGUUAUUUUGAAACCUUAUCACCCUCUGCAAAAGAGCUGAAUUCAUUGUGAUGAUAAUCAUAACACACCAAAAAUACAAUGAAAUUAAAAAACAAACAAGGAAGAAAAAAAGAAGGAAAAAGAAUGGGAAGUGAUGUAAGAUAUUUCACCUUUUUAGCCAUGAACUCCAUUUGCUUCCAUCUUCCUUUUCAGACGAGCCACAUUCACUGCAGUGAAGACAUAUAGCCUAUCUCUGGUUUCAUCAAUGAACCGGAAAUAUGCCUGCCUCCAAGACUUCUUUAGAACCAAACUGCCACAUAUAGCCCAAAAUCCCACCGGAAAGCCCAAUCCCAUGCUUAUGAAGAACCAUGACAUGUCCCAUUCAACUUCAUCUUCCUCCUCAUCUUUGUGAUCUUGAUCAUUUAGAGUGGAGCAAUUGGUUGACAAUGGAGGCCCACAAAGUCCCAGGUUCGCCUCAUAAAUGGAUGGAUCGUUGAAUGUCGAGAACUGGUUGGUUGUUGGAAUUGGUCCUGAUAGGCGGUUAUGCGAUAGGUUCAAAUGGUUCAAUGAGGUUAUAGAAGACAUGCUCGGAGGAAUUGGGCCUGACAGGCAGUUGCAUGAGAGGUCAAGAGUUUCUAGCCCUUGCAUGGCUCCAAUCUUCUCAGGUAUCUUUCCA